Molecule: long non-coding RNA, 286080 nt
Filed under: Brassica napus (rape)
Lineage: Eukaryota; Viridiplantae; Streptophyta; Magnoliopsida; Brassicales; Brassicaceae
Description: long non-coding RNA (BNAP_LNC008039)
Rfam family: Plant small nucleolar RNA R71 (bases 283389-283495)
Source: RNAcentral
GUCGCUCUGGAAGGUCCCUCCAGGCCUAUGUUUUGGCCUCCAAAGUGAUGAAAAGGCGAGUGACGUAGGGGUGUAGCUCUGGAAGGUCGCUCUGGGUUGGGAGCUACCUUAUGGUGUCGCUCUGGAAGGUCACUCUGCGAUGCUCGACCAGGAUGGAUAUGGCUCUAGUAAAUUGAUCAUAACUCCUUCUUUACAUCUCCAAAUGACUUGAAACCACUUCCAUUAGAAAGCUAACUCAAUUUUCUGUGUCUCCACAAAAUCUUAGCAACAGAAGAUUUCUCUAAAGGCUCCAUCCAUGCUCAUCUUUCACCCCCUUUUGGAUCAUAAUGCUCCCAAACAUCUCAAAUCACUCCAUGGAACACUCCAGCACCUAAUAAGGACAAUGAAUGCAAAAUGCAACCUAGACAUGGCUAAAUCCUAAUCUAUAUGAUGAAAAUGCUCAUGGAUGAAUGGAUAAAACAAUGUAAAUAUGCAAGAUAUCACUAGCACACUAAUUGUUUUAAUUAAUUUUUCUGAUUCUUUGUUGAAUAAUAUUAUUUGCAGAUUUCGUGAUUCAUGGGUUUACUUCCGUCGGACGUGCUAAUCAUUACAUGCCAUCUUUGAAAGAAAGUUCCAUUGUGAAAGUCGAUCGUUUUGAGGUUGCUAGGUGCUCAAGUAUGUACAAGAUAAAUGAUCAUUCAUUCGUCCUUUGUUUCAUUUCACUAACCAUUAUUGAUGAAGUCAUCACGGAUUCUUCUGAGAUCAAUCUCCAGUCAAGAUUAGACUGUUCGACAAUGUCCAAGUGAUUGCGAACACAAACCUAUAGUCCCAGCUAUAUUAUCAUAUUGCAUCUGGGUUUAUAUUAUGUUUCGAUAUCAUAACUGAUAUUUAAACUCACAGAUGUGGUUGGGCAAAUCCGUUAUGUCCAGGGCUCUGACGUCACCAAAGAAACAAGUCGAGUUGUCAUCCGUAUUCUCAACAAUCAACACAUAAUUCCCUUUAUAUUACUGUCUAUAUUGUUCUAACAUCAAUAAUCAAAAAUAUUUCAUACCCAAGAUUUGUGGUCGUCUAUCUAUGUCCCUUACUUAUCAAUCUAAUUUUACACGAAUCUUUAUUUUACAGCUUAAAAGAAACUACAAAAACUCAAACAAUCAAAACACCAAAAACUAGAAUCCCAAAAAGACGAAUCAUUAAUGAUCAUCUUUCUUUUUGUCUAAUCUUACAAAUAAACUUCAAAACAAAUAUACGAAACCAAUCAACUCAACUAAAACUCAACGACACAUACAUUGAGCCAGCUAAACAAAUACAAACUACACGAACAGCUAUUUAACAAUUUACAAACUUAAUUUUGCAGAUGCUUACGAAGAAGACGAAGACAACAACCAAUAUCAGUGAAAUUACCUAAACAAAAAAUAGAGUAAGUUAAAAACUCUAAUAAAUACAAUUGGCAAUGAUUUUUGUUUACAUAUUAUCCAGCAAAUAAAAGAGAAGCAAACACAACCACACCAGGAAAUACAAGAGACAAUCCCAACAGACACAAAGGCGGCAAUACCAUCUCCACCUGCUCACUCCUAUUGUCUUAUGAAAAUAGCUUACAUGCUCAAUGCCAACAAGCCAAUGCUAUUGUCUUCUUAUGAGAAAUACAUAUAUUCGUUUAAAACCCAUUAACGCCCAAAUACUAAUUGUCACUAAUUUUAUAGUUAUUUCUACAAGUCUUCAUGUAUUUGUUUUAAAGGUCCGUUAAAAGCAACAAGUUUAAAAAUAAAAAAAUAUAUAUAACCAACAUAAUAAGAAUUAAAAAAAUUAUUAGUUAACACAUACAACUUACACAACUAAACUGGAGAAAAAAAUAUCUAGAAACAAAAAUUACUCUCAACAACAUUAAUAUAAUUUAUGUAAUCUCAAUAGUACAAGUAACAAAUUAAAAAGACAAACAAACAAUAUGUCUCAGUGACACAACAAGCAACACCACAAACUAUAUUAAUCAUAUUAUUAAUACAGUUUAGUCUUUCAUGAGUGGAGAACAAUGCAUACACAAUUCAUCAUCACAACUCUAACCCUAUAACAAUAAAAAAAUUGAAAACAUUGAUCAACCCAAAACGCAAAAUUCACCUACAAUAACCCUAACAAAUAUUAAGAUGAAACAAGAACAAUGUCAUAACUCUGCGUUUGCGUGGAGGCAAUGCCCCUAGUUGUUUUAAAACACUAUAAUCUUGAAGACGAUCUGAUGAAUGCAUAUCUCAUAUCUUGUUAGAAGCUCACGUAAAACUUCCAAGCCUGGUGAUAUUUUCUAUUUGAACAUAUGCAUGCGAUGCAAACAUUAUAAACAUAAAGACAUGUAAAGAUUUCAUUAGAUCUCCCCUCAGGCUCUUGAGAAUUUUGUUUUAGAAAUCUACAAUGGUUACAAAUACACAAUAAAGAAGUUUUAAAUAGCACCGAUGUUUUUGAGGCCAAGAACAACUCCGACUCCGAUGAUAUGACCAACGGUGCCACAAGCCAAAGUGUCAGCGAGCGUGAACCCGGCUGGAUCACCCGUUUGUAGACCCGAGUCACGUGCCUCGAGCUUAAGUCCAGCGGUUGCUUUUCUAUUCGCUGAUGGUGCAAGUCCGAAUCUCCCCGCGAACAACAUCAGGGUUGUCGACGUUACCAUUAUCUAGUUAGAGAGUAUCUAGCAUCAAUCAUUGCUUAAACUUCAAUAAAUGUUCAUUUCAUUUUUCUUCAAUUACCAGAUUUGUUGAUGAACCAAUGAAGUCACCACACUUUGCACCCAAAGCUCCAUUUGCCUUGCGUCUCAUGGGCUGAACCGUUGCCUAUGGUUUUUUUAAUAAGAAAAUCAAGAAUUAAUUAAUUUUAGGAUAUUUACAACAAAUUAUUUCUACAGGGUGAUAUACUUGAUACUAGAUCAAUAAAAAUUAUCCAUAAAAUAUGACAAAUAAUCUCGAAUGAAUCUACCAUUAAAACAUAUAAUAAUCAACGACAAAAUUGACCGUCAAACUCUUUAUUUUUAAAAGCAAAAAAAAAUGUUAAUGCUUGUACAUUUCAAAAAAGUGAGAAGACGAUGAUGAAAUCACAUUUUUUAAAUCUAAAAACAAAUGAAAAUUACUAACCAGGCCUUGAACAGGAGCUGCAGAGAUCUUGCUGGCUCUAAGACCAUUGAACUGAGGCAGUGUAGUCAUCACAGUGCUCGCCAUUUUCUUCUGACUUAUUUUCGUGAAAAAAAAACUUGUAUUAUCUUGGGCGAUCUGUGUUGCAGAUUUAUGAUUACACCAGUUUUUUUCUUCUUAUUUGUCUUUAAAAUGAUUUAGCCAAGAAUCAUCGUGUGGCUUUGGCGAUCACAGAAUGGAUUCUGCUUUGUUACUUCUUGCUGACGCGUCAUAUACCUAUUGGUGAAUUUUAACUCUAGAUAAGGCUGUCGUAUCAUUAUCAUCACACCGCAGAUUUUGUUUCUGAACCUGUUCUUAUUCGGGUUUCACUUGAGGCCCAUUUAUAAUUGAGAAGUUUAGGGAUAGUGGUAUCUUACGUAAAUUUUACGAGACAAAGGGGUACAACUGAGAAUAGGAAGUAUACACAUCAUUCAGACAUUGAUUUAGUAGUCAUCGACGUUCGGACGAACUUGCCGUGGAGAGACUUUCGAGCUUAGUCAAUUAUUUUCAUCCUCAGUUACUUUCAACGAAAUCUCAAAUGAAUUAUUUCGUCAACCGGUCUACUUCGAUCUGUUUUAUACUACAUAACUUAAAUUUUAUAUCAUCGAAAUCAAAAUGAAAAUUCAAACAGUAUAACUAUUAAUUAAUUUAAUUUAUUUUGAGUUCCACAAUAACAUUGAAAUCUAGAUGAAAAUUCAAUGUUGUGUUUUUUUUUGCUUCUACCAACUCCAAGAAUGAAAGACCGAAAAUUAAAGGAUCAGUUAAGUCAAACUGUUUGGUCUUAAAUUCCAUUCUAAUAUACGUACGUUUUUAUAAAAUAUAUAGUCAGAUAUUGUGUUUGUUUUUAUGUAAAUGCUCCUAUCUACAUAUAGGAAUACAGAAUAUUUAUAAGAUUGUAGAUCAUCAUUAGUUGGCCUGUUAUUAACAAGAAAAUUGGAACUACAUAACCUAACACAAAAGCCGACACAGCAGACUCUUGUUCUUGUAUGUAUGAUUAAGCAGCCGUAACUAUUAAAAUGAUCAAGCUGCCAAAGAAUAAAUGGUAAAAGAAGACACUGUCAACAAGGCGUAUUAUUAUUACUUUGACCAACUAAGUAGAGAAAAUUGAAGAUGUCGUUUCCUUAUGAAAGAGAAGUUUAGAAAAUUAAUUUCAUCUAGAUGGAGUUGUUGGAUCUGGUUAAUCUUAACCGAGACUGAUUUUAUUAGUUAAUCACUUGCGCUUACUCAUAUUUAUAACUAAACCGAGUAUUAGACCGGCAGUCGCCGUCCGUACGGAACGAUGUAAUAAUUUGGAUCGGGUCAAAACAUUUAUUCUUCAUCUAUGAUUUUGAGUCUUCCUAGAAGCUACAACUGCGCGUGUGAUCAUAUAAGAUUUCUUCGUCUAUAUAACACUUAGAGAUCAAUUCCAAAACAUAUCAAUCUCCUUCUUGCUACAACACAUAUCACUUGAAUAACACUUAGAGAUCAAUUCCAAAACAUAUCAAUCUCCUUCGUCUAUAUAACACUUCUACAUCACUUGAAUAGUUCUUCGACAGAUAACUCAGAGAUGGAGAAGUCAACGAUCAAAACUCCAUUGAGAAAGCUAACAAGAAGAACAACAAAACGAUCCUGGAAACUGAAGCAAAAGCUCAAGCUGGCAUGGAAGUCUAUCAAGAUGCGGGUCAGGUCACAUCUACCGGGUUUCUUGUCAACCAAAAAACGCCUCACACACAUGAAAUCAAGAAAUCAAGAACAAGAAUUAGCCCAAGCGGCCAGGAGGAUCUGCAAAAUCUCAAACGACGCCACCAACUCUCUGGCUUAUCUGCUUCAGCUUCCAAAGUAUUCAGCCUCUGAUUUUUUAGACCGCGGCGAUAUGAUGACUCCAGCUGCGUCUCCAAGAGAAAACAUAUCCAAAGCGUGGCGUGAGCUUCACGGUUCCAAGAACUGGGAGAAUCUUCUUGAUCCUUUGCAUCCAUGGCUGAGGAGAGAGAUAACCAAAUAUGGAGAGUUCGUUGAAUCAGUCUAUGAUUCACUCGAUUUCGAUCCUUUGUCCGAGUUCUGCGGAAGCUGUAGAUACAACAGGAACAAACUCUUCGAAGAGCUUGGUUUAACAAGACAUGGUUACAAGGUAACCAAAUACAUCUACGCCAUGUCUCAUGUCGAUGUUCCUCAGUGGUUCUUAAGCUCAUCUUUGGGAGAGACAUGGAGCAAAGACUCGAACUGGAUGGGGUUUGUCGCUGUGAGUGGAGACAGAGAGUCGUUAAGGAUCGGUCGGAGAGACAUUGUUGUGGCGUGGCGUGGAACCGUGACUCCUACUGAAUGGUUCAUGGAUCUUAGAACUAGUAAAGAGCCGUUCGAUUGUAAAAGUGAACACGGCAAGAAUGUGGUCAAGGUGCAAAGCGGGUUUUUCAGCAUCUACAACUCCAAAAGCGAGCUCACAAGGUACAACAAAGAAAGUGCAUCUGAGCAGACAAUGGAGGAAGUGAAGCGGUUAGUAAAGUUUUUUAAGGAUAGAGGCGAAGAGGUGAGCUUAACCGUGACCGGUCAUAGCCUUGGAGGCGCGUUGGCUCUUAUGAACGCUUACGAGGCAGCCAGAGAUGUUCCGGAGUUAUCUGGUAAUGUUUCUGUGAUCUCGUUUGGUGCGCCUAGAGUAGGUAACUUGGCGUUCAAGGAAAGGAUGAACAGUUUAGGUGUUAAGGUCUUGCGAGUGGUGAACAAGCAAGACAUUGUCCCUAAGCUUCCAGGUAUCGUGUUCAACAAGGUUCUAAACAAACUCAACCCAAUAACUUCGAGGUUCAGCUGGGUCUACAGGCACGUUGGCACGCAGCUUAAGCUCGAUGUAUUCACUUCGCCUUAUAUAAAACAAGAUUCUGAUUUAGCAGGGUGUCACAAUCUAGAGGUGUAUCUCCAUGUUUUGGAUGGCUUCCACCGCAAGAAAUCAGGGUUUAGGGUUAACGCCAGGAGAGACGUUGCCUCUGUGAACAAGAGCACUGAUAUGUUACUGGAUCAUCUAAGAAUACCCGAGUGUUGGUACCAAGUGGCACAUAAGGGUCUGAUCCUCAACAAACAGACCGGCAGGUGGGUGAAGCCGGUCCGUGCACCAGAAGACAUCCCCUCUCCAUUAUCGACCGGACCAAGACCAAUUUAUAGCUUAUGAAAAAUAAUAUAUUUCAAUUCCAUUUGUUCGUUUUUUGAAUGUUUUGUCUUUGUGAGUUUUGGUUACAACUUACAACAUUUGAAGUGAAUGUACAGAGAUCAAGUUGUGAAAGUAAUGUAUAUGGUUGCGUUUACAAUUCGAUAUUUCAUUAAACAAUGUAAACUUUACUAAGCGUAGACGCAAACGUAUAUUCCGUUUGAAUAAUCUUCUAAAACGAAAAUUUAUUGAAUAAUUUAUGGCUUAUGAGAAAUGAUUUUUUUUUUUCAAUUCCAUCUAUUGAGUUUUUUUUCUUCGUGUGUUUUGGUUACAACAUUUGAAGUGAAUGUGUACAUAUAAGAUCAAAUUGUGAAAGUAAUGUAUAUGGUUGCGUUUACAAUUUGAUAUUUUCAUUAAACAUUGUAAACAAGAAGCAUAGACGCAAACAUAUAUAUAUAUAUAUUCCAACAGUUCCUAGUUUAUAUAAGUUUAUAAAAAUACAUUUAAUGUCCUAAAUUGAUUGCUUGUCUUGAAAGGUAGCUUCUACAAAGUUAAAAGUUACAACAACUGAAGAACACAUGCAAAGAAAGAUCCUAAGUAAACCCUAAAAUUACACAACAAUAAAAAACAAGAAAACAAAUCAAUGAGAUAAUUAGGUAUUGGAUUCAAAUCUUAAGCAGCUGAUAUUGCAGCAUAGUCUUGAUAACGAGACAUUGCGCCUUUAAACUGGUGAUCUUCUGGUUUGUGAGUGCUCAAGCUAUGUGGGAUGAAUGACCUAAAAAUCUCCUCAAGGUCCGGUCUCUCCUUCAGGUCACGGCAAGCAACCUCGAGAGCUGUGUGUUGGAAACCUGAGUAGAACUUCCGGCGACACACGUAUCCGAAGAUGAGAGAGAUGACGAUGAGAGGAACCAAGAGGGUCGCCCAAACGAAUAGCUUGACUCCCAAGUAACCAAACAUAACCACUUGGAACAGAAACAAUGCCGCUAGUAUGCGGGUGUGAAUAUGUGGCCACAUCCUUCCAUAGCUCUCGUAUGAUGGAACAUACACCUUCAGCGCCUGCCAUAGAUCAAAAUCACGUUUGUUACCGAUCAAGAUCACCAGAAAACAUCGCUUAAACCUAAUAGGGUUUUAUGAGAAAGCCUGACCUGAUUCCUCAGGAUGAGCCAACCUAAACCAAAGUAGAUAACACCGAAUACGAGGAUUAAAGGAGCGAAUACAGAAUAGCAGAAGGUGAUUGUGAGGAUAAGCAUGUCGCUGGGAACCCUAGUUGCGUAUCUUAGGUCUCCUGGGUACCAAGCUUCUUUGACCUCUGCUUCGGUUUUGUAUAGAUACUUCUUUUUCAGAUGGAAUAUUAUCAAUGGUAUGAUCCGUGACAGCUCAAGACCAUAGCCAAUAAAGAACCUGAAAGUUUCAAGAUUCAAGAAACAUUUAUAGAAGAACUGCUAUUUUAUAUUAGUCGAAAGGAAGUAAAACUCACUUGAGAGCAACGUAGGUCAAGAAGAAAGUAGCGUUCUUAGGGAGGCUAGUAGCCAAAACGGUUACAAUGGAGUUGGGUUUCUGUUGAAGAGCCUUCAAGUUGUCGAACAGAGACCCUGCAAGGGUGACACCGAUGAAAACAUUCAAGACCGAGAAGUAAAAGUACUUCCCCGAGGCAGCUCUAACGGCGUGGCUCCGCGAAGGAAUCCCCUCGGAUUUAGAGAGGAACAUGAGGAACUUAGGCAACAUCGCCAAGAAUAUGAUGAGCGCAAUCUGAGGAAGGUAAGACUCAAGAACGGUUCUUAUGAAAGUUAUCUUCACAACUGGCUUUAUAAAAGGAAUAGCCUUCUGGAGAUUCGCAAGAGUGGUGAUCGCAGAGACAAACGCGAUAGGGAUCAUGUAAAAUAAAAUGGUUAUUGCGACAAUGAAGUAGAUCAAGUACUGUCUGAUUAGUCUAGUGAAAAACUUGAUGUUGAGAUUCUCCCAGAGGAUCUGGCGAGGCUCAGGUGCUUCAGUCACUGUCCAUGUAUCGACCAUCUGGCUGUGUAGAGACUGUGCGGCUAAAGCAGCAGUAACUCGGUCGGUGAAGAAGACAAUAGCUGCUGUUUGCUGCUUCUCAGCAAGAACCUUUUUCUGCUCAGUCUCUAGUUUGGCUACAGACUCGUUGAUUAGGUCGGUAUAAUACUCUAUGCUGUCUACUUUUUUUCCGGCCAGACCAAGCAAGCCUGUUUUGUUCGUUGGUCGGUUACUAGUCGCUGCAAAUAUCGCUUCUGCACGUGCAAGCUUCUUCUUGUAACCUUCCAACCCUUCCCAUAUCUUAUUAACCUACAAAACAAGAAACAUAGGUAGAGGUGUCAAAUGGUCCGUUUGGCGCCCAAUAGAGAGUGCCCAUAAAGACCAUUUUUAUUUUGGACAUUUAUUGGUUGGUCCAUAAACCUGUACAAUGUACAGCUCAUUUCAAUAUAAUUUUAAAUUCAUCUAAUUAUUUCAUAAGUUUUAAUUUUCUCCAAAACCAUAAAAUCCAGUUUUUAUUUUGGACAUUAUUGGUUUACCCAAGGGUUUAGGGUUUAGGAUUUGAGAUUAGGGUUUAGUAUUAGAGUUUAGGGUUUAGUGUUUUGUUGACAACUUUUUUUUUUUUUUGAAUUCGUUUUUUAUAUAUUAUUUUUAUUUAUUUUUAAAUUUUAUUUCGAAAAGAUAAUAUAAUUUACCAAGUUAUUUGGUUUCCUUAAUUAAAAGAUACUAGAUCUAAAAUGACAAUUUUCUAUUGGUUGGUGAAUCUAAAGGGGUGAACCCUAGAAUAACUCUUUUUCAAAACCCUAAAGAAUCGUGUUGUCCCGACAAAAUAUGCAUUUCGUAGGGCGAAAGAAUUAAAAAUAAAAAGUUAAAACAUUAAGACAGAACAAGAAGAUACCUUUCUGUUUUCUGUGACGACAAGCGAUCUGUAGAAUGUCUCGGGGUAUAUAUCUCUGAAAAAAGAAUCUAUAAACUCUUUAUGGGUCUGUCCGUUAGGUGGGGAAGGUAUAUCCCUAACAAGAAUAGCGAACUGCUCCGGAAUUGUAUCAGCAGACAUGAGAGCUCGAGCUCUUAAUGUAGAGACAUGCUUAUAAGCUUUCCAUAACAUGAAAUAUGUGACCAGAGAUAUCCAGUAAACCGCUCCUAGAAAAGCCCACAGCCUUGAACUCUUUCUCUAGAAAACCGAAAGGAAAAACAUUAAAUGGAAUAAAACAAAAGUUAAAUGAAUGAAUGUGAUGUUUUGUUUUAACUUACUGUGAUGUUAGCCAUUGAUAGAUUGUCAAGUUGGCUAAACGUUCCUUUGCUUGUGGUGUCUGUUACGUCCCUUGAGUUCUUUAUACUCUUGUCCGUAGCGGCUAAAGGGAGUAGAAUCGGUAAGAUGAGAAGACUGGAUAAAGCAAAGAUCCCCAGAACUGUUCCAAACAAAAGCCAAUUUCAAGACCAUGACCAUGAGAAACACUUUUGUUAGGUUAUAUUAAGGAACGUAGAAGACACUGAACAUAUCCAGAAGAAAUAAACUGUUUUGUCUUUUCCGUUGAACUAAACAACAUGUAAUAAAGAUAAAAACGUACUUUAAGCAGAUAUGGACAAAAAGUAAAACAGAGCAAACAGAGACAGCAACAUACAAACAAAAGGAAACGUUUUUUUUUUUCCUAAAUUGUCUCCAAAGAUUAAAACUUUCUUUCUUACAUUAAACUCCAAACCCAGAUCAGAAGCAACGAAAUCAACCAAACAAAAGCUGGAGAGAGAGAGAGAGAGAGAGAGAGAGAGAGAGAGAGAGAGAGAGAGAGAGAGAGAGAGAGAGAGAGAGAGAAUGUUCGAACCAGUGCUCAAGAAGACGAAGUAGACUGCAGUAUCGACGCCGGAUAAAUUAACGACAUCUUGUUCAGAGGAAGUCAAAGCUUCACGGAUCCAAGCAAAUGGGUUUCGGGUCAAGGAGCUGCCUUCCCAAGGAUCCAUCCCUUUGAGGAUCCGGUUCGGGUAGUAAAUGGAAACGUUUCCGGGUCUACGAGAAAGCCAGGUGAAGAGGAACAUGAGAACGAGGAAGAUGAAUGCUGAUGGCCCUAAGGACAGAAGAAACGCUUCAAAUUCCAUCUGGGUUUUGCCACACCAAUCUCUCUCUCUCUCUCUGGCUAUGUGUCUCUGUUUCUCUCUAUUCCUCAAGCGCCCAGUUUUAUGGGGAAGAGUGAGUUAUGGUCAAGGGAAAGUGAAAAAGGUAGCCGUUUAAAGCAAAAGUAACCGUUAAGGCUGUGAAUUAAAGAGAGAUAUAAAAGUGUGGGUGCGAGGUAUCUCGUUGUUCUUCCUUCCUCAGGUAAUUGAAGGUGAGAGGAAAGGUUUUUCGUUUGUUUUGUUCACAGGAAAGGAGAAGAAAAAUAUAGAAGAAAUUCAGAGAAAGAUUAAGAGUAUUGCUUGUUCUGUGGAAAUGGGUUUUGUGGAUAGGGAGAGAAUUGGUUAAACUGUUAGGAGAUGGAGAGAUGUACUAAUAAGAGAGUGAAAGUGCGUGUUCAAGAGGAUCUUCAAUGUACAUCUCCAAACUUUAUUAUUGAAGUGAAUUUGCUUUAAUCUAUGUGUCUAUGAUAAAAUUUCUCUAUUUUAGAAGAACUAUAGAACAAUCCUACUUUUUGCUUUUAUAUUUGGAGAUGAAAAUAGUAAUUCUCUAUAUUUUUUUGUAUAAAUAAAAAAAACUAUAUAACACAGAUAUAUAUUGGAGCAAGUCCACAUAUAUAAGAAACUUUUUCUAUUUUAAGAGAAAAUACAGAGAUGAAAAUAAAGGUGAGUUAGAGAUAGUCUAAAUAAGAAGGUCUACGGGUAUUUGAUGAAAGAGACUUUACGGGACACCUGGUCCGAAUGAUUUAUUUAUCAAAACAAGCUGUCACCACUCGUCAUGUGGAAGUGUUGUUAAAUGAUGAGGUCUUGAGUUCCAGUAACGCCAAACGCAUCAAUAAUCUAUAUGGAGAGUUUGUGAAGACUCACAUGUGAGGGGUUAGGGACGGUGCCCUGCAGGGCCAGCCAGGGAUCCACGGAACGGGUGGGGUCCACGGGAUAUGUUGUUACAAGUUUAUGGAUUCAAUUUACAAUGAAAAAUUAACCACUAUUACUAAUGAUUAGUCGAGUGAUUUAGAGUUUUCUCCCCUUCCCCUCCCCCCAAACCCCUCAAAACGUCAAGUGACUUUUGAGUAAAAAGAUUGCAAAUUGAAAUAAUUACACUUUAAGUCAGUUUUUAACUUUAAUAUAUCAUAAAAAGACACUUCUUGCUCCUAGAGCAGUUUUGCACAAAAAACAAGAAGAAACAACACAAAUGAACCAUACAAAAUUCCAAAAAUACCCUGUUGUUUUCUCAGUUAAUUUAACGUAACUUUAUCUUAAUUCUUAACCACAAAAUCCAAAAGACAUCGUUGACAAUAAGUCUCAUUCUCCCUUCUUCUUCAUUUUCUUUGUUCUCAAUUUUUUUUUUGUAAAAUAAAAUUCACUUCUCUAGAUUUGUUUUUUCCAAAAGCGUUAUAUUAAAUCAUUAUAUGAUCUGUUUUUUUAGAUAUAUUAAGUUGAUGGUCGAAUGGUAGUGUAAUGGUGACAUUGACAAAGGCGGAUACGUAGGCGUCAUCAACAUAGACGAUGGUAGAUACGUAGAAGACAGAGGAGACAUAGUAACGUUAGAGAUGUAGGUGCCAUCGACGUAUAUGACAGAGAUGGCGGCAAAGACAUAGACAAAGGAAAGUUGAGAGCAGAGAGAAAAAAAAUUGGAUACAGCUGAAACAGAAAAAAGUGAAUGGUUUGAAAGUUUGUUAAUUGUAGUCAUAGACUCGUGGGUCUAAACUAGACAUGUUCUAUUUGAGCCAUGUCUUCUUCUUAUUCUUCGGCUGCUUCGUCUUCGGCCUUUGGAUCAAGAAUGGAUGAGAGCAUGAAGAAAACGGUGACUGAGACACCGUCAUUGAUUACUUAAAAAAUUGGUGCUCGUAUGUUUCACUUCUCAUCAAUAUAUCUAAAAUUUUCAUUGUUUUGCGUAACCCUAUAAUGUGUUUGUUAAGUAUCCUUGUAAUCUUUGUUGUUAUAAGCUUAGUCUGGUUAAUUGAUUAACUUAUGAUAAUAUCAAAACUUCUCAUCUCCUAUGUGUCUUAUCUCCUUAUGUUGAUGAAGUGUAAUGGAUUUUGUCAAGCACUGAACAUAUACACAUGUAUGCUAUCACAUUUGUUGUCCACAUGGACGCUACACUUUUGUGUCCACAUGUACGCUUGAAUUAUGUGUCCACAUGGACGCUACAAUCUCAUGAAUAUAUCUAGAAUUGUCAUUGUUUUGUGUAAUUCUAAAUUGAGCUUGUUGUUAUACGCUUAGUUCGGUUAAUUGAUAAAAUUAUGAUAAUAUCUACACUUCUCGUCUCUUAUGUGUCUUAUCUCCUUAUGUUGAUGAAGUGUAAUGAAUUUUGUCAAGCACCAUGUACACAUGUAUGUUAUCACAAUUGUUGUACACAUGGAUGCUACAGUUAUUUGUGUACAUAUGUUUGUUUGUUAUCCACAUGUACACAAAAGUUAUAAGAUGUUAACUAUUAGUAAUGAAAAAUAAAUUCAUACAAUAUGUUUGUUGUUCAUAGUGGUGCAAUUUUACUGGAAAAUAAAUUCAUAUACUUUAAUCAUUUUACUGACAAUCUUGCUUUCUCUGAUUGUCCAAAUGUUUCUUAUUGGAUGUGUACAUCAAACUUAUAUUUUACAUGUGUACAUGAAACUCAUAUCGUACAUGUGUACAUGAAACUCAUAUCGUACAUGUGUACACAAAAGUCGUAUUGUACACAUGUACAUCAAACUCAUAUUGUAUACAUGUUGCUAAGUGUACACAUCGCUCUCUUGGACUGGCCCGAGAAAGAACUCCACCUCCAUAACAUGCUCUUGCUUCCACUGCCGUUGAGCUGAGGCGAGUUCGUCGUCAACAACCUCACACUCAACUUCCACACCUCAGCUACUAUUUUCAUCAGUGCUUUUAGGGAAAGGUCCGACGAGAUAUAAGGUCGGUGUAAGUGACAGAUGAGAAACCUCCACAUUAAAAUCAGCCGGAGACGAUGAUGUGUCCUCCGUAUAUUCUGUGAGGCGCUCGAUGUUGUUAAUUAUGCAAGGGAGAUGUUGUCGGCCUUUGUGGUCGAUGCCCCACCGUUGCAACAACCGCCAUCACAACCCAAUAAACAUCAUCUUCCACCACACCUUCUUCUCUCCUCUCAUUAUUAUAUGCAUUUCUUCUAUUUUUUCACUCUCAUAUUUUCUCUGUUAUCAUAUCUUCAACGAGAAUCCUAAAUCUCAGUCUCACGAUGAGAGAGAGAGAGAGAGAGAGAGAGAGAGAGAGAGAGAGAGAGAGAGAGAGAGAGAGAGAGAGAGAGAGAGAGAGAGAGAGAGAGAGAGAGAGAGAGAGAGAGAGAGAGAGAGAGAGAGAGAGAGAGAGAGAGAGAGAGAGAGAGUUGGAGUGAAGCUUAAUAAUAUCUUUUUUAUGUGUGGCUGAGACUAAAUCAAUCAAAUAAUUUGUUUUUUGUGUGACUGUGUUUAAAUGUAAUAAAUUAAUAAAGUAUGAUAUAGAUAUUUUGAAUUUAUAUUCAACACACGUGACAAAAAGAAAAAAAUGGUUUAGUUUGUUGAAAUUGAGGGUAAUUGUGUAAACAAUCAACAAGAAACUAUCAUAGUAGCUGUAACUGUCUUAGACUGUAAUAAAAAACAUAAAACUGACCAUGAGUGUAAAUCAUGCUUCAUUUUGGUCUCCGCUCACAAAGAGUUUCGAGCGGACGAUGACGCUGCUUCUUCUUGCUUCACGGCGACGGUGAGAUUCCUGGUGGUUUAAGUCGGUGUUUAUGGUUUCAAGAAGUAGAUCGCUUUUCAAUUGGUUAGAUUUGGUUUUGGGCUUUGCUGCGCGUGGUGGAAGUGAGAAGGUCCUUCCAUCCCUUCUAGUUAGCGGUGAUUCCUUGUCGUAUCUGGUUUUAGUAUGUCGUGUGAUCAUGGGGCUUGGUCUUGUGUCUCUCUUUGGUGUCGUUAAGGACCAAUUCUUUGUUACUGUAAUCAAGUGAACUUUAAAGGUUUUCACUACCUCGGAGGCGAGUCUCAAGUUGAGGUAUGCCGGCAGAGUUGGUGUUUGACCCGGUUCAAGGCUCACAAGGGUUUGGUUUGUAGUUUUAAAAGCGGUCAUCUAUUGCCCUCGGAGACUCCUGCUACCUCUUAUCACUUUGGAUCUCCUUUACUUCGUUUCUUGAUGGUAACUAUUUCUGUGCAGGUUAUUAGAGACAUGCUGGUCAGAUUGCGGUGGUGACUUCAAGCCAAGUCUCUUGCUUCACUUUCGGUGGUGAAUGCGCGAGUGCACAUUUCGAGUUUCUUGGCGUCUUUACCCAGGUGAAGUCUCUCUCUCUCUUCUCUCGUCAAGUGAAGAUUACAAGCUUAGAUGAGUUUACCAGAAGCCAUAUACUCUGGAAGCGACACUUGAAGCCUCGAUAUCCAAGGAAAGGAGGUGAAUCUCACCUUUAUGUAGUGUCUGUCAAAGGUUGAGAACGGUAAAACGAUACUCGGUUUUAGUUUUGGUCUAGAGGAACGCGUCGGGUGAUAGGUUGAGCAAAGCUAGUUGGGAGUUUAAAAAAAGUUGGGUAAUUUGUUCGAAUCUGCUUGUAGUCUAAAACUUAAUCCCGUUUUCAUGUUGAAUUAAAAAAAAGUCGAAGAGAAUAAAUUAUACUGCUAAAAUAAAAAUCAAUUGGCUGGAAUUUAUAUGGAGCCGUAAAUGACCUUUUUUGAACUUACUUGGCAGAACUUAAGAAAGAUUAAAUAAAGUCGGAUAAAGUUAAUUAGGCCAAUUUGCUUAAACUGCCUAUCAACAGUUUGAUUAAAAAAGCUGAGUGGAGUAGCUUAUUCUUGCAAGAUUAGAUUCAAACAAAAAACAUCUUCUGACGAAUGGAAUAAUGUUGGAGAGAUUCACAAUACGAAAGUUUGAUGGUCAAAACGUCAAUGCAUAUUUCAAUCGCUUUUGUAUAAGUUUAUUGGUUUUCUCCUCAGUGAAAUCGCUGGGAUUUGGAAUUUUAUGCUAUUUUUACCGUUUUCACAACUGUUUUUUUUUUCUAGAAAAACAGAUAGAUGAAACAUUAUCUUGUUAAGUGUAAACUCAAGAAGAUUAAGAUGCAUAAAGAGCCAGUUUACAGUGCAAUGAAAACAAGAAGAUUGCAAUUUUUAAAUGGUGAUGUGGCACCGAAGAAUAUAGAAAUUGUGUAUUCGAAAUAUGGAAAUACUCGAGUAUAUAUUCUAGAAGGCCUAAAUAUUUUAGGUUAGCCAUUUUCAAGAGAUUAGAGCAGUCGAAUAAAAAAACAUGAGUUUAAAGUUCUUGGUGAAUGAUUGGUUAGACGUAAUACACAAAUUGUUUAUAGUCACAUAAAUUUGAUUGAACAAGACUAUUUAGUUUGUUCAGAGAAUUUCUAAUAAAAGUAUUUGUAAAGAAUAGACUCAUUAUCUCAAAUCUUUCGUAUUAUCCACAUUUUAAGUUCUGCAUAUUGUAUACGUAUAUACAACAGAUCGAGAGACCACACACAAGAUUAAAUGGUUGACACAUUUCCAAAAAGUCAAGAAAGCAGAAACAAAAUGCGUCGACGAUAAGAGUAAAGGUGACAAUAAUCAGUUACUUGUUUUAAUUCAUUUACGACCCACGGGGAACUUGUUUUAAUUUUAUAUAAAUGGAUAUUAUUUUAAUGUUUAUCGGUUAAUAUUGUAAAUAUUUAUCAUAUUUUAAAAAAUUAUAAACACAAUAAUCAAAUAGUUUAUGUGUGAUAAAAAAUAGUGAUCCGUACGUCCUACUAAAUCUUACAAAUAUUAAUCUAUUAAUAUGUUUGAGUAAUAUUUUUUUUAACACGAAAUUAUUUUUCUAAUAAUAUAGAUAUUUUUCCUAACCCUUGAUUUCUUUAAAAUUCAUAUCAUUCUUAUAUGUUGCCAUCCAACCCAUUAACUUCUAAUUUAUUUUUUUUAUCAGCUACCCAUAUCUAUUUAUACCAAGUUUUAGUCAAACCAAAAGCAUAUACGUAUAUCAGUGUCCGAUCUAUAUAGGGAAAAAAAUAAAGAUUCUAGUUUUUGCAUCUUUCACUAUUGAAUCUAUCCAGCUAUUUAUAUUUUGAAGAAUAUGAAUGAAAUUUACUUUCUUAAUUCUUUAUGUAGUCUUUGAUACUAGUUACUCUAUCGGAUCCCCAGUCAAUUCCAAUAGAUUCGGAUAAUCCGUUUUCAACCAGAUGGAGUUUAUAUUUUUUAGCUCCUAAUAAAAUUACUGUUUUGUUUGUUAUGUUUUUAUCACCAUAACCAAGAGCAUUGGUCGUCAAUAUCAUCAACUGAUCCAUUGCAGACGUAUGUAAAUACUUUACUUGUUUUUUGGGUCAUCCACCCCACUUGUUUUUUUUUUGAUCAACCCACCCCACUCCCUUUAUGGGGCUUAUUUGCGAAAUAGCCAAAAAAAAAGAAAUUAGAUUUUGAGAGAGAGAAUAGAGAGAAAUAGGAAGAUAAAGUAGGAGAUAGUGAGUGUUUUUAGUUAAUUAGUGAAUUUAGUUUUUUUUUGUGUUUACUGGGUGCAAUUUCCCUUUAAGUUAAUAAUUUUUAUGUUUUCAUAAUAUUUUCUUUUUUUCAUAAUAUCUGAAAGUAAAUAUUUUAUAAUAAAUACAUCAUCUUGUGAUAUCAAUUUUCAGAAAUGCUAGAUAAAUAUUAGUUUGAUCAACAUAAUUAAAGUUUUUGACAAUAAUUAAAAUUUAUACUUAUUUUUUUUUAAAGAUAUAUCUUUGAAUAAGGAAAUAAUAAUCAAAAUGUUUGGUAUCCAACUGAAUCAAAUGGAACUUUUUGAUAAAUAUUAGUUAAAAUUUGGCAUCCAACUGAACCAAAUGGAUUGUUUUUUUUUUGGUAAAUAUUAAUUAACAAUUAUGGCAACCAACUGAAUUAAAUGGCUGGCUCAUUUUGGCAAAUAUUAAUUAAAACUUUUGGCAUCCAAUUGAAUUAAAUGGAUGGCUCAUUUUGGCAAAUAUUAAUUAAAACUUUUGGAAUCCAACUGAAUUAAAUGGAUGGUUCAUAUUAAUCGAAACGUUUGCCUUCCAACUGGACUUUUUUUUUUUGAACGGCUCCUUCCAACUGAACUAAUGGAUGGAAUUCAUGAAGAAACCAUUAAUUUGGGCGAGUAAUCAAUGAGAACCGACGACUGGCGGAACUCUACGAAACCUUGUCGGACAUCGUCUUUUUUUUCUUCUAUCUUUCUGUUCCUGUCGUUUCUCUUUCAUUCCACGUUUUGAUAUUGGGCCUGCUGAUUAAUUAGCCCAAUCUGCUCUAUUCCUUAGGUUUAUUGGACGUAAUUUAUAAGAACCCUAAUUUAAGUUUUAAUCAAAUCAGUUGCACAAAAAAAAAAUAUAAAUUUAAAAAUAUAUGCGAAUUUGAUAAACUUGAAUCCUUCACAAGGCAAGAGGUAAACAGUAAGGCAUUGUCCAGUAGUUGACACAUCAUCAUAAACUUCAUUACCUACAUUGAUUUUCUUAUGUUAUUCAAUAAAACUCUAAAAUUUUAUCUAAUUAGGAGGUGUUAGAGCAUCUCCAACCCCACUCUAUUUUUUACUCUAAAAUAGAGUUUAGAGUAAAAAAAAUGCUCCAAUGGUACUCUAUUUCUCACUCUAUAAUAAAGUGAAAAAUAGGUUUACUCCAAAUAUAGAGUAAUUUGUUUUUUUUUGUUCAUCACUCUAUUUUCUACUCUAAAAUAGAGUAUUAUUGGAGCAAAUUCAAACUCUAUUAUAGAGUUACUCUAUUUUAGAGUAAAAAAUAGAAUAAGCCAUUGGAGAUGGUCUUAUUGAUUGUAUAAAUCUAAAUCAACUCCAUCAGACUUAAAAUAGAUAAGAUUUUAAAAAAUUUGGAUUCAGUUUAAAAUUUAGUAUAUACGAUUUAUCUAUAAUUUUAAAAUCCUUAUCAAUUUAUUUACAAAUCAAAAAGAUAUCAUUUUGUUUCUAUAACAGAAUUGAACUACAUUUAAGAGGAUUCUAAUUUGAAAUUUAUGUGAAGGAAAUUUUUAUAAGAAUAUAAACUGAAACAAAAAUACUUCAAACACAACAAAACUAUAUAAUCAUAAGAUUACUAUAGACGAUGACAAUAGUAUUUUAAUAAAGAGCACAUUUGAAUUAUGAAACGAAGAGAUUGUGUUUCAACAAGUUAAUCAAUUUGAUAGAAGGAAAAUCGUUUGGUCCCAGAAUGAAAGCUAUUUUUCUAUUGGAAAAUAGGUUUGAUGUAUGCUCUUUUUUUUUGUCACGAAUGUAUGCUCUCUCUUGUUCUUAUAGAUAUAAAGUAGAUAACGUUUCUUCUAUUUUAUAUUUUGUUUCUUUUGUCCCUAAGUUAGCUUGACGUUAGAAUUUACGUUAGAUGUGUUUUGGUUUCACAAAUCUCAAGAUAAAAUGGAAGAUUUUGAUUGAAAGAGUUUACACAGAAAAGAAAAUUUAAAUCCCUUCAGAAUAUUUCAAAUCAAAUGAAUUGUAAGAAUCUAUCAAACAUGAAUAACACUAUAUUUAAAAUGUUGAAUUUAAAUCUUUGAUUGAAUAACACAAGAAUUAAAAUUCUUUUGUUAAAAAGAUUUGAAAUACAUAAACUAAUAACACAAGAUUUUAAAAUCAUUUAGUAAAGAUAUUUUAAAUAUAAUAACCAAUAACACUAGAUUUGGAAACGAAAUUUAAAAUUUAUAACAAUAGAUUAGAAAACCUAUAGAAUUAAUUCUAAAUCCACUAUCCAAUAACAUCACCUAAAGUAUUUCAGUUAGUUGUAAUCCUUUAUUUAUUAAUUAAGAAAUUUGCCAAUAGAGUAUUGGUUUGGUAAGUUAUUUACAUAGUAUCUUUGCUGAUGUGUCUCAUGCAUUUUUAGUCAUGUUUUAAAAACACACUUUAAUUACUAGACUAAUUACGGAUGAAUGCCACUACCUAAAAAACUUUGAUCCGACAUAAUACAACACACACUAAUAAAUCAAUUUAACACGUCUGUACGCCAUGUACUAUGAAAAAUCUUUGAAAGGAAAUUGUAUUAUAAUCCGACACUUUGUUACUGGUGUUGGAGAGUUCUUCUUCGAACAUAUAACUCAAUUGUACCUACAAAAAAUAAGUUAUGUAUAUUAUUCCAUUUGUAUAACAAAUCUGCAAAUUUAUCGCACAUAGCAAGAACAUUGGAAAAUUAGUUAUGCGCACAUAUAACGAUUCGUAAUAAAUUGGUAUGUACGUCUAUUUUUUAUAAAAUGCCAAACGUCCUAUGUAUAUGCAAAGAGUCAUGCUCACAUAUAAAAUACAAGGGAUACAUAUACACAUUCUUAGUGUUUGUAAUGGUAGAAUGAGGAUAAUGCUAAUAUGAGUCAUCUGCAUGCAAAGAGUCAUACAUUCAUAUCAAUCAUGAAUUUUUAAUAGUGCUGAGGAAAAGUCGGUAUUAAUAUCCGCUUAUAGCCAAGUUUAGUUUUAUAGAGGAGUAAUUUAUCAAGUGUUCAUGCUAAUAUCCUGGACAAUUAUCAAGUGAGAAUGCACUCCGAUGAAUGUAAGCAAAUUAUAGUUCUAUAUUUAUAUACUUUUAUGCAUAAAAAUCAUAAGAUAUUGAUCAAAGUAACAUAAUACGCUUGAAAAAUAUAACGCUAUCUAACACAUAAAUAUAACGCUAUUUAUCAAGGGUUAGGAUGAUUUUGUAAACUAUUUGCAAAUUUCAUUUUAAAAAAGAUUGUAAACUAUUAGUAUCUUAUAUACAAAUAAAAUAUUUGAUAGGAGAAAAGGCGACGGCGAUGGCGAGUUCAAAUUAGGGUUUGGAUGUUCGAUCGAGAUUGGGAUCCGGGUGCUCAUAGGAAUUUCACGAUUCGAGGAGAAUCAUAUGGAGAUGGGAAAUCAGGGGAACUCAGCGGAGAUCUGCGAAUCAGUUACCUAAUAACGAGUUCGAUAGAGUUUCAAUCGAAAGGGGUUGGGAAUGGAGAUACGAUUGGGCUUUUUAGGAUAUGGUUAUCAUUCAGAUCCUCGGAGUGGAUGCGGAAUCCAGAAGAUCAAGCACAAUCAUUAAGGGGUCGAACUGGAAAUAUCUUACAGAUGGAGAAGGAACAGAUAUGGAUCAGGUGGGGACAACAGAAGUUGUCGAAGAAGAUAGAACUGGAGGCAUUGUUGAGGGUAAGGGGGAAACGGCGGCGGAGAAGAAAACGGGGCUGCGCAAGCCUUUGUUUUCAGUUACUGGUGGACACAACUCCAAGUUUGCUCAAGUGCUUAUGUAGCCUCGCAAACGGGUACAAGCUAAACAGAGCCUCCACAGGGGUGGUGGUGCUAAGCAAGUGGAAGAAAAGGGUACCUCACACCCGAAACAGCUACCCAAGCCUUAACUGUUUAUGGAUUGUGGGUGUUUUGAAGACAGCUAUAUUACGGGUUUGUUUGUUUUUUUUUACUUUCAGUUUUUUUGUUGGUUCGAUAAGCUCUACGAGCAGUUCAAGUUUUAUUUGGUAUGUAUGGGUUUUAAAUGGGCAUUUAUUAAAAUGUGGUUUGUUUGGUCUUUGGAACGUAUGGAAUAAUAUUUUUGGUAUUGGUUUUUGGAUUUGGUUUAUUUUGUUGAGCGUAUGUGAUCAUAACAGGAGGGUUGGUAUUCUCGAAGCGGUAUUAUUUAUGCUGGUUAUUGUUCUUAAAAGACAAAUAAAUGAUUUGGCACUUGUGUGUUUUGUUGGUUUUGGGAAGUGGCUCACGACAGAACAUAACGUUCUUGUUGUAUCGACUCGAGACCUGUGGCUGGUCUCUUUAAACCAGUUGCAGAUGGUUUAUUUGGUGAAGAUUAGAGUGGUUACUUUGGAAAUAAAGGAAUUGAUAUUUGGUAUAGAUAUUGAAGAUGGUUUAGAAAUGUAUACAGAUUAUUCUUCUCUGCUUUACGUGAAGAACAAGUCUCAUAUGUUUGUUUUUUCUAUCAUGGUGUUUAUUGGUUUCAAACUAGAUGAUGAGGUGGAUUUGGAAAUAAUGUAUAUCAUUGGAAUAGGGACAGGACGUACCAUUAUUAUAUUGAAGCCGUUUUUUUGUGACGGGUGGAGUGAAAGUUUGGUGUUUUAUGGGGUUAUGGUGUUUUGGUGGUUGGGAUUUCAGGGUAUCAUUAAAUCCAAUUUUGCUAACUCUUAGGAGUAUUUUUAUAUUUUUUUAAAUGAGAAUUCUUAGUUGGAAUUGUAGAGGCAUGGGAAGUAAGUGGACUAUGAGCUAUCUAAGGGAGAUAUGGCAUAAACAUAAACCAGAUUUUUUAUUUCUAUCUGAAACAAAGCAAGAGUCGCAAUUUGUUCAAGACUUUCAAGCACAUAUUGGCUUUGAUAAUUUGUUCACGGUUGAUCCAGUCGGAAGGAGUGGUGGGUUAGCGCUUUUUUAUAACAAUGAGUCUCAGACCCAAGUCUUAUACUCUAGUAAUAGAAUGAUCGAUGUGGAAGCGGUGGCUCAUGGAAAGACGGUUUAUCUUACGUUUGUGUAUGGGGAUCCUGUUCCAAAAUUAAGGGAACAAGUAUGGGAACGUUUGACCAGAUAUGGGCUUGCGCGUUCGGAACCCUGGUUCAUUAUUGGGGAUUUAAACGAGAUCACUGGAAAUCAUGAAAAGGAUGGAGGAUCUUUGCGGAGCGCGGAUUCUUUCGUCCCUUUCAAUAAUAUGAUAAGGAAUACUGGUUUAUUGGAAUUUCCGGCUCGGGGAAAUAAAAUGUCAUGGCAAGGAAGAAGAGGAAAAGGGAAAGGGGCAGUUACGGUAAGAUGUCGCCUAGAUCGUGCUUUAGCAAAUGAAGAGUGGCAUACUUUUAUACAGAAUAUUUAGGAAUGGUGGCAUCGGAUCAUCGCCCAAUCGUGGCUUAUCUGGAUGAUAAGGUCACUAGGAGAAAAGGGCAAUUUCGGUUUGAUAAAAGAUGGAUUGGACAAGAAGGUCUUUUGGAAUCAAUUACAAUGGGCUGGUCAGAUUAUAGUGCAAGAAGUAAAAUUGGGAUAGUUGAAAAAAUUAGUAAUUGUCGACACGAAAUUGCUAAAUGGCGGAAAAAUAACCCUCCUUAUGGAAAGGAAAAAAAUAAAUGAGUUACAGAAAGCUCUUGAGGAAGUACAAACAGAUGAUACUAGGUCUCAGGAGGAUAUUAUAGAGGUCUCAAAGAAGUUGCAAGAUGCAUAUAAAGAUGAAGAAGAAUACUGACACCAGAAAAGUAGGAAUACGUGGUAUACAUCCGGUGACCUCAAUACAAAAUUCUAUCAUGCUUUAACCAAGCAACGACGGGUACGUAAUCAGAUUGUGGGUUUAUAUGAUGCUUUGGAAAAUUGGAUUACAUAGGAUAUGGGCGUGGAAAAAGUGGCAGUUGAUUAUUUCGAAGAGCUUUUUACUACAACGUCCCCAAUGGAGUUUGAUGACUUCCUCACAGAGGUAACACCGGGUAUUACUCCUCAGAUGAAUGAACGUCUGUUGAGAGUAGCAACGGAAAAUGAGGUUAGAGAAGCAUUGUUUAUGAUGCAUCCAGAAAAAGCACCAGGACCGGAUGGUAUGACAGCUCUUUUCUUUCAACACUCCUGGCAUAUUAUUAAGAAGGAUUUGUUGGACAUGGUGAACAAUUUUUUGGUUACUGGAAGUAUGGAUCCAAGGUUAAAUAUUACUAAUAUUUGUAUGAUCCCAAAAACGGAAAGACCUACAAGAAUGACAGAACUGAGGCCAAUUAGUCUGUGUAAUGUUGGGUAUAAGAUCAUUUCGAAGGUACUAUGUCAGCGAUUGAAGAUAUGUUUACCUACCCUCAUUUCAGAAACCCAGUCGGCCUUUGUUCCAGGACGUUUAAUAUCUGAUAAUAUUCUUAUCGCUCAGGAAAUGUUUCAUGGAUUAAGGACGAAUAAGGCAUGCCAAGGAAAAUAUAUGGCAAUUAAAACGGAUAUGAGUAAAGCGUAUGAUAGAGUGGAAUGGAAUUUUAUAAAGGCUCUCCUACAAAAGAUGGGUUUUGAUCUUCAUUGGAUAACAUUAAUGAUGGAGUGUAUUUCAUCGGUCCAAUAUCGGGUACUAAUAAAUGGUCAACCACGGGGUCUUAUCGUCCCGCAUAGGGGUUUAAGACAAGGGGACCCUUUAUCACCUUAUUUAUUUAUCAUGUGUACUUAGGCUUUGGUUGCAAAUAUUAGAAAGGCGGAAAGAGGGAAACUCCUAACGGGAAUGAAGGUAGCUAGAGCAUGUCCAUCGAUAUCUCAUUUGCUUUUUGCGGAUGAUAGUCUCUUUUUCUGUAAAGCUCAAAAGGAUGAAUGUCACACUAUUCUUAGAAUUUAAAAGGAAUAUGAGGUUGUAUCAGGUCAGCUUAUAAAUUUUGAUAAGUCUUCUAUCCAAUUUGGGCACAAAAUUGAGGAAUCAGUCAGGCAGGAGUUGAGAGACAUAUUGGGAAUUCAGAAUCUUGGAGGUAUGGGAUCUUAUCUAGGCCUUCCAGAAAAUAUGGGAGGAUCCAAGAUACAAGUUUUUAGCUUUGUGCAGGACCGAUUAAACAAUAGAGUUAAUGGUUGGACUUUUAAGUUUUUCACAAAAAGAGGUAAGGAAGUGAUUAUUAAAUCUGUGGUUACAGCAUUACCAAACCAUGUGAUGUCUUGCUAUCGUCUACCCAAGGCAACAGCUAAAAAAUUGACGACCGCGGUUGCACAAUUAUGGUGGAGUCCAGGGGGAAAGACAAGAGGCAUGCACUGGAAAUCUUGGGAUAAGGUGUGUCUUGAUAAGGAAGAUGGGGGAAUAGGUUUUAAGGAUAUUACGGAUUUUAAUACAGCAAUGCUUGGUAAACAGUUGUGGCGUCUGAUCGAGAAGCCACAUACUUUAUUUUCCCGGGUUUUCAAGGGACGGUAUUACAGGAAUGCAUCACCCCUGGAACCGAUACGCUCUUAUUCUCCGUCAUAUGGCUGGCGGAGUAUCGUUUUUGCUAGAUCUCUGGUAAGCAAAGGACUAAUCAAAAGGGUGGGAUCAGGAUCAUCUAUAUCUGUAUGGAAUGAUCCAUGGCUCCCAACCACUCGCCCGAGACCAGCAAAUAAAAAUCACCACAUUUUCGACCCAGACCUCACAGUGGAUUCUCUUAUUGACUCUACUUCGCGAACAUGGAAUUUGCAUACACUCAGGGCCUUGAUGGAUCCCAAGGAUGUGAAAAUUAUAGAAAGUAUACCGCUGAGUAAAACCCAGAUGGUUGACAGGGAUGGAUGGCAUUUCACAAACAAUGGGAAGUAUACGGUUAAAUCAGGAUAUUAGAUCGAACGGAUUUAUCCAGACAGGGUCCGGGGAGAUGGUGUUUUACGGAUGGUUCUUGGAAGGAGAAUGAGGUCUUCUCUGGGCAAGGUUGGCUGAGUACUUUAGAAGGUUUUGCUGGGCUGUUGGGAGCAAGGAAUGUCUGGGCUUGUUUAUCUCCUCUACAUGCGGAGAUAGAAGCACUAUUAUGGGCAAUGGAAUGCAUGAGAAACUUACGCCAAUUUCAGGUUACGUUUGCAACGGAUUGUUCUCAGUUGGUGAAGAUGGUUUCGGAACCAGAGGAAUGGCCAGCAUUUGCAAGUUAUUUGGAAGAUAUUAAAUCCCUGAAAGAAGGUUUCACACGUUCGGAGAUCAUCUAUGUACCAAGAACGCAAAAUUCAAGAGCGGAUAGCCUAGCACGCAGUGUUAGGAAACAACCGUCGUUUGUCGUUCACAUGGAUCAACAUCUACCGGAGUGGUUCACAGAGUCAGUAUGAGUCUGUUGUUGAUGAAAAAAAAAAAAAAAAAAAAGAUUAGUAUCUUAUAUAUUAAAACAAAUGUAAUGACUUUGUUCAUGUGUGAUUUUUUUUUUGUUUGGACCAUCCUCUAAAACGUUUAUCAAAUUUUACAUAACUUAAUCAUCAUAUCUUUUAAUAUCUUUAUCUUUUAUUUAACAUACAAAUAAAUAUUGUUUAAGAAAAUUCUAAGAAAUUUUUUCAGAAUUAGGAUAAAUUUUAUUUUUGAAAUUAAUGAACUUAAAUUUUAAUUAUCAUAAAAUAUAAUUAGAAUUUCAAAUUAAAUAUAUUUUUGAUUGAUGAACGAAAAUUAUAAUCAUACAAAUAUUUUAAUGAUAAUAGCAAUUUAAAUCGAUUAAUUUUCAAAAUACAUUUUAUAAAGAUCUUUAAAAGAUUUUGUUAGAAAGAAAUAUCCUUUAUGUUUCAAAUAAAAAUAUUUACUACAAAAUUACUUUGUAAGUACAAUAUAUUAUAGUUUCUCUUUUAAAAAUAUUUUUUGUUGUUCUUAACAGAAAUAUUUCUUCUCUAUUAUGUAGGUCCAAUUUAAUUUAACUUCCAUACAUAUAUUUAAAAUUUAGAAAUAAAACCAGAAAUUAUGUUGGUAAGUUUCAUAUAUUCACUAAAGCUAAUAAUAUAAAAUCUUUGUAACUAUUUUAAUAAUGAUAUAUUUUAAUUUUAAAUAGAAUUAUUAUUAUGCAUUGAUAUUUUUCUUAAACACUAUUAUGCAUUGAUAUAUAUUCAGUUAUCAUUUAUAAAAUGAAAAAUAAGAAUUCUAUUUUAUUUUUAUAUAUUUUAUAAUAAUAAUAUAAGUGUUUUAAGAUAUAAUUAUUAUAUUUUGGAGUUUUUUUAGAGUAUUUACAGGUUCAUGUACGUUCUGGAGAAAUAUGGUGAUUUUGGAGUCUUUUGAGGUGCAGAACUGCAUAGACGCAUCAUAUGUUUAGCUAUUGAUGGAGAGCUUUCCACAGUUAGAUUGAGCCCAUCUUUUGCCACAAGAUAUAGGUUUUAGUUAGAUUCGUAAUGCCACCGGUUUGAGGUCAAUCAGCAUCAUGUAGCAGAAGUUAUGCAUGUUUUACUGAAGAGUGGUCAAUCUGCCUCGCGAUAGGAAGCUGUCGAGGAGAUGAAGGACUGUCUAUCGAUAAAAUAGCAUUGGUGUCGAUCGACAGUGAUGCCAGAAUAUGGCCUGAGCAUAUUUUAUGCCCGCUGAAGCCUAGAAUCAAUCCCAAGUUACCAGAAUACCCUUGGACAACCAAAAACCCUAUUUAUGUUAUUUUAUAAGCCACUGUUGACGGCUACACUAUUGAAGCUUUCUUGAAUUUAUUGUUCUUAGUUAGGAAAAAAAGGAGGAAAUCCUUUCGUUUUUAUAAUAUCUAUUGCAGUUUCUUAUCUAUUCGUCUAUGAUUUCUGUGACAAACUUCAUGUCUGAAUAGAUCCACAUGUUAAGUUUACGGUUCAUAUAGGAUGAUGGAUUAGCCCAACUAUAGAUUCGAAGUUGUGAUAUUCAUCUUUAGGAUUGUCAUUAAUGCAUGUUUCUAGAUUAGCUACUUAGAACUGGCCCUAGGAAUUGUAGACAUAAGCGAUAGCUUGCAUCUCAUCCUGAAACCAUCUUAAUUGAGCUAAAACUUGCUAGAGUAAGGUAAGAGCUGAUCUAGUAAGCAUAGUGAGCACAUUUAACGCACGCGUUAAAGCUUAACCAAAAGCGUCGAUCGAUAUUCUAAUCGAAUAAUUGGUCGACCGUUCAACAAAUGUAUUGAUCGAUAUUCCUAUAGAAUAAUCGAUCGACACUAAUAUAAGGUCAAUAGACAAACCUAGAAAGCGAGAGCCUAAUGGUUUGUUUAUAAAUGUUGAGCUUUAUAAUAUCAUGCAUAUUAUUUAUUAGGCAUCUGUAGGAUUAUAAUUCUGAUUGCCUGAAUAGAAACCCUAGAUCUAGCAAUCAUCCUUCUAUCAAACCCCAAUCAAUCAAUCGAGCAAUUAACUUGCUCACAAAACUUGCUAUUUACAUUUAACCAUUAAAUCAACCUAGCUUAAUCAAUCUGAUUAGAUUUAUUUGGUUUCCUAGCUCUCUGUGGAUUUGAUCCCUAAGUACUACAACUCGACCUCUUAUUUGAGAGAGUAUAAAUCACUCCUUAGGGUAAUUUGAGUGAUAUCACAUACUUAGCCUAUUAAUCUCGACAAACGCUCUUUGGCCCUCGACCAAUUAUACCUUCCAGUAAAAGUCUGAACCAGAAUUCCGGCAUCCCCUUUAGGACAAUUAUAAACUAACAUGACCUAAUGUUAACACAAAAGUGUCACGAUCUAAUCCUUGACCUGCAAUGUCCUCGGCUAUGCGGCUGAUCAUAUCCUUCAUGCCAAACCAAAAAAUUUGAACAACCAUCGCUCCAUCCGAUCACUUAUUGGCUAAACGACAAUCAGCGAUUUGUCUAAAACACCAAGUGACGGUUACGCAAAAAAUUAUCGCAUAACCCAUAAACCGAAAUCAUAUGAUAAAUACUUUUCAACAAGACUCAGUCCUAACAACCAAACGGUUAGCGAAAAAAAUUAACUUGUCAAAAAUCGAUCAAGUUCCAUAUACUCUACAAUUCACCUUAAGCCCGCAACAUUUUUCUCGUAAAACGCAGCAUGUAAGGUAAAAAUCGUAACAGCGCUCCUAGAGCUAUACGAACCAUCCUUAAAAAUACACGAAAUAAAUCUUCAGGGGCCAACUCUUCACAAAACACACUGAAGGAAAACGCUUCUUCCCAGGGACAGAUCUACGCAACCCCUUGGUCCUAAUUCCUCUAUCAUAAAUAAAACCCCUUAACAUCCAAACAGGAACAACAAUGUUGGCUGCGAACAUGGGUAAACAAACCAAAAUGUUUCUCUAACGAAGGGUUAAGACUAAACCCUUGCAAUAUCGUGAAACAUCUUCAAGCCCAAAAACAUUUCAAGCACGAAUGUCCCCGAGAAACCUUUCUAAAAAGAAAAUAAGAAUACGGAACACUGAAACUUCGUAUUUUUAAAAGACUAUUGAACGACCAGCUCCUCGCAAGAGAUCAUUCAACCCAUCGAACGAACAAGUCCCAAGCAUCGAAACAACCAAUCCAACAUCGUCCGACCCACCAUCGGAAAGUUGAAUAAGCUGAGACCAACUCACCCAACGGCGAGUUGGACCGACCAAUCCAACUCGCCGUUGGGUGAGUUGGACGAACCUCGACUCAAUCCAACUCGCCGUUGGGCGAGUUGGAUCAGUCUUGUCCAAUUCACCCACAGGCGAGUUGGAUCAGCCCACAAUCAUGCAUUCUUAUUGAUGUACCCCAGUCCACGGACUAGUCCGAGGAAUCAGACCAGCAUAAAGUUCAGGACAUUCUGAACAUUUUAUCUGAGGUUCAUAUUUUUCACCAUACUGGCCAGGCUGACCGUACAGUGUACUGGAUCGUCCCACAUGCAUCUGGAAUGAAGCUUUGGCUGGAACCAUGGCCAGAUGACCGAUUUUACUGGACUUCGUCUUUCCCGUCUUGUUUUCCAUUUUAAGAAGAACAGUCGAGACAUAAUCACAUUCGGACGCAUGUUGGGGUCAAACUCAGUCACGACGCAAUCAAUAUCUGAAAGUCAGUAAAAAUCAGCAUGAACAUUUUUACGAAAAAUAAUCUUCGUAAAGAAAUCUUUACGAAGAGCCUUGCGGUAAAAUCUUGUUCAAAUCUCAAUCGAACCACUAAAUACCGAUUGUCCGAAGGCAAUGGACAUGUAUCCAAAUCCGCCACAGAUCUUAUCAACAGGGGUGAAGCCCAUACCCUCCUCGUUGAGAUUUCCAAUCUACUACACUGGACAUGGCUCGGUUGCUACGUAGCGACCGAGCUCCAACCAAGCCCGGUCGCUACAUAGCGACCGAGCACGUACAAGGGUCGGUUGCUACGUGGCGACCGAGCUCAAGCCAAGCUCGGUCGCUACGUAGCGACCGAGCACAUACAUGGCUCGGUCUCUAUGUAGCGACCGAGCACGUAUCGACCGAGCAUCUAGCGACCGAGCAUGUAUCAACCGAGCACGUAUCGACCGAGCACGUAUCGAUCGAGCACGUAUCGACCGAGCAUGAAUCGACCGAGCACGUAGCGACCAAGCACGUAGCGACCGAUCACGUAUCGACUGAGCACGUAUCAACCGAACACGUAUCGACCGAGCAUGUAGCGACUGAGCACGUAUCGACCGAGCACGUAUCGACCGAGCACGUAUCGACCGAGCACGUAUCGACCGAGCACGUAUCGACCUAGCAUGUAUCGACCGAGCACGCAGCGACCAAGCACGUUGCGACCGAGCAUGUAUCGACCGAGCUCUCCCAAAACGUCGAUACGACAUGAAUCAGUGUAUUCUUGUCUACUCGUUAAUGCUAUCUCCCACGGGCCAUGGGUAAACCAUUCUAUGUUUCUCAUCACUCGAAGUCAUCAGUCAAACUUUAAGAUAAAAACCGCGGAAAGUUUGUUUUUAUCGAAGAAACUGUAAUAAACGUUUCGAGUAAAAGACAGCCCAAAGAGACCUAAGACAUGACUCGAAGCCCACUUACGAUUUCUUAACCAAAAGAUCGUAAACCGUAGGACGGUUUAUGCUUGGUUCGCAAGGAAAGAUAAAUGUCAAGUUUCCGCGGAUAAAUACGAAGUUUUGGAAGAUAAUUACGAAAAUCGGGAAAAUGGAAUAUCUUCAUUUUUAAGCUAUGACGGCUUAAGGGCAGAAGGGGAAAAGCGUAAACCGACGUAGGAGCGAGUAUAUAAGGAGUCCUAGGCGAGAGGCAUGGGGGAGGGAAUUUUUUUGACACAGCAAACUUAGCGCUUAGAGCGAUUUUAGGCAAUUUUCCGUUUUUGUUAUUUAAGUUGCAACUCAAUUAGGUUUUUGCCGUCUUAGGGUUUUUAGAAUUAGGAAUCUCGCCGACAGCUCUCGUAGCCCAGCCACUUACCUUGUUGUAAACGCUCAAACGCAGAUUCGGAAUAAGAACUAUCUUGCUCUUUUUUUUAUUUCUUGAAUUUUCAUCGUUUUCAUUCUCGUAUUCUGAUUGCUUGGGGUAUGGUUUAGCAGAGAUCCGGGAUCUCUGGAAAAUUAGAGUUUUCCUAAAUUUCCUAAUUUAAACAAAAAUCAACAGUGCAAAUUUUGGUUCCCACAACGCUUUAAUCUUGAUUCAGUUCAUCGCUUCUCUUUUCUGGUCUGUACCGCAGUACCGCACGGAUGUCCGGAUUGGAGCUUCAGCAAUACCCACGACCAGACGACCGAAUCUUCCGAACUGGAGCUUGUCUUUCCUGUACGGUUUUGCAUUUAUGAUCAACGGAGCCAGAUUCGAAUUCGAACGAGUGGAUUUCGAGUUAGUUCGUGCCACUUCAUUUCUGGCUAGUUUGGACUGUACUGGCCGCAUACUGACCCUGUCCGCAUAACAUGCUAAAUAUUCAUUGAAUCUGGACAGUGGAAUUUGAAGGGUUCAACUGCAGUCAAUAUUAUUUUCCGUGCCUUGACCAGAUCUGGUCAAGUUUUUAUUUUCUAUGUCUGUUUUGCCCACAUUUUCAUUAAGUCUUUUGACUAGAAAACUCUAUAUAAUGUAAUCCCAUUUCUGAAUAAUGAUCAUCUCGUUUUUCCUUUCUCUUUUGAGUGUUUUCUCUCUACUCUUUGUCGAGAACACUUCUUAGUUUUAUUUGUGUGGUUAACUCCAAACAAACGCAUCUUUCUUGUUGGACCGGUGCGUCAUACCCGGCAACAGAUCGAGUUUGCUUCCUUGUCGGACCUGUGAGUCAUAUUAGGCGACAAUCAAGCACUCUGGUAGUAUCAUUGUGCCCUCCGCAACCCUUUAUGUCACCAUACAUCCCAUCAGUUCUCCUUCCUCACGGAUCGAGUCCAUAUCUUUCCUUACCGGUCGAGUGUUUGUUCUUUAGGGCCCUUAAAGUGGUAUCAGAGCCACUCUUCCGGUAUUCUCUAUUUCAUUCCAUCUUCUCAUCUUCCAUUUUUUCAUAAACUCUUCUUCUUCUAUCAAUCUUAAAUCCGGGCCCCUCAUUACCAUCCAUUAAAAAAAAAAGAUCUACCAUUAAAGAAAAAAAGAUUCAAAGAUUGAUUUGUGGAUUAGUGGUGGAAGAGAAAGCAUGCUGGCUGAAGAGAAAUCGAGCCUUUGAAGUGGUUAAAACGGAUUUCAAAAACCAAAAAUGUCUUAUCUUUCUAUCUUGAGAAAAUUUCCUUGUUUGCUUGGAUCUACCCAUUGGGAUUCCUUGAUCUGUUCUCUUAGAACAUUGAGAAGAAGCUUGUGUGAUCACCAUAAAAUCUGAGAGAAACACUUGAGUGGGUGAGAUUAAAAACUUGAGAGUGUGAGGUUUUAUUUUCUUACUUUUGUGUUGAGAUUUUCAGAUUAUGAUGUUUGGUCUUCAAAUGAAAAGUAGAAAGGAGAAAUACCCACGACAAACUUUCUCUCAACCUCCAUUUAAAUAUUCUUAGAAUAAUUUUGAUGAGUUUGUUAGUGUACAGGAACAGGUAGACAUACGGUGCAAGGAUCAUAUCAAAACGACCAGCGAUGUGGCUGAUCCAAAAAGGCGAUUACUUCAGUUUGAUGUCCAAGAAAUAUAUGACAACUUUGAAAAGAGAAUGAUGAAAUCCCUCGAAGACAUCAGCAAAAGCCAUAAGAAGAGCACAUCCACACGUGCACCUGUAGCUGAGCCAUCCUUAUUCACCAGCAAGAAAUCCAAAGGUAAAUCUGAAACCCAUAUUGAGGAGUUGAAAGAUUUUUUAGAUUCUUUACCUACCUUUGAUGAAUAUGAUGAAGAACCAUUUGAAAACUUUUUUUCUUGUGAGAAAAAUUGUGAUCUUCCUUCUCUUGAAUUUGAGUUUAUGAAUGAUAAUGAACAGACUAUAGUAGAACUAACCGUUUUGCAACCGGAGCAACCGAGUAGUCUUAUUUUAUCUCCACAGGUUUUUGAGGAAUAGCCACUGGAGUAUCCACAUCAAAGACCACGAAUUGACACUAUAAAACCCUUGGAUGAUUAUCCAGAUCAUAUCUUUGAUGAGGAGGAUGAACCUGGUCCAGUCUUUGAUGAGGAAGCAACAAGCAUCACCUUGUUAUGGAGAUCCAUCUAUGUUUUGAUCCGAAACAACUCAUGCCCCUUUGUCUUCUGAACUUCAAGAGCACUGUGAGCAAUCUAAUUUGCUUAAUUCUCAGCCUGAUAUUAUGGGAACCGAAAUUUGCACUGUCGAUUUCCGUUUAGAUAUGGAAAGUUAGGAAAACCCUAAUUUCCCAGAAGUCCCAAAUAUCUGCUAAACCACACGCCAAGCAAUAAGAACCCGAAAUAAAGACGAGAAAAAUAAGAAAUCGAAAAGAGAGCAAAAUAUAUCUUAUUCUGAAUCUGCGUUUGAGUGUUACAACAAGGUAAGAGCCUAGGCUACGAGAGCUGUCGGCGAGAUUCCUAGUUCUAAAUCCCCAGUCCACGGAGCAGUCCGAGGAAUCAAACCAGCAUGAAGUUCAGGACGUUUUGAACAUUUUAUAUGAGGUUCAUAUUUUUCACCAUACAGGCCAGACUGACCGGCCAGUGUACUGGACCGUCCCACAUGCAUCCGAAACGGAACUAUGGCUGGNNNNNNNNNNNNNNNNNNNNNNNNNNNNNNNNNNNNNNNNNNNNNNNNNNNNNNNNNNNNNNNNNNNNNNNNNNNNNNNNNNNNNNNNNNNNNNNNNNNNNNNNNNNNNNNNNNNNNNNNNNNNNNNNNNNNNNNNNNNNNNNNNNNNNNNNNNNNNNNNNNNNNNNNNNNNNNNNNNNNNNNNNNNNNNNNNNNNNNNNNNNNNNNNNNNNNNNNNNNNNNNNNNNNNNNNNNNNNNNNNNNNNNNNNNNNNNNNNNNNNNNNNNNNNNNNNNNNNNNNNNNNNNNNNNNNNNNNNNNNNNNNNNNNNNNNNNNNNNNNNNNNNNNNNNNNNNNNNNNNNNNNNNNNNNNNNNNNNNNNNNNNNNNNNNNNNNNNNNNNNNNNNNNNNNNNNNNNNNNNNNNNNNNNNNNNNNNNNNNNNNNNNNNNNNNNNNNNNNNNNNNNNNNNNNNNNNNNNNNNNNNNNNNNNNNNNNNNNNNNNNNNNNNNNNNNNNNNNNNNNNNNNNNNNNNNNNNNNNNNNNNNNNNNNNNNNNNNNNNNNNNNNNNNNNNNNNNNNNNNNNNNNNNNNNNNNNNNNNNNNNNNNNNNNNNNNNNNNNNNNNNNNNNNNNNNNNNNNNNNNNNNNNNNNNNNNNNNNNNNNNNNNNNNNNNNNNNNNNNNNNNNNNNNNNNNNNNNNNNNNNNNNNNNNNNNNNNNNNNNNNNNNNNNNNNNNNNNNNNNNNNNNNNNNNNNNNNNNNNNNNNNNNNNNNNNNNNNNNNNNNNNNNNNNNNNNNNNNNNNNNNNNNNNNNNNNNNNNNNNNNNNNNNNNNNNNNNNNNNNNNNNNNNNNNNNNNNNNNNNNNNNNNNNNNNNNNNNNNNNNNNNNNNNNNNNNNNNNNNNNNNNNNNNNNNNNNNNNNNNNNNNNNNNNNNNNNNNNNNNNNNNNNNNNNNNNNNNNNNNNNNNNNNNNNNNNNNNNNNNNNNNNNNNNNNNNNNNNNNNNNNNNNNNNNNNNNNNNNNNNNNNNNNNNNNNNNNNNNNNNNNNNNNNNNNNNNNNNNNNNNNNNNNNNNNNNNNNNNNNNNNNNNNNNNNNNNNNNNNNNNNNNNNNNNNNNNNNNNNNNNNNNNNNNNNNNNNNNNNNNNNNNNNNNNNNNNNNNNNNNNNNNNNNNNNNNNNNNNNNNNNNNNNNNNNNNNNNNNNNNNNNNNNNNNNNNNNNNNNNNNNNNNNNNNNNNNNNNNNNNNNNNNNNNNNNNNNNNNNNNNNNNNNNNNNNNNNNNNNNNNNNNNNNNNNNNNNNNNNNNNNNNNNNNNNNNNNNNNNNNNNNNNNNNNNNNNNNNNNNNNNNNNNNNNNNNNNNNNNNNNNNNNNNNNNNNNNNNNNNNNNNNNNNNNNNNNNNNNNNNNNNNNNNNNNNNNNNNNNNNNNNNNNNNNNNNNNNNNNNNNNNNNNNNNNNNNNNNNNNNNNNNNNNNNNNNNNNNNNNNNNNNNNNNNNNNNNNNNNNNNNNNNNNNNNNNNNNNNNNNNNNNNNNNNNNNNNNNNNNNNNNNNNNNNNNNNNNNNNNNNNNNNNNNNNNNNNNNNNNNNNNNNNNNNNNNNNNNNNNNNNNNNNNNNNNNNNNNNNNNNNNNNNNNNNNNNNNNNNNNNNNNNNNNNNNNNNNNNNNNNNNNNNNNNNNNNNNNNNNNNNNNNNNNNNNNNNNNNNNNNNNNNNNNNNNNNNNNNNNNNNNNNNNNNNNNNNNNNNNNNNNNNNNNNNNNNNNNNNNNNNNNNNNNNNNNNNNNNNNNNNNNNNNNNNNNNNNNNNNNNNNNNNNNNNNNNNNNNNNNNNNNNNNNNNNNNNNNNNNNNNNNNNNNNNNNNNNNNNNNNNNNNNNNNNNNNNNNNNNNNNNNNNNNNNNNNNNNNNNNNNNNNNNNNNNNNNNNNNNNNNNNNNNNNNNNNNNNNNNNNNNNNNNNNNNNNNNNNNNNNNNNNNNNNNNNNNNNNNNNNNNNNNNNNNNNNNNNNNNNNNNNNNNNNNNNNNNNNNNNNNNNNNNNNNNNNNNNNNNNNNNNNNNNNNNNNNNNNNNNNNNNNNNNNNNNNNNNNNNNNNNNNNNNNNNNNNNNNNNNNNNNNNNNNNNNNNNNNNNNNNNNNNNNNNNNNNNNNNNNNNNNNNNNNNNNNNNNNNNNNNNNNNNNNNNNNNNNNNNNNNNNNNNNNNNNNNNNNNNNNNNNNNNNNNNNNNNNNNNNNNNNNNNNNNNNNNNNNNNNNNNNNNNNNNNNNNNNNNNNNNNNNNNNNNNNNNNNNNNNNNNNNNNNNNNNNNNNNNNNNNNNNNNNNNNNNNNNNNNNNNNNNNNNNNNNNNNNNNNNNNNNNNNNNNNNNNNNNNNNNNNNNNNNNNNNNNNNNNNNNNNNNNNNNNNNNNNNNNNNNNNNNNNNNNNNNNNNNNNNNNNNNNNNNNNNNNNNNNNNNNNNNNNNNNNNNNNNNNNNNNNNNNNNNNNNNNNNNNNNNNNNNNNNNNNNNNNNNNNNNNNNNNNNNNNNNNNNNNNNNNNNNNNNNNNNNNNNNNNNNNNNNNNNNNNNNNNNNNNNNNNNNNNNNNNNNNNNNNNNNNNNNNNNNNNNNNNNNNNNNNNNNNNNNNNNNNNNNNNNNNNNNNNNNNNNNNNNNNNNNNNNNNNNNNNNNNNNNNNNNNNNNNNNNNNNNNNNNNNNNNNNNNNNNNNNNNNNNNNNNNNNNNNNNNNNNNNNNNNNNNNNNNNNNNNNNNNNNNNNNNNNNNNNNNNNNNNNNNNNNNNNNNNNNNNNNNNNNNNNNNNNNNNNNNNNNNNNNNNNNNNNNNNNNNNNNNNNNNNNNNNNNNNNNNNNNNNNNNNNNNNNNNNNNNNNNNNNNNNNNNNNNNNNNNNNNNNNNNNNNNNNNNNNNNNNNNNNNNNNNNNNNNNNNNNNNNNNNNNNNNNNNNNNNNNNNNNNNNNNNNNNNNNNNNNNNNNNNNNNNNNNNNNNNNNNNNNNNNNNNNNNNNNNNNNNNNNNNNNNNNNNNNNNNNNNNNNNNNNNNNNNNNNNNNNNNNNNNNNNNNNNNNNNNNNNNNNNNNNNNNNNNNNNNNNNNNNNNNNNNNNNNNNNNNNNNNNNNNNNNNNNNNNNNNNNNNNNNNNNNNNNNNNNNNNNNNNNNNNNNNNNNNNNNNNNNNNNNNNNNNNNNNNNNNNNNNNNNNNNNNNNNNNNNNNNNNNNNNNNNNNNNNNNNNNNNNNNNCGACUGAGCACGUAUCGACCGAGCACGUAUCGACCGAGCACGUAUCGACCGAGCACGUAUCGACCGAGCACGUAUCGACCUAGCAUGUAUCGACCGAGCACGCAGCGACCAAGCACGUUGCGACCGAGCAUGUAUCGACCGAGCUCUCCCAAAACGUCGAUACGACAUGAAUCAGUGUAUUCUUGUCUACUCGUUAAUGCUAUCUCCCACGGGCCAUGGGUAAACCAUUCUAUGUUUCUCAUCACUCGAAGUCAUCAGUCAAACUUUAAGAUAAAAACCGCGGAAAGUUUGUUUUUAUCGAAGAAACUGUAAUAAACGUUUCGAGUAAAAGACAGCCCAAAGAGACCUAAGACAUGACUCGAAGCCCACUUACGAUUUCUUAACCAAAAGAUCGUAAACCGUAGGACGGUUUAUGCUUGGUUCGCAAGGAAAGAUAAAUGUCAAGUUUCCGCGGAUAAAUACGAAGUUUUGGAAGAUAAUUACGAAAAUCGGGAAAAUGGAAUAUCUUCAUUUUUAAGCUAUGACGGCUUAAGGGCAGAAGGGGAAAAGCGUAAACCGACGUAGGAGCGAGUAUAUAAGGAGUCCUAGGCGAGAGGCAUGGGGGAGGGAAUUUUUUUGACACAGCAAACUUAGCGCUUAGAGCGAUUUUAGGCAAUUUUCCGUUUUUGUUAUUUAAGUUGCAACUCAAUUAGGUUUUUGCCGUCUUAGGGUUUUUAGAAUUAGGAAUCUCGCCGACAGCUCUCGUAGCCCAGCCACUUACCUUGUUGUAAACGCUCAAACGCAGAUUCGGAAUAAGAACUAUCUUGCUCUUUUUUUUAUUUCUUGAAUUUUCAUCGUUUUCAUUCUCGUAUUCUGAUUGCUUGGGGUAUGGUUUAGCAGAGAUCCGGGAUCUCUGGAAAAUUAGAGUUUUCCUAAAUUUCCUAAUUUAAACAAAAAUCAACAGUGCAAAUUUUGGUUCCCACAACGCUUUAAUCUUGAUUCAGUUCAUCGCUUCUCUUUUCUGGUCUGUACCGCAGUACCGCACGGAUGUCCGGAUUGGAGCUUCAGCAAUACCCACGACCAGACGACCGAAUCUUCCGAACUGGAGCUUGUCUUUCCUGUACGGUUUUGCAUUUAUGAUCAACGGAGCCAGAUUCGAAUUCGAACGAGUGGAUUUCGAGUUAGUUCGUGCCACUUCAUUUCUGGCUAGUUUGGACUGUACUGGCCGCAUACUGACCCUGUCCGCAUAACAUGCUAAAUAUUCAUUGAAUCUGGACAGUGGAAUUUGAAGGGUUCAACUGCAGUCAAUAUUAUUUUCCGUGCCUUGACCAGAUCUGGUCAAGUUUUUAUUUUCUAUGUCUGUUUUGCCCACAUUUUCAUUAAGUCUUUUGACUAGAAAACUCUAUAUAAUGUAAUCCCAUUUCUGAAUAAUGAUCAUCUCGUUUUUCCUUUCUCUUUUGAGUGUUUUCUCUCUACUCUUUGUCGAGAACACUUCUUAGUUUUAUUUGUGUGGUUAACUCCAAACAAACGCAUCUUUCUUGUUGGACCGGUGCGUCAUACCCGGCAACAGAUCGAGUUUGCUUCCUUGUCGGACCUGUGAGUCAUAUUAGGCGACAAUCAAGCACUCUGGUAGUAUCAUUGUGCCCUCCGCAACCCUUUAUGUCACCAUACAUCCCAUCAGUUCUCCUUCCUCACGGAUCGAGUCCAUAUCUUUCCUUACCGGUCGAGUGUUUGUUCUUUAGGGCCCUUAAAGUGGUAUCAGAGCCACUCUUCCGGUAUUCUCUAUUUCAUUCCAUCUUCUCAUCUUCCAUUUUUUCAUAAACUCUUCUUCUUCUAUCAAUCUUAAAUCCGGGCCCCUCAUUACCAUCCAUUAAAAAAAAAAGAUCUACCAUUAAAGAAAAAAAGAUUCAAAGAUUGAUUUGUGGAUUAGUGGUGGAAGAGAAAGCAUGCUGGCUGAAGAGAAAUCGAGCCUUUGAAGUGGUUAAAACGGAUUUCAAAAACCAAAAAUGUCUUAUCUUUCUAUCUUGAGAAAAUUUCCUUGUUUGCUUGGAUCUACCCAUUGGGAUUCCUUGAUCUGUUCUCUUAGAACAUUGAGAAGAAGCUUGUGUGAUCACCAUAAAAUCUGAGAGAAACACUUGAGUGGGUGAGAUUAAAAACUUGAGAGUGUGAGGUUUUAUUUUCUUACUUUUGUGUUGAGAUUUUCAGAUUAUGAUGUUUGGUCUUCAAAUGAAAAGUAGAAAGGAGAAAUACCCACGACAAACUUUCUCUCAACCUCCAUUUAAAUAUUCUUAGAAUAAUUUUGAUGAGUUUGUUAGUGUACAGGAACAGGUAGACAUACGGUGCAAGGAUCAUAUCAAAACGACCAGCGAUGUGGCUGAUCCAAAAAGGCGAUUACUUCAGUUUGAUGUCCAAGAAAUAUAUGACAACUUUGAAAAGAGAAUGAUGAAAUCCCUCGAAGACAUCAGCAAAAGCCAUAAGAAGAGCACAUCCACACGUGCACCUGUAGCUGAGCCAUCCUUAUUCACCAGCAAGAAAUCCAAAGGUAAAUCUGAAACCCAUAUUGAGGAGUUGAAAGAUUUUUUAGAUUCUUUACCUACCUUUGAUGAAUAUGAUGAAGAACCAUUUGAAAACUUUUUUUCUUGUGAGAAAAAUUGUGAUCUUCCUUCUCUUGAAUUUGAGUUUAUGAAUGAUAAUGAACAGACUAUAGUAGAACUAACCGUUUUGCAACCGGAGCAACCGAGUAGUCUUAUUUUAUCUCCACAGGUUUUUGAGGAAUAGCCACUGGAGUAUCCACAUCAAAGACCACGAAUUGACACUAUAAAACCCUUGGAUGAUUAUCCAGAUCAUAUCUUUGAUGAGGAGGAUGAACCUGGUCCAGUCUUUGAUGAGGAAGCAACAAGCAUCACCUUGUUAUGGAGAUCCAUCUAUGUUUUGAUCCGAAACAACUCAUGCCCCUUUGUCUUCUGAACUUCAAGAGCACUGUGAGCAAUCUAAUUUGCUUAAUUCUCAGCCUGAUAUUAUGGGAACCGAAAUUUGCACUGUCGAUUUCCGUUUAGAUAUGGAAAGUUAGGAAAACCCUAAUUUCCCAGAAGUCCCAAAUAUCUGCUAAACCACACGCCAAGCAAUAAGAACCCGAAAUAAAGACGAGAAAAAUAAGAAAUCGAAAAGAGAGCAAAAUAUAUCUUAUUCUGAAUCUGCGUUUGAGUGUUACAACAAGGUAAGAGCCUAGGCUACGAGAGCUGUCGGCGAGAUUCCUAGUUCUAAAUCCCCAGUCCACGGAGCAGUCCGAGGAAUCAAACCAGCAUGAAGUUCAGGACGUUUUGAACAUUUUAUAUGAGGUUCAUAUUUUUCACCAUACAGGCCAGACUGACCGGCCAGUGUACUGGACCGUCCCACAUGCAUCCGAAACGGAACUAUGGCUGGAACCAUGGCCAGAUGACCGAUUUUACCGUACUGGACUUUGUCUUUCCCGUCAUGUUUUCCAUUUUAAGAAGAACAGUCGAGAUAGAAUCACAUUCGCACACACCAAUCCUGAUUCAGUUCACUGCCUCUCUUUUCUGGUUUGUACCACACAGACGUCCGGAUUGGAUCUUCAGCAAUAUCCACGACCAGACGACUGAAUCUUCCGAACUGGAGCUUGUCUUUCCCGUACUGUUUUGUAUUUUAAGAUCAACGGUCAAGCCAGAUUCGAAUUCGAACGAGUGGAUUUCGAGUUAGUUGGUGCCACUUCAUCUCUGGCUAGUUUUGGACUGUACUGGCCGCGUACUGACCCUGGCCGCAGGAUAUGCUGAAGAUUCAUUGAACCUGGACAGUGGAAUUUGAAGGGUUCAACUGCAGUCAAUGUUAUUUUUUGUGCCUUGACCAGAUCUGGCCGCGUACUGACCAUGUCCGCAGGAUAUGCUGAAGAUUCAUUAAGUCUUUUGACUAGAAAUCUCUAUAUAAUGUAAUCACAUUUAUGAAUAAUGAUCAUCUCGUUUUUUCUUUCUCUUUUGAGUGUAUUCUCUAUGUUUUUGUCAAGAACACUUCUUAGUUUUUUUGGUGGGGUUAGCUCCAAACGAACGCCUCUUUCUUGUUGGAUCGAUCCGGCAACUGAUCGAGUUUGCUUCCUUGUCGGACCUGUGAGUCAUAUCAGGCGACAAUCAAGCACCCUGGUAGUAUCAUUGGGCCAUCUGCAACCCUUUGUGUCACCAUACAUCCCAUCAGUUCUCCUUCCUCACGGAUCGAGUCCAUAUCUUUCCUUACCGGUUGAGUGUUCGUUCCUUAGGGCGCAUCACUUAUCUCCGGAACUCAUCCCCCUUUGGGUCUCAGUUAAGCUAUCUCUUGUUUUGUCUCGAUCGAAGUUACCGUUGAAACUUUACGGAAAAAACGAAAAAGACAUAAGUUUGGAUGGAUCGUAUAAAACGAUGACGGUUUACUAAACAACAAGGUUAUCUCAGCUAUACGAUUGAUCUCCACUGUUUCGUAAAACCGGCGUCGUACCGAAGUUAUUAAUCCUAAAGAAAUCGUAAAAAUGUUUUCGUCGAAAACGGCCCAAAAGGUGUAAAACGCGGCAAAAUCCCACUUAUGAUUUUUAACGAAGAAUUGGCCUAAAGUCAUUAUGACGGUUUAUCGAUUAUUUGCGAGAGGAAAUACAUGUCAAGUUUAUAGAUAAAUAUCAAGUUCGAAGAUAAAUUUCAAGGAAUAAUCGUGAAGAUCGAGAAAAAUGGAAUAUUUUCGCGAAAUGGGUAAAUACGAAUCAAGGAAAUAAAAGGAAGGAAAGACGACCUUGGAGGCAUAUCUAAGGGGAGCCAAGGCCAAAAGCGCACAAAGACAAUUCUUGAGACUCUUAGAACUCUCCGCACUUAGAAACUUUUGGCAUUUUUCUCAACAUGUUAUGUUUCUAUGACUGGCACUAGAUUACUAGAUGAACUCGCACAUGCAUUUCGAUCUCUUGGUUUACUCUUUCAAUUAAACUAUAUUCGGCUUGAUCUUCGAAAUGGGUACAUAGGCAGCCUUUCAUAUGGUUCAGUCUGAAAUCAAUAAAAACAUUUUUUGUAUCUUUUUCGUUUGUUGUUAUCGAAGUGCGACUCAACUAGGUUUAAGGUGUUUGUUGGCUAGAACUAGGGAACUCGAUGACAGCUCUUGCAGACGAAGCUUUUAUAAUAUUUUGUAAUAAUCGCAACGCUCUUACACGGAUUUGAAAUAAAGAUCUAUUUUCUCUGUAAAUUCAUUUUGUUAUCUUUUCAUAUUUUUAGCAUUUAUUUGUUCAUUUGUUGUUGGCUCUCGUAGAAAAUCCGGACCUCUGGAAAUUUAGGAUUUUCCUAACUUUCCUUAAUUUUAUAUAAAUCGAUGGUGUGAAUUUCGGUUCCCACAAGCUCCACGAAAAACUUCUCAUUCGAGAAAACUAUCUUGGAACAACAGAGGAUAUCACUAAUUCCUCUGCUCCAUUGACGGCUAACACAGCUCAAAAUCGCUAGUAUCAGCAAACUCAAUGACCUCAAAACCUUGGAUCAUCACCAACUCGUGGAGAUUAUAAAGGUAUGUUCGUGGAUACCUUGAAAAAUUCCAAAUAUGUGGUGUUUAGAGACAAAGUGCAAGACGUUGUCCACAAUAUUGAUCUGCUCCUCAACCGAAAUAUCGUCUAGGUACACCGCCUAUGCAAACACCACAGUGGCAUGCUCCUCCACCAAUGCCACCUUCUCAGUGGAACCCUCAAGCUCACUACACUGAUGCAAGUGCCUCUUACAUGUCCAUGUCACCAUGGUUCCUCGACAGUGGUACCUCACAUCACAUUGCGCAAGACCUCAACAACUUGUCUCUACACGCGCCUUAUAAAGGUGGUGAUGAUUUCAUGAUAGGCAACGACACAGGACUCCCGAUCACCCACAUUGCUUCAACUAAACCCCUUUUUUCCUCUCGACCUUUAACUUUAAAUAAUAUGCUUUGUGUUCCAUCGUUCAAACGUUUCUUGAUUUUCAGGUGAAAGAUCUCAUAACGGAAAACUCUACUCAACAGCAAAGCCAGUAAAAGAGUAUAUGAAGUACCGACUGAAUCUGCUCCCUGUCUCAACAAUCUUUUGGCUUUUUCAUGUUUUAAAACCUCAAGAUCGGGUGGGCACUCUUGUCUAGGCACCUGAAUUCUCAAAUUCUUAGUCAUAUGUUUUAUGGAUUUCAUUUACCAGUUUCAUCUAUGUCAUCUUAACCUUGCAAUUAUUGUUUAAGCAUUAAAACACAUUAACUUUCAUUCUCAAACACCACUCUAUCAUCUUCUCGUCCUCUUGAUAUUUUAUUUUCUGAUGUCUCGACCUCGCCUAUUCACUUAAUUGAUGGAUACAAAUAUUAUGUAAUAUUUUUUCCCAUUUUACAAGGUACACAUUGAUGUUCCCAAUAAAAACAAAAUCGUAAGUGGCUCAGAUCUUCCUAGAAUUCAAGAUGUUGGUAGAAAAUCGAUUUAAAACAAGCAUCACAACCUUGUAUUCAGACAAUGGGAGGGGGGAGUUCAUAGGACUGCGUUCUUAUCUGGUCAUGCACGACAUAACGCAUACACAACUCCACUAUACACUCCUAAAACACAACGGUAUUGCUGAACGCAAACACAUGCACAUUGAGAAGACAUGCCUAACUCUUCUCCAGCACGCAGACAUUCCAAACACAUAUUGGAGUUACUCAUUUUCUGCAGCGGUUUAUCUUAUUAAUCGCAUGACAACUUCAGUGUUGACGCACUCAUCACCAUUCCAAAUCAUGUUCCAUACACCACCAAAUUAUAGCAAACUUUGCUCCUUUGGAUGUCUUUGUUACCUAUGGACACAACCUUACGGCAACAACAAAUUCACACCUCGAUCAGUUCCAUGUGUAUUCUUGGGUUACUCUCUAACUCAAAGUGCUUUCAUCUGUCUUGAUGUUCUUAACUCUAGAGUCUAUAUAUCUCGUCAUCUUAUUAUUCAUGAAACCAUUUAUCCAUCUCAUCUCUUUCUAAAGUUUCCUUUAACACAUAUGACACUGUUCACUGACUCCUCCACCAUAUCUUCCUGUGUUUCUAUUUUCAGUCAGUCAAUCACAGAUUCUUUGGUGCCUAAGUUAGUAGAGUCGUCCCUGGUCUCAGACACUUAACCAUCAUCAACAAUAACAACAACAUUAACUCAUGCCACGACAGCAAAAAAGUCAGACAUCACCAACUCCAACUCCUCCUCUGAGCUUCAACUCACAAUAUCUCAGCCCACCAGCACACACACCAUGACAACACGAUCCAAUAACAACAUCAGCAAACCAAACUGCAAAUAUGGUUUUGCAACUAUCUUGGAAGAACUUGAACCACAAAGUCUAGCACAAUCGUUGAAGGAUAAGAGAUGGAGAUCUUCAAUGAGUGAUGAAUACAAUGAUAUGAUCCGCAACAUAAAUUUUGACCUUUUUCCUCAUUCAUAAGCCAAUAACAUUAUUAGUUGUCGUUGGAUCUACCGCAUCAAGUACAAUCCUAAUGACACCAUGAAAAGUUUCAAGUCGCGACUAGUGGCAAAAGGCUUUCACCCAGGGCCUGGAAUUGAUUUCCAUGAAACAUUCGGUUUAUUAAUAAAACAUGCUUCCAUUCAACUGGUACUUGGAUUAGCUAUUGCACAAGAAUGGGCUCUCAAACAACUAGAUGUCAAUAAUGCCUUCCUUCAAGGUGAUUUACAUAAGGAAGUCUACAUGACCCAACCACCAAGCUUUAUAGACAAAGACAAGCCUGAUCAUGUUUUCAGAUUACGCAAGGCUAUAUACCGACUCAAGAAAUCCCCUAGAACCUGGUACAAUGCACUACGAGAAGCACUUAUUGGUGUCGUUUUCAUUAACUCAUUGGCUGAUUUCUCUCUCUUCGUCUUCACCUCCAUACUUCUAAUUAUCUACAUCUGGACUUAUGUUGAUGACAUCAUCGUAAGAGAAAACAACUUCCUGGAAAUUACCAGGUUCAUCAAGUAUCUUUUAAUCUCAUUUCACACUAAAGAACCUUGGUAAUCUCUCCUAUUUUCUUGGUAUGGAGGCUCACAGAACUAGUAUUGGUCUUCAUAUUACUUAGACUAAAUACAUCACUGAUUUACUUGCCAAGACGAAGAUGAUAAAUGCCAAAGUUGUUACUACUCCCACGUACUCAGCGCAAACUCUGUCCCACAAGGGAAGUAUCUCGCUCAAUGAUCCUCUCACCAUCAGAGCUGUCGUGGUAAGCUUGCAAUACCUAUGUCUCACAUGUCCAUGCAUAGCAUUUGUAGUCAAUAGACUAUCUCAUUUCAUGCAUUGUCCUGCAACACUACACCUUGAAUCUGCAUAACGAGUGCUUAGAUAUCUUGCAGGCACUGCCAACAAAGGUCUCUACUUCUCACACAAAACUCCUUUCACACUUCAUGCCUAUUCAGAUGCAGACUGGGCAUGAGAUCAAGAUGAGACACCUCUACAGGAGUCUACAUUGUCUAUCUUGGUAAACAGCCCAUCAUCUUGGAGGUCACGUAAGAUGAAAAGAGUUGCUCGCUCUAGUACAGAGGCGAGUACCGAAUCCUAACAGCGACACCAGCAGAAGUUGUGUAGAAUGCUCAUUUACUGACUGAGCUUCGCGUUCAAAUAACAUCAAUGCCUACACUAUACUAUAACAACAUAGAUGCAGCAUACUUGGCAGAAAAAUUUGUUUUUCAUUCAAGAAUGAAACACCUUGCCUUAGACUAUCAUUUUGUUCGAGAGUUGGUGCAACAAAAGUAUGUACGAGUGUCCCGUGUCAGCUCUGCAAAUCAACUAGAUGAUGCCUUAACGAAACCACUUCCACGGGCUAGGAUCCAUGAUCUUUUUGUCAAGAUUGAUUUGUAUCCGACAAGCUUAUCUUGAGGGGACUUAUUAGUGUAUAUUUUGUAGUUCAGAUAAUUACUUUAGAUAGUUAUUUACUAGCCGUGUGCUUAUCUAUAUAUUGGUCUUAUCAAGGAUCUUGCACAACUUGUAUAAAUAAGCUCUGUUAGUGAUAAGUAAAAUUGAAACCUAUCUUACACGUGUUUCUCCUGCCAAAAAUAAUUGUUUGUGCUUAACUUGCAUAUGCCUUAGAAAUUUAUAUUUACAUCAUUUCUAUUCUAAGAGAAUAGUUUUAUCUAACUAUUUCCUAGUUCAAAUAUAUUAUAACUCAUCGAUUAUAGCUUCCAAAGUUUAGGCUUCGAACAUGAUGGUCCAUUAUAAACCCUGUCCAAACAUCUUUUGCGAAACUUAGGCUUUUUACAUCAAAUCGUCAUUUUAUUAACCAAAGUAAAACAGCCAACAUAAAAAAAAAUUAUAUGGAAUGAUCUUGCAGUCUUAGCUAAAAAAAUCAGGAAUCGUGUUUUGCCUUUGUGAAACAUAGGAUAGCUUGAAUGAUUGAAAUCUUUUUGAAUAGUAUUUUAUUUCCUUCGGUUUAAUCGAGAAAUUUACUAUGCCAGAGGUUAUGUGAUUAUGAUGAUCAAGUCCUUGCAAUUUGAUCCAAAAUUUUGACAAUUUGAAUGACAUAACAUAAUCUCUAUCGUCCAAGUAAGCAGUUCUAACUCCGAUUGUAAAGCGGACUCUCGCCGUCUCAAGUUCCUCAUCCCCUUUAAUUUAGUUUGUCGACAAAUAUCCUACCAAAUCUAUCCACGACCACUUAAUUGGUGAUGCGAAAGUAUUUGAGCCAUCUACCAUACAUAUAUAUGUUCAAGCAUAAGGCUUGAGAGUUGUUGUUAUUUGGUGGUUGUGGAAUUGUAGAAAUUGUUGCAUUGGAUGAGAACCAAACUUGACAAUCUUCUCAAUAUUUAAUUGUUCUAAAAAAAUUUGAUAUAUCAUUAUCCAAAGAUAAUGAUCUCUAUCCAGCUCAUGCCAGUAUGUCAUUCAGUAAAAGGUGCCCCCAUCUAUUCUCUAUGACAUAGCUUCGAUCCUCCCAAGAUUCCAUAUAUUAUGUUUGCCGUGAUUUAUGAAUGAUCUCUAUACAGUUUUGGGUAAAUGAUUUUUCCCUUCAUUGGAUAUUACAUUAAAUUAUAUUUUUAUAUUUAAAAAUAAAAUAGAAUAGAAACUAAAUACACAUCUUACUUAAAAACAGAAACCAAAUGAUUCGGUUGAAUAUUUGUUGUUGUUAAAUGGUAAUAAAUGUGAAAACUCUUUUUCAAAAGAAAAAUAUAUAUAUGAAAGAGUUGAUUAAAGAUACUUUUUGUCUUUCCUUUACAUUGAGAGUCACUUUCCACUUGUGAGGCAUUUUUUGGUGGGGUUUAGGUGUAUUUUUGACAAAUUUAUCCUUAUGGAAAAUGGCGAGUUGUGGAUGACGAAUUAUGGAUGACAAGUUGUGACGAAUUGUGGAUGACGAGUAACUUGUGAAUAUAUGAACCAAAGAAAUACAAAAAAAUAUGUACAAUGGUUUACUUCUACUAUUACAAAUUUGAAAUCUUAAAAAAGUUGACAUGUACGCAAAAUAUAUAGACGAAUAAGAAAAUAAAAAAAUAAAAAAUGUGGAUUAGUGAAAAUGUGAACAAAGAAAUGCGGGUCAUUGGAAAUAUGGACUCAGAAAUGUGGAUAAUAUAAAUAUGGAUAUGAGUUCAUGUGGACACUAUUUUUCUAUAAUGUGAACAAAAUUUUGUGGAUGAUUUUUCAUCUGCUAAUCACCAGUUCUUCAACUUAUAAUAUAGUAAUUUAUGUAUAAAAGAUGUGAGAUCACAUCGUCUUGAUGAGUUUGAACAUAGAACGACAAAACUUGAAAUUCCAAGCUCGUCACAGUGAAGAAGAAGAACUGUGGCAGAUUGGAGUGCUGAGCACGAGUUUGAGAGGACCGACGCCGUCACCACCACAAUCGAGUUAUGGUUCCAACUCUCUAAUGGUUUUAUCUUUUGAUCUGAUGUACACCGAUCUGCUGGAGACUUCCUCGAUGACCACGUCCAAUCCAACACAACUAGUUCUUGAUCUCCAAUAAGACCGUUGUGAUCGAGCUCCAAUGGAUAAGACAACUCUGAUUUGUUGAUGUCCACAUCUAAUCUAUAAUUAUAUUAUCCAUGUUUUGGUGUCUACGUCUACAUUUAAUCUUGGUUACAUAUUAAUGUAUAUAAUAUAUAUAAAUAUAUAUCUUAAAAGAUAAAGAAUUUUAUAUAUAAUUCAUUAUGAUAAUAUUUUUAUUUAAUAUAUUUUAAAUUUUGAAAUAAAAGUAAAUGAAAAUAUAAGAUGUGAUAAGAAAAACAAUAAAGUGCAAUAAAAAGAUGAGAGAGAUUUGUACGAUGGAAAUAAAACAAAAUGUUCUAUUUUCUUUAGUCUAGGGUCAUGAGAGUCUAAAGAAAAGUGUGUGUAAAGUGAUAAGUGUGUUGUAGUGUAAUUGGUAUGUUAGAAAGUGUUUCUAGAGAUAAAAAUCUUUCUAUGAAAACCGGUGCUCGGAUAAGGGGUAUCAGAGCAAGCUUGACGAUGAAAGCGGAACGAUAGACAAAUUGACACAAAAUUGACGGUAUACAAUAAGAGGAAGAUAUGGGCUUGAUUUCAUUCCUUUAGGUCCAUCUUCUCUUUACCCUCUCGACUUGGACAUGGCUGAUUAUUAGACGGUAUACAAUAAGAGGUGUUGCAUCUCCUUGUAAUGGCUCAUUUGGACACAAAAUUUCUCUGGGCUUUAAUGGACUUUAUAAUGUACUUAGUCAAAGUUGAGUAAAUGAAUCAACUUUCAUUCAAACAAUUGGUCUCAAUGUGAAAAUUACAUCUCGCGACUUUUUCGAAGGAUUUUAUUUUCUGUCAAUUAAUUCAAAAUGUAAAAGAAACGGAUGAGGAGGAAACAGUGUCUCCCGUUAGGAAAGCAUGUUGGAAGAAAUUGAGCUGAAUAAUUACUACCAGCUUUUCGCAUAUCUUUUAUAUUAAUGUUUAACCUUUCCCUUUUUACGUGUGUUAAAAGAUGUACCCAAAAAGUAAAAGGCAUCUAUAAUCAACAUUCGAAUGGACAUUUUCUUUUGCUAUAAUCUUUUUACAAAAUAUCAAUUUAUCCAGUUUCAGAGUUAUCAAAAUUCGUUUUUUCUAAAGGAAAAUAUAUAUAGACCCACUUGAUGAGAGGUUUAUCAUUUCGAAAUCAUAAUUCUUUAUGUAUAUAUUCGUCAGAUUUUAUUGAACUUUUAUUUGUUAAAUUUAUCAAUACACCCAUCAAAUAUAAUAUACUUUACAGUAUUGUAGACUUGAUUAUUACACUGCACAGAUAUGAACCAGAUACAAAACUUUAAUUUAUUCCUUUCUGGCCUACACCGUCGAUAUGAUUCCACUACAAGAUCUCAAAAGUGCAUGCUCAUGUUUUUUAUUUAUCGUGAAACCAAAUUAUGUCACUUUCUUAUCUCAUUUUUACCACACACACACAUAAAACUUCUAGUUUCUUCAGUCCCCGUCAUUUACCGAGUUUUUUAGAUUCAUAACCUUUCUAACAUUUUAAUUUCAUAAGCUUAUAAUUAAUAGGCACGUACAGGCUACAGCCUAACUUUAAAAUUUUGGUUUUACAGCGUUUAGUGCAUCCCUAUAUUUCUAGCGUAUUUUUCAAGUUCCAAUAUAUUACAUGUGUGUUAUAACUUAUAAUAAAACUAAUCUUGAAGUUGUCAUAAUAUCAAGUGGAAUGUAGAGAGAGAUAUAAAAUAGUAUUGAAUUAAUAUACAUUUAAUUAAUUGUAGUAGGUAUGUGACAUGAUAAACCGGGCCACCCUUAUUUCAAUGCAACUUUUUCUCUAGCACGUUGCAUUUGACUCUUUCUUGGAUUUCACAUUUUCCUCAAGUAUAUCAAUUAUGGCUAGAAUCCACCUUACAAUACACACUUUUAGAAGAUUAGAAUUUUCCUUUUAAAAUUCUUUAAUUUUGUUAAAUCAUAUCUUCACUGAUGAUCACCUAGACAAUCAGAAGAAAGAAAUAUAUGGUUAAAACAUUACUUUGACUUAUAGUAUUUUAAAUAAGUUUAAUAAAUUUUACCAAUUUCCAAAUUAUAUUAUAUAAAAAUAAGAAAAUCUUUUUUUUGUUCAGUAAAAAAUAAAAAAAUAAGUAAACCAAAUAUGAGAAAUUUGCCAAAAAAAAGCUCAAAACUUGAUUUUAAAUGCAAAAGUAUAUCCAAACUUUAAUCAAAUGCAAAAGUAACAUAAAAACCUUGUGAAAUUACAACCAAUUCUUUAUCACCAAACGAAAAAUCAGAAGAUAUUUUUACGAAUAUAACUCUGUAAAGUCUUUUGCGAGAAUACUUUCUAGAAGUCUUUUCAUAUAGUAGAUUUUAAAAAUAGUUUAUAAAUUUUUAUAAAAAAUAUUUUGAUAGGGAAAAAAUUGAUAUCAUGUAAUUAUAAAAAUUUGUAAAUGAUAUAAAUUCAGAUAUAGUAAAAUUGAAUUGUUCUCAAAAUAGAUGAUUGAAUGUAGUGUCUCAUGAUAUUAUUUGGUUUUAGGGUUUGGUAUCAUAUGUUGUAAUAUUGUUUGUAUUUUUAGGGUUAGAUUUUGGAAGCUAACAUUUUUUUGAAAAAUUAAAUUUUGAUUUAUGUGUGUUUAGUUUUGUUUAUAUUAAGCACUUUUAACGUUGAUUUUAAGUUUUAUGAAGUGUUUGUUUCUACUUAGUUCGUUAUUUUGAGUUUAGGGUCUAUAUGAUUUAAGUCUUCCAGCAAAUAAUACUAAAAGACUUCCGCGGAAGUCUGUAAAAUCAAAAAUAUUUAAUCUUAUUGGAAUUUUUGUCUCGCUAUAUAAUUUUUUUACAGCCUUUAUCUUCCUCUCAAAUGGCUGUAACAAAAAUGUAAUGUUUUUCACUCUAAAACUCUACAAUCUUUCUCUAAUCUCUUUGAAAACAUCAAAUAGUAUAUCAAUUUCUCCUUUUUAUCUCAUGUCUUUAUCACUCAUUUAUAUGGUUCUCAUCUUCCAUUCAUUUAAAAGUAUAUCAAUAAAUCAUAUUUUUUCAUUUGGUAACUUCUUGUUGCUUAAAGCUCUUACCUUUUAUUUUCGCAGGCUUUUCAUUAUAUGGUUUUCAUCUUUUAAUCUUUUAAAGGUAGAUCUAUAAAUCAUAUUUAUCAUUUGGUAAUCUCUUGUUGAUUAAAUCUCUUAUCUUUUGAAAAUUCUUUUUGUUAUUUAAAGUUUUUACCUUAUUUUUAAAUAUUUUUUAUGUUUUGAAGUCAUUAAUACUUUUGGAUAUGAAGGUUUUUCAGAUCUGAAUCACACUUGGAAGACUUCAGAGAAGUCUUCUCGGAAGUCUUUGAACAUAUAAUGCACUAGUAGACUUCCUAGAAGUCUUCUCCAAUGUCACCUUUUUCAUAACAGAUCUGAGCGUUUUGGUAAGUCUCCAUGUCUGAUGUUUUUUUCAUUUGAUAACCUCUCGUUGAUUAAAACUCUUACUUUUUCUGAAAUUAUGCUCUGAAUCUUUGAUUUAGUCUCAGAUAUAGAGCUAUCAAAGUGGAGGAGUUGUCCGAUGGUAAACAAAUCUGAGUGUGUUGAAACUGGUGGAAGUUUCAAGUUUGACGAAGAUUUUAUGAAAUCACCAAGAAGAUUGUUAAAAUAUGUUUUCUCCCAGAUGAUGAUGAUAUUGUGAUUAAUUCUCUUGUUGAUAUCAAGGAGCACACUUUAAACUAUUUUGACAAUCUUCUUGGUGUUUUCUCUAUUCCUUCCAGCGCUUAUGUUUCAGAUAUUGAAAGGAUGGUCCCAGCUCGUUGGUUCGUGGAAUCAGUUGCUCUCCUUUCAGAUGGUUUUCUAAUCUUGAAAUCAAACCUGCUUUCUUGGCUCAUCCUUGAAACAAAUCUCCAGGUCCUUAUUGUUAUCAUGUAGAGUUUUCUCUGCUUAUUGGGAAGUAUUUGGUAGCAAAAUGAUUGUCGCAGUGUGCAAAUUUCUCUCUUCGGGCCAGCUCCUUCAGCAGAGUAAUUCAACAACUCUGGUGUUUGUACCAAAGAAAACCAAUGAUUAUCGUAUCACAGAAUUUUGGCCUAUUGCUUGCUGUAACACCAUCUACAAGGUUGCUUCUAAACUGCUUGCGAAUAGGCUCAAGCUGGUUCUGCCUUCACUCAUAUCUAAUCCAAGUCAAACUUUAUUCUGGGUAGGCUAUUGGUGGAAAAUUUUCUCUGUACCACUGAAUUAGUUGCGGUUGACAACUAGAAAAGGAUCUCAAAAAGAUGUAUGUUGAAAGUUGAUUAGCAUAAUACCUUUGAUAAUCUCAACUGGGAUUUCAUCUUGAAGGUUCUUAAGGCUCUAAACUUCCUCCCAAGUUUCAGAAUGAUAAUUUCUUAAUGCCUAACUACAACAAGAUUUUUGGUGGCCAUCAAUGGAGAGCUAUGUGUCUAUUUCAAAGAAGUGAGGGGAUUGCGUCAAGGGGACCAUCUAUCUCCUUAUUAUUUUCUAUUUGUUGUGGAUGUUUUCUCUCAAAUGCUUAAUAGAGAGUACACAACCCAUCGUAUUGGCUAUCACCCCUAGACAUCUUCCAUACAUGUCACUCAUCUUGAUUUUGCUGAUGACAUAGUGGUGUUUUUUGGCGGAGAAAAAGAAUCUGGAAUGUAUUGCGGGAACCUUGGAAAAUUUUGCCUCUUGGUCAGGUUUAAAAAUGAAUAAAUAAAAAAAAUGAACUGUUCUUGGCGGGUAUAAACAGUGAAGAAACAAUCAUACUUCUAGUCUUGGUUUCAACAAUGGCUCAAUGCCCAUAAAGUAUUUUGGCCUUACAGUAAUGCACUGUAAGCUGGUGUUUAUCAGACUAUCAGCCUCUUAUUGAAAGCAUAUCCGGAAAAUUCAACAGCUGGUCGGCAAAAGUAUUAUCUUAUGCAGAAAGGCGCCAAUUCCUAUCGUCGUUACCUAUGGAAAAUUAUAUUUCUGGUUUUCUGCUUUUGUAUUGCCAAAAUGCUGCAUUAAGAGGAUCCAAAGUCUGUGUUCUGUGUUUAUUUAGACUGGUAACAGAAUGAUAAAUUAUGUUGCCAAAGUCACUUUGAAAAACAUCUGUCUUCCUAAAGACGAGGGAGGUUUGGGGCUCUGUGAUCUCAUCCAGUAGAAUAAUAGUUUGUGUCACUAGUUCAUCUAGUUUCUAUUCACCAACAAUGACUCUUUAUGGAUAAAUUGGAUGUGUACUUAUUGUAUUAAAGAUUGGAUCUACUGGAAAUUUGAUGUUGAUGAUGCAAGCUCUUGGACUUAGAGAUCAUUGCUAAAACAGUGGGGUCUAGCUACAAGGUUCCUAAGGAGAAAAGUAGGUGAUGGUGCAAGAGUAAGAUUUUGUUUCGAUCACUGGACCUUCUUAAGACAUUUAAUUAAUAUUUUUGAACCCACGGGUGUAACAACCCUAUACCGUCCUAGACAUCGACAUAAAAAACUCAAUGAUACCGCAUAGCUUUUAAUAUCCACCACCCUUCAUAAAAAAUCACUCAAACAAUAUAACAGGUCAAUCUCAUGUAUUAAUUUCGGAAAGCAGCAAGUAAAUCAACCAAUCGCCAAUCACAAUCACAAUCACAAUAAUAAGAUUUUAACUAACUACGACUCUAGUCUAUAACGAUUUACUUGACACAACUCUAACUUGGGCCCUGGUGAUUUUGUGUUCCUCCUCAACAUCGGCAAUAUCCUAUCUCCUUAUCACAAAGACUAGAAGAAGGAAUUUCAACCAACCGCGGUCCACAGCCAUUCAGGUCACCGAGCAACAGGCCACAACCAUCGGGUCACUGCCGAGUGUCGACAGCCCCAAUAUAUUCGGGUCACUGCCGACCGUUAUACCACCAUGUAACACUCAUCCAUAGACCAUGACCUCGUCUAUCUGAGUCUUCUCGAUCUAGCGAAAAGGGGUUUCUUUGAACCUGCUCGGUGCUAUUCACCACUAAACAUGCUUAGCAUGGCGGGUUUCACACAUGCUAUCAGGCUUCACUCUCUCACUACCUCUCUUAUUCCAGAACCUAGUCUAAAGACUAAAGUUCCAGAUCCUAACUAGACUCUCGACUAAACACUAACCACCAGUAUCAGUAAUCCGGCUUAUAUGACCUAUGACCCCUAGUACUAACGUCUAAUAAACUAAACAACAACACUUAACCAAAUAACCUUAAUUCUAAUAACUCAACUAGUUAGUCACUCCCUUACCCGUAGCUGACUAACCUCAAUCAACAAGCAUUAAUUAAACGAGCAAUCAUUGAAUUAAAUCUAACAUCAAAUCUACUCAAUCAGAUCGUUACCCAGAUAUUUCAGUCUCCUGCUAUGAAUAUAUAUUUACAGUUAACGGGAACCAACACUCAAUCAUAUCAACACACAAGAAUAGAAAACAUGAUGCAUCUAGCCCAAGUACUAGUCAGAUUACUAACUCAAUCUUAACUCGAUAUGAUUACUCGACCUAACCUAAGUUCGAAGUGGAACUUAAUCAACUCAUUAUCCUAAAUUCUAAUCGGAAUUCUAAACGGAAUUCAAAAAAUACCAACUCACAGUGUUUCGUGCGAUAAGCAGCUGGUUGAUCGAAUAGGACUUGGCUAAAACCCAACUGUGACUUCGACUAAACUGAACAUGUGGAACUGAACUAAUUCUGGAUAGCGCCACUACUUGACCAUCAAAGAAAAUAACUGGCUUGGACGGAUUGAUUUGGACAGAGCUUCCACGUCACAAUCGUUGAUUGGACAAAAGCUGAUUUUUCGCUGGAGUAUUUGUUUUAAGAACUCAACUACACUUUCAUAAAAUAUCCUCUCUCUAUCCCUAUCUCUCUAACCCGCGUUUUUGGAAGUGGCUUUGAUGUGGAAUGGAUGUCUGAAACUGAAGGGAGGGCUGGGUAUUUAUAGAAACCGUUGGCCAGUAAGGUUAGGACACACGGUCGACCAUAUUCAGCCCGCAUGAUCCCGCUCGCAUGCGCGACGACACACAGUGCACACAUGGCGGUCCGCAUGCCGUGGUCGUAUGCAAUGCAACACCUCGUGCUCCACAUGGCUGCUGCGUGUACCAGUUGCAUGUGUUGCAACAUCCCGUGCUUCCCUGGACACAUAUCCAUUCGCCCAUACAGAUCACAUACAUCGAGCUACCUCGUGCUUCCCAGUCCGUUCGCCCAUUUUGACCUUUCUGACAUCUUUUCGACCCGCGAGCAACCCGAAUAUUGUUUUUACGCCCGUUCUGAUGAACUGAAUAUUUUAAAUAAUUCCAGACUGAAUUAUAACCUUGACGGUAAAUAUUUCCUGAUCCUCUGCCUUCCUCAAAAAAUAUUCUUUGAUGUCAAAACAGGGUUUUCACCCAACUUUGGAUUUUUCCGUCGUGCUUACUUUUCGUCCUACUUAUUCCAUGUCAUGCUUCCAACUUAUUAUGCUUCCACCAUAAUAUUUCAUUAAUACGACGUUCUUCCAAAAACGUCGUGCUUCUAAUAUGUUGUGCUUUUAAAAUGUCAUGCUUCCAAAACGGCAUGCUUCUAAAACGUCGUGCUCUUAACCAAUCAUCUAUCCCCACGUCCUCAUGUGCACCAAAUACUUAGAUUGAGCUUCUUGUCUUGAAAAGAAUGUUGAAGUGAUCCAAACACCUUUUAUCGAUCACAACUACUCGAUCGACCCGAUCACUCGUGACUCGACCACCAAAUGGAGAUGUUCGACCAACUUCUAUUUUUCUAAGAAUCAGGUUAAGUUUUUUUUUGGGAUCAAAACUUAACAUACCUGACGAUACUUGGAUUUCGAAAAACUUGGCUCCGAAUUCCGACUUGUCGAUCUCGACCAUUUUACCCCUUCGAGAGGGUUACUACAACGGGUCUUAAUGGAACUUGCCUUGCCAUUGACAACCGAUGUUCACUCUGCUUGCACUUAUGUUGGUUGGAACUUCAGAAGAGCUAAUUCCCCUGCAGAAGAACAACUUCAAAUUGCUCUAAUGACCCAUCACCUACCUGCAGCCACUCGUGGAAGACUACGUAUGGAAAGUUAAUGGUAACGAAUUAUCAGCAUUCUCCAUUAGAAAAACUUGGGAAAUUAUCAGGAAUAGAGAAAAAAAAAAGUGUACUACACAUAUUUAGUUUAAAGGCAUAGUCCCAAGACAUUCUUUCAACUUUUGAAUUACACAUCUGAAUAGACUGCCAACAAGACAAAGGCUUGCAAGCUGGAGUAUGAUAAUAUCAGACUCUUGUUGUCUAUGCGAUUCAGCACCUAAAUCUAGAGAUCAUCUCUUUCGUCAAUGCGAGAUCAGUGAAAGCUUCAGGAUUAUGGCCUUCCAAAGGCUGGGAUACAUGUCCUUUCUUUACCAUGCUUGGAUUUCUUUCAUGCAUUGGCUUUUCCACAGAGACUUUUCUUGCCCUUUACUUCUCAAGAGGCUGAUGGGACAAAGUAUUGUUUAUGGGAUUUGGGCGGAGCGAGACCGCAAAGUCCAUGAAGGAAAAACAUCAAUAUCGAGUGUAAUUUUCAAGUAAAUUGAUAGGUUUAUUCUGGACACAAUCUUAGGCAAUAAACGAUGGAAACAAUACCAUCCUUUCAUGCAACUUUGGCCUCGAAACGAGUAACACGUUUGUAGCUUUCUAUUUCGGUUAUAAUUCGAGUUUCAGUGCUUUUAUUUAUUUUUGCCCCGGUUGAUUCUUCGCCGUUUAAACCAUUUUGUAUCUUUACAAAUUAUUUCUCAUAUUUUAUUAAAUUCACAUAUUUAAAAAAAAAAGAACAUUAUAAUACAUAAAAAGAAAACUUCAUUUUAGUCUAGAAUUUGUUUAAAAAUUCGAGUGUAAUCUUGGAUACCCUCAAAUUUUUAGUAUCUACUUGACCAAAGUGAAAAUAAAAAUUAUCACAGUUCAUUGCAUUUCGCUACCUUUUUGUGUGUGGAACGGCUUAAAUCGUGAGAAACAACCUUAUUUUUGAAAAAAAUAAUGAUUGCCUAUAACAUAAUUAAGCACCACGAAUAUCCUUAAUUAGCACUUAUCAACACUAAUCGCAAGGCUUAGAAUUUCACGAGACAGACAGGGGUUGUCAGUGUCUUUUCAAAACACUCGAACAUGUCUUUAUUUGUUGUUUGGUUUCUUUUUAAUUAGCACUAAUCACUGUCACCGUCCCCGUUAAUUUUUAAAAAAAUUCUUUAAAAUAGCUAUUUUUAAGUUUUUGUUAUAAAAUUAGUCUUCAAUGAAGAAAAUGACCAAAAUAAAUUUAUUAAAUGAUAAAAAUGUAUUUUUACCUUAUGUUUAACUAAUUUAGAUUUAGGAUUUAGGGUUAAAAAGUGGAACUUUAGGGAUAUAGUUAUAAAUUUAAAAAAAUAAAAAAUAAAUAUUAAAAAUUUUAAAUUAAAAAAAAAAAUAUUUUUAUCAUUUUUUUUAAUAUUAUUUUUUGACAAAAACUUAAAAAUUACUAUUUGAGAGAAUUGCUCUAAUUUUUAUUUGUCAAUUUGUUUUGCUCCAUUAAGGCUGAGGGGCCCAUUUUAUUAUUGGAAAAACAACCUGAUUAUCAUUUAGCUUCACAGUCUUGUCUCUUGACAUGAUCUAAUGCUCUUACGAGGUUACAAAGAAAAUCUUUGCUAAUGUGUUUUGUUUAAUGUUGUCUUGCCUGAAUAAACAAAGAAAUUUUUUUAUAACUUGACUUAAUGUGUCUGAUCUACUUUUCACAUGAAUUAAAUAUUUUAGAAUGAUGAUAAAAACAUAAAAUGUUUGCAGAUACAACUAAAAAUAAUAGUGAACUCUCUAUUAGUCGAGGUCAAAAAUAGCAUACACAUACUCCCAGAGCCGUGCCUCCAUUGGCCAAAAAUAAUUUGGCUCAGGACAUGAUUUUUUCAAAAACACUUAAUAACAUACGUUUAAUUAAUUACUAAUCUUAAGUAAGCUUAAUAUAGGCUUCGAAUUUAUAAUAAUAUAUAUUUAUAUUUAACUAGACAAAUUAUAUAGUAUUAUAUAUUUAUAUGGGCUUAACUUUAAACCUUCAGAAGACAAAUUAUGUUUUAGAAUUAUUAUUAGUAGACAAAAGUUUAAUAUAUUUAAAUUUAAGUAGACAAAUUAUAUAGGGAUGGACUUAAGUAGACAAAUUUUGUUUUCUAAUUUUUAUUCAGUGUUUUUUAAAUGACUGAUUUUAUAAAACGUAUUUUUAGUGAACGAGAAAAUUUGUUUUAUCGCUUACAUAUGGUAUUAGUGUUCGUACGGCUCUGCAUACUCCUCUUUUUGGUCACGGUAAAUAGUUGUAGAUUAGAAAUAGUUUCGGUUUCAUUUUUCAUUAGUGCUCGCACGGUUCUGCAUACCUACGUUCGCUACCAGAUCAGUAGCAAACCUAGGUAUAGGAGAGUGGGUGCAUUUACCCCAUAAUAAUUUUAAAUUUAUUAUAUUUCAUACAAAUUCGAUGUUUACACCUAUAAUCACAUGUAAGUUUACACAUAUUCUAGUAUUUGUGCAUCCACUAAAAAGUCUUUAGAUUCACCCCUGUACCAGACUACUUAUAUACGAUAUCAUGUACUUUCGUAGUUGUGUAAUAGCAUGUUGAAAACUUUUGAAUUCGUUGGUCGCAUCGCAGCCAACCGGACCAUGUUAGUUAAGAUUACCAAUUAAGCUUUUUCCUUAUUAAUAUAGCUAAUCUCAUGUUUUGAUAUUCACUAUUUUUUACAAAAACUACCACUCUUAACAUAUACGAAAAUGUAAUUUUUUGUUACUUUAUUGAUACAUUACAGCUCCUUUUUAUAAAUAAUAAGCUUAGUAGAGACAAAACUGAAAUUUAAUUUGAAAUUACGUGUUAGAACUACAAAACAAUAGUUGGGAAAAAAGAACUACAAAACAAUAUUAUUUGUAAACACCAGAAUAAAAUCUUAAAAUGACAUUUUUAGAAAACGAAUAGAAUUUUGAUUAAAAAUAUGUGUGUUUUAUUAGUUAAAUAGCAUAUAAUAAAAAUCUAUUCUAUUAAAACAGCAGUGUGACCUAUUGAUAAAAGUACUGUCCAACAAUUAUUCACUCAUAACCUACUUUAAAAAAAUAAACCAACUCUUUUAUAACCACAUCAAAACAUAUUUCGUAUAUUGCAACCUCUUCUUUCUUUCCUAUUUUCAUGGAACCCAUGACUCCCUCUUUUUUUGGACAAUAAGAACCGUAACUCCAUCUAAACAUCUUAUGUGAACUUAUAAUUUAUGUAUUUCAUUUUAAAAUUGUUUUGUUUAAUUAAUCAAUGAAGAUGAUGUAAAAAUUAUAUUUUAUUCUCAGUGUAGAGAUUUUGGACGGGGAUGGUUCGUCGUGACUUUUUUCUACUCAGUCAAAAACACAUAAUGUUGAAUUUUUUUUGUAUAGUGUUAGUUUGUGUAAAAUCCUACUUAUUCUUAAUUGUUUGUGGUUUUUUGUUUAUAAAUUUAAGAACUAUGAAGAAAAAAUGAUGAAACAAACUAAAAAGAAGAAAGAAAGAGCGGCUAAAUAAAGUUUACAUGGAGAGAGAGAAAGAAGAAGACUUUUUAAUGCUUUGACUUUUAUAAUUUCUUAUUGGAAAAUACGAACAUCAUAAUGAAAAAGAGAUAUACAUCGACCUAAGUAGGACGAAAUUUUGGUUGUUUAGCGAAUUCCAGUAUUUCAUUAAAUAAUGAACAGCUUUUCAGUGGCUCAUUUAAUCAAUACAUUUUACAUUGAAACCAAAUAAUAUAAAUCCACUUUGCAAGUCCAGUAAAAUUAAAAUUAUUUUUUAUUAUAUAAUCAAAAAUCCAAACAAUAAAUGUACAGAUGUAAUAAAGUACAAAAUAUGAAAACUUUCAAUUUAUAGAAAUAAAAGUAUUUAAAAAAAAAUAAAAUAGGUUUUCAAAACUAAAAAAUACGCAUUUUGAUUAUAAGAGAAUAUGGAUUGAUGUAAAGAAUAAAAUUGCUUAAUAAUUACACAAGAAUUUGGCAUAAUAAUUAAUUUAAUUUAUGAAACAGUUUUUUAAAAAAUUUAAAUGCUAAAAAAGAAAUUAAUACACUUACAAUAAAAGUAUAAAAUUAAUAUACUUACAAUGUAUAUAUGUAUAUAUAUAUGUAACAGAAUAUAUUAAAAUUAUUUUUUCACAUUUUUCAAAAACAUUGUUCGUUCUCCGGGGCAGGUAGUGGCAGGUUGGAUUUAAUAUUGGUUUUCGAAUAUAACACUUUAAGAAUUGUUUGGGUAUAUAGUUUAGGUCUAAUAGAAUACGAGACUUGAUUUUCCUGUCGAUUCCAAAAUUGGUUUAAAAUAUGUAUGUUUUGUUAGUUAAAUAGCAAAUAAUAAAAAUAGUCUGUUUCGAACCUCCCCGACGUUUUUUUCUUUAUAAAAAAAAGGCUAAAUAAUUAUCUCAUACGUUUGAAAAGGAACUAGUUAAUUAUCGAUCUUUUUAUGACUACAAAAUUGUUAUGGUAUUUGUAAUUUAAAAGAGGCUAUCGUAUUUUGUUUCCAUAUUAACAAAACAACAUAAAAGUAGGUUGAGCUGUACGGAGUCUUAAUAAAUUUAAACUCUUUAAAACUCAUACUUUAACAAAAGUUGGAUGCUCAUGAGUCAUGAAGUACGAUCUUUAGACCAAAUUGUCUUCCAUUAUAACAUAAAGAUAUGGUUUAAGUGAUCUUUACAUAUAAUCGUUACAAGUUGUGCAGAAUCCUUGGCUAAAGAAAUGUUCUUUUCAUUUGUUUUUUGUUUUUAAUUUCCUUUAGCACAAAAGAGGGUUCAAUGUGUUCUAAUUAAAGAAAACAUCCUUAAAAGAGAAAAAUGUUUCAUUUAAGGUAUCUUCCUUUUUUGAAAAAUCUCCUGAAAAAUAUUUCACAAUUAUCUUAUCGCAAUUUGUAGAUCUGGUCGUUUUAUUAUAUCCAUCCAUUGUAAUCAUUUCUUGGGGAUGAUCCUGUGCAUGCUCCCUUUAGAUUAUAAUGAAAAUUUAUGUAAUCAAUUUAAACAUAGUGCUUCUACGAUGUAUAAUAUAUAUAUAUAUGCACGUAUCUCUGUAUUUUCUUAAAAUAUGAUAGCAAAAUGUAAAUCAACCUAGUGGUACCAAUGGUUUUAUAGGGUUUAGGGAUCAAUCCACCAUUUUCGCACCACAAAUAUCUUAACUGAUAGAAAUUUGGGAUUUCAAUAAAUCUCGGAGUUUAGUCUUUACUUCGAUCUACAAAUGAUUAGAUUAUGUAUGUAUCAAGAGACCAAACGGCAAAAACUUACUAAUUGUGAUUACAUCGACAAAUAUAUUUUUUAUUUUUAAAGUUUAUCUCAUUUUUAUUGCCCAGUUAUUUUAUUAUAGAUAUGGCCCAAACUAUGUAUAACACUAAAUGUUGUAUUAUAUGAUCAUUUACAAAUUUUGGUUAAGUAAAUGAUGUACACUACUUAUAUUGUGUUAUGUGUAAAAGGUUUAGGAUAUGGCAAAAAACUGAUUUUCUUCCUAUGUCUGAUUUUUAGUGAGAACUUAUUUAUAUCUAAUUAAUAAGUUGAAAUAGUAUAAUUCGUUAGACAUAUUAUAAGUUUGGUGAAUGGAUAUUCAACAGUGACGUGUAUCUUAAAAGAUUAAUCAAAUGCUAAAAAUUUGGAUCAAGGUAAUCCAUAAAAUAUUGUUGGCUCAUUAUUACAGUUUCUGUAAAUUAAAGUAUAUAAAUGCAAGUUUUAAAACCACUGAAGAUGUUGACCUAAAUCCAAAUAAUUUCACGGGACAAGCACAUUGGUUAUUCAGAACAUCCUAAAUAGUAAAUACCGACAAUAAUUGAAAUUGCUCUAAAGUCAAUAAUUUAUAUCUCAAGCUACAUAUAGUUGAUUCUUAAGGCACUAUAACAGCAUAAACUGGUUAUAUAUAUAUAUUGACACCAACAAAUAUUUGCUUGCAUUUCUAAAAUAAGAAAUAUCUCUUAUUCAUGUAUUUCCCUAGCUACAUCUCUAGUUGGCUAGUUGCACAUAUAUUUACUUUAAACUAAUAAUAGGACUCUGAAAUAAACUUGCAACAAAAGGUGCCUGUUAAAAUUUACAUUUUUUUAAAGUAAAAAAUACAUUUUCCAUGUAAUUUACAUUUUUAACCAAAACAAAAAGAAAUGUAACUAACAUAUGUAAAUAGUUAUAAAUAGGUUCUGAAUGGAAAAGCGGAUCAGGCGUUGGAUCUAACGGAUCAAACGGAUCGAACAAAACAAGAGUGGAUCUAGCGGAUCUAGCGGUUCAAGUGUGUAUCAAGUGAAUAUAGUUGUUCAAAUUACUGUACAAAUUUAAAACAACUUACAUAAAACUUUAUAAUACUAUUUAUUUUCAUAAUUAAACAGAGUUAUUAUAAAAAAUACUUUAUAAAAGAAAAAUAAUUUCAAUAAGUAUAAAUAUUUUUCAAAGUAUAAUUAAAAAAAUUAAACAUAUAUAUAUAUAUAUAACUAUUUUGAGCUUUAAAAAAAAAUAUAUAUAUAUAUAUAUCUACUUUUGUGUGCUUUAAAAUAAUUAUAAGUAAACAGUUUUAAAAUAUAUUUUUUCUGAAAUAAAAUUACACAUUGUCAAGAAAAUAAAGUUUAAUAUCAACUAAUAAGAUAUAUAUAGUAUAUAUAUAUAGCCAAUAUAAUUAGGAGUGGACAUUCGAGUAUCCGUUCGGAUAUCAGUUUGGAUAUUCAUUCAGGUCUACUCAUGUUUGAGGACUAAAGAUUUGAGUUUUUUCCAGAUAUUUAUAAAUCGGUUUGGGUUCAGUUAUGUUUAUUGUGAGUUCGGUUGGGUUCGGAUACCUAUAUAAAUUAUGUAAAAGUUUCAAAAAUUCAUUAAUUUUUUUAAGGUUUUCAAAAUCUUAAAAUAAAUAGGUUAACGAACUCAGCCAAUAACUGAUUUUUGAAUCCGCCAACUUGAAUUAUAUUCGUAAUUAAAAAACAAAAAUUUUGGUAUGGUCGAUUCAGUUACAUUUAAAAAUUAGAAAAUAAAAGAUAUUAAUUACAGAGUAAUUAUUUUAGUUACUGCACACAAAAUAAAUAAAAUUUUAAUUGAAUUUUAGUUUUUAGUUGAAUUUAUAGUAUACAUUAAUUUAUAAUUGAAUUUAAAAUAACUAAAGUAUAAUACAAGAGCCAUUUAAAACACUCCAUAUUGCAAGCACACUUUUGAUCCACCUGUGGUUCUUCACUUUUCUUCGGCUCCGAAUGGAAAAAGCGGAUCAAGCGUUGCGGAUCUAGCGGAUCAAGCGAAUCGAGUGGAACAAGAGUGGAUCUAGCAGAUCUAGCGGUACAAGUGUGGUUCAAGCGGAUCUAGCGGUCUAAAAUAUAUGUUUGAAUGGUGAAAGUGGAUAAGAAGCAGUCUAAAAUACUGUACAAAUUAAAAAAAAUAUAUAAAAUGUUGUAUUAUUUAUUAUUUUCAUAGUGAAAAGUAUUUUUAAUAAUUUAUUAAUUUAAUAAAUAUACAUUCCUAUUCAUAUUAUAAUAAUUUAUGUAAGUAUAUUUAUAAAUUUUAUUAAAUUUAAAACUCAUUAAUUUUUUUAAUUAUUUUUGUCAUAGAAAUAAUUCAUUUAUUAUUUAAUCAUAUCAUUUAGUUUUUAUGUACAUUAUAUAAUAUUAUUUUUUUGUAAAUUAAAAUAAUAUAAUAUAUAAAGAAAACCACUUGUACCACUCCAAAUAUGAAAAAUGUUUAUUAGUGGUUCUUACUAAAUCAUAAAAAUAUUUAAUAAGACUAUCUCCAAUAGUUCACUUUAUUUUUUUCAAAAUAAUGUAACUCUAUGAUAGAGUUGAAUUAUAUUACAGUGGUAUUAUAUUUUAGAAUAAAAAGUAAAGUGAUUAACAAAAAAUAUUAUAGCAUUUUGCAAAUAUUAAAUUAUUAUAGAUGUAAAAAUAAAAUAGUGAAUAUAUAUCUAGAACAAUAUAAUUUGUAAAUACUGAAUAAAUUAUAAAAUAUUUUGUUUGUUUAGUUUUAUUAAUUCAAAUAGUAAUAAAAAGUAAAUUGUGGAUAUAUGAUAGUUUGAAUUAAAAAAGAUGCAACAUUAACAAAUCAUGAUAUUUCAAAUUUAUUUUUAAAAAGUUUAGACUGCUUGUUACACUCCCUUUGUCUUGUAAAAACAGUCCUCCACUUUUUUUGGCUAAAAGAUAAAAAAAAAAAAUCUGAUACACUAGUGUAUCUUCCACAAAUGUAAUGUGUUUAGAAAUUUUUGCUGAAUGGGAUGAAAAAGUGGAGGUUUCACUUGAAGUGUAUGGCACACCAUUUGCUCCGUCUCUCAUUCAUUGCCUUCAUAUUAAAGGACUGGCUUACUGUUUAUGGUAUUUCCUCCGUUAAGUGUAACUAGAUAAAUAAUUUUGUUGAAUGGAAGAUUAUGAUGUAGAUCCUCCAUUAGGUGUGAGAACUGUUUAAUAUAUGCUUCCCAUUCUUAGAGAUAAUAUGAACCAAUAUAAUCACUGAUUCACUAUGAAUUACUUCUAAAUAAAAAUAUCAUCAAAUUUUAAUAAGUAUAUCAACGGGAAAAAGGUAUACGUCCAGUGGCGGACGCAAAGCCAAAGGCAUGGGGUCAUGUGCCCCCAUCCCUUUUUUUUUCUAUAAUAAUUAGUAUGACAUAAAGAGUGCCCUAAUUAGAGCAUUGGAUAUAGUGUAUAUUUUCAUGUGUCCCAUCUGCAUAUAAUCCUGGAUACGUCCCUGUAUACGUCUGACCAAUUUUCUAUAGAUGUGAAUGGAUAUGGUGUGGACGGGAUAGGUAAGGGAUGACGGAAUGAUAUCAAAGUAUGAAAAUUUUGAUAUUACUUCAUCCGUCUUGUAUCCAUCCCAUAUUUCUUCACAAAUUCUCUUUUCGUUUCGAAACUUAUUUCAAUGGUUUCAUCUAUGUGGUGUUGUUAUUUUGGCCAUCUCUGCUACUCGAUUUCAAUCAUUUUGUUUUUUAUUCAGGUAGCUUCGAGCCUCUAUUCGAUUUUGUUUUCCAAAAACUUUAGCCAGAAAGAUAAUGAUUAAUAAAGUUAAGUAGAUUGAAAUAAUAGUGGAAGAUAUAUUAUACAUACAUGAUAUCAAAAGAGAUGGGACGGGGAAAUCUUAAGCGAUGAAUGGUGGGUCUCCCAAAUCUUACACUUGACGUGUUGCUUUUUAUUUUUAUUUUCCCACAAACCACUCUCCUUUGGCACAGAUAAUUCAUAACUGUGCAGUAAAUCAUAUGCAUAACCGCAGCACUACCAAAAUAUUUUUAUUUUAUUUUACGAAUCAUACCGUGUAGUUUGCAGUUCCCAAAUGCGCCAUACUAAAUCAUUGAAUGAUAUUUUUCAUAUAUAUGGUUCGAAUGAUUAACACGAACAACAACUGUGAUUCUACUAGUAACAAAAACAUAUAAAUAAAUGUUGAGAUUUUUAUUAAUAUUAAUUGGAUAUGGUACGGUGCAGUUUGCAAACAUUCGGACCCAUAAUAUAUACGUGAAAUGCAUCUAUAAUUAAAUGAUCGGAUCUUCAAAUAUUUAUGGUCAUCAUGAUUAGGGCGCUUAUACUUUCAUAGUUUCAUUAAAUUAUCUUUAACUUACACCGAUAUAUGCUACUUCUAAGUUCUUCCUAGUAUGAUAUUUUAGUAUACCACUUCGGUACCAAACGGGUACAAGUAGAUAUGACAAUGCGGUCGACUUAUAACAAAGACGAUUUGUAUUGUCAGAACUGUACGAAAUAAACAGUCACAUUAAACUGUUGAAAAUGAACUAAUAUAUGACGCACAAAAGUUUUUUUAGAAGUUGUUUCUAAUGAGUAAAAUUCAAGAAAUUUCAUAUCUCGACAAUAAUAGGUUACAAUAGAAGUGCAAACUCAAUACUCCCUCAGUUUCAGUUUAAUUAUCGUUUUAUAGUAAAAUUUUCGUUUCAAAAUAAGUGUUGUUUUAGAAUUUCAGUACAAAAUUUAUUAAUAAGAUUUUCCACUUAAUUUUUCUAUUGGUUGAAAUAUGGUUAUGUGCAUAUGUAAUAAUGUUUUUGUUUUAGAAAUAUGCAAAAUUAAAUAUUUCUUAAUCUCGAUGGAUAAACCUAAAACGGCAAUUAAAAUGUUACGGAAGGAGUAGUAACUAAACUUCUUUUUUAACAACAUGAGAUUUUGAAUGCAGUUAAAAUUCACUGAACCCAUAAAACAAGGUUUAAUAAAACUUAAAUGAAUUUAUAAAUAAAAUAAAACUAUAAUUUGAAGACCUUAAAAAUUCUUACAACUAGACACAAUACAACCGAUGUAAUGUCCAUAUAUAUAGGCACAUAAUUGCUAGUUUGGAUUUCAAAAUCUAAUUAGAGUAUGUAUCUGUUGACAAAAAAAAAAUCUUACAAGUCAUCUUCUCAAUCAUUUUUCAACCAUUUCAUAGAUUUUGCUUUGAAUAAAGUAUAGAAAAAUAUGUUGUCAUGAAGCUACCACCUCCAGUAUAUAUAUAUAUAUAUAUAUAUAUAUAUAUAUUUGCAGUAUGGAGGUGGUAGCUUCAUGACAACAUAUUUUUCUAUACUUUAUUCAAAGCAAAAUCUAUGAAAUGGUUGACAUGACCAUCAUUCAAAAGCUUAUUGUAGUUAUUAAAUAUGUGUUAUAAAUGGUGUGCUAAUUGAUUUAUGAUGAACCGUGUUACAAUAUAGUUCAUCUUCUUUUACCAUGCUAAUUAUUCUUCAUAUAUAAUUAGAAGUAAUCCGAAUUAUUAGCUGCGACUAAUAUUUUCAGAGGAGUUUACUAAUGGAAUUGCCUACUCGCAAGAUUUUCUACCAUAUUUAAAGAAGAUACUAUUUCGAGUGAACAAAUAAAAAUUGUUAGAUAAUUUUACAUACGAAGAGAAUCGAUGUCUAUCUUUUUUUUUAUAAGAAAAUACAUUUCAUUCAAUUAAUUGUAUACAUUACAUAUCAUCCCUCGGGACUACAGCUUUGACCUCCGAUCAACAAGAUCAUGAUCCAAAGACAAAUAAUAUGGAGAUUCGAUCUCUGACUUAUACCAACAUGGCAACUCUUCCUAAAAUACAGAUUAUUAAACAACUAUCACUUACCAUGCUAACUAAAUUAAUUUAUGAUAUCAAACCUUAACAAUAUUUAUCAUUCAAAACAUUUCAUAUACCGAGUGAUGAAGAGUAUAAAAGAGUACAUCAAAAGGUUUUGAUUCCAAACUUCCAAUAGUAAUACUUUGUUAUACGUGUAAAUAGCAUAGCUGCAUAUGACUGCAUUUAAUGUGUUGUUUGGAUUGAGUUCUUGGUUAUAUAAAAAGUGUGUUGGCUUAUGAAAAUGUAAAUUUGACCAUUAGUCCAUGACGUUGACUCGAAUGACAGAUUUGCCAGAGAAGUCGGUGUUUUAAAUAGAUUGUUUUUUCUGGCAUCAAAUAAUUAUUUAAACGUCAGAUACAAAAUAAUUUUGUCUAGACACUUAUAUUUCGUUAAUUUUUAUUUUUAUUCUUAUUCUUAUUCAUGAAAUCCAAAGAAGAGUUAACUUCCACUCGACAAGACAGGUUUCCCGUGCAGUGCCCAUAGACUUGAAAUAAAAAUAAUUCUAUCUGUUUCAUAAAAAAUAGAGAAUUUGUAUUCCCUACCCACAACAUAUACCCUAUUUGCACUCUAUACCCUAUUUCCCCCCAAUUUUUUUCCCCCCAUCAUCACCAUUUUCCCUCAACUCUAUGGUAUCUCACUUCUUUUUGGAUAUUGAGCUAAUUUACUCUAAAAAAUAUCAUUCUAACUUUUUAAUGUAUUUUUAAAAAAUUUCCAUUCUACCUUUUAAUGUAAAUUUUCAUAAUAAUUAUCUUUCUUACUUUUUUAAUUAACCAAUAUAUAUUUACUUAAAUUAUUUUCAUUUAGUAAUUGUAUAAUAAAUAAGAAUACUAGUAUAUUUUAUUAUUUUUAAUAUGUUUAAAAUAUGUCUAAAUGACACUUACUAUAAAAUGAAAGAAAUACUACAUUUUUAGAGUUAUACUAGAAUUUCACCAAUCAGACAAUUUUAAUUAGUAAGGAAACUUUAAAAUUUUAAUAUAUUAUACUAAAGAGACUGCGUUGUUAAUCAAGUGGUGGUAGUUUAGUGGUAAUCUCUUGGAGGGUUGGUGUGUAUCUACGUCAGUUUUGGGUUCGAUUCUACAAAGAAACUACUAUUUGGUCAGUCUUGACUUGAAUUUCGGUCCAAAUAAUUUACAUGGUGGAUUGUAACAGACGAUCGAUUCACCCCUUAGUAAUAGUCGGAAGAUAUUCAAACGCAGAUCGAACAGUAUUGUAUGCUUUUGGACUAGCUCAUUUUGUAGCACUACCGGAUUGCCAAUAGAAUUUAUAAAAAGAAAAGAAAAAAAAAAGAGAUUGCGUCGUUAAACUGACCUAGUAAUGUGUCGGAGAGGAAUUUAAUCGAAAUUAUUAUUGGUAAUGGUAUGCUCCAGGAUUAUAAAUAUGCGAUAUUAAGACCAAACAUUUGGAUAAGUCAUACGCCAAAUUUGCACGAGACAGAAACACUUGGAGUUUUGUAAACCAAGUUUAAGAAUGAUGGGAUGCUGAUAGAAAGGUAUCUCAUUAUCUAAAAUGAUCCAACAUAUUAAAAAGAAAAAAUUAAAUUAAUAUACAGGCUUUUCCUAAGAAUUAUGUAAACCAUGUCUAAGAAUGAUGUGAUGCUGAUAGAACAUGUAUCUCUUUUUUUUUUUUGGAUCAAUAUCUCUUUUUCUCAAAUGAUCCAACUAAUUAAAAAGGAAUAAAUGAAAACUAAUUUAAUACCCCAUAUUUUCUAGUAAAUAAUAAAAUCUAUAGUUUUGGAGGGAGAAAAGAAAGAAACAAUAGACCGCAUGUGAGAUGGGCCAGACAAUCUGAACCAACUGGCAGUUUUUCGAGAGACAUGCAUGAAUGCCUUUCUCUCUUUUCUUACUCAAGUUUAUAUGCUUUUUUUUUAAUUGCGCAUCUACUAUUUACUUCUUUUUUUCUCUUCUGUGCUAAAUACUAUUUAUUUUGUAGAUUGAUUUUGUUAUCUUUAUAUCAUUUCUUCGUACAUACGUUCUUAUCUCUUUUUUCUUUUUAUAUCAUACACGAUUUGUUCUGUUGAUACUGUUUCUCAGGAUAGAUGCACAAGUCGCUUGUAAUUCUCGUAAUUCUUAAUUUAGAUAUUAAUUAUUAGAAAAAUCAAAAUAAUACAAAAUCCAACUUAUGGAAAAUAAAAAAUAAAAUAAAAUUGUCGUUAUAAAAAAAAUGUUAAACAACCCUUUGUAGAUCUGUGUUGGAUAAAAUGUCGAUGUCGAGGUAUAUCGCCACAAACUUCUACGAUUAAAAAAAAAGAAAAGAAUGACUUUCCCGCCACUGCACUGUCACCAUGGUGGAGUAUCCGUCUGUCUGAUUAAAAUCCGAUGGCCACACCAUUAACUACUGAAAAAGCCAUCUCAUAUAUCUGAGAAUCGAAAGCUGUACCAGGUUCUAAAAGGCACCAUACACCACCGUCAAGCUAUCACCAUUUUUAUACGGAUCUACAUUGGAGUUAAAAACCACUAGAUAACUGGUGAAUUCUCCAUACCGAUUAGAGAAAGAUGUCCUUCAAACCACUUCAAAAUCUAUGACGGGUCUUUCCACCGUUCUCUAGCAGAGACGAAUGUGAUAAUCCAAAUACUCCUUCAACGAGAGAUCUAAGAUCAUGCACUAUCUCUUCCACCAAAUAUUGCAUCAUCACUCCUGAAGAACAUAAGUAAACUUUUCCUUUUGCUGAAAUAUUGUUAUUAUUAAUUAAAUUUGACAAAAAAAGAAAAAUUGGAAAGGAAAUUCUUGCCUGAUACCAACAUGCGUUAGAAAUUUUGAGAGAAAAAAUUGUACGCAUGUGAAACCAACGUGCGUCGAUCUUAUUUAAUAUGUUGAUUAACGAUAAGUAUUUUCGUGUAGUUCUUGUAAAAAUUGAUUCUGAAUUUCAAGUAAAAACGAAAUAACUUGAAUACUUUUCCGGUAUAGUGAUAUGUGGUGUUUUUAAUACCAAUACAUGUGCACUUUGAGCUCAUUUUCAGUCUAAAUUCGUGUUUAAUUUACAUCAUUCUAGGUUGGGAACAGGUGAAAGAGUAAAGGAGAGAGUUUCAGGAAGUCUGAUGCUGUUUCGAAGGAUUCAACGUGGAACAGUCAUUUAGAACAACCCAAGGGUUGCUCCCAAAGAGAUCAAGCAUUAGACUGCUCCCGCUCAUUAAGGAAACUUCCUAUUCUGGAGUUUGCCCUAGUUUCGACUUUCUCUUUCUCUUAUUCUCCUAUCACCAGCGCCUCCCUAUAAAAGGGGAGGCUAUCGUUUUCUUAAAGGACACACGAGUUUUACAAGAAACCUAGAUUACUCUUUUGGAUUUUACGCAACUUGUAAGGGAGAAGGCUCCAUCUCUCAUUCUCACGAGAAGAUUACCCUGAACCCUUUGUCUUUUUACUUAUUUUAUAUGCAGUAUUAUUCAGGAAUCUUGCUUGUGUCAUCCUGCUUUAUGAUUGAGUAGUAGGCAAAGCUUGCUUAGGGUUGUAGGGUGUUAGCCGCAUGAACUGAACACAAAUAAGUGAUCUCAACUAUCUUCAUUCAUAUUGAUCUUACUGCCUGUAUUGAACUGAUCACUUAAUGUUGGAUCUAUGAUUUAAUCCUCUAGCUAACCGUUAGAAGAUAAGUCGACCUAUAUUGAAUGAGCUUAGUAUCUCUAAUCAGCGAGAGUAGAUAUUAGGGUAUUAAGUGAACUAAUCAGAUCUCGCAUCUAAAGCUUGCUUUCGCGUCUUGUUCCAAGCGAGAGCAUAGGAUUCAAGACCGACUCGCAUAGGGAAUAAGAUCACGAUAGUGAGUUGUUCCAGCUGAGUGAUCUGAGUUCUAGAUCGCAUUUCAUCGCACUUGAAUAGUUGUUCAGUUCUGCAAGUAACAUCCGAUUAUUGACCCUAAGUCAGCUUCAUUUAAAAUGAAUUCAAAUUACCUAGGCAUUCUUGUUACUUUUGUCGCAAUUAAUUCUCAAAACCCACUUGUUUCUCAGCUUGACAUUGAACUCAUAAGAGUAAAGAGUAAACUGGUCCUCUGGAUUGAAUCUCAAAUAUUACAAUUACCACUGUUAACUUGACAGUAGCAAGGAUUCAUUUUUAGUGUAUCAUAUAGCGGCUAUGAAUAUCUCCAACUUACAUCUAUUUUUUCUGUUACGGCAUUUAGGGACAUAACUAUUUCAUCUCACCUCUAUUUUUUCUUCUGAAAUAGAGAUCAUUAUGUUUAUCUUCGUCUCUUAGACAUUAUUUGCAAAGUAAUUUUGACACAUGUCCUCUUUACAAUAAUUUUCACUAAAUAAAUAUGACAUGGCAUACUAGAAUUGAUGACAUGGUAUACUAGAAUUGAUGACAUGAUUUAUGGUUAAAUGUGAGGGCUUUUUGCAAAAUUGACCUACAACUUAAAGUCAAACACAAAACUAACCUCUUUUUUUUUUGAAAAUUGGUUUUGCCCUAUUCACCCCACAAGUUCAUAUGAUUUACGAAAAUGCCAUCAAUUUUUUUUUUUUCGAAAAUGACAUCUUUACUCUCUCACCCUCAUCAUUUUCAAGUAAUUACAAGAAUGCCAUUGUCAUCAAUACCACAACCACCAUGAACAACCAAUUUGAAGCUCUUAAUGCUUCCAAAAUUGAUUUACCCUUCUUCUUUUUCCAUUCUUGUGAACUAAAUACAACAUAUCUCUCACUUUCUCUCCACAAUGAGCUAAAAAAAACCAAGAUUUUGAUUCUAAAAUUUUAAUGGUUCAUAGAGUCAUAGAAGCUAACGAUUCUGGGUGGGUGACUUUCGUUUGUGAUUCUGUGUGCUUGGAGAAGCCUUAUGUAUGCUAAGGAACUUAUCUCACCAAUUUAAGGUAUGACAUCGAGUUUUUUUCCAGAUCUGUUUGUCAGACGACUUACUUGGGAAGUCGUCUGGCUGUAGACGACUUACUUGGAAGUCGUCUGGCUGUAGACGACUUACCUAGAAGUUGUCUGGUCAACGCAGAGGUUAUUUUUGCAAUUGACUUUGAAAUUUGUAACCUGAGACGACUGAAAGUUAAGUCGUCUACUAUUGUUUGGUUUCAAAAAAAAUUUCAAAAAACCUAGACGACUUAUAUUUCAGUCGUCAUAGGUUAGUUUUGCAUUUGACUGGAUAAUUUCAGAAGUUUGACUUCCCCAGACGACUUACAUUACAUUUCAGUCGUCUGUCGAAAAUUAAAAUAAUAAUAUUUUUUUAAAAGUAAACGACUUAGAAGUAAGUAGUCAUAGGUUAGUUUUGCAAUUGAAAAAAAAACUUCAAGAUUUAAUUAUACACAGACGACUUAUAAUUCAGUCGUCCACCAGACGACUUACGUGUAAGUCGUCCAGGAUUUUUUUCCGAGAUUCUGGUCAAACCUCGUAAAUCCUGGACGACUUACAUUUCAGUCGUCUCGUGGACGACUGAAUUAUAAGUCGUCUGUAUAUAAUUAAAUCUUGAAGUUUUUUUUUUCAAUUGCAAAACUAACCUAUGACGACUUAACUGUAAGUCGUCUACUUUUAAAAAAAUAUUAUUAUUUUAAUUUUCACUAGACGACUGAAAUGUAAGUCGUCCAGAAAAGUCAAACUUCUGAAAUAAUCCAGUCAAAUGCAAAACUAACCUAUGACGACUGAAAUGUAAGUCGUCUAGCUUUUUUAGAGUUUUUUUUAACCAAACAAUAGUAGACAACUUAUUUUUCAGUCGUCCGAAAUAACAGAUUUCAAAGUCCAUUGCAAAAAUAACCUCUGCGUUGACCAGACGACGUAUAGUUUAGUCGUCUGGACAACUUAGAUUGAAGUCGUCCGCGUCUUCUCCGCUAGUUUUUAAGUCUUCUACGUUAGUUUUUGAAUAACUUGUAUUUUUAAGAGUGAUAAGUAACUUCAAGAUAUGUAAAACUCAUAUUUACAAAAUAUGUUCUCUUCCUUAGUUUUACUAAAUUUGACUAAGUUUUUCAACGCACACUUAUAAAAAAUAUGAUAUGCUUUGACUAGUUACUAUUGUUUGUUUCCAUCUCUUAAGUAUUAUUGUUAUAGACAAUAAUGAUGACUAUUGUUAUGAGUUGGAAGAAGGGUUAAAUGCUUCUUAAAAUGUUGUAUCAAUAUGAAGCUACCAACAUUCUUGUUUAUUAAGAUGAGAAAAAGGCCAUUGGAGUUUAUUAUUGCAUAUGAGAGAUCCAAAGAUAAGAAAAAGGCUACUGAAGUCUAUUAUUUCAUUGAUUUGUAAAUGUGUAAACACAUUGUUAGCACAUUUAAUACAUCUUGGAAAACAUUAUUACUGAUUUUACAAAAAAUUCACAACUAAAAUAAUAGACAUGCAAUUCACAAAACAGACCACAAACAAAACUAUUAUAUAUCAUUCCUCUACAAAGACAAGCUUGGAUUCCACUUGAGUAGACAAGACCAGACGACUUUUAAGAAGUCCAGACGACUUUGUCAGAAGACUUUUAGGAAGUUCAGACGACUUCCAGACGACUUUACAGGAAGUCCAGACGACUUUUAGGAAGUCCAGACGACUUCCAGACGACUUCCAGAUGACUAACAGGUAAGUCGUCCCAGAAGUCUUCCAGAUCUGAAAAACCUGCAUAUUAAAUCCAGAUCUGAAAAACCUGCAUAUUCAAAAACGUUUAAAUGGCUUAAAAACAGAAAAAAUGAGUGGAAGAUUAGAUAAAUCUACCUUUACAGAACACAUAAAAAUACAUAUCUAAAAAUAAUAGAUCUACCUUUAAAUUAGUGGAAGAUGAGUACCAUCUAAUUAAAAACCUGCAAAAAAGAUAGAUUAGUAAGAAAGACAUGAGACAAAACUGAAAAAUUCAUAUAAAGUUUGGUGUUUUCAAGUCAAAAAGAUUAGAGUGGGUUUGGAGAGUUUUAGUUUGGGAAAAAAGUAAGAACUUUAUACAACAAGAAGUUACCAAAUGAAGAAAAAUCAGACAUAAGAACUUACCAAAACGCUCAGAAAAAUCCAGACGACUUCCUGGAAGUCCAGACGACUUUCUGGAAGUCCAGACGACUUUCUGGAAGUCCAGACGACUUUGUCAGAAGACUUCCAAGAAGUCCAGAUGACUUCCAGACGACUUCCAGACGACUAACAGGUAAGUCGUCCCAGAAGUCUUCCAGAUCUGAAAAACCUGCAUAUCAAAUCUAGAUCUGAAAAACCUGCAUAUCCAAAAACGUUCAAAUGACUUAAAAAUAGAGAAAAUGAGUGGAAGAUUAGAUAAAUCAACAUUUAUAGAACACACAAAAAUACAUGUCUAAAAUUAAUAGAUCUACCUUUAAAUUAGUGGAAGAUGAGUACCAUUUGAUUAAAAACCUGCAAAAGAGAUAGAUUAGUAAGAAAUACAUGAGACAAAACUGAAAAAUUCAUAUAAAGUUUGGUGUUUUCAAGUCAAAGAGAUUAGAGAGAGGUUGGAGAGUUUUAGAAUGAUGAACUUUACAUUUUUGUUGCAGCCAUUUGAGAGGAGUAGAGAGAAUGUGUAAAUUUUUCUUUAUAUAGGGAGACAAAAAAUCCAAUUAGGUUAAAUAUUUUUGACUCAGACGACUUUCUGGACGACUUACAUUUCAGUCGUCUGGUGAAGAAAUUAAAACAAACGACUUACAUGUAAGUUGUCCAGAAGAGUUUAAUAUUUUUAGCGGGAAAUUAAAUAUUUUUAGCGGAAAACUAAAAUAGAAGACUUUCCAGACGACUUACAAGUAAGUCGUCUAGUUUAAAUAAUUUAAGCGGGAAAAUAACUUUUUUAAAAAAUUUUAGGCGGGAAUAUUUGGACGACUUACAUGUAAGUCGUCUGUUUUAAUUUCUUCACCAGACGACUGAAAUGUAAGUCGUCCGAGUAAAAUGAUCCGGUUAGGUUAAAACGUACAUUGGUAAAAUUAAAGGUUCGGUACGAUGUGGAGGACUGAAAUAUACGUCGUCCGAGUAAAUUAUUCAACAGACGACUGAAAUAUAAGUCGUCCACACCCUAAACAUAACCCCUAAACUUAAUUAUUUAAUUAAACACUUCAUAAAACCAAAUCAAACUUGAAAAGUGUUUACUAUACACAGAAAUAAACACAUAUUGGUGAAAACUAAUUUUUGAAAAAAACUUUUUAGUUUUCCAAAAUCUAACCCUAACAAUACAUACAAUACUACAACAUAUGUUUGCCAAACUCAUAAACCAAGUAUUUCAUGAUUCACUACUUCCACUCAUCUAUCUUCAAAACAAAUCAAUUUUUUCAUAUCUUAAUUUAUAUCACUUAAAACUGUUUAUAAUUACUUGAUUUUUAUUUUUCACGCAUCAAAAUAUUUUUUUACAAGAUUUAAAAAUUAUUUUUAAAAUAAACUGGUACCAGACGACUUACACUUCAGUCGUCCAGACGACUUCCAACAUCUCAGACGACUCAGACGAUUUACUGAAGCUAUAUUCGUAAAAAUGGCUUCUGUUUUUUUGUUUGGUCACAAGGGGCUGAGCUGUAAUUUCACUAGGCUUUUAGGUUAGUUUUGCAUUUGAUUCAAGUUUGGGUAUAAGUUUGGGAUUAAAAUCAAGUUGUGGGUUAGUUUUGGCAAAAACCUCUAAAUGUGACAUGGACAAUUUCAUUUAAUUUUUAUUUAUAUUUCUCGUAAACCUUUUAGAAUAUGAUAGUAAAUUAUGCAUCACCAACAAAUUAAAUCUACUCAAAUAUGAUAUUAAAUAAUAUGAUAAAAUAUAUAAUAAUAGUAUACCAAUUUCUAAUUAUUAUUUAUUUCUAUUUUUUAUAAUUAUAAUUACUAAAAAAUAGUUUUCAGUAUUUUUACAAUUUAAAAAAAAUAAUCGGAAUAUUAUUAGCUUCUUGUACUUUUUUAUAAUUAUACAAAUUUUAUAUCAACUUUUUAUUAAUUUUAUACAGGCUGAUUUAAUAUAUUUUCUCCAAAAGAAAUAGAUAAAAAUAUAUCUGAGAUUAUAAUUUUAAAUCUAUACAUAUCUGUUUUCAAAUAUAAGUUAAAAUAAAUAAUUUGUUUAUUUUAUUUAAAUUUAUGUUCAAUUAUAUCAAAAUUUAUAUUAAAAUAUUAGAAAGAAAGUAAUAAAAUAUAAAUUAAUUAUAAAAUUUUAUUUUAAAAUAUAAUUUAAAUUUUAAAAAAAAAUUGCUGCACAUUGUGCAGGAAAAUACUUAAUUUAUAGAGAAAUAAAUAACAUUCCUCUAUUUUUAUUCUAUAUUUUGAUAUUGCUAUUUUAUAAAAAUACAUUGAAGCAAAUUACAUUUUUAAUAUAUAAGAAAGAUGGUCUAUUAAAGAAAGUUAGCAAAAAAUAUUAAAGAUGGUCUAUGAGGAGACAUUGUUAUUUUUUUUUAACACAAAGAGAAGACAUUGUUAAUCAAUUGAUGUUGAUGACUUGUUCAGUUCAAACGUUUUAAUGGAAGUAAUGGUAACAACCCAAAAUAAAUUCCAGUUCAAUUGGUGACAGCUUGUCCUGUGGAAGAGUUGUUAAACGGUGAUGUUUUGGGUUCGAAGAACGCCAAACGCACCAACAACCUAACUAUAGGGUCAAUGAAGGCUCAUAAAUAAGAGAUUAGAGUCGAUGCCCUGCAUGAUCAGCCUGGGAUCCAUAGGACGGGUAGUUCCCACGAGACGGAUUGUUAUAGUAAUAUGUUCUACGGAACAAGUGUAAUAUACACGGAUAUAAGAAGUGGAAUAAAGAUUUAAAAUAUAACUUAUAUAAAUAAAACCAGUAAAACUCGAUAAUGUUUUUGUAUUUGAUGUUAAAUCAACCCAUCUCAUUGCCUAUCACCUUAAACUUGUAACGAUUGCAUUAUCAAAUAUCAUCUGAGUGUCCUUCCGAAAAUAUUGUACUAGUGUCCUCAAGUAAAUUCAACUUCGUCCAACAGAAAACAAUAUAACUAUAUUGAUCUGAUUUUGCGAACCUCCAAGACCUCUCUUAUCGUCGAGAGAUGAUGAUAGAUCAUAGAAUUUGGGAACCUUCAAGAGAUGAUGAUAAUGAAUCAUAUAUAGAAAUGAAUCAUAUCACAAAAAAAAAUCUUCAUAAAAAAAUGAAUCAUAUAUAUAGAAGAUAGAAAAACAACUUCGGAUUUAUUAUGACGUAUACAUGUAUAUAUUACACAGUGAAGCACGUGUAUGAUGCGAGUGUGUGUGGGAGCACAAAGGUAAAUGCGUGUAGCUAUGGAACACCGUAAGUACUGUGAAAGCGACCAAUGGAAGUAGCCCUACUGAUAUAUGAAAUGGCAUGUCCUAUCAACUCAUGUAGGUCCUUCUUACGUUUUUGAUCUAACGGCCGUAAUUGGUUCCUUGGUUUCAUAACCUAUCAUCGUACACCGCUCACUUCCGACUCCUACCCUUUUCUGUAUACACUGCCAUCUUUCUUCUUCCUUUCCAUCUCCCUAUGCAUUUAAUAAUAAUAAUAUAGAUGUGUUUAGUAUAUACACUAUGUAUAUAAAUAGUAUUUAUUCUUGUCGACAUUGAAAAUCUUUCCUAUACGAUCCCACUGUAUAUAUCGCCGACAGAAAAAAUUAUGAUAUACAGUAUUUAUACUAAAUACAUAUGCCGGCUGUAGAAAUAGAGGUAUCGCUUUUAAGACUCUUGUGACCAUUUCAAAAGCGCAUAUAUAUAUGUUUUGUGCCCGAGUUUAAAAAAGAAUGUUCAUAGACAAAUUAAUUUUAGUUUCGAUUCCCAUUGCAAGUGUGUGUGACUGAAUACAAAGCAUACGACAUCCUUUCGUAAUUUCUAAAACUCGAUAUCAAUAGAUAUAAAAUAUAUAUGAAACAUUAAUAAGUUUUGUCAUGUUCAGCAGAUGGUUCAUCGACUCACUCUACGAAUAAAAUCUUCAACAAUACAUGUUUAUUAUAGGUUAUCUUAAACAGUUCUGUAUGUACGUGAACGAAAGAACCAAAUGAAAACGAAUUAAACACGUCAGCGGAUAACUGCAGUACAUAUUUGACGCAGAUAGCACACACAAAUAUAAGAGGAGAUACAGGUUGAUACCCGACGCUGUCCCGAAUGCACAAACUAAUAGGUUACAUAUAUAAAACUAGCUAGCCACUAAAUUAACAAACUCAAAUUACUAGUAAUCCUAGAAAUUUGAUUGUAUAUCGUUUGUAACUUUGGAGUGAUCAAAAGAAUAAUAUGUCGGCGAACUAUAUCCAAAAGGACUUCUAAUCAACAAUUAAGACAAUAGGUUUUAUUGAAUAAUAUACCAUAAGCUAUAUAAUCUCGUAUACGAAUUUAUUUUUCCUUCUAUGUUUAUUUUCUCUUAGGACAUAUGAUUUUCGCAAACUGUGAUAUAAAACCACGUAAUGUUUUCUUAAUCCCACAUAGCCGGGAUUUUCUAGCAGCUGAGUCCCAUGUUACUAAAAAAAAUUCAAUAAUGCACCUAUAAUCGAAGCAAAGAAAAAGGAAGAAAAAUCCCAAAAGAAAAGACGACGGUACUAAUCUAUUUUUUUUUUACUAAUCUAUUUUUGUAUAAGUGUACUGAUGUUGUCGUUUCCAACGUUACCCUCGUUAGAUAAUGCACGUGUUUUCUCGCUUACCAGGUUACUAUUAUCAUUUUCCUCUAGAUAUAAGAUUACAAUAUAUAUUUACUGUUUGUGAAAAAAAUUUCCUCAUUAAAAACACUUCGAAAGAUCAACAAAUUUGGUAUGCAGUAAUUUUCGGGUGAAAAGGUUCUUCCAAUUCUAAAAAAAAGGUUCAUUUCUAAUUUUAAUUUGUUAAUCGUUUAUAUAAAACACAGAUAAUAAAAAACGUAAACCACAAACAAACACGUAUUAUUCCUUAUUACAAUUUAUAGCUGAACAAAAACAGAAUCACAAUUUUCCAAAGGAGGAAGUGAAUGUCAGUUCGAAAAUUAUAUAGAGGUGUGUAUAUUGCCCUUUUUACCCUCUCCGAUAUGCAAUUCCAGCUAUAUAUAUCAAUAAAUAAAAUACAGCAGAAUCAGAAAGCCCUAAAAGCGCGUCCUGUCAUUUUUAUCAGGUGAUUUCACUGUCUACCUUGACGUAUUAUCAUUACUCAAUCUAAUAAUGAGGCUAAAGAAUAUACACAAGGGGAAAAAGAGCACUUAGUUAAGAGGAAUAACUAAACGCUAUUCCUGGGAUUAAUAACCGAAGAAUAACAAAAAAAAAUUGUGUAAGCCCAAUCAAAAAGAUAGACUUUUGGUUUAUUACAGCCCAUUAGAUUUUACUCAAGCAAAAAAAUCAUAUUAUAUUUAUACAGAGCCGGCCUUGGAGGGAAGCCAAUGAAGCUGGUGCUUCCGGCCACCAAAUAUUAUCACUCUAACCGGCCACAUCUGGAAAUAAAGUUCUUAGUAGCUCAGUGGUUUGUCUAGUGUUGUUAGUGUUUCAGGUUGCGGGUUCGAAGGACAUCAGCCACAUUUUUUAAUUGGCUUCUAGCCACAUAAUAACUAGGACCGCCUCUGUAUUUAUAGUAAUCAUUCUCGUUGAUGAGUUUAACAAAGUUUCGAUGUGGAAAGUUUACACUUCGUAGAUAUAAAAAUCUUAAAUAUUAUUAAUGCGUAAACAAUUAUAGAGUUUUUUCGUAUAAAUUAUUUCCUUUAAACUCAAGAAUACAUAAUAUUCUAAAUCUUGUUAGACCCCUAAAAUCUUGCUAACCACGAUUUACAUUAUAUUGUAUAUUUUAAAAAUUAUUAAUAAGAAAACAAAUAACAAAAUUUUGAAUAUUAUGUUUUCAAAUGUCCAAAAUAUCGUUAAUAAAUGACACAAUUUUAACUGAAAAGUAAGGAAUUUUAGGGAAAAAAUCUGUGUAACAUGUUUUAAUAGUAUAUAUAACUUUUAACUCUUUCAAUAAUCAUGACAUUUGUGAAAAAAAUCGUAGUUUAUAGAAUUUUUACUGGUAAAUAUAUUGAAAACGUGUGUUAUUAAUAAUCCUUAUUUUCAAUUUGUGAAAUUUUUUUAUUAACAAACUACUUUUCUAAAAUUAUGAUUGACUAUAGUGAAAUGAUUAUUAAUUAAUAUUGCUAUGUAGUUAAUUUGAUAAAAUUAUGUUUACUAGUAAUCAUUUAGAAUUGAAUUAGUCAUUUAGAACUGAAUUCUUAGCUUCGGCUAAGAGACAGUUUUUAGUUUUUCUUAGUAAACCAUCUCUUAAAUAAGAGAUAUAAGAGCACCAUUAACCAAGGGUGCUUGUAGGGUGCUUAGACUUUUUUUAAUUAAAAAAAAGGAAAGAGAAGAAGAAGAAGAAAGAGGAAUGCUUAAUUAGGCAUCAAAAGUACAUGUUGCUUGCACUAUGCGCAGAAUGCUAGGGUUAAUGGUGCCUUUAAGAGUUGUCUUUUAGCCGAAAAAUAUAAAAAAAAAAAACAAAAAAAAUGUCAAAUCAUGAGUUAAAAACCCUAAGAGCAUUUCCAACCCAUUGCUAUUUUCACCUCUAUAAUAGCAUUUAGAGGUGAAAUUGCUCCAACCCAUCUCUAUUUCUUCCUCUAUAAUAGAGAUUUCUAUUUUUUCCUCUAUUUAUAGAGGAAGAAAUAGCAUUCCUCUAUUUUUUACUCUAUAUUUUAGAGAUUGCUAUUUUAGAGGAAUACAUUGAAGCAUAUCUCACUUCUAUUAUAGAGUUCCUCUAUUUUAAAGAUGAAAAUAGCAAAAUAAAUUGGAGAUGGUCUAACUAAGAGACUUGGGUUAAUCAUGCCCUAAAGAACCUAAGAAAGGAACCGCUUCUCGUUCCUUUGGUUGUCGCAUCUGUUAUGUAUCAAAAAGAAAAAAAAAAAACCUAAGAAAGAAAGAAAAACCUAAGAAAACAAAACCGUACAACAUGCAUGAUGAGGUAAACUAACCUGUCUAACACAACUUCUAAAAGGUUAAAUAGUUACUAGAAUCUAUUGCAUACUAGUAUCAUCCUAAAAGUCAAAUACAUCACCGAUGACCAAUAAAAUAAUUUGAAGCUGUACAUUAUGUUGACAAUGAAAUCAUCAUUAAUUAAUGAUUAAUAAUUUAAUAUUGUUAUUAUUUUUAAAAGAAUUUGAAUGGUAAAAGAUAACGAAUGCGACGUUAGUAGCUAGCACAGGAUAUAUCUAAUCUGAUAUAUGGAAUAUGAGUGAUAUGACCAUGAAUGUGUAUAUAAAAUAGUACAGCGGAUUUUAAAUAUCAAUUAUCUACCAUAUGGGUUGGAUGUAUAAUAUUAUAAAAAUGGAAAAUGUACUGAUAUAAAUAGUUUAGUUACAUGGAGGACGCAACGAAGUUUCGAAACUCGGGAGGAGCAGCAAGCAAUACAUAUUAAAGUAGGGCACGAGUCCCCAACGGUAAUAAAAACAUAAAUCAGGGGUAAAAUAGUAAAUGAAUCGUGUACUUUUUGGAAGAACAAGUUGCUUUAAAAAUGUUAAGCGAAAAUAAAAAGACCCGCUACGUUCGGGUUCGGGUCAAAACAGCCAUUGUCGUUCUUUUAUUUCCUUUCGUUCCGAUUCAAAUAAGAGAGAGAGAAGUAAGUUUCGAGCAGAGAAUAACAAUAAUAGUAUUAGCAGAAGCUCAGCUCCGCCACCGCCACCGGAGAAAUCAUUCUCAGUUCCAAACAAACAAAUAAAAAAAAACCCGUCUGUAUCUUUCUUUCUUGGGUAGACAUGUUGUGCAACAGUUGAGAGCAGUUGCAUGCCCCUCCCCACCCAUAACUUCCUUUCUCAUUUCCCGAUCUUCGCAUUAAUCAUACUCCUGGGAGAUCUCACGACACCAAAACCCAGCUUAAAAGAAGAAGAAGAAGAAGAAGAUCUACUUGUUCCAAACGACACCUUCUCCUGUCGUUUUAGUUAACGCCGCUCGAGAUCUGUGUCUCCUUCUUGGCUUUUGAGCUAUUGGCGGUGCUGGGUUUUCUCUGGAAAAAUCUUUUUUUUUAUAUAUAAAAUUUCUAAUGGGAGUUAAGGGUGGGAUAAGUGGAUAGUUUACAAAGUAAUGAAGGAGUGGAAGAUUAGGAGAAGCGGCUUUGAGGUCGGCGAGACAAAGAUUGCGAGCUUAUUUGGCUGAUGUGUGUUCUGUAAGGAAAAAGAAGUAGUAGAAGAAGACAUCUGUUUUUUUUUUUUUUUUUUUUUUAAUUAGGGUUUUUGGAUUUGUGAAAAGAUUUGGUGGGUGGUGGGGAGAGUAACAAUUAAAAAAAAAACAGUUAGAGCUUUUUUUGGUGUUUCCUCGUCAUAAUUACAUUUGGGAAUCUUGGAUCUUUGAAGAAACAAAGUUGGAAAGAAAGAUGAGAUUGUCUACUGCUGGGUUUAAUCCUCAACCUCAUGAAGGUACUACUUAUUAAUCUCUCUCUCUCUCUACUUGCAAAUGUAGAAACUUUGGAUUUUUAACUUAAUUUGGUGUUUGUGUGUAGUUACAGGGGAGAAGAGAGUUCUAAAUUCUGAGCUGUGGCAUGCUUGUGCUGGUCCUCUUGUCUCCUUACCUCCUGUUGGAUCCAGAGUUGUGUAUUUCCCUCAAGGUCACAGUGAACAGGUCUUUCUCUCUUCUCUUCUUUUCCUGCUUUGGAUUCUUUUUGGUUUUGUUAACAUUUUGUGGUUUUUUUCAGGUGGCUGCUUCGACCAACAAAGAAGUGGAUGCUCAUAUACCAAACUACCCCAGCUUGCAUCCUCAGCUUAUCUGUCAGCUUCACAAUGUCACAAUGCAUGUGAGACACUUGUUCCAUGAGAUGCUUCUUCGACUGUGUUUAUUCUGUUAACCAAGAACCUGAUUCCUUCUAUUUCAGGCUGAUGUGGAGACUGAUGAAGUCUACGCACAAAUGACUUUGCAACCAUUGAACGCUGUAUGAGACUUUUUUACAUGUUAUCCAUACUUUGACUUCCUUUUUUUUUUUUGUGUCGGUGUUGUGAACUGUUUGCUUGGUUUGAAUACAGCAAGAACAAAAAGAUCCAUACCUUCCUGCGGAGUUAGGUGUCCCGAGUAGACAGCCUACAAACUAUUUCUGCAAAACUCUGACUGCUAGUGAUACCAGCACUCAUGGUGGUUUCUCUGUGCCUCGCCGAGCUGCUGAGAAAGUCUUCCCUCCCUUGGUAAUAGCUCAUCUUCUCCUUACUCUCAACUUUUCUUUUUACUUCUUUCUAACCUUUUGAUUUUCUGUGUGUUCUUACUUCAGGAUUACUCUCAGCAGCCUCCAGCUCAAGAGUUGAUGGCGAGAGAUCUGCACGAUAACGAGUGGAAGUUCAGGCAUAUUUUCAGAGGUUAGCUUUCACUUAAUGUCCACUAACUGAAGAACAAAGAGGUUUUAUUGACUCUGCUUUUGUUUCUCCCCGUUUCAGGCCAACCUAAAAGACACCUCCUUACUACUGGUUGGAGCGUAUUUGUGAGUGCUAAAAGGCUUGUCGCUGGUGACUCUGUUCUUUUCAUCUGGUUAGAACCACCUUUUUCAGAUGCUAUAAUGAAACUUAUGAAAAAAUGGCUAAUGUCCUUUUGUUGUUUAACGCUAGGAACGACAAGAACCAGUUACUUCUUGGUAUAAGACGGGCCAACCGUCCACAGACUGUCAUGCCUUCGUCUGUUUUGUCAAGUGACAGUAUGCAUCUAGGCCUUCUUGCUGCUGCUGCUCAUGCUGCCGCUACUAAUAGUCGCUUCACCAUCUUCUAUAACCCAAGGUACAGGUUCUUGAUCCCAUAUGAAUGCUGCAGCUAUGUUGUUUCUUUGCAUUUUUUUGUUAACAAAAGUUUGUGUUCAGGGCAAGUCCUUCAGAGUUUGUGAUACCACUGGCUAAGUACGUGAAAGCGGUUUAUCACACUCGCGUCUCUGUUGGCAUGCGGUUUAGGAUGCUGUUUGAAACCGAGGAAUCAAGUGUUCGUAGGUAUGUGAAUUUUAUCAGACUUCCUAUUUUUUUUAAUCUGUAUUCAUCAGUCUCCUUCUCAAGAACAUCCGUUUGUUGGCAGGUACAUGGGUACAAUAACUGGCAUUUGUGAUCUAGAUCCUACUCGUUGGGCUAAUUCUCACUGGCGGUCCGUUAAGGUUCAGUUCAAACACCAAAACUAUCUUUGCUUUCUCGUAUAUACAUAUGUCAUCAUCAUCUUGAUAAUGUUGCAGGUUGGAUGGGAUGAGUCAACUGCAGGAGAGAGGCAACCGAGAGUUUCCUUGUGGGAGAUUGAGCCUUUGACGACAUUCCCUAUGUAUCCGUCUCCUUUUCCUCUAAGGCUUAAACGUCCAUGGCCUCCAGGUCUCCCAUCUUUUCAUGGUAUUGUUAAAAUUUCAACACUUUGAUUUCAUAACCCUUGAAGUCUUUUAUAUCUUCUAAUCUUGUUGCCUCUCUUUUUUGUUUCUGUAGGACUUAAAGAAGACGAUAUGAGUAUGGGUAUGGGUAUGAGUUCGCCGCUUAUGUGGGACAGAGGACUUCAGUCUCUAAACUUUCAAGGAAUGGGAGUAAACCCGUGGAUGCAGCCUAGACUUGAUGCUUCUGGCUUGCUUGGUAUGCAGAAUGAUGUUUACCAAGCAAUGGCUGCAGCUGCUCUUCAAGACAUGAGAGGCAUUGAUCCUGCUAAAGCUGCUGCUUCACUUCUUCAGUUCCAAAACCCCUCGGGCUUCUCAAUGCAACCCCCUUCCUUAAUGCAGCCACAGAUGCUACAGCAGCAACUCUCUCAGCAGCAGCAGCAGCAACAACAACUCUCUCAACAGCAGCAGCAACAGUCUUAUCUGCCCGUUCCUGAAACCCACCAGCCUCAAUCUCAGUCAAACACUCUUCUCUCUCAGCAGCAGCAGCAGCAGCAGCAGCAGCAAGUGGUGGAUAAUCAUAAUCAGUCAGCCUCCACUGCUGCCGCUGUUUCUGCUAUGUCUCAGUUUGGUUCUGCUUCUCAGUCCAUGACUUCUCUGUGUCAGCAACAAAGCUUCUUAGACACCAACGGAGGAAACAACAAUCCUAUGUCUCCGCUCCACACUCUUCUCAGCAACUUCUCUCAAGACGAGUCAUCUCAACUGCUCAACCUCACUAGAACAACAAACUCUGCUGCAAUGACUUCUUCCGGUUGGCCAUCAAAGCGUCCUGCAGUUGAUUUAUCAUCGUUCGGCAACAACAGCAACACUCAAUCCGUAAUUGAGCAACUGGGACAGUCCCACAACACAAGCAACGUUCCUCCAAACGCUGUCUCGUUGCCUCCAUUCCCCGGUGGGGGUAGAGAGUGCUCAAUAGAGCAAGAAGGAGGAAGCCCCUCAGACCCACAUAGCCAUCUUCUGUUUGGAGUCAACAUAGAUUCAUCUUCCCUCUUGAUGCCAAACGGAAUGUCGAACCUUAGAAGCAUAGGCAUUGAAGGAGGCGACUCCACCACUCUACCUUUCACAACAUCUAACUUCAACAACGACUUCUCCGGUGGUAAUCUUGCAAUGACCACACCUUCUAGUUGUAUAGACGAACCAGGGUUUCUACAGUCCUCUGAAAACCUCGGUUCUGAGAACCAACAAUCCAAUAAUACCUUUGUGAAGGUUAACUAAAGUUUCUUUUCCGUUUCCUUUUCUCCCCAAAGUGUGUGCAUAUGAGCUAAUGAUGGGGGAUGUUCUUUGCAGGUGUACAAGUCAGGGUCUUUUGGACGAUCACUAGAUAUAACGAAGUUUAGCAGCUACCACGAGCUGCGAAGCGAGCUUGCUCGCAUGUUUGGCCUAGAAGGCCAGUUAGAAGACCCUGUGAGAUCAGGCUGGCAGCUUGUAUUUGUCGACCGAGAGAACGAUGUUCUUCUCCUCGGCGAUGACCCUUGGCCGUAAGUUAAUUACUUCCUUUAUUAUCCACUUUGAUCUCAUCACCCUCCCACUCAUCUAACUUUGUGGUUGACUAUAGGGAGUUUGUGAGCAGUGUGUGGUGCAUAAAGAUACUGUCACCACAAGAAGUGCAGCAGAUGGGGAAAAGAGGCCUUGAGCUUCUCAACUCAGCUCCUCCAUCCUCGAACAACAACGUCGUCGAGAAGCUCCCGAGCAAUAACGGGAACUGCGAUGACUUUGGGAACCGGUCAGACCCGAGGAACCUUGGUAACGGUAUUGCAUCCGUUGGGGGUUCGUUCAACUACUAGAGAAGAAAAACCCCUUUUCUUGGUAAUCAAGUUAUUAUGUUUUAUCAAAAAUAGUAUUUGAUCUUCUUAGUUUUAAUUACUAGUAAGCUAAACUGUCUUUAUUACUUACAAAAAGGGAGCUUUGCGUUGGCCUUUGUGGAGACAAAAAAAAACUAAAACUAUGUAAUAGCUCUUAUCUUUUAUGUCGUAAUACUGUAAUUAUAAGAUCUUUUUGGUCUUUUUCUUAUAUGAAUAUUUUUUUUAUGUCAUUAUCUUUACUCACUACUUCUUCAAUCAAUAUCUGAUAGUGAAGUGCUGUUUUUUGGAGCUAUGUUAAGACUUUGUCUGACUAAGUGGCCCACAUGGAAAGUGAUAUGGGUCCCAGCUCCCUUAUUGGUUUUGUGUGAAACACUGAAAUAUUCCGACCCGCUAUUUAGGGCUUUACCCUAAAAUUAGAUCUUGUUUUGCGUCAGCACUAAGCUUUUCCUCAUGACACGUAUCGAUCCCUAGUUCGUACUCGUAGGCUUAGUUACUAGGUCAUUAAUAAUAUAUGCCCUAACGGUUAUAGGCAAACGAUUUGGUAGUAGGUAGGUACGUAGUUGAAAUAUAAGGAAUAUGAAAAGAAUGAUAUUGUAACAUGAAUACGUUAACACGAAUAACUUCAAAUAAACAAUGGAAAUUACGGACGUUUUAAUAUCCAAUCAAAAUUGUAGUGAAUUUGAAGAUAUCUUGUUUUUGUUUGUUUCUGAUUAUUGGAAUGGAUGUUUGGUUAACUAUGAAUAAAGCAUCAUUGGAAUAAUUGAAGAACUUAUGAUUUGGGUUGGUGUUUGAUUGUCCAUUAGGAGAAUGUAGUGAUCAAUUAAUGAGAGAGCAUGCUUUUAAGUCAAAUAAAUAACAAAUCUGAUAAAGAGAUAUUUGUAAGUAUAUGGUUUUGAUGUGUGGUGUAUGAAUGUGAUUCACAUAAUAUCUUUAGUGGUGUGACGAUAUAUUCUAAGUAAGAAAUUGAGAAUGGUUGAAAAUAAUGUUGGGUGCAUGUGGUAGGGACAUAUGACAUAAGUUAGGGCACUUUCAUGAGCCCUAAUUAAAUAGUGUAUGGUGACCCAUCAUUUUGAAAGUUCUCACCUAUUCUUUUCUUUUUGACCCAUUUUUAAAAUGAAUUUUCUUAUUCUUUUAAAAGUUGUUUCUUUCCUCUUACAAAAUCAACUAUUAGUUUUAUCUUUUCACAGGAUGUUGUAGCCAUUCAUUAGGAUGUAAAGAAUAGAUUCAAAUGUAGAUCUAAGAACAUGUUGCAUGUAGCUUUUGCCUAUAUACACAUAGAAUCAUUAUAUAUGUCAUAACUAUAUAUUGUCAGUGUUACUGGAAUUUUCACGUUGCUAUAUUGAUUUCAUGGUAUAAUCAAUUCUUGUAUUCUUUAUAAAAGUGGAUCAAUCUAUAAUUGAUAUUAGUGGAAGCCCGUUUAUUCAAGUAGUUUUGCUAAGAAUUCAUUAAUGUUGUUACAUUAUGAAAUCUGAAUUUGGGACUCUAAAGCGGGUUACUAAAACUCCACAUUAAUAAAAAAGUUUAUAUGAAAUUUUUGGCAUGGUAGUAAAACAAUCAUGCAUGAAUCUUAUAAGACAUCUUAUAGUGAUGCAUUCAAAUGUGAAUUAGUUGUAUAGGAAGCUAUAUACUAUUUUUAUUAUUAAUAAUUCUAUAAUAAAUAAUUGCCAUGAAAAUUAACAAAUUUAAGCCGGAAUUUGAAAUUCCAAAAGCAUUUUAACACUUGAGCUUUUUGUAAAUGAAAUAAUAUUUUUGCUCAGUAGAAAAAUACCGUACACAAAGUCUAUAAAUAACAAGAUCAAGUAAUAUUAUAUGCAAUGGUUUUGUGUCUAAAAGACCAUUUACUUUGACCCAAAAACUAUUUAAUAAUUGAAAAAGUUCAUAAAAACUGUAUCACUGUAUCUUACAUCUAUUUGUUGACUAGGUGUAAUGUAUUAGAAUUAGAUUGCCAAAUUUGAAUUGAAGAAAUCCAAUUGGAUCACAUGUUUGAAAUAUGAGAUAAAGAAGGAUGUAGAAAUUGAUAAAACAAAGUUCAGAAUAAAAGUACCCCGUAGUCAAAUGGAAGUAUUCUAAUAAAAUAUAUAAAAUAUAGACGAUAUUAAAAAAUAAAAAAGAGUAUAAUCAAAAUAAGCUUUUAGCAGUAAGUGUGUGACUUUUGAGUGGAUUAUGUAAGUUGUUCUUGUGCGACUAGUUUUCUCAUUUAUCUCCAUUUAAAACGACGAACAUAAAACGUCAAAUGUGAUAUUAUUGAUGGACGAAGUACUUUUUGAACAAAGUAAUAAAGGAACUUUUUGAGUCAUACGAAAAUAAAUUUUAUGUACCAUCCUAAGUUGUUAUGAUGGGAUUUAUGCGAUGGAGAGAUUAUUAAUAAUCAAUAUAAAACUUAUCUGAUUAUCAAAAUUAAUAAUGUAAAAAAUAUGAACUGGUCUGUUGUACUUUAGAGAGACGUUUUGAAUAAUUUGAGUGACGGGUUUAAUCAUUGAUGGAAAACCAAAGACAUAAUCAUCCAAGUUUCAAUUUUAUUGUUUUUACUGAUUAAGAGGUUUUGGUUUGUAGUCUAGCCAUAUCGUAAGAGUAUCUUCAACUUCAUUUGUCAUUAUCUGAUAAAGUAAAACAUUAAAAUAAUUUAUUUAUUUUUGUUAUUUAUGUUACUUUUUAUUUUAAAAUGAAGGAUUGAAAUAAAAUUCAAUUUCAUUAUAGAAUUAUUCCAUUAAAAACAUUAGAAAGCAUCUUCAGUGCAUUUAUUUCAUUGUACUCUCCAACUCUAUUUUUUAAUAAAUACAAAAACAAAUGAACUAUAUAUACUAUUAAAAUAGAAUCCAUCACAGAAUUAUGUCCUUAUUUUUGAAGAUAAUUAAUUACCAUGGCAGAUAGGUCUUUACUAGGCAUCAAAGUCUCAAAUCGAAUCCCCGCUGUAAAUCAUCUACUAUUCGCUGAUGAUUUACUUUUCUUCUCUUUGGCUAAUGUGAAAGAGCAAAAAAACUGGAAGAGAUUUUCACGACUUAUGAAGUGGUAUCAGGGCAAGCAAUCAAUCGUAGUAAGUCUGAGUCAUCAAUUACUUUUGGAAAAAGGGUCUCUCCUGAGAUUAGAAGCCUAACAUUCAGAGUAGGAGAUGGAUCAACAACUAAUAUGUGGCCUGAUCCGUGGAUCCCUAAUCGUCCACUGAAACCUUGUUCUGAAGGUAUUCAAGAAGAAAAGCUCAACGCUUAUUUUAAUGCAAUGGGAAGUGAUUAGAAUGAGGCAAGACUCAAACAAUAUAUGGUUCCAGAAGAUGUAGACCAAAUAUUAGCUCUCAAUAUAAGUUCAAAAAUAGUUAAUGAUCUAGUUGGUUGGCAUUAUAAUGAAGAUGGGAUAUAUAUGGUGAAGUCAGGCUAUUGGUUGGGAACACACCUUCCUGAUAAUAACAUUCCAGAACCGAUACCAGGGGAUCCUCAACUAAAGCAUAAGAUUUGGAGGACAAAGUUACCAGCGAAUAUAAAACAUUUUCUCUGGAGGAUCCUCUCAAAAAGUCUUGCAACAUGAAGUGAUCUUAAAAGAAGACAUGUGAUACAAGAGGAUCAGUGUAGGAGAUGUUGUCAAAUUGAAGAAACAGAAGAUAAUCUUUUCUUUGACUGCGAUUAUGCUAAACGUAUCUGGAGAGCUUCAGGCUUUAUGAAUUUGGCAGUUAUGGGAUAGCAUGCAACACUGGAAGAAAAGAUAGAGGCAUGUCUAUCAAGCUGUUCAUCCAUAAGAUUAACUAAUUUUCAAGAACUCCCUACAUGGAUUCUAUGGAGACUAUGGAAGAGCCGCAACGUCCUUGUCUUCCAGCAGAAGCAAUUGAAUUUGAAGUCUGUUAUGGAAUAUGCCUGUAAUGAUGCUUCAGAAUGGAGACCGACGGGUGCAACACAUAUAACUCAAGGAGGUUAGAACAGUAAAAGACAAGGCUUACGAUGAGAAGGUAAAUGGAUAGGACCCCCGAAGGACUGGAUCAAGUGUAACACAUAUGGAUCCUUUAUGAAUAUAGGAAUACAGAGUACUGUUGGAUGGAUCAUCAGAGAUGAGAAUGGUGUGUAUAAAGGACCAGCUCAAGGUACUGAUAAAGGGGUUAGGAACCCGCUAGAGAGUGAGCUACAAGGUAUACUAAUGGCUCUACCACAUUGUUGGGAAUUGGGAUUUCGUAAAAUCGUACUGGAAAAUGAUUGCAGCAAAGCAAUUGGUAUAGUCAAAGGUAAAACAUUACAUUUCAGUUUCUAUAACUGGAUCAGAGAGAUAAGAUGGUGGGUAAUGAGAUUUGAUGUAGUAUAUUUCCAAUGAACAUCAAAAGAAGCAAAUAAGUGUGCUUAUAAACUUGCGAGAAGUAGACUUCCACAAAACGGAGUUUUUGUGUUUCAUAACUGUACCAAUGAUUUUAUCAAAUCUUCUAUAUGAAGAUUAUGUAAACUCAAGUUUUAAUUAAUAAUAAAUGAAGAUGUUAUAAAAAAAAAUUUACCAUGCCGCUGCUUUUUAGAAUAUCUAUACUAUUAUUUGCGAAGUAAAUUUUUGGAAUCGAGCUCUCACGUUAAAAGUUAGAGUGGUUAAUAUCGUUUAUACCCUUAAUGAAUAAAAUCUAUAAAUUAACUAAAACAUAAAAACGAAUUUAAAACUAUUUGGUUAGAUAAUUUAUUAUUAGAGUGGUUAAUAUCGUUUAUACCCUUAAUGAAUAAAAUCUAUAAAUUAACUAAAACAUAAAAACGAAUUUAAAACUAUUUGGUUAGAUAAUUUAUUAUUAAUAAUAAAAAAACUUAUCCAAAAUCUGAAAGAUAUAUUUUAAAAUAAAAGAUAAUUCCUAUAUAUUUUGUGUUGUUAUCCGAAAACAUAUUUUAAUAAAAAUUUAAAUACUAAAAAAUUAAAACUAAAAACACACAGAAAACAUAUAACUUAAUAUUAUUCAAAUAAUAUUAAUCAUAUUUUAUACUCAAUUAUUAAUUUUAAUAAAUAAUGUUUUGAUAAUUUUUAUUACAUGUCAAUAUAAAAAAAAUUUAGUUGAGAGGUUUUAACGUUAAAACCCCAUAAAUCUUCUAUCUUUUACUAUAUUAUAUUAAAAUAAAUAUAAAUUCAUGUAUAUAGUUUUAUGUACAUUUUUAUGUAUUUAUAAAUUUUUUGAGGAUUAUUUUACAUAAUAAUAGAUAUUUUAUUAAAAUAAAAAACUUUAGCGCAUAUAGAAAAUUUAAUAUUAAAUUAAUUAUUAAAUAUUUAAAAACAUGAAAAUAACUUAUUCAAAUUUUUUAAUUGAUAAUAUAUUUCUUUAUAAAAUUUUAUAAAAUUAUUAAGCCCGCAAGUACGGGCAAAACACCUAGAUUUUUAAUUAAUUGUGGCAACUAUAAUUUCAACCAAUGGAAAAUGAGAGUUUUAAAACCAAUCAAAGUCCAGCAAAUAUUAUCAGUCUCGACCAAUGUCAAGGCCCAUCGAAGCCCUAUAUUAUAUGAAGGUCACUAGGCCAUGCUUGUGUAUAAUCGAUUAAUACAUACUUUUACCAGCGAGGCCCAAUUAUUAUUGUGUUUUCGUCAGAGUUUUGGAUAUUUUUUUCUGGCAAACAAUUAUGUUCUCUUUUUUUGCAAAAAAAUAUUUUGGUUGUUAAUUAUUUGUAAAAAAAAAAAACUUAAUCUGCUAUAUGAUUUUGUCAUAUCUCUAUAUAAAAAUUGGUUCUUCAAAGUUGCUAAUUAACAUGAUCGCGACACAUGACAAAUAUAUAUUUUAAAAUUGUGACAUGUAUUAAUCUAUCUCAUAAUUAAAAAUAUAUAUACUAAAAACUAACAAAAACAAAUUUUAUUAACUGGCAAGUUUUAAAAAUCUUAUUAUAUAAAGCUUGGUUCUUCAAAGUUGCUAAUUAACAUGAUCACGAUACAUGACAAUUAUAUAUUUUAAAAUUAUGACAUGUAUUAAUCUAUCACUUAAUUAAAAAUAUAAAUAUACUAAAAUAUCAAAAAAAAACAAAUUUUAUUAACUGGCAACUUUUAAAAAUAGUUAAUAUUAACUGAAAAUAAUUAUUUGAUAGAAAUUUUAUUUUUCUAAAUCCUAGACAACAUAUAAUUGUAAAAUAUUAUGUAAUAUUAAUUUUCUUUUCUAAAAUCCUAAGAAACGGUAAAAGUAUAUUUGAUAGUUGUUUGACCAAAAAAAAGUAUAUUUAAUAGUUGUUUUCCUUUUUUUAUAAAAAUAAAUCCUAAACAAAAGAAAUUUGUAUCAUAUUUUUAAGUCCUAACCAAAAAAGAAUUGAACAAAUUUAUUUGAUAAUAUUUUUAAGAGAGUACUAGAACUUGAUCCGCACGCCCGUGCGGGUGUUUGAUUUAAUUUAAGUGUUUAGUAAUUAAUAUUUUUAAUAGUUCACUAAGGUAUAUUGGACCAAUUAUCUCUAUAUUAAAAGGUUUGUAUGACUUUUAAACUAAAAAUGAAUAAUUAAAUUCUUGUUUUUCAAUUUAUUGUUAUAAACCAUAGUUUUAUUAUAUAUUUGUCUUACUAAUUUUUUAUUUGAUUAUUAGAUAAUGAAUAUAUAUGUGAAACAACACAUAUAAAUAUUAAAUUGUAUUAAAACUUAAAUAUUCACAUGUAUACUUUACAUUUGAAUUAAAUAAUUAUUAAUAUAUUAAGUUGAUUUUAAAAUUUUUAAAAAAUUAAUGUAAAAAAAUAUUUAAAUAUUUUUUAUUAUUUUUUAUGUGUAUGAUAAAAUAGACUAUACAUUCAAAACAAAAACGUCUAAUGUGAUUUUAGUAUGUUUUUGAAGUUUGGUUAUUAAAGCAUAAUUAUAUAUAAAUAUAUAUAUUAGUUUAAAUAUAUAAAUUGGAAGUAGGGUUUACUGUUCUGCAUAAAUAUACAAAUGUACAUAGAUACUUACACCAAAUUGAUCUUCACAUUCAUGGUUAGUGUUAUGGUUAAACAUAUAUUUUAUAAAUAUUCGAAAUGUACACAAAUAAUUGGGGAAAUUUUAUGUUUACCGUUUUCAAGCUACCACUUUUCAUCUUUACCAUCAUUAAAAGGAUAUUUUCAAAAGUAUAUUCUUCAAUAAGUGGCAAAAGACUCUUAUAUCCUUGUUAUUUAUAUAUAUAAUAAAUCAUUAUUUAAAUAAAAAAUUAAAAUCAUAGAAUUUUUUUUUAUGUUUUCGAAUUAUACUUUUUCAAAUUCGAACAUUUUUAUAAUUUUUUUUUUAAUUAUUUUUUUGAAUUUUUUUUUCGAAAACUUUUUUUUUAUUUUUUUUCAAAUUUCUUUUUGAAAAUCGAAAAUUAUGUUUGAAACUUUUUUUUUUAAUUUUUAAUAUUUUUAAGUAUUUAUUUAUAGAUUUAUUAAAAUCCUAAAUUUCAAAUUCCAAAAACCCUACUACCUCUCAAUUCUAAAACCUACGUCUAAAUUAGUUAAUUUUAAGGGUAUAAGUGUCUUUUACCCUUCAUGAUAAGUGAAGGUAAAAAUGGUUAUUGUAAACAUGAAAAGUAGUAUUAUGAAUGUGAUAUUUAUGGCAAUUUCCCUAAAUAAUUACACCAAAUUUGUGGGCCAUAAUCUGUAAGAAAUAGUUAGUAAAUUUCAUCAUGUGUACAAUUUAGAUUUAGUAUAAUUUAGAGUUUUUGGUAUAUUAUUAAAGUGAAAUAGUCCUUGAAAAGCAAUCAGAUUUAAUUAUGUAAAAGAAAAAAUCGGUUUUUUUGUUUACUUAUCACAUGGCUAUUAUGGGUAUGGUAAAAAUAAACAAAUUAUUUGUUUUAUUUGUCAUAAAGCUAAUAAUUGUUAUGAUCGGUAAAAAGGAAUAAAAAAGUUAUGGAUAUAUUAUUAUUCUAAGUAAUUAAUGAUGAAAUUACGAAGAGUGGAAAAAUAAAAAAAAUGUAAUAAAAUUGUUCAAAAGAAAGUUUGUUCUAUUUCAUAUUUCAGUUUUAAUAAAAUUGAUAUUUUUUAUAUUUCUAAAUUUUAGUGUAGAUAAGAAAAGGUGAUACUGAUACAAAUACAAAAUCACUGGAUUACUUAAACCAGAAAAAACGUAUGAAUCAAAUAUAUAAACACUAAAACAGAACCGGUUGUCUAUAUGCACCAAGGUACUUACAACCAAAUUAGUAAAUAUAUAAAAUGUGCAUAUGGACAAAGAGGUCGUGUAUUGUUGUAAUAUCUUGUAUAUUAAAACAAAAAUCAUGACUUUGUUAAUGUGUGAUUUUUUUUUGUUUGGACCAUCAUCUCAAAAAUUUAUCAAUUUUUACAUAACUUAAUCAUCAUAUCUUUUUCUUUUAUUUAAAAUACAAAUAAAUAUUGUUUAAAAAAAUUCUAAGAAAAUCUUUUCGAAAUCAGGAUAAAAUUUAUUUUCGAAAAUUAAUUAACUUAAAUUUUAAUUAACAUAAAUAUAAUUAGAAUUCAAAUUCAAUUUAUUUUAUUGAUGAACGAAAAUUAAAUCAUAUAAAUAUUGUAAUUAUAUUUUAAUGAUAAUAAAAAUUUGAAUUGAUUAAUUUUCAAAAUAUAUUUUAUAAAGAUUUUGUUAGAAAGAAAUAUCAUUUCUGUUUCAAAUAAAAAUAUUUACUACAAAAUUAGUUUGUAAGCACAAUAUAUUAUAGCUUCUCUUUUAAAAAUAUUUUUUGUUGUUCUUAACAGUAUCUCAAAAUAUUUGUUCUCUAUUAUGUAGGUCCAAUUUAAUUUAAUUUCCAUAUAAAAAUUUCAAAUUUAGAAAUAAAACCAGAAAUUAUGUUGGUAAGUUCCAUAUUGAGAAAUUCCCUAGGAUAGCCAUUUUUAUUUUUUUUUUGUCACAAAAAUAGCCUUCAAUGAGAAAAAAUAACCAAAAGAAGUUCACUACAAGAAAACACAAGUUUUACGAGGGCAGUUUUCCUCGUGACUUCGUCGUAAAAGCAGUGUUACGAGGAAUUAGCGAGGAAACCCGUUUCGUCGUUAUACGUUUGUCGUAACGCAUAUAUCCUCGCUAAUUCGUCGUAACGUAGCGAGGAAAUAAUUUCGUCGUAAAAGCGAAGAAGAAUAUUUCGUCGUAAAGACCACGUAAAGUUUCCACGUAAGGACGUCGCUAAAUUUCCUCGUAAAUACCUCGAAAGCCAUUCCUCGUUAAAGCCACGUAAAUAACUCGAAAGUAAAUACUCGUAAAGUAAACGUAAAUACCUUGAUAGCUUUCUUCGUAAAGACCACGUUAGAGGAAAUAGAGAGGCUUACCAUUGCAACGAAACAGGGAGGAAGUGGAGAAGAAGUAGAGAGGAAAGAAAGAGCAAGCGCUCGGGGUGUAUAUAUAAGAUUACAUUACGUCGCAAAUUCCUCGUAAUUUUACGACGAAUUACAGAGGCCCGUGUUUUUUUUACGACGAAACAGCGAAAGAUUACAAAGGCCCGCGUUUUAUUAUAAGAGAAAGUUACGAGGAAUUACAAAGGCCCGUGUUUUUUUUACGACGAAACAGCGAAAGAUUACAAAGGCCCGCGUUUUAUUAUAAGAGAAAGUUACGAGGAAUUACAAAGGCCCGUGUUUUUUUUACGACGAAACAGCGAAAGAUUACAAAGGCCCGCGUUUUAUUAUAAGAGAAAGUUACGAGGAAUUACAAAGGCCCGUGUUUUUUUUACGACGAAACAGCGAAAGAUUACAAAGGCCCGCGUUUUAUUAUAAGAGAAAGUUACGAGGAAUUACAAAGGCCCGUGUUUUUUUUACGACGAAACAGCGAAAGAUUACAAAGGCCCGCGUUUUAUUAUAAGAGAAAGUUACGAGGAAUUACAAAGGCCCGUGUUUUUUUUACGACGAAACAGCGAAAGAUUACAAAGGCCCGCGUUUUAUUAUAAGAGAAAGUUACGAGGAAUUACAAAGGCCCGUGUUUUUUUUACGACGAAACAGCGAAAGAUUACAAAGGCCCGCGUUUUAUUAUAAGAGAAAGUUACGAGGAAUUACAAAGGCCCGUGUUUUUUUUACGACGAAACAGCGAAAGAUUACAAAGGCCCGCGUUUUAUUAUAAGAGAAAGUUACGAGGAAUUACAAAGGCCCGUGUUUUUUUUACGACGAAACAGCGAAAGAUUACAAAGGCCCGCGUUUUAUUAUAAGAGAAAGUUACGAGGAAUUACAAAGGCCCGUGUUUUUUUUACGACGAAACAGCGAAAGAUUACAAAGGCCCGCGUUUUAUUAUAAGAGAAAGUUACGAGGAAUUACAAAGGCCCGUGUUUUUUUUACGACGAAACAGCGAAAGAUUACAAAGGCCCGCGUUUUAUUAUAAGAGAAAGUUACGAGGAAUUACAAAGGCCCGUGUUUUUUUUACGACGAAACAGCGAAAGAUUACAAAGGCCCGCGUUUUAUUAUAAGAGAAAGUUACGAGGAAUUACAAAGGCCCGUGUUUUUUAGGUGCGAGGACGUUACGACGAUUUUGCUUACGUGGAAUUACCGAGGAAAGCUUCCCUAUAAAUAUAUAGAUCAAUGAGAAGGAUGUCAUCAAUUUCUUGUUCAGGUUCCUCGACUUCAUUUAUCUGUUCUUCUUGCAAUGGUGGUUCUUCUCCACUGAUAAUUCGUCCUCGAGGUGUAACUUUGAUCACAGCUAACCAAUUUAUACCCGAAUCUCUCAUUUUCCAAACUCUAUCUUUAUUUUCAUUCCAAACCACAAUUCCAUAUUUUAAUUCACUCAGAGAGUCUUACGUGGAAUUAGCGUGCCCCGCUUUCUUUAUUUUUUUUAAUUUCGUCGUAAACUAAUUAUCCUCGUUAAACUUACGUUUUCUUGUAGUGGUUUUAUAAAAAAGGUAAAACUACAUUUUUACCUUAAGGUUAACUAAUAUAAACUUAAGGUUUAGAGUUAAGGGGCGGGUUUUUCGGAAUAUGGUUUCAAAUCUUUAUAAAUAAAAAAUAAAUAUUAAAAAUUUCAAAAUAAAAAUGGGCUAUUUUGUCAUUUUUAUGGCUAUUUUGUGACAAAAACUUAAAAAAGACUAUUUGAGAGAAUUUCACUUCCAUAUAUUCACUAAAGCUAAUAAUAUAAAAUCUUUGUAACUAUUUUAAUAAUGAUAUAGUUUAAUUUUAAAUAAAAUUAUUAUUAUGAAUUGAUAUAUAUUCAGUUAUCGUUUAUAAAAUGAAAAAUAAAAAUUCUAUUUUAUUUUUAUAUAUUUUAUAAUAAUAAUAAAUCAUGUUAAAAGAAACUAUUAUAUUGAACUAAAUGCGAUAAAUUAAAUUAAAUUGAUAAAUUUAUAAAUUUAUUUUCCUACAUAUAAAUAUUUAUUUUAAAAAUAUAAUAUGUUGACAGAACGGCUUAAUAUUCGCAAACUAUAUAAUACAUGUAUAAAAAUUUUAUAUAUCUAAUUUUUUUGUAUAUACAAUAAUAUAUUAUCUAAAAUGAAUGAACAUAAAAAAUAUUUGUAAAAGAAAAUCCAGUUUUGAAAGACGGUGAGUCAGAAUUUAGUAUAAAUUAAACACAAAAUAAUUUUCAGAUAUGUUGUUUCAUGCAUAUAUUAAUUUUUUCAGUAACUAAAUGCAAACACAAUAAGAUAAAUAUAUAAUAAGAAGCUAUAAAUGCAUGUGACGAUUUUAAACAAUUGAUUAAUUAUGACGUAUAAACUAUAAAAUUAUUGUAUUUGAAAUAGUUAUGUAAAUAUUUAUAUAUAUGAUUAACGUUAAAAAUGUAUACCACCAAUGAUCUCAAACGACAUAUAUAAAAAAAUCUCAAACGACAUAUGUAAAAAAAAUCAUAAAACUAUAAUAAAAUGAUUUAUUAUUUUAUGGUUUUUCUUAAAUUAAAACAUCAAACAAAACCCGUUGCAACGCAAUGAGCUCAUAUCUUGUAAAAAAUAUUAUAAACUAAGAGGAGAAAUUUAUAAAAUUUUCACAAUAUAAUGGUUAGGUGAAUUAAAAAUUAAAAUUUUCAAACUAUAAGAAAAUAUUUAUUUUUAAAAUUUAUACGAGGACAAAUAUAUAACUUUGUAAAUAAUUUUCAACAUCUAAUAAUAUUUUUAAAACACAAACAAUCAACAAAGUUGUAACUAUAAUAGAUAAUUUAUACUAUAAAAACAACAUCCUUUAUAAUUACAAAAUAUUUGUCAUAUUAAAAGCAAUAAAUUUCGCACUUUUAAAGUACAUAUCAAAAUUUAGUAUAUAUUAUUAAAGCAAAAAGCCAGUAGGGAUUAUGCCCCUGUGUUUUCAAGUUGUUUACAAGUUUCUGCCAUUGCCUUUUUCCCUUGAAAAAUAAUUUUCUUCCUUAUUAAUUCGACCAAUCAGAAUUAAUUGCGCUUUUAUGACAUAUCCACAGCAAGAACAAUUUAAACCCAAACAAAUUAGACCCAGUUUCGAGUAAGCUCAUGUGUUUUUAAAGCCAAUAAAAAUGGAUGUUCAACCCAUCCAAAGCAUCUUGAUAAUCAAUAACCCUGAAGACAAAUAAAGGAUGGUAAGUAUAAUAACAAAAUUAACCGUUAAACAACAUACUAAUAUAUUCUUUCAUACAAAAUUUUAAAAAUAAAAAGAUAAUUUAAAAUAAUUUUUUUUUAAAAAGUAAAUAGAUUCUCGAAUACAAACCUUCAGAGUUUUGAUAUUAUUUAAGUCUAUCGAUAGUGGAACAUCAUUUGAAUGUUUUUUCCAUUGCUUUUCUCAAUCGAUUUCUCAAGGCCGGAUUUUCAAUGCUUCAAUUCUUAUUCGUUCACUUAGAAUCGUUAUAAUCUCGUAGGAUUUCACAUGCAAAACAAAAGAGAGAAAAAUAGAUCUCGAUAGUUAGUUCUAAAAAAAAUAAGAUUUAAAGGUUAACUAUUAAUCAAAAAGGAAGACAUAAUAUUAUAUCUACCAUUUUGUUGUCUUUUGAAAAUUCUUAUGACUUUGUUGUAUAGAUCGGAAAGGUGAAGUCAAUAACUGAUGAGUCUCGUAUUUGUUGGUUUUUAUCAUUUGUUUAUAGUCAUUUUAGUGUCCAAAAAGUGGAUUUAGGGGUCAUUAGGUGUUGCAUAUGUAUAUUUUGCAUGUAAAUAGGCUUGGAUGCACAAUUAGAAGUAUUGGGGAAAAAAUGAGGUUUAAUAUGCACAUUCAGAAGUUUCGGGGCCAAAGUAGAAGUUCACAAAACCACAGUGAUCAAACGUGCAAAACCAUAGAAGAUGGGUCUUGGAGCAACGAGGAAGACGAAGUGUUCGAUGGGUGUCUUCCAGCUUGCUCGUUCUGACGUCCACGGUCCCGAGCCUCGAUCCCCGAACCGACCAGCACGAAUCGAGGGCUUGAGACGAACAGACACUCGCUGUAUGAAGAACAGCUCUCUCGAUUCCACCUUCUCGGCUCGUGCGACGACUUCAACGGAGGAGACAGCUAAUCCCAGAGCUCCUGUGAACGCGGCUGACGACGGCGAUGCAGCAACAAUCUCCGGUGGUUCCGACGAGCCGCAGCAGCCGCCAUUGAUGAAGCUCGAACUCGAGCUUGAAGAAGAUGAAGCAAACGCGUUUUGGUUCAAACACUGCGUCUCAAAACGCAGUCGCGGAAAAUGGUGUUUUUCGUUUUAUCUUUGGCAUUUGAUUUUUUUUUUUUUUUUUUAGCUCAACAACAACUUUCAUUAUCCAAAUUGUGAUUACAAACAUUUUAACCUCAUAGAGAUUUAAACUUCACAUACAAUACCAAGAUCUAGUACCACCUAAAAACACUUAGAUGGAUCCUACGCUACCUAAUCUCGAAAGACAUUGUAUUUUUCACCACGAUGAGAACAAAUUCACCUCACGACUCGAGAUAAACCGUCUGUUAAACCACCUAAUUCUACCACUAAAACAAGAUAACAAAGCCAUUCAUAAGCCGUUAAGAGAUCCUCAUAGUCAAGAAAAACAAAUGAAGACCAAACCAUUGGUACCAAGAGAUCGGAGUGUGGUGCAUGACCAACGACAGCAACACCAGAUGGCGCAUGCUCCCAAUAUGAGAACUCUGAGUGACACAGAAUGUGAUGCUUUGUAACGUUGCUGGGGGGAGGGGUCGAAACAGCAUCAACCGGAGCUCCUAAACAAGGGCAAACCAGCCAAUUUGAAGCAAACGCCCAUCCCCAAAAAAGCCGGGUUGAAACUUCUACAAACCCGCAAUCCAGCAACUCUAAACAGGCAUAGGAGGAAGCAAAUCUACCAGAUUUGACACUGAAUCGAUACUGCAAAUAAUUUGCUUCGAAACAUGUACGCCACCAAGACCCUAACUCUCCCGUUGACCAGUCGAAGAAAGCUACGGUUUUUACACGUCCUGCCUCCGAGAACCGGAGGAAAGCCUUUCCCGGGAGUGCCUUCACGCCGGUUACAACUCUGCUCGUCCAACUAAAGCUUCUAUUCUCCAACCGCCAGUUAGGCCAUAGACGACCUUCCACAGUUGUUGGAUCCUGAGUAGCACGUGAAAAUCAGAGCCAGUUCAGUCAACACCCAUCAACUGUAUGCACUAUGUUCACGCCGUCGAGAGAAGAAUCCCUCUACGUUCAUUUGGCGGUAAUAGAGACGAUGAUGACGCAAACACCGACAUUGCACCACGGCCCCUACACGUGCCUCACACCUUUUGGAUCUGAACUUCAAGCCGUCUCAACAGGACCAGCCUCUAGAUCUGCCGGUGGGAUGACGAGACACAAAGUCACGCGCCUCCAUCUCCAGGAAAGAACCACCAAUUUGAAAGGGAAAACCAUCGGCAAGUUCCAACCAAGCCCUAAAAACGCCGACCCAUCCUGCAACCUCCUUAGUACCAGAGAGACGUCUUCCACCUGCCUAGCCGUGCUCCGCCGCGGUCAGAACUGAGUUAGGAGUCUCAGCCGCGCUCCAGGAUCAUUCGCAUAUCGUCAGGGUCAUAGAAGCUCGCAAGGAGGGCAAAUAGAAAAGAAGAGUAAAGGAGAGAGACACCUCCGACGCCGGAAGAGGUUACCGGACGCCGGCGGACUGCGAUGAAUUUUUUGUUUGUUUGUGGUGGCUGAGAGAGGGAGUCGAGAGAAACUAGGGUUUAUCAGUUUCCAGCCGCAUUUGAUCUAAUUUUUAAGAACCUAUAUAUAUAUAUAUAUAUAUAUGUUUUCAUAAGCCAAAAACCUUCUAUUUUUAUCAUCUAUCUUAGAGCACCUCCCACGGCUCUCUGCUCAGGAUCACGUCUCGUCGGCUCUUAUGGCAGAGGCCCUAGCAGUAAGAAGCGCUCUCCUCCACGCGAUUGAUCUCAACUUCAACUCCAUCUGGCUCCAAUCAAAUUCUCAAGUGUUCGUUGCAGCGUUAUCAUCAGGACGACAUCCGACUGAGCUCUACAGAGUGCUCUCGGAUAUCGCCACGAUCUCCUGUUCGUCCUUCUGUUUCUGUCGCUUCACUUUCAUCAAGAGAGAAUUUAAUGGGCUUGCGGACUCAUAUGCUAAGGUCUGCUUACAUUCUAGUCCAAGCCAUUGUAAUUCUUGAACUCUUUUUCUAAUUAAUGCAAUUUAGUUGUCCAAAAAAAAAUCUUAGACCACCUCCAGUGGGGUUCUUCCCAUUGGAGUUAUUAAUAUAUGAGUUAUAUAUAUAUGUAUAAGUAAUUGUGGAGUACACAAUUUUUGUGGAACCCCAUAGGUAAGGGUUCUUAAAAGAGGGUUUUAAGAAUUCUUAAGAACAUCAUUAUCGAGGGUUUCUUAGGAAAGAGUUCUUAGGAGAAUAUAAGAAACUGUUUCUUAUAUUUCCCUAAAAACUCCUUCUUAAGAAACCAUGGAUAAUAAUGCUCUAAAAACCUUUAUUUAUGGAAUUCCACAAUAAUUGUGGAUCCACAAUUAUUUACAGGUAUAUAAUAUAUACAUACAUAUAUAUACAUAAUAUAUAUUAAGAAUCUCAAUGGGAAGAUCUCCCAUUAAAGAUGGUCUUAACUUUUUUAGUUUUCUUAGUUUUAUAGCAGACUUUAACUUUCAGAAAAAUCUUUUGAACUCUGUGAUCGUUUUGUAUAUAAUCAUAUUUUCGUUUUUUUUUUUUUUUCAAUGCUGAGUAGAUGUGCAAUUGGUUUUUAGAGUUUCAAAGGGAACUCAUGGCUUGUUGACUUAAGAUUGUUAGAUUUAGAGAUUUAUCUAAUGGUUCUUCAUCUAUUGGUGUUCUUAAUGCUGAAAUUAGAGUCAUGAACUAGUUUAUGAACUUAGGUUAUUUAACGGAACGAAUGUGUUUAACUAAAUGCUUGAAAGAACUUUAGAUGAGCAAAGUGUCCUUAACCAACGGAAGUUAAUGUUAUUGCGCUUUGUGAACAUAUCAAACCUAAACUUAUUGCUUGUUUAGAAUCUGAAACUCAACGGAAGUUAGUGUGGAGGUUUCUAUAACAUAGAGAGUUAGCGCUAAGAAAGUAAGUUGAUUAUAUUAUCGUGUUUGAGUUCGAGACAUUUCUUAAUAUUUUCCCUUACUAGCAUAAAGAAUUAGUGCUACGGAAGUAGGUUGAUUAUAUCCAUGUCUGCUUGCUUAAAUCCCUGCGAUUUCCUCUUGCCCAAUGCUUCUCUUACAUUGUCACUUUCUGCAUAUUUACAUCAUUUUGCAUUGUUUCAUUUCUGCUUAGUUUUAUAAACCAAUACCCUUUUUCCUUUUUAGUCUUAGCCUUACUCUUAUCUCAUAUACUCGUCGUGUAACCACUGGUCUCUGUGGAUUCGAUCCUGAAGUGCUACAUCAACUACCAUUCGAUUGUGAUAGUGUGCACAUCAUGUUAAUUGGUGUGUGGUAAAAUGCAUAAAUCAAUAACCUUCUCCGACUAAUCGUUUUUAACACAGAUGGCUUCAGAUUCGACAUGCAAACAUUACUGAAAUGAAAAUGUUUUGAUAUCCAUCGAUGACAUAGAUUUGUAAAAAUAGAAAUACUUAGUCUAUAUAAUCAUAAAUAAAAGUAAGAGAAGAUUACUUGGUACAGAUCGGAGAAGGUAGGUUGUCGAUGAAUUUAGAACUCUCAAUCGUCUUUUUUAGUUUUGCAGAGAGAUUUUUGGUUUUUUUUUUCAUCGAAGCAUUUUGUUUUUACAAAAAUCAAUAUGCUCAUCUUGCCAGUAAACAAAAACUCCAUCUUGACUUAAAUGGACUUAUCGUUUAUCCACUAGGCCCAUUUUGUAUAGAAUAUAUUUUUUAAAAAUCCAUUAAAAAGCAUGCUUUCUUUUUUAAGUAUAGAUGUUACAUUUAAGAAUUUAACAAAUUAACUAGAUUUAGACCCGUGCAACCGCACGGUUGUUUGUUUUCACUUUUCUAUACAUAAAUUAUUGUUUUAAAACAUAAGUAGUAUAUAUUUUUAAUGUUAAUCAUAUACUUAAAUAUUUAUAUAACUAUUUCAAAUACAAUAAUUUUAUAAUUUACAUGUUAUAAUUAAUUAAUUGUUUAAACCUUAUGUAUUUGCCACUUCUUAUUAUAUAUUUAUCUUAUUGUAUUUGCAUUUAGUUAUUAAGCAAAUUAAUAUAUUCAUGAGAAAAUAUAUUUAAAAAAUAUUUUGUAUUUAAUUUAUGCUAAAUUCUGACCCGUAUUUCAAAACUGGAUUUCUUUUUACCAAUAUUUUUAUGCUUAUUCAUUUUAGAUAAUUUAUUAUUGUAUAUAUAAAAGUGUAAGAUAUGUUAAUUUUUAGACAUGUAUUAUAUAGUUUGUUAAUUUUAAGCCGUUCUAUCAUCAUAUUAUAUUUUAAAUAAAUAGUUUAUAUUUAUGAAAAUAAAAUUUAUAAAUUUAUCAAUUGAAUAUAAUUUUAUCAUAUUUAUUUUAGUAUAAUAAUUAUAUUUUAACAUGAUCAUGACUAUAAAAAUAGAUAAAAUAGGAUAUAAUUUAUUUAUUUUCAUUUCUAAACGAUAACUUAAAAUACAUUAAGUUAUUGUUUAAAUAUUACACAGAUUUAUUAGAAUUUUUAAAAUAUAAUAUAUAAAUAUAUAUUAUAUUUAAAAUGAAAAUAUAUUAUGAUUAAAGUAGUUACAAAGAUUUUAUAUUAUUAACUUUAAAGAAAUACAUGUUAAUUUUUAUACAUGUAUUAUAUAGUUUGAUAAUGUUAACCCAUCUUACCAACAUAUUAGAUUUUAUUUUUGAACAUAAAUAUUUUAUAAUUACGAAAAUAAAAUAUAUAAAUAUAUAAAUUUAAUACAAUUUUAUUAUAUUUAUCUCAAUAUAAUAAUUUUAAUUUAAUAUGAUUGAUUAUGAUUAUAUAAUAACUAAAAUAUUAUAUUUUUUUUUAUUUUUCAUUUUAUAUAACUGAAUAUAUUAAUGUAUAAUAAUAUUUUAAACUAAUUUCGAAAUUAGUGAAAAUAUUUAAAUAUAAUUUCAAAAAUGAAGAUCUUGCAAAAAUCUUCUUAAACAGAUUUGUUAGAAUUUUAAAAUAAAUAUAUUUAUAUUUAAAAUGAAAAGAUAUCAAAAGAUACUAUGAUUAAAAUAUUUUUAAAAUUAUAUUUAUUAUUAGUCUGAAUUAAAAUAUAGUAUGAAUUUCUAUGAAUAGGUCCAUUAGGUCCAUUUUUAAAAAAAUCACACAUGAAUCAAGGUUGUGACUUCUGUUUUAAUAUAUAAGAUAUAAUAAAUAUUACUAAUAACAAAUAAAUUAUAUUAUAAUUUAUAAGAAUAAAAUUUUGUUAUUUUAAAACUGAUAACACAAGAGUAUACAUAUCAUGUCCAACAUAUACAUAUAUUACUAUAAAAAUCAACAAAAUUAUAAAUAGAUUAGAUCAUUUUAAAUAAAAAUACAUAAUCUUAUAAUUAACAAAAUUUAACGAAAAUUUAUUUAAAAAGAAAUAAAUUAUGCGCUUUAAAAGCACGGAUCAAAUCUAGUUUCAUUUAUAGAUUAAAUUUAUUUUUUACUUCACUGUGAAGUGGAGAAUGAAGAGAAAUUGAACCUUUCCUUAACAUCUAAGAGAAAUCUCUUUAUGAGCUCUAAGAUUUAUAUUAGCUAGAUAUAAUUGUAACCGCUAUGCUAGUUCAUAGUUGGUGAUGCGAUCUACUGUUUAUUAUAAACAGAUCUAACUAUUUUCAAAUGGAUCAUUUAAUCUGCAACACAUAGAAUUAUGAUGAAUGAUCUUUUCUUAAGUUUGUCGGAUCAUUUAAUCUGCAACACAAAUGGUUACAGCAAAUGCUUCAUCACAUCUAAUAACGUUGAUCACUGGGUUAACAAGACCAGAGGUACUCAUGGACUUUCUAAAGGCCCAUAAGUCAAAUCCCAAAUAUAUCAGUGUAUAUAAGGCCAGAGCCCCAAUGUUGUUUGGUUUGCGUAAUCUGUCCUACAUAGUUUGUGUAUCAGUUCUGAUUUCAUUUGUUACUCCAGGCAAUAGCAAGACCUAACGUAAGACACAAUCUUUCCAUUAUCUUUUGAAACCUAUGAAACACAAAAUACAUCAUUAUAUAUAUUAGGGGUGGGCACUUUACCCGAUAUCCGAAGUGGCACCCGACAUACAAAGAGAUUCUGAGAAUCCAAUCCUGGUUUACUCAAAUAGACAGAAAAGCAUGACUCAUCAUGAGAGCCAACCACAACAUAUCUUGUAACUUGAAGCCGGUAUUUGACCGGUUUCCCGGAUAUAUUCAGCUUCAGCUGCUGCCUUCUCGGCGUCACGGGCCUUUCUAGCUUCCGCAGCAGCCCGUUUCUCUUCUGAUCUUUGCUUAGCCAUUGCGAUUUUCUUCACUAUCUUUGCUUCAGCUUCAGCUUUCAUCUGCUGCACUUUAGCCUAGCAACAUACCAAUGCUUUUAGCAGUAGUGACAUAUAGUGUGAGUGAUCAAGACAUUAAGAUUUAUCCGAAAACGUAUCACACAAACCUCAAUACGUCGCAUCUCUGCUUCAAGUUUGGCUUUCUCCUGACUCUCCCAAGCUUGGAUCCUGAUCUCCUCACGCUUAUACCUAAUAUAAACAACACGUUGUUAGGGCUUUUUACUUUAUGUUUCUUCACAGACAAGCUACUAUUAAGGUCGUAAGAAUGCAAACAGACCUUGCAUUAUGUUUUGAUUUCUCUGCUUCUUCCCAUGCACUCGCUCGCUUAUCAAACUCAACCCUCUGAGUCUCCUCUGCAUCUACAUUGUUGUUGUUGUUCUCCUCUUCCUCUUUACUUGCCCAAGCUGCGAUGUUUGUCUUCCCAAGCUGAACUCCGAGAGCUACAAUCUCUCUUCUCGUCCUCGCUUUCAUUUCCUCCUCAGAUAAGUCUCUUCUAGUGUUCUUAGACGGGUCUUGUGACACAGAAGACUCUACUUGUUUGCCUCCUCUAGGAGUAGAAGGCAGAGAAGAAGUAGGGCUGCGAAGAGGAGUUGUUGCAUCAACUGGUGUGACAGAUCUUGAAGGUUCUUGACUCGGUAUUGGCGUCAUUUCAGUCCCCAUAUCUCUCAUACACACAGAACGAAUCGCAGGACCAGCUUCACACAUUACAACACUUGUCAAAAUCAGUUAGAGCCAUCAAAUCUAACAUUAUCUAAUUACCUGUUGUGUUAUCAUGUGAUGAAGCCUUUGUUAGAAUUGGAUGUGGUGCCGUGGGAACCAAGUUAGGGAACGUUUCGAACCCUUCAGCUUGUGAGGAUUGGCACGGAUCCAUCCUAGACUUGGUAUGCUCGUAGCCUGUAUUAUCAGGCACAACCCUCACAGGCAUCCGGUUCCCUUGACCGUUCUUCCUCAUCAUCAUGUUCUGUCUGCUCAAUAUCCACUUCUCAGCAUCACUCCAUUUGGACGGCACUUGUCUCCAAGGGUAUGCUCUUGAGGCAUGACUCUGAGCGGAACGCUCUCCUCCACGAACACCACCGUGGAACUCGAAGCUUGAAGAGCUAGCGUUACUGUCAUAAUCAAGAUUUUCAUCUUCUUGUGGUCUCAGAGUAAUACUCAAGUCAGCCUUUUUAAGUUGCUGUGGUCUUGCUUGAUCAGUUUCUCUCAUACCACCUUGAUUACUGCUCUCGGUUAGGUCCAAAACUGGCGCAUUUGGUAGUUUAGCUACUUCUAUAUAAGUAGCUGAAGCCGCCACUAGAAGCCACACAACAAGAACAGAGCAAAUAGACAAACUUUUAGUCAAGUAAUGAAACAGAGUAUAUACAUAAACACUAACCAUUUUAAGACUUAAAAUUAAAAGAAAGAGCAUAGAGAUGAAACAAGAACAGGGCAAAAAAACAAACUUCAGCUAAGAACAGAGCAAAAAGACAAGCUUUAGCCAAGAACGGGGCAAAAAGACAGGCUUUAGCCAAGAACAGAGCAAAUAGACAAGAUUUAGCCAAGAACAGAGCAAAUAGACAAGCUUUAGCCAAGAACAGAGCAAAUAGACAAGCUUUAGCCAAGAACAGAGCAAAAAACAGAGACUUUUGGUGUAUCUUGGACUAAGAAAAGGAUUAAACUAUAAAACUGAGACAUGGAAGACGAGAGAACAAACCAUGAUCAUCUUCGUCUGUGUCGGACUUGGAAGCUAACAAGCUGUUCUUGGAGAAUUCUGUGUCAUCUGAAACCUGAAGACGAACAGGAGAUGUUCUUGAUGAGUUAUUGCUAGAUCCUUCUUUCUUCUUGUUAUUGUGGGGACCCAUUAGCUUCAUUCUCAGCUUCGUUGGCGAGAUCAUGCUCUUCUGCAAGAUAUAUAUAAAUGAAAAUUUUCUUGAUUUCUUGAACUUGAAUUCAAAUAGUUUAAAAGGAGAAACAAAUUAACUUUAUUUUGAUAAACUACUUCACUUAAUGGAGGCGAAAAAGGGUGAAAAUAUCUGAAAUUUAACAGUAAACACACAAACACACACAAAAGUUAUCUCUUUUCUCCCAGGAAUUCUUCUAUAGAGGAAUCUCAAUGUAACAUAAUGGAUGCUAAAUCCUAAUGCAUAUCCAGUAUUUUCAGUGAAGAGAAAUAAAAACAUAAAAGUAAGAGUGCAAUAUUGAUAACAAGAAUACAGACAAGUACAAAAGAAAAGAAGAUUGAAGACCAGAGAAGUGUUGUACUUGAGAAAGAGAGAGAUAGAUAUGAGUUAAUUAAUUUACCUGCACCUUCUCUAUCCUCUCGUACUCCAUUGCCAAUGCCAAGUCCUCUCAGUCUAUCUCUCUAUCUUUUUAUAUUGUUAUACUGAUAUGUAUGAAGCUGAAGACAAGACGAGCCUUCUUCUCACUCUACUCCCUCUCUCCUCUCGAGUAUUAACUAGAAGAAGAAGAAGAGAGACAAAUGAGUGUUUUCUAGCUUAUUUUUAUUAUUUUUAAUGAUUGAUUUUCUUGUAUUUAAUACUGGGAAUUGUUUUGUUGUAUUUUUGUUAGAAAAAAAAAACAAAAGAAGUGAGAAAAGGCGACUGUGCACGCCGGUCCACAUUUUUCAUUUCAUCAUCAUACACCGUUUUGAUCUUGACACGUCACCUAACUCAUCUUUGUAUUUUUAAUUACAGAAUAUUUUUGAGUACUUUUGUUCUCUUCUCAUCCACGAAUACAUUUUUUUUUGUUUCUACCAAAUUUAAAUCUGGAAAACGACUUCAAUUAAUUUUCUUAUAUUUGAUUUUCUUAAAAACCAGUAUAUAACAAAGUUUCUUAUGAUGAGUAAGAAAAAUAAGUAGUGGAUUUAUGAUAAAUCGAGUAUAUAACAAUGUUUCUUAUGGUGAGUAAUAAAAAUAAGUAAACGAUUUGGAUUUUUAGGUGCAAUUUUCUCAUUGUAAUGACUUUUUUUUGAGAUACAGAUAUAACAAAGGAGAAAAUUUUGAGAUACUACAUGCCAAAAAGAAAAAAAAAUUAUGAUAUCUGAAAAGCCUAGGAGUAGAUUAGUGAACGUGGAUUUAUCAUUUACAUCUGUCGAUCUCGUCACUAGCCAUAAUGAACUUAAUCAUUUCUUUUUCACUGUGAGCUUUAUUAUUUUUGGGGUCACUGACUUACUAGCUGUGAACUUAAUAAUUAAAAAUACAGAAGCCCAAAUUUGAAGAAAGAACAAAUUAUUUGUAUAUAUCUGGUUAGGGUAAGUAGAAUAAAAUUCCAAGAAACAUAAAAUGAGCCAGCCAAAAAAAGCUUAGCAUUCCAUCUAAAAUGUGGUUACAAACUUACAACACUUUUUUGAGCAUCCAAUGCUGGAAACUCAAAAUUAGUAUAUGAAUCAUAAAAGACUAUCAAUUUAUUUAAUUCAAAACUUUUGUAGAAUGAACAAAAUAUUAUUUUAUAGACUCUAAAAUUCGAACCAGUGUUUUAUUUUUCUUUGUAUUAGUAUAUUGAAUACUUAAAACUUUUGGAAUGAUGUGUUUUACAUUCUGUGUGCUAUUGUGAUAGUUACUUUAGGAGUAAUAACAGUAGAUACUAUAUCUUUUAUUGAGUUAGUAAUUAUGAUAGUGACAAAAAAAUAUCAGAGCAAGCUAUUAUGAUUUUUCUGUUAUUUUUUUAUAUUUUAUUUUUUGGCUUAAAAAGAAACCGAAGAAGGGGUUGUGUGUAACAAAGAAGAGAGGUAUCACACUUUUUUAAGAGAAAUUGCACCCAAUAACUAAGAAAAAAACCAAAAUUCACUAUCUAACUAAAAUCCCAUCUUUUUUUCUCUUUUCUCUUCCUAUCUCUCUCUAAAAAUCUAAUUUCUCUUUUUUUUUGGUUAUUCCCUAAAUAAGCCCGUUUUUUAAAGGUUUAAAGUUAGAGAGAAGAGAGAAGUUAGAUCUGCUUUGGUUUCCGGCGUUCGGUCGGCGCGCGUCCGUGCCGGUGCCGGAGUCCUUUUCGUUUGUCGUUUGUCGUUCUCCUUCGUUCCUUCUUCGCCGUCCUGGUAACGAUCGCCUUGUCCAAGCUCUGGUACCGGCUCCUUUUUUAACGGUGGGGCGGUUUUGAAGUAAUGACGCGGUCGUUGGGAAGUCUUCGGUGGAGAGAGAGAGCGGCUUGCAUGUUCAGAGGUGGUGUUUUUCCGGGAGGUGGAGGCUUCCGCAGAUCCACCGUCGCCUCUUCUAGCUUCCGGGAAGGGAGUCUCCUUUAGAUUCGCCUUCGCGGGCUUUUGGUUACGGAGAGCGGAGGCUAGCAAAGCUCCGCGCUGCCGUUUAGGAACCCGGUGUUCUUUGGGUAAAGGUUACUAGGUUCGAUUGGUAUCAAGUUUGGUGUGGUUGUCGUCAAAGGUGAGGUUGGGUCACGGCGGUUGAGAUCCCGGUAGAGGAUGAAGCUUUCCGGCGAGGUGACGACUCUCAAGGAAAGAAAGAGAUGGUUCCCCGCUCGCGUGUCUAGGGUUUGAAGUCUGUAAAGUCGGAGGAGAUCUCGAGUUUCGAUUGAUCCCUCAGGCGUGAUGACAUUGCGGUGAAGAGAGGCUAUGGGUUCGUUGGAGGCUUGUCGGGGUCAGAACUCCGACGAACGAAGAUUUCGAUGGUGUUUAUUCUGGCGGCUUUCUGGCGGGGCGGUCAAGUUGAGGUGGUGAUGCCGCGUGAAGCGUGAAAGGAGCAGAUCCCUCCACGUGGCGAGCCAGUCUCCUCGACGCGCUGGCUGUCUGGGUCGAGCGGUUUCUAAGUUUGGACCGAGGGCCCGUUUAAUCUUUGCCUUUUGCCCGUUCUCGUUUGGGCUUAUAGUAGUUUUUUAUGUAAGCGGGCUUCUGCCGUUGUCUGGGCCCGGCCCAUUGAUUUAAUAUUAAAAAAAGACAUUGACGGAAAAGAAAAAAAAAGAAGUGGUUGUGUGUAGAUCUACGUUGCACGGAAGCUUCAUCGGACGUCCGCUUCCCGCUUCGGAACCGGAAUCGGAAUCGGAACCUUGUGGAAGCUUACGGAAUCUCGCUUCCAAAACGCUUCUAAAAUAUUAUCUUUAAAAACAUAUUGGAAGCUUACGAUUCCGUUUUGGAAUCGCGCUUCCAUUUUUUUUUUUUAAACACAAUGUCUUAUAUCAAUAAGAAUAUAAAAUUAUAGUUUUUAAUUUAUAUAUAAUCCAAAUUUUAAUAGUAUUGAAUAGAGAGAAUAGAAAUAUACAAAUAUUAAAACUAAUACUAUAAAUUAUCUUUAUGCAUUGAGGUUUUUAUUAAAGAUAAAUCAUAUAUUCAAAUAUAUUAUGUCAAUUAAUUAUAAAGAAUUACAAAAAUAUAAUAUUAUUUAUUUUAUUUAAUUUAUGUGUAUUUUCACAGUUUAAAUAUGAAGUUAUUUCAAAAUUAUUAUAAAUGAAUAAAUGCUUUAUUUUAAAUUUAAAUCAUAUAAUUUUUAGUUUUAGAUUUUUAAAAAUAAUCUUACAUAUGUAUAUAUAUUCCAAUUUUUAAUUUUUAGUCUUACAUAUAUAUAUAUAUGGAUACGCUUCCAACACGUAUCCGCUUCCUAAUUUUUUUUAAAAUCUCGCUUCUGCGCUUCCAUACGCUUCCGCUUCUACGUACCCGCUUCCGUUUCCAUGUAACAUAGCUGCUGACCCCAUUUCAUGACUCUACACCCUCUCUCCCUUUGUUUUCCUCCUUUAUUGUUUCCUUCUUUUAUGUUCUUUAUUUUAUAUAAACCAUAAAACCAAUAUCAAAUGUCCAUCCAUUUUUUAAACCGAGCUGAGCAAAAUUAUGUAAGCUAUUUUACUAUUAACAUCAAUAUUGUUGUUAACACGGUAGGAAAUUUAUAUAUGCACUUAUACACUAUAUCAUAUUGAACUUUUGUAGCAGCAAAAUAAUUUCUUAAUAAACUUCAUUUUUGGCGACAAAACAAAAGUUUGAAAUUGUCAUUUUAACCAUUUUUUUGUAGUGUUUGAUUGAUUAUCUGUUGUGUUACAUAAUUAAAACAUCUUCAAUCGCAACAUCAAAUUUGGUGUUGAAAUUAUAUCAAAGUUAGUGUUUUAGUUUCAUUUUCGUUUUGUUAUCUCCAACUAAAAUAUUAAUAUUUACACCAAAAAAAAAUAUUAUAUAUUAUUUGAUGUUUUCAAUUUUAAUAAUAUAUAUUUUAUUAUUUUUAUUGAUAAAUGAUUAUUUUAUCACACUAAGGUAUUAUUAUGUUCAUAAUGUUUAUUUACGUUUCUAUUUUUUACCAAUAUUAUAUAUAAAAAAUACAAAUAAUGCAAUAUAUUAUGUUUAAUUACAAAUUUGAACUAGUUAAUAAUAUAAUUGAACUAUACUAUUAGAUAAAAUAUAAUAAAAUAUAUAUUUAAAUAUUUGGCGUGAUAAAUAGUGUUAUACUAAUUUUGAUGUAAUUUUAUUUAUAUUACACCAAAUUUAUUGGAAUUAUAUCAUUUUUGUGUCUUAUUAUAAAUGAAAUUGCACCAAAUUCUUCUAACACGUAUCCGCUUGCUAAUUUUUUUUAAAAUCUCGCUUCUGCGCUUCUAUACGUUUUCGCUUCCACGUACCCGCUUCUGUUUCCAUGUAACAUAGGUGUAGAUUCGCAAGGCAAUGUAAAUGAUACAAGAUCGGUACUGAAACGUAAAAAAAUCGAACUGACACUUUCUCCACUUUAGGGCAUUACGUUUCUCUGUUACUUUGACCGUUGACCACCUCGUUUCUUAUUCUUUUUCAUGAACUUAUGUAUUUUUUCAUUAUGGAAGUUUUGAUUAGGAUAAUAUUCCAGUGGCAAUUAUUAUGUAACCAGAACCGAUAUAUUCCGUUGACCACCUCUGUCUCACUACAUUUAACUUUAGGUUAAAUAUUCAUUGGUAUUUUUCUUUUUAACUCAAAAAAUUAUUUCAUUCAUGAAAAUAUACAAAAUAAAAUACAUAAAUCGACGAAAUAUGAAUAAAUCUCUAAAAAUAAUAGUCCAAAAAAAUAUAAUACUAACCAAAACAACCAAUAGAUUUUAAAAUAGUAGACAAGCACUACAAGAAAACAGCGGUAUUCUGACGGACGUUCCGACGGAAAAUGAAUUCCUCGGAAUAUACCGAGGAAUUUCCGAGGCAAUUCCGAGGAAACACAAAAUUUGGCUUCCUCGGAAUUUCCUCGGAAUAUACCGACGGAAUUCCGAGGAAAAUUCAGUUCGUCGGAAUAUUCCGACGGAAUACCGAGGAAAAUUCAGUUCGUCGGAAUAUUCCGACGGAAUACCGAGGAAAAUUCAGUUCGUCGGAAUGUUCCGACGGACUACCGAGGAAAAUAGUAUUCCUAGGAAAAAAAUCGAUGAAUUCCGAGGAAAUAUUAUAGACGUUAGAGAGCCGUUGGGGGGAUUUUAAAAAUUCCGAGGAAAUUCCGAGGGCAGAAAGGUUUUCCUCGGAAUUUCCUCGGAAUAGAUCUUGUCGAUUUAGAGAUUUGAUUAUACAUUCCUUUUCCUUGGAAUUUCCUCGGAAUUUUCCGAGGAAAUUCCGACGACGAUAGAGUUUUCCUCGGAAUUCCCUCGGAAAAUUUCGAGGAAAUUCCGAGGAACUUGGGGUUUUAAACCGAAAACAACGUUUUACGGAUUGAAUAACACGUAUAUAACCUUCAUUAAGUGUCUUAACCAGAUUAUGAAGUCAAACUUUGGUGUUUUACCCAAUAACAAACACUUUUACGAUUGCAUGAACGAAAACCACACAACAUAAGAGAAACACUUAUACACUUUAACAAACGGUAAAGGGAAUACUUACAAUUCGUUUUGAAAUUUUGUUAUUUCAUGGUUUAUGAUCAUCUAUACAAAGAAUCCUCAAUGGUAUGCAUUAUAAUUGUAUAAGAAAUGAAAUACGGCGAAAAUAAUCGAUGUUUUGAAACCCCAAACCCUGGUUCCUCAGAAUUUCCUCGGUAAAUUCCGAGGAAAUUCCGAGGAAACCUGGUUCCUCGGAAUAUUUUCAUUUAACCGGGUAAACCAAGCCGCCAAAUAUUUCGCGAAAAUUGAAUUAAUGAUUUCCGAGGAAAUUCCGACGGAUAUAGUAAAUAUUUCCGAGGAAAUUCCGACGGAUAAUUUCCGUCGGACCCCUCAUUUUAUUAGGUCGAGCCCGACCUUCUUCCCCAUUUCUCUCCGCCGCAAUCUCUCUUUCUCCUGCGAUUUCGUCGACUCCUCUCUUCUCCCUUGCGAUUUGCGGCGCUUUCUCUCUUCUCCCUCGCGAUUUCCACCCUAAUCCUCAUGUAUGAACCCUAUCCCACUCUUUUAGGUUAGAUUUGUAUGGUUUUUAAGUAGAUUUGAUGAUUUUGGAAUGAGAUUUAUAGAUUUUGUUAGGGUGAAUGGUAGAUUUNNNNNNNNNNNNNNNNNNNNNNNNNNNNNNNNNNNNNNNNNNNNNNNNNNNNNNNNNNNNNNNNNNNNNNNNNNNNNNNNNNNNNNNNNNNNNNNNNNNNNNNNNNNAUGAAUUUCCGAGGAGUUAUUUCCGAGGACUUUUUUCGUCGGUAUGUCGUCGGAAUAGCGUUAUUCCGACGACAUACCGACGAUAUUUUCCCUCAGUAUGUCGCUGUUUUCUUGUAGUGAAGUAAUAUAUAGAAAAAUAAUAGAACCUAGAGCUGUGACUGAUAUGAUGAUCCAAUUUAUUCACCACCUUUCCAUAGAACAAUAAAACACUGAAGCUAAAUUAAGGAGGAGAAGUCUUGAGCGAUCCCAACCCUGAAAGGAACAUCACCAAGUCAAACUAGAACAUCAACAUCAAAAAUAAUCGCAAGGUCGAAUCUACAACAACUCCAGAAACUACUAUCCAUUUGAAACUUGCAUGACCGAAAUUCUUCACCAAAACUAAAGUACAAAGACCGAAAAACUUGAAACUUGAAAAAACGUCAAAAAAGACCACCAGCUCUUACACGCAGACACUCGCAAGACAAUUAAGUGACCUACAGAACAAAGACUGUCCACCUCCUCGCAAGAAAAGAACUGAAGAACAAGUCAACUACUUCGUCUAGAAACCAUAUCCCAUAUUCACAAAAGAGCAAGAAAAUAUAUAGUAGAUACCUCCACAGCGAACACAAAUCACAAAAACGAAUCCAAAUAACGAGCUUCGGUUGAGACGAAGAGACCAUGACAGCAAGAAUCAAACAUAAGAAACAGUCCCACGACUUCAAGCUAAUACCAACUUGUCACAAAAUACUUUCACCCACACUUAACGACACCAAGAGAAAGGAAAAAAUCCCACCAUUAAUCUAGUAGAUCCGGAUCUCUGGUUUCAACAUAGGAAAAGAGACGGUCAGAUCUGAAAUCAUACACCUCACCAGUAUCUGAGAUGCUUCAAAUCUACAGCUGAAACUAUGAAGAGUAUAAACCCAAGUAAAAAUCGCAUACACAAAAUAGAACAGACGAGAAUGAAAAGAGGAGAAACCGACGCUGAUGCUGACAGAGCCAUAGAAACCGAUCUCCAACAAACGAUACGAUACGGCAGAUACUUGCUCUCGACGACUAGGGUUUCACAGCAGAUCACGUAGUUUUAAAAUGAUGGAUGUAUUUGUGUGUAUCCAUUGGUAUCUAAAAUUUUACCAUGAAAUAAAAACUAUUAAACGUUAUUUUAUACUCCUACCGAGCAAUAGAAGUGGAUCUGUGCUCUACCGAGCAGCAGUACAACUCACUGGCCGCUUAUAUUAUUCGUAUGAUUAUAAGUUAUAACAAACAAGCUGUGAAAUAUAUAACUAUAGCUUUUUAUAUACUAAUAUAGGUUUAUCGGCUCGUAAAAUUCAAAACAUACGAAUCAUAUAAACAAUGGCGAGCGUGUACGUAUUGUGAGGCUCAAGCUCAGCUAGAUUCCUAUAGACUAAUCUUGUUUUCCUCAUAGAGAAAUCUAUUUUAAAAUAGUAUUUCCUUAAGGUCAUGCCUUUCCAUAGAAAAUAAUCAAACUAUACAUAUGAGGCUGAUUACUUUCUUUUCUAUAUAUAUAUAUAUAUAUAUAUAUAUAUUUUUUAAUGGACAUGUUUUUUUUCAGACUUCAACUGAUCGUUAUUAUUCAUGGAAUGAAUUCGACCUGGUUGAAGGUUGUUAGUUUAAGUUUAUAUCUUAUAUGGCUGUUGUUACUUGUUAUUGCCUCGGGCCCGUGGUAUGUCCUGUUUCUGGCUUCUGGCUCCGUUGAUAUUAUGUAUUAGUCGGAUUUUGAACUCUUGGCUUUAUAUGCUCCGUUCCUGAUCAACUGAUCUAUGAAAGAUGACACAGAUCGCGAAGGAAGGACUCAUGGCUUUUAUUUAUAAGAAAACGGCGAAAGGAACAAAAUACAUCAUCAUUAAGUAUAUAAACCCUUGCAUCACCACGAUUCCCACACUUUAGACGACAAUUCCACUUAUCAUAGCAAACUGAAAUACGAUUUAAUUGGUUGAAAAGUGGUAUGAUCAUCAACAACUGGAACCGUGACGAAUGGUUUGGAGCAUACCAAAUAAAGGGCCUUUGGAAGCGCCGAUGUGGAAACCCUACAACAUUUGAAAACAAAAAUGUCGAGUUCUUUACUUUUAGGAUCUAUUGUUGCAAAUUUAUCGAGAUCGACUUUGUGUCUCAUGAUGAACUGGGGGGCUUGGAGAUUAGAUUACAUCCUUCAAACAAAGCCCAUCAAAUAAAUCAAAUUCGGCCUAAUUGACUAAAAGGCGAUAAAAAAUUAUGUCGACUUAGAAGAAAAAAAAAGUCGGUUGUAAAAGAAAAGACUUAGUUCAAAAAAAGACACUUUCACAAUCACACAUAAAUCCACACAAAAACUAGGAUUUAUAUACUUUUACUUGUUCUUGGUGAAUUCAUGGUUCUUGAAUGAUUUAGUCGCUUUUCCUUGUAAUCAUUCUUUUAUCUAUCAAUAAACAUUUUUAAAAUAAUUCACCAUCAAAUUUAUGUUUAUUUUUGGUAAUGAAUUCAGAUUCACUAGUAUAUAUGAAAGGUUUAUCUUAUUUUUCCGAGUGUAAAGUAUUUUUUUUUCGUUUCAAAAUAAAUGAUUUUAGUAAACUUUCUGAUGUUUUAAAACAUAUAAUGUUUUCAUAUUUCAAUGUAAUUUUUAACUUUAUCAAAAAUCAUGUAAUCAAUAAUAUUUUGUAAUCUAUUUUGUAAUUGGUUAAAUAAUUUUUAAUUUAUACUUUAAUUUUAUUUUUAAAUAAAAGACAAAUUUCUUAAUAGUUGUGCAAUACACUAAAAUACUUAGUAUAUUAUUAACUACGGGGUUAAGAUAUGUAACACGAUACUCAUGUUAGUGUGCCAUAGAUCUAGUGUCCUUAUAAUCAACCAUUUAGUGUGUUUCUUUUUUCUUUUUUCUUUCCAUAAUGUAAAUUUUGUUUUCAAAUGUGAGGUUACUGAAAUUCAAAUUUAAAAUAUAACAAGACAGAAAGUCUGAAACAAGUAUUCCCCAACUGAUUCUACAUACCACAGUUCGUUAAUUUUUUCACUUUCAGUUCUUAUUGCUGUUUACUGUUUUCAACAUCAUCAUAUCAAUAAUUUUCUUUGGUUGUUACAAAUAAAAAUGUACAGUCUAUUGUUUGGAUGGUUGCACAUGGAGUGCCUAUUUUGUUUCUCACAUGUGUUAAUAUAAAGUCGAAACGUACACGUAAAUUCAAACAUAACAUGUAUUUUUAAUAUAGUCAAAACUUUAUAACAUGUUUUUGUGAUAGAUUUAUGACAUGGUUCUUGCCUCUGGUUGUUAAUAAACGUGAGCUAUAUCGUCCAGUUGUCGUUGAUCCAUGUAUGAAUUUCAUAGAAAGUGAUAUUGGUUGGACUCUCGUAGAAAGAUAUUUGACCGCAUUUAACUUUAUUUUUCAUUCGUUUUUUAUAGUGAAAUGAACAUUUGGAUCUGCUUUUGCCAUACAUAUAAUCAACAAUGAUGUGAUUGUGAUGUACAUACUGGUCGCUGAUUUAUUUCAUUUUCUCAAUUGAAUAAUAAAGGUAGCCAUUUUUUUUUUGGUCAACUACGAAGAGAAUUGUACUCACCAAAAGAAUGUUCAAACAAAAUAUUAAAUAUAUACACAAACGGCCAUGCCAUAUAAAUGGGCUUGUUGAAAUGGUGCAUCAAUUUGAUUUUAGUGGUCGGUGUAUGGGAUAAGUCAAAAAAGCUACCUUGUACAUUUCAUGGCACACACUUUUUGACAUUUUUCAUUUCACAUUGCUAUUACUAACUUAAUCAAUAAAUGUGAAUUUAGUUUAAUUUUUUUUUAUCUUUUGCAAUAUGUUCAAAACCACGAGUUUGACUUGACAGUAGAAUUUAGAAAUGGAGACGCAAAACAUAUCUCCCAGUGGGUCCAUAGAGUAACUACCCAAAAGAUUUUGCCAAGCUUAAUUACAUAGAUCCCCUAUCGUCUUCUAUCGAGUUAUUUUUGGAACCUAGAUUAGCUUUCUUUUAUGGGGAUCUGUAGGAAACCUUUGGAUGGACACAUAAGUUUAUAAGGACGAAGAAGAUAACUCAUAGUAUGCUGUGAUAUGCAUUUUGUUUGCUUUCUCUUGAUCUCAAAUGAAAAAUAUCAUGAAUGAUCAAACGAUUUUGUUUCAAACACUUUCUCCAUAUUAACAGUCUAGAAUCUUGUCUACUUUCUAAGAAGUGGAAUAAUACUAUUUCUUAAGUUUCUCAUAUAGUUAUUGAUUGAUAAUGUAGUAACCAAAAUUUAUUAAACUGGAUCUUUAUUAAGAGUUAUUCUCCAUAUAUUGUCCCUUUCUUUCCUCUGUUAUUGAAGAAACCUUUGUGUCAGAACCUAAAAAUAACUAUAGUUGAACAUGUAUUUUGUUGUUUUGUUGAUAGCUCACGAUGAGAAUGAUCCGUGACUAGAAAUGAUUACCGUGACUACAAAUGAAUAUGAAUCUAACCAUACGAAACCAAGCCUUUUGAGUGGUCUUUUACUAUAUUAUUUGAGAAUGAUUUUCUGUAGACUUUCUAUUAAAAAUCUGACUAAUGUAGUAAUCAAAAUUUCAACCAUAAAAUAGUUUUACGAUGAACUGCUUUUUCUUUCUUUUGUUAUUAUUUUAACAAGUAUAUCAGGAAAAAUGCAAAAAGAUAAUAAAGCAAAGGGUUUAAAUGCUAAACUAUAAUUUGGCAAAGACACAAAGAUCCCAACUUAAGAUUAAAGGUUUAAACAACAACAACAAAAAGAAGGUUUUAGUGCAUCUUGAAGAGAGCCGUUUUCUCAUUUCCGUCUCUCUCUUUCUCUCUUUGUAUCCUCAUCUUCUGAUUUAGAUGCUCAGCCUAAAAAGAUUUAAUGAAAAGGCCAAGUAAUGUUUUUGUUACCUCUUCAUAGGUCGAUAGGGACUCUCAAGCCAUCAUGCGCAAGUUUUACCGAGAUCCCUUCCCUAAGAAAACCAAACAUUGCAACAAAUAAAUAAGAUUACACCUCUCUUUCUGUGGAUGGUUUCUUCUGAUACAGUUUUCUACCUUUUAGACCAUUCAUCAAGAAACUCAUUGUCCUUGUGGUGAUCAAACUCGUGAGUCAUUCCGAUUAGAAGAGCCCUUUUGGGACUCAGUCUUUUGAUCGUCUCUAGUGUCUACAUGAGAACAAAAGUAAGCAUGCAUAAAACAUAAAAGAAGAAAAAAAAAACACCUUCAAAUUAAGCUAACCUGCGGGAAACAUAAGUGGGUGUUGUGGGAUCCUGUCUGGAACGUCACGAUAAAAGAAAGAAUGUGAAAACAUCAGAAAAAUGGAAAAGCAAACUUUAAUGCAUAAGGAUGAUAUGCGUUACCUUAUAUAAUGUAUCCAAGAUAAGAAGAUCCAAUUGUCCACCACCAGAUUUUGAUAUGACUGUAUAAUCCAAAGGCAAUAGAGUCUAAAGUUAUCUUGUGUGAGAGUAUCAAUAACACACACGCUCUAAGAAAUUUGUUACACACACUUACCAUACUCAGUGCUUGGAGGAAAGCGUGACACAUCAGAUAUAUACGCCACUCUUGAUUUUUCUCCAAAAAGGAAACCAAGGCAGACGUAGUCUUCUCCAUGCAUCACCUAAGAGGCAUAAACAAGAUUUGAGUCUCCGGAUAGAUCAAGCAGGGAGACAUGAAUCACUAUUUCUAACAGAGGGUUUGAGAAACUAACUGGAAGUGGCGUGAAUGAUAAGUCUGAAGCUAAAAAUGGCUUCUCACAAUCUUCUUCGAUUACUCUCCAGUCCAGCUGUGUAACCCGCCUAACUUCUUGGCCUUCUUUAAGUUUCUUCUGAACCAGAUACGGGAACUUCACAGCAAGACUGUUAUGAAGAAAGAAAAGAAGGCAAUUGUCGAAACUACAGCUUUCAAAGUCUAGAAGGUCAAACUGAAAAUAAAUAAAAAAGACCAUGAAGAUGUUAUUAUUACCUGUCCAUAGCAUAUUGGCUUACGAAAAUAGGAGUAGGAUCUAUAUCAUUGGUAGGACUAAAUGGUUGCACGGAGCGUAUAUCAUCCAGGCCAAGUACUGCAUCAGCAUGCUCAUGGGUUAAAAUGAUCUGCAUGUCAUGUAAAAAAAAAAUUAGUGCUUACAUGCAUGGACUCGAGAAUUGUAAUUCAAGACUUAAAAUUUGCCUCAUGUUAGCUUUCUUCAUACAUUAUCUCAGGCAUGUUAGAUCCUUUUCUAGGCACGAAACAAAAUAUUCAUGCACGACUUACAGAAUCAACUUGAGGAAUGUUGUGAAGAGUGAACCAACGAAGGACUUGUUCCCUGAAGGUCUUGCCAACGUCGAUUUGAAUGUAUUUAUGUUUGCCAUCACUUUGGCAAUAAUCAAUUAGAAGUGAAGUGUUUCCCCUGCCAAAACAAAAAGGACACAUAACUCUUGCACUGAAAAGAGAAUCUCGAGUCUAAAAUAGGGAGGAAUCAGCUAACUAUAAGAUGGAUCAUCAAAAUCAAGCGCCACACACAAUCUUAAAAGUAGGACGCAAAGCUAGACUAAUUGAAUCAAAGGAACAUAACUAAGUGAUCUCACAAACCAAGAAUUAAACAAAAUUGAUGAAACCCAAAUCUCAAUUUUAAGGAAUGUUCAAUGUGAUCACCGACAUGCAAGAAGCAAAAAUAAAAAAAAAACUAAGAUAGCAACUCCACACUCGAAGGUAUGUACAAUGUACCUGUAGUUAGGGUUUUUCUCUGGCGGGAUCGAGAGAGACUGCGAGCAGACGUAGCAGGGAGGAUCUGAUUUCUGGAUCAAACACAUUGCGUUAGGAACCGCGCUCGAACAUCCCGUUCCCAGGAAUAUCAGAGCCGAUCCCUCGCCACCGUUCUCACUCGGAACCGAACCGUUCAUCAUCGGAAUAUGUAUGUUUCCUGUGAGAGAAUAUGGCAAAGGAAAAACUCGCUAGUAAUAAUAAAAAGAGGUAACAGAAGAAGAAGGGUGUCUUGUCGACGACGCAAAGGGGAAGGAGAUGAAGAUCAAAUAUAUUUUAUUUUAUAUACUAACGGUUACGUUUGUCACGUGGCGCACUCUUGACGCCUCUCAAUGUAACUCCUGCUCCUGGUGGUUGUGGGAAAUUGGAUUCCUUUUCAUAUAAACUUCAUGUUAAUACCUUUUUCGGAUAAAUCUUGACAAAUUUUCCUCAUUUAAAAUAAAUAUUUUAUUAUUUCUUUCCCUGACUAAAAUUUAUUGUAUGAUUUGUUAACACUUUCGGAUUUUUAAGACUUUUAUUUCUUUUGUCUACCUACUUAAAUUGAUAAAUUUAAUUAAAUUUCACAAAAAAAUAGAGCUCACAGCUCAUGCACCAGCCAGAAAUCGAACCCGGGUCUGUACCGUGGCAGGGUACUAUUCUACCACUAUUUGAUAUGCCUCGCUAUAUACAGAAUAUAAAUGCAAACUCCAUACAUUCUCUUUAUUUUUCCCAACACCUUCUCGUGGUCACACCCUAAUAGUAAAGAUGAUUCAAGUUCUUCCAACUUUCAAAAUCGCUUUCUUUCCGUUACUUUGCUCUGUGAAGAACACUACGAUUGAGUGACAACUAAAAAUUUGUGAAGAAGCAACUCGUUUCCGUUUAUCUAAUUGAUGUUGAAUCUAAGGCUUAGUCGCCUUCUUCGUCGACCCUUACUCCGAUUCUCCAACGGCGAAACUGACGCAUCUAUCUCCACAUCUUCCUCGGAAACUCCUCCCUCCAAUCAUGGCCCCUUUAGAGAAGGAGUUUCUCAUCGCGAAGAUGACCACCUGUCAGGAGAAUUCACGCAAUUGGGUUUCGGAAAGUCGCCGCCUUUGAAUGUCAGUGAAGCUGAAUCUGGAGAAAUUCGAAACCCUAGCUUCAACAGCUUUGACGAGAUAGACGAAUUGGGAGGAGAAGAAGAUGACGAAGACGAUGAGGAAAGCGUCGACGAACGGGACGAUGAUGAUUUUGCUGUUCUGGAAUCUUUCGGGAAGAUCCCACGAUCGAGAGAAGACGUUAACAGUAGAUUCGACGUGGAAGAAGAUGAAUCUAGGCAUCCUUUGGUGAGAGAGACAAACCGAUUGAUUAAUCUCAGAUCCUCUUGGAACCCAAAGCACGAAGGCGAAAUGAGGAAUCUAUUAAGGAGCCUUAAACCUUCGCAAGUCUGCGCCGUUCUACGCUCUCAAGACGACGAGCGUGUUGCUCUCAAGUUCUUCUACUGGGCGGAUCGUCAGUGGCGGUAUCGCCACCACCCCGUUGUGUAUUACUCCAUGCUCGAGGCUCUCAGCAAGACCAAGCUCUGUCAAGGUGCGAGGAGGGUUCUUGUUUUGAUGAAACGUAGAGGUGUGCAUCGAACUCCUAAGGCGUUUUCGCUUGUGAUGGUAUCGUAUAGUAGAGCAGGUCAGCUGAGGGAUGCUUUGAAGGUGUUGACUCUUAUGCAGAGAGCUGGUGUUGAGCCUGAUUUGUUGGUCUGCAACACGGCUAUUGAUGUUUUCGUGAGGGGGAAUAGGUUGGAGAAAGCGUUGCGGUUUCUGGAACGUAUGCAGGUUAUUGGUAUAGUGCCAGAUGUGGUGACUUAUAAUUGUUUGAUCAGAGGGUAUUGUGACUUGAGUAGAGUUGAGGAAGCUGUUGAGCUGCUAGAGGAGAUGCCUAGUAAAGGAUGUGCGCCGGAUAAAGUUAGUUACUAUACCGUAAUGGGCUUUCUUUGCAAAGAGAAGCGGAUUUUGGAAGUGAGAAACUUGAUGGAGAAAAUGGAGAAAGAGCAUGGUCUGGUGCCGGAUCAAGUUACUUACAAUAAUCUUAUUCAUAUGCUCACAAAGCAUGGUCAUCCGGAUGAGGCUCUUUUGUUUCUUAAAGAGGCUGAAGGAAAAGGCUUUCGGAUUGAUAAGGUGUGUUAUAGUGUUAUAGUUCAUGGAUUGUGCAAAGAAGGAAGAAUGUCUGAGGCAAAAGAUCUGAUUAACGAAAUGCUGUCAAAGGGACAUUGCCCUCCCGAUGUAGUAACUUAUACAACAGUUGUCAAUGGCUUCUGUCGUUUGGGUGAGGUGGACAAAGCCAAGAAGCUGCUUCAGGUGAUGCAUUUACAUGGGUACAAACCAAAUACUGUGUCGUACACUGCUCUGUUAAACGGGAUGUGCAGGACGGGGAAAUCGUUAGAGGCGAGAGAAAUGAUGAACAUGAGUGAAGAGCAAUGGUGGAGUCCAAAUUCUAUUACCUAUAGUGUACUUAUGCAUGGGUUUCGUAGGGAAGGGAAGUUGUCUGAGGCAUGUGAUGUGGUAAGAGAGAUGGUGCUAAAAGGCUUUUUCCCAGGCCCAGUUGAAAUCAACUUGCUGCUCCAGAGUCUUUGCCGGGAUGGGAGAACACACGAGGCCAGAAAAUUCAUGGAGGAGUGUCUGAACAAAGGGUGUGCUAUCAAUGUCGUGAAUUUCACUACAGUGAUUCACGGUUUUUGUCAGAACGAUGAGAUAGACGCUGCUCUCUCACUGCUCGAUGACAUGUACCUGAUCAACAAACACGCAGAUGUCUUCACAUAUACCACUUUAGUUGAUGCACUGGGAAAGAAAGGUAGAAUAGAAGAAGCAACGAAACUUACGAACAAGAUGCUUCAUAAGGGCAUAGAUCCCACCCCUGUCACAUACAGGACUGUCAUCCAUCGAUACUGCCAAAUGGGAAAGGUUGAUGAUCUCGUGGCUAUACUGGAGAAGAUGCUACUGCGGCAGAAAUGCAGGACAGUGUAUAACCAAGUCAUUGAGAAGCUUUGUGGUUUGGGAAAGCUCGAGGAGGCAGACAAAAUUUUGGGUAAAGUUCUGAGGACAGCUUCGACAUCUGAUGCUAAGACAUGUUAUGUGCUUAUGGAAGGGUAUCUUAAGAAAGGUGCACCUCUAUCAGCAUAUAAAGUGGCUUGUCGGAUGUUUAACCGUGAUCUGAUACCUGAUGUUAAGAUGUGUGAGAAGCUUAGCAAGAGACUGGUUCUGGAAGGAAAAGUUGAGGAGGCAGAUCAGCUAAUGCUACGCUUGGUUGAGCGUGGUCGUAUUUCUCCCAUUCCCUUAAAACAGUCCAUGGUAUCAUAAGCAUCGUAACCACAAACUUCUUGGUAGACUGCUUGAGGGCUCAUGCGAAAAGAGUGAUGGAAUAUAACUACAUGCUGUUGUAUUUCGUCGCUGGUUAGACACGACUUCCAGGUCUCAAGCCAAGCACCUAGGCUCUCACUCCGGAGCGGUCAAGGAUUUGGUAGUUGAUGCUCUUGGCUACCAGUUAUUCUGCUUCACAUACUCCUGGAAGCGACCCGUUAACUACUCACUGUUUCAAAUUUAAGUGAAAACUUACUAUCAAGUUUUAAUGUCUCUGUCCUCUUAAGUUUUUCUUACUAUAGUUAAGGUCACCGAUUGUUUCUCUGUGUUUGCAUUUGUGUCCGCAUGUCAUAAUAGUUAGAACAUUGUAAUAUGGGAUACGCAAACGAAAAUGCAAAGAACCAAUUGUGGCCUAAUUCAUGUUUCUUUCUGAUUUGUACUUUACUUAAUAGCAAGACUAUAGGUUGUUGACACUUCACAGUCAUGCAAUGCUAAGUAUACCUCUCUAUUUGUUGACACUUUGAUUAUUCUGAGUAGUGAGUUUAUUACAGACUGAUGUUUUGCUGGUUGCUGCUUCUUCAUUGGAUUACGUAAAAGGUGCAACUGAGAAAGCGUGACUGUAACACCAAAGUUUCUGGGCAUUUUUUUUUUUUCCUCUGGAAUUUUAUUGAAAGAAUAACGGACAAAGCCCAAGACCAACAAAAACACAAAAGGCCAGGAAAAGUCAGCAUAAGAAAGACAAAGCCUAAACAACAGGCCACUUCACAAUACAACUUACGGGCCUUAAGCCCAAAGAGGAACAGUAGGGGAAGAUGCCAGCUCCACCACCACGUGUCCGGACGCCCGGCGCCCAAUGAACACGCGUCACGAAUGGAAGGCACGAGCUCCCUCCGGAGACAAAGAAGCGGCAGGAUUGACCUCCGCCGUCAGCGGCGCGGAGAAGAAACGGAUCGGAUUCGUUCUUCACAAAAACCCUAGACGCUCAUCAGAUAUAUGCUUUAGAAAAGAUAUACAACCUACGUCAAUCAAUCCAACAACCGUAGACUUACGAUGGAGGAAGGAGAAUCGGUCGGACUAGAAACCACGAGAACCAUAGAUCAAAAAAAAAACGGGAUGAAUCCGAUGAAAGCCGCCGUCAACACCAAAGCUAGUGAGACGCGGAGACUAUAGCCAGCCGUCCUCAUCGGAGAAGAAGAUGAGAACGCCGGAGGCAAAAGCCGGACGACCACCGUGGAACAGAUGCGACGCCGGAAUCAGAGAUACGGUCGGAUGCACCGAAGCCGGAAAGGAAGCUUAAACAGAGGGCGAUUCAACACCAAAGCCACCGCCAAAACAAGACUGCUAACUCUCUCUCUGAAAGAUUUUGGAGAGAUAAGAGAGAGAGAAAGCGUUAGUUUCUGGGCAUUUAGGAUGCUCAUUUAAUCUGAAAGUUUUUUGCUAUUAUAAUGUUGAGAAAUAUUACAUAGACGAUUUUACAGUCGAUAAUUUAACCACCAUAUGAGAAUACACGUCUGACUGCGUCACUCACGUCUAACUGCGUCACUCCGAGCCGCACAUUUAACAAAUGGGAAGUUAAAAAAAGUGAAAAGCAUCCAUUGUCUAAUGGAUAUGACAUAGGUUUUCUAAACUUUUGGUAUAGGUUCAAAUCCUAUUGGACGCAAUAUCAAUAUAGAUAUAAAUAUAUUGAUAUUUAUCUAUUAUUUUCAUUUUUAUAUAAGAAUAUUUUUAUUCUGUUUAGAAAAUUUAUAAGAAAUAAAUAUUAUAAGAAAUAAAUUCUGAAUGCUUUAAGAUUUAAUAUUAAACAUAUACAUAUAUUAGUUCUAUACUUCUAUAUAUUAUAUAUAUACUUAACGUAAAUAUACUUCUAUUUUUUAUAAUUUCUCCUGAAGUACAACAAUAUAUUGAACUAAUUCAACAAGUCGACGCGUAAGAUAUCCAGCAUCUGAUGUGUGGACCGCAAUAUCUACAACUCCUUUACGGGCUCCAUAGCAAAAAAUAAUAUAUUCUGUUAAAGACAAUUCUUCGCGUAAAUUGCUUUGAAUAGGUAAAUCAAUCAUUUGUCUUUGGGGAUCCGACAUUAAUCCUCUCGUACCUACUAACUGAUGUACUUGAGAUGCAUUUCCUCUAGCUCCCUAAUUGUGUAAUGAAGACCUCUUGUAACUUUUUUUUCCAUAAUCUGUAUAAUUUGCAAUUUCUGGGGUUUAAAUUCCACACCUUCUGGUGUAAAAGAAGUAAUGAACCUUAAACCACUAGAUUAAGGGUUACAACAUCAAUUAUGAGAAGAAAAAGUAAAUAUUUUUGGUAUAUCUUUACACAUCGCUUUAUCAUUAAAGAUAUGAAUUAUUUUCUGUAUUUGGAUAUAGUGAAGUUGUUUGGUUUCUUGUUGCAUUAGAGCUCUGUUAUUGUAUUUUUGUAUUUUUUUUGGUUUAUUUUGCUUUGGGGUGAACCUAAUGUGUUGAAGGUACUUAUAAGACAUCACUUUCGUGAUAAUGCCUGUUUAUUGGCUGAUUCUGAUUAUCUGAUAGACUCAAAAACGAAAUCUAUAUUGUAAAUAUCGCUACUCUUCUUCAGAAUAUAGAUUCUACUUUUAUGAAGUAUUCUAAGAUUUCGAGAAAACGAAAUCUGGACUUAAUUUGAAUGUCUAUAAAAAGUAGAAAUUGCAUUUUGUACUUAACACGAACGUAUACAAGAAGUAGAAAUUGCAUUAUGUAUUUUUUCAUGAUUCUACAAAGUAUAGAAGGUGCCUUCUACAGAUAAAAAAAAUUUGUUUUUACAAAAAUUAAGGAAGUUUCAGUUAAAAAAAUAUUCCAAAAAUAUUAUAACUUCCUAAAACGUGUUCUGGUCGAUUUUCUAUGUCAAGAUAUAAAAAAAAAAUCAAAUUUGCCUUUAUUCUUCAUCAAUCUUAUGAUUUUUUCAUAGUUUAUCUUGUGAUUUUCACAAACUCUUGUUCUAUGAUGCAUAUCUAUACAAUAUGUGGUGUAUGGGAGAAAUUUAGGGUUCGGGUUUUCUUUUGUUCUUUUUUUGUUACCAUUUUGUUUUUUCUUUUCUUUUUUUUAUUAUUAUGCUUAAUUGUUUAAUAUGAAAUCUAUUAUUAUGUUAAAUUGUUUUUUUUGACAACACAUUUUUAAUUGUUUAAUAUGAAAUAUAUUUUUAUGUUUAAUAUUAUUAUAUUUAAUUUUUUUUUUUGACAUCACAAUUUUUUUUAAUUAAACCUUUAACAUUUUCAUUAUUAUAUUUAAUUGUUUAAUAUGAUUAAUCAAGGUUAGUUUUGGGAUUAUAAAAAAAAUUAUACUAUUAGGACAACUUCAUGUUGAUAUUAUACUAUAAGGACAACCAUGUUGUUCUUUUAUACCAUUUUGGCAAUUUUCUCUAUUUUUAAAACCCGACCAAAAGAUGAAACUAGAUAACUAUUUAGGUCACAACUUAAUAUGAUUUGAUCCAAUUAAACUUGUUUCAAAAUCCUUAUUUUUAUGUUUUUUUGAAUAUAUAUAUAUAUAUAUAUUAAAUAUGUUACAAAGAUCUAUCUAUAUUAUUAUUUUCAAAGUGAUUUUAAUAUUUAUUUGAUUAGAUAAGUGACUAAAAUUAAUAAAAAUAAAAAUUAUUCAUAAUCUAAAGAUAUAUGUAAAAAGAAAAGAUAAUUUUGAUAUAUGUUGUACUGUUAUCCAGAAAAUAUCUUUUAGUAAAAUGGUUAAAAUUUAACAAACAGAAAAAAUAACUAAAUAUUUAGUAAAAUUAUUAAUUCUCUAUAAUUAAAAAGAGAAUAUCGAGGGAUUUAUAAAUUUAUUUAUUAUUUAUUAAUAAUGAAGUGUACAAAAUAAUAUUAAAAGAGUCUAUUUAUAAUUAGUUUAAAAGUAUAUGAAAAGGAUAUGCAAAAAAUAUUCUUAUUCAUUUAAAUUUUGAAUUAAUUAAUUAACCAUUGAUUUUACAAAUAUAUUCAUGAUAUAUUUUACAAAUAUAUUCAGUAUAUGAAAAGGACAAUGUGUGGAAUAUCCCCAAUUAAGAUCCAAAUUUGCUGAAUGCCCAUAAUUAUGGAUAACCCAAAAAGAAGUAACCUUUUGACACUGUGCGGACGAAAAUGCCCUUAUGAUUUGUCGAAAACAAGUAACUCUAGAUUUAUCAGCUAAAUAUUUACAUAGCAUGUAACAAUCUAUAUACCAACUAACAUAUCCGCUAAUAAUUUCAGUAUCAUCUAACAAUCUAUGUAUCAAACAAAUGUAUCAACUAACAAAUCAUAUAUCAGUUAAUGAAACUAUUAACAAUUAAUUAGUUAUCUAUUAAAUAGCUCAAAAUCUAUUUGUAACAGCUAACACUUCAUGUAUCGAUUAAGAAUCCAUUAAAAUCCAAAUAAUAGCAGAUAAGUAAUAAAAUACUUACUAACGUAUAUAUUAUCUAAAAGUUGAUUGUGAUUCGAAAUUGGAAACAUUGGAAUUGGGGUGAAUAAUCUAAAGAUAUAUGUAAAAAGAAAAGAUAAUUUUGAUAUAUGUUGUACUGUUAUCCAGAAAAUAUCUUUUAGUAAAAUGGUUAAAAUUUAACAAACAGAAAAAAUAACUAAAUAUUUAGUAAAAUUAUUAAUUCUCUAUAAUUAAAAAGAGAAUAUCGAGGGAUUUAUAAAUUUAUUUAUUAUUUAUUAAUAAUGAAGUGUACAAAAUAAUAUUAAAAGAGUCUAUUUAUAAUUAGUUUAAAAGUAUAUGAAAAGGAUAUGCAAAAAAUAUUCUUAUUCAUUUAAAUUUUGAAUUAAUUAAUUAACCAUUGAUUUUACAAAUAUAUUCAUGAUAUAUUUUACAAAUAUAUUCAGUAUAUGAAAAGGACAAUGUGUGGAAUAUCCCCAAUUAAGAUCCAAAUUUGCUGAAUGCCCAUAAUUAUGGAUAACCCAAAAAGAAGUAACCUUUUGACACUGUGCGGACGAAAAUGCCCUUAUGAUUUGUCGAAAACAAGUAACUCUAGAUUUAUCAGCUAAAUAUUUACAUAGCAUGUAACAAUCUAUAUACCAACUAACAUAUCCGCUAAUAAUUUCAGUAUCAUCUAACAAUCUAUGUAUCAAACAAAUGUAUCAACUAACAAAUCAUAUAUCAGUUAAUGAAACUAUUAACAAUUAAUUAGUUAUCUAUUAAAUAGCUCAAAAUCUAUUUGUAACAGCUAACACUUCAUGUAUCGAUUAAGAAUCCAUUAAAAUCCAAAUAAUAGCAGAUAAGUAAUAAAAUACUUACUAACGUAUAUAUUAUCUAAAAGUUGAUUGUGAUUCGAAAUUGGAAACAUUGGAAUUGGGGUGAGAUAAUAAGAUUAGCAUUAUGUGUGUCAAAAGAAUCAGAAUAAAAAAAAAUUUGUGUUGAAUUAAAAAAUGAUUUGAAGAAUUUGUACGAGAGAUAAAGAGAUUAGAACACAUAAAAGAGAGAAGAGAGAGAGAGAGAGAGAUAAGUGUAUUAUAAUCAUUAAAAAUAUUUAAAAUAAACAAGGUUAUAUGACAAAUUACAUGGGUUUCUGAGUGUAUCUACGCCAAUUACUCUAUAUUUAAUACUGGUAAAAGAUAUCAAUGUUUUAACAUAUUUUCCUAUUAAAAUAAAAUUUACAAGGUUAGUCCAUUAAAAAUCACACAUGUAAAAAUCGGGUGAUUCUGUAUUUAUAAAAGUGAUGAAGCAUUAAACAGUUAGGAUGUGGCAAUAAAAUCUCUCAAAAUUAUGGAAAAGUAUUUAAUUGGUAGAGAUUGUAGCUUUUAUUUUGUUUGCUUUAGAAUAUAUUAUUAUGUAAGUUUUUCUGGUGUAGCUGUAGAUUUUACUGCUGUAGAUUUAUAUCAAUAGCUUUCAAAGUACUAAAUAUAAAGCUUUAGAAAAUUGAUUCCCAAAGCUAAUAUAUUUUUGUUUUUUAACUUUAGGGCUGUAGCUUUAAAUUAUUUAUUUAAAGCAUGAUUGAUAAACCAAACUGGCUAGCUGUAGAAAGAAAAUGAGCAGUGAAAAACACUCACAACACUUACCAAUCACCACUUAUAUCUAUUUUCUCUUAGAAAUUAUUUGAAAUACCAUAAACUAAAUAUUACUUUUCAAAUAUACUUUCAAUAAAAAAUGCUCUAAUAUUUUUAGUUUAAAAUUUAAUGAUUAUUUAUAGGGUUUCUUAUUUAUGGAUGAGACUGGUUUUAUAAACUUUAUAAAUAAUUUUUAAACAUUUAUAAAUGAUUUAAGAGGGUUAGUUUAGUAUUUUUCACCACAAAUUUAAUAUAUUUAUGAAAAUAGUUAUUCUUUAAAAUUAAAUAUUUUAUAAAAUUAGAAUUUCCAUUUUCUCUUUCUUUUCUAUUUUUGUAUUGCUAGAAACUCCUUACAAAAAUUUCUACCCACCAACUAGCCUACCAGGUUAGUUGUGGAUGCCCACAGCGUGAGAACUGUUCAAUCUCUUUACAGUACUGUUGAAUGUUCUGUGGUUAGUUAGUUAGCUUACAGUUACAACUUUACAGCAAAAAAAAAAAAGUUUGUAGAAACUUGAUGGCUUUGAUUGAACUAUCAUCCAGUAAGUUUUGUUUUUGUUACUUUAUGGUUUAACAAUAGGAAGUUAAAUUCUUUGGCCUUGGAAGCCUAAAUGAACUAGAUACCGUUCGUUUAGUUUAAUCACAAACAACCUUGUUGAAUCCUUCUUUUACUUCCCUAGGAAUCAUGCAGCCACAUUAUUGGGGUCUACCGGUGCUAAACCAUGCCAUUAGAAAUGCAGGAUUAUGUUGUUCCUCUAACGUUCUUCUGUGAAAACAUAAACAUUUAUAUAAUAUUUCCUUCUUUUCUUCCAUACUUUUCAAAAGCUGUGUUUUGCAUUUCAUCUUAUGGUUUAUUUAUUGACAUCACUGAAGUCACUCUGCGACAAAACACCAAAAUUCAUUUAGGUUGUAUCCUUUAGCAACUAAAAUAUCUACCUUAUUUAUGUAUUAUUUUUUUUUCACCUAUCUCUACAAAUGCAAAUACUGUAUGUGUUUUUUGUGUCAUUUAGGUUAAGUUUAAAUGUACACUGUUUUUUGUCGGCUUAUGUUUGCAAUCACUUACCUCGUUGGCUUAUUACUUUGUCAUAGGAUGUACUACGCGUCGUCAAGAGAAAACACAUUGGUUAUGGCCAUACAUUCUUUGUGCUUGACCUAGACCGUGUCUUUAAAGAUAUUUUGUAUUUUUUUUUAUACAAUCGCUUAUCGCUAAGCUUAUUACUUUGCGUUAGUAGUUGGGACGUAUUACGCGUUUGUCAAGAAAAGGCACAUUGGAUGACCAUCCAUUCUUUGUGCUUGACCUAUAAUUUCGUCUUUGAAGAUCUUGUGUUUGGUAUGAUCCAUUGGUAUAGCUUCUUGGUAGGCUUCAAGCAAAGAGAUUUUAAUUAACUAAUAUAAACUCUGUCCAUGUGAUGGACAUGAUAACUACAUGGUGUUGUAUUUGUUGUUAAGUUGAUAACAAUUAAUAAUAUAGAUCAUGGUGUUGUAUUUCUUCUUUGAUAUUCCUGGCGUGUGGAAGCCGGGUUAAUCAGAACUCGUUAUUCUGUUUGUUACUCGCAAUUUUGAAUAUAAGUGACACCUUACAAUCAAGUACUGAUAUAAGUCUCAAUCCUCUAAUUAAGUUCUACUUUAGUUAAAGUCACAACCGUUCUUUAAGUUUGUUUUCCAAUUGUUACAGUCAAUUAUUUAUUUUAUAUUAGAUUGUGAUUUAAUCCAUGUUCAAACCCAUAUGAGCUCAAGUUUAUAUAUUAAACCUCAUAUAAUAAAUGAAUUGAGGUAGCUUAUGAUAAACCCAACUCAUCACAAGUAUAAGAUAAGAUGACUAAUUUAGUUCAUUUUGACACCUCUACUCAUAAGUCAUAACAAUUGAAGUGAUAAAUAGUGAGGUAUAAUGUGCAUUGAUUGUAUGACUUCUGAAGUGUCUUUGCUUUCUUUUGGGUAAUAGUCCUCCUAUUACGUAAAAAUAAAAAUAAAAUCAGGUAUCAAAGCAACUUUAAUAAUAUAGUGUAAUUUUCCUUGAUUCUAUUUAAAUGUUAUAAAGGAAGGUGGAACGAUAAUCUCUAAUGAAGAUAGGAGAAAAGAUCAGAAUUGAAUGAGCAAGAUUGGGGUGUAAUAAUUACAGAGAGAUUGCAGAGAUUAGAAUAGUGAAUUGGAAAAGUCGGAGGUGAAGGCGACGAACAUUCUGCGUAGAAUAAGAUAGACCUAUUAUUUUUGUUCAGCCCAGAUUUACUGGACCUGUUAUAUUUUUUGUCGACAAAAUAAAAGUGAUGUGGCAAAACAGAGCUUCAUGAUUGGCCUGAAUAAAAAAUCCUACGUGGCACGCUCGUUGCUCUCCUUAUUCAGCUUUUAGUAGUGUUAGAUAAUUUAUAUGUCACUAUAUUUAAUUUAUAAAAUUAAAAAAUGAAACAAAAGCUCAAGUGUUAAGAUAUAUAUAUAUAUAUAGUUUUAACUCAAAAAAUACCAACCUCAUGAAUUAGUUAAGCUUUAAUGUAACUUGUGAUCUAAAUUAAGCUUGAUUAUUAAGUUCAUUUAUAAAUGAGCCUAAAAGAUGUCCAUACUUAUGAAAAAUUUAAGCAGAGUUGAGCAAGCUUAUGAACUUACGGCUUAUUUUGACGUUCUUAAUUUUGCGGAGAUGUUUCAUUAUAUGUCAUGUUAAUUCUGAAAAUGUUUUAACCACCAGUAAAAUACCAACAUUUGUUGUGGUUUUUCGGUUUAAGAAAAUUUCAUUUUCACGAACUGUUUAAAAAGAAAUUGAGAUUUGAUUUUGGGGCUAAGAUAAAUACUGAGUCUAAGAGAUUGUAAAUUUUUUUCAAUUCACAUAAUCAAUAGACAAACCCUAAACAGGUUUUGCCUCAAUACAUUUUUGCUCUUGAUUUUCUUUGCUUGCUCACGUUAGUCCACGUUAGUUCAUAAUGGCUAUAAUGUUUUAUUGGUCUUAGUUUGGUUUGAUGCAUUUGAGAAGGCGUGGCUAUAUCUCUAUAAUAUUAUUUGAGAAGUCACUUUCCUAUGUGUCGCUUUCACGUUAACUCUCACGAUGGUUGAUUACACUGAUACCGAAAUCACUUUCCUAUGUGUCGCUCUCACGUUAACUCUCACGAUUGUUGAUUACACUGAUACCCUUAAUGAAUUAACUUACAUAUAAAAUACUAUUAUUUUUUAUUUUAUUUAGUUUCCUUUUUAAAAAUUUCGAAAAUAUACACAUAUAAUAAAAAAGAAAUUUUUUAUAAAGUAAAAAAAAAGAAUUGAAAAACGAAAAUAUAUGUAUAUAUAAUAUGAUUUCAUAAAAAAGGAAAGUUCACAAAAUAGUAAUAUUACAUUUAAAAAAUAUUUUUAAAUAACAUAAAAUAUUAUUUUGAAAUAAUAAAAUACUUUCUUUAUAUCUAUAUUUUCUUAGAUGAAAAUUAUAAAUUUCUAUAUAACAUGAUUUCAUUAAAAACAAUUUACACAUAUAAUCUUGAUAUUAGAAACAGAAAUAUUAUUUCUUCUAAAACAUAAUUUAAACAAUACAAAAAAUUUCAAAUUAAUAAAAAUAUUUUUAUGUACCUAUAUAUUUUCUUAGAUGAUUACAUAAAAUAAUUAAGUAACAUAAACUAAUAUAUGUUUAAUUAUCUAAAAAUAUUUUAUAAUUAGUAAUAUUGAAAUUUUUUAUUUAUUUUUCAUAAAUUUAGUUGACUAUAAUAUUUUUCAAUUACAGGAAAUUAUCGAAAAAUUAUAUUUUACUUAUAUAAUAUUAUUUUAAAUACAAUCACAAUUUUUUUACUGCUUAUUUUUAAGAGUUUCAUAAAUUUAGUUGACUAUAAUAUCUUUCAAUUACAGCAAAAAAAAUAUCGAUAAAUUAUAUUUUACUUAUAUAAUAUUAGUUUUAAAUACAAUCACAAUUUUUUACUGCUUAUUUUUAAGAGAUAUUAAAAAAAAACUAAAAAACAAAUUCUAAAAUAAACAUCAUUUGAUCAAAUAGUUACAAAAUAGUUUAAUGAGGUAGAUAUAUUAUAUUUUAUGAUUAUUAAAGUUAUUUUUUCUUAAUAUUAAAUAUGUUUUUAAAUUUUAAAUUUUUUGUUUGUGGAACUUAAUAGAACCGUAUCAAAAUACCAAAGCAAUGAGACUUCAGAAUAUUAUCGUUUCGUUAUAUUAAUUUAUGUAAUUUUGAAUCAUACACUUUAGUUUAUUUUUUUAUUUCAUUCUAAGCACAAUAUAUCUUAAGUUAUACAUAAUCUUCAUAAAAUAUAUUUACAUAUCUAAGAUAACAACCACAUAAAUGUAAAUAAGAAAUUAAUUAAAAUUUUAAUAUAUAGAAUAAAAAAUAUUACAGUUGAAUUCAUAUAUGUAAUCUAAUUUACCCAAAUGAUAACUAAAUCGACUAAAAACAACAAAACCUAUUAGAUAUAACAUAUAUAAAAAUUAAAGUAAUAUAAUAUUAUUAAUAUAAAUGAUACACAUAAAUUAUAAAUUAAUUUAAUAUUAAAUAUAAGUAGCAAUCAAUUAUUAUAAUAUAUUUACUUUAGCAAUAUUUAUAUCCGUGCAUGAGCACGGGAAAAUCACCUAGUAACCAAUUAUAAAAAGAAAAAGAAAAUAUUUUGGGAAAGGUAGGAUUUAAUGGCUAAGGACAGAAUAGAUAUCUUACACAUCGUUACAACAUUAAAGGUAUCCAUUAUUUUCUGUAUUUGCUGUAUACAGAAGUUUUUUUUUUUUUUUUGGCGUAAAUUUGGCUGUAUACAGAAGUUGAUAGGUUGCUUGUUGCAUUAGCUCUCCGUUAUUGUAGUUUUGCUGGUUCUUGUUUGAUGUAUUGACGCAGAAUUAAGCCCGUCACUCAUUUUUUUAUGUGAAACUGGUGAUGUUGAAUGUACAUAUCUCGUGAUAGUGGCUGGCUGAUUCUGAUAGUAAGCCAAAUUAAAGGUGAAAACUGAGAAAGUAAAAGUAAAGACACCUCCUCAACUACUGUUUUUGUCGUAGGAUUUUUAUGAUCUUCGAACAAAAGAUCAUGUCCAUAUACUCCCAGUCUCCCAUACACAACCAUUCUAUUGCUGUUUGUUUUUUCAUGUAAGGCGCGCUACGAGACGUUCUCGUUUUUCUCACGUUGAAAACUCUGUUAAUUACCAUAUAGUCCCAUACACAAUCAUACUUGAAAGAAAGUGUUACUUUCAAGAAUCUUUUGUGAAAAAAGUAUUUUUGGAAAAAAUAUGUUGGUGAUGUGAUUUGUUGUUUUGUUUGUAAUGCUAAAAUGGUAUUUACCCGGUUUAUGAAAGCGAUUAGAUUUAUUAUUGUCCUUUAGCGGAGGAUCUAUCUACAGGGUUCUACCUUAGACCACCACUAUCCCUGUUUCUUAACUGGGUUUUUAAAGAAAACUAAAUUUUAACCCGUACACCCGUGCGGUUAACAUUUCAUUUAUAAAUAUAAAAUUUUAUAUUAUUUUAUACAUAAUAAUUUAUGAUAAUAUAUUACUGUCAUUUUAAAAAUAACUAAAUAGAUGAUAUAUAGUUCUAAAUAUUAAAAUUUAUCAUAUGUUAACAAUUUUAUUUUUUGCAAAAUUAUUACAUAAUUUAUGAAUAUUAAUCAUUUCAAAAGGUGAAUGAUAUUUUAGUCACUUUAAACGGUGAAUGAUAUUUUAUUUAUUUAUCUUAAUGAAAGUAUUUUUUCAAAAUAUAUUGGUUUACCAAUUCAACAUAAUUUUAAUAUGUUUGCAAAAAAACAUAAUUUUAAUAUGUAAUUCAUUAAUUAUUUCUAUUUUAAUAUAAUGUAGAAUAUACUUAUAAAAUUUAUAAAAUUAGUGAAAAAUUUCAUUAUUUUAUUUAUAAUAAAAUUUUAAUUAAAAUUAAUUUAUAAUAAUAUUAUACUACUAAUUGUGAAAUUAAUCAGUGUAUUAAUUAAAAGAAUAUUUAAAUUUUUUAAAAAAAUUUGUUUGUCUUUUUCUCAACAUAUUUUUUUAUUCCUAUAACUAAAAUUUAAAUUUAUAGUUAAAAUGGAUUUGUUAUUAAUAUCCUUAUUAUUAUUUAGAAAUGUUAUACAUUAAAUAAACUAAUGUAAACAAUAAAAAAAUUAUUUGAAUAUAUGAACCUAGACUUCUAGUAUGACUAUUUUGUAAUAGAUAAAAAUGAUAUUUUUAUUUUAAUAGAAAAGAUAACUCAUUUAAUUAAAUCUAAACUAAAUAUAAAGUAUAUUACCGAUCCUAAAGUAAGAAUUUUGAUGACCGAUUCUAAAGUGGGUUUUGGAAACAGGUGUCAGCCAAGCAUGGAUUCUAUUUUUCUUUUCUUUUCUCUUUUCUUUCUUUUCUUCUCAGUCUUGUAUUCUCAGUCUCGUGUUCAAUCGAAACACACCAAGAACAAUUGAAACCCGUAGUCGGGUUCCCCAUCAUCAUCACUUCUCCGUCUCGUCUUCUCUGUCUCGUCUUCUCCGUCUCAUCCUUCUGCUUUCUGUAAGUGUGUAUUUUUGUCGAUGAGGGUUUUGAUUGAUCUAGUGUUUAAAGCUCAAUCCCUUUUUUUUUUUAAUUUUGCUAUCAGGAGAUCGAAGAGAGGAAGAUGAAGAUAAUGACCUGGCCUUAGGCAACGAGUUUACUAUUGGAUAUACUUGACUUACAAGAUAACUACAAAUCUAGAUUAUCUUAGCUGUACAUAUUCUUAGAAUAUGUUGAGUAUAUUACUUUGUCAUGUACUUAUAAAUAUUGUACGUUGAUCAUUCAAUAAAGUAUCAUUCUCUCAUAAGUCUUAUAUGGUAUCAGAGCUCUGAUCUCUCAAAACCUUUCUUUUUCUUUUCAAAAAUGUCGUCUGAAUCCAGCGCCGCCACUGCUGAACGCACCGCGGUUUACAACUCAAGUGAUCCUAACAACUCACUUCUCUCGGUGAACAUGGGCAACAUCACCAAACUCACCAACACAAACUAUCUCAUGUGGAGCAAGAAGAUCCAUGCUUUACUCGAAGGUCAUGAACUUCACACCUUUCUCGUUGCACAUGACUCCAUCCCUACGCCAACUAUUGAAACAGAUGGUGCAACAGAACCAAACCCUGCAUAUAUCACAUGGAGGAGACAGGAUCGCUUACUCUACAGUGCGGUCCUAGGUGCGCUCUCCCUCCCAAUCCAACCUCUUGUUGCCAGUGCCACUACCACACAUGAGGUAUGGAGCACGCUUGCUAGUGCGUUUGGUACUCCAACCAGGGGUCACAUACGACAGCUGAAGUUCCAGAUCAAAAGCUGCACUAAGGGUUCCACAACCAUCAGUGAAUAUCUACGCACUAUGAAAACGAAAGCUGAUGAACUCGCGCUACUAGGCAAGCCAAUGGAUCCUGAGGAUCUCAUUGAACAAGUCCUUGCUGGACUUCCGGAGGAGUACAAACCUGAAAUAGAUGCUACCAAUGGUCGUGACAAUCUCAUCUCCUUUACGGAGCUUCACGAGAAACUGGUAAAUCGGGAAGCGAUGAUACUCUGUGCUCAACCAUCAUCUCCAGCCUUCCCAAUCACGGCAAAUCAAGCAUCUCGGUCCAAAAGCAACAACAACAACUGGCGCAAUCAAACUCCUCAACAUCAUCAGCAACAGCAACAAUCUCAGGGUCAACAACAACAACAAAACCGCAACUACACAAGGCAGUCUCGUCCUUAUCUUGGAAAGUGUCAAGCAUGUGGCGUUCAGGGUCACAGUGCUCAACGCUGUCCCAUGUUCCGUGUUAUACCAACUCAGAAUGCACCCUCCUCAGGACAGCAAUGGCGUCCCAGUGCCCAUCAAGCAGGUCUCAACACGAUGAACCCUGAAGGCUGGCUCAUGGACAGUGGAGCAACAAACCACGUGACAUCAGACUUCCACAACCUGUCACUUCACAACCCAUACACGGGAAGUGAUUCCAUUGUCAUUGGCAACGGCUCUGCACUUCCAAUAACACAUACUGGUUCUUUUCGCUCUCACACUCCUACUCGAGACUCAUUUUCACGAACUGUUUAAAAAGAAAUUGAGAUUUGAUUUUGGGGCUAAGAUAAAUACUGAGUCUAAGAGAUUGUAAAUUUUUUUCAAUUCACAUAAUCAAUAGACAAACCCUAAACAGGUUUUGCCUCAAUACAUUUUUGCUCUUGAUUUUCUUUGCUUGCUCACGUUAGUCCACGUUAGUUCAUAAUGGCUAUAAUGUUUUAUUGGUCUUAGUUUGGUUUGAUGCAUUUGAGAAGGCGUGGCUAUAUCUCUAUAAUAUUAUUUGAGAAGUCACUUUCCUAUGUGUCGCUUUCACGUUAACUCUCACGAUGGUUGAUUACACUGAUACCGAAAUCACUUUCCUAUGUGUCGCUCUCACGUUAACUCUCACGAUUGUUGAUUACACUGAUACCCUUAAUGAAUUAACUUACAUAUAAAAUACUAUUAUUUUUUAUUUUAUUUAGUUUCCUUUUUAAAAAUUUCGAAAAUAUACACAUAUAAUAAAAAAGAAAUUUUUUAUAAAGUAAAAAAAAAGAAUUGAAAAACGAAAAUAUAUGUAUAUAUAAUAUGAUUUCAUAAAAAAGGAAAGUUCACAAAAUAGUAAUAUUACAUUUAAAAAAUAUUUUUAAAUAACAUAAAAUAUUAUUUUGAAAUAAUAAAAUACUUUCUUUAUAUCUAUAUUUUCUUAGAUGAAAAUUAUAAAUUUCUAUAUAACAUGAUUUCAUUAAAAACAAUUUACACAUAUAAUCUUGAUAUUAGAAACAGAAAUAUUAUUUCUUCUAAAACAUAAUUUAAACAAUACAAAAAAUUUCAAAUUAAUAAAAAUAUUUUUAUGUACCUAUAUAUUUUCUUAGAUGAUUACAUAAAAUAAUUAAGUAACAUAAACUAAUAUAUGUUUAAUUAUCUAAAAAUAUUUUAUAAUUAGUAAUAUUGAAAUUUUUUAUUUAUUUUUCAUAAAUUUAGUUGACUAUAAUAUUUUUCAAUUACAGGAAAUUAUCGAAAAAUUAUAUUUUACUUAUAUAAUAUUAUUUUAAAUACAAUCACAAUUUUUUUACUGCUUAUUUUUAAGAGUUUCAUAAAUUUAGUUGACUAUAAUAUCUUUCAAUUACAGCAAAAAAAUAAUAUUACUUGAGAAGUCAGUUUUCUAUGUGUCGCUCUCACGUUAAUUCUCACGAUGUUUGAUUACACUGAUACCCUUAAUGAAUUAACUUACAUUUAAAAUAUUAUUAUUUAUUAUUUUAUGUAGUUUCCUUUUUUAAAAAUUUCUAAAAAUAUACACACAGAAUAAAAAAUAAUUUUUUAUAAAGUUAAGAAAAAAAGAAGAAUUGAGAAACGAAAAUAUAUGUAUAUAUAAUAUGAUUUCAUAAAGAAAGGAAAGUUCACAAAAUAGUAAUAUUACAUUUAAAAAAUAUUUUUAAAUAACAUAAAAUAUUAUUUUGAACUAAUAAAAUACUUUCUUUAUAUCUAUAUUUUCUUAGAUGAAAAGUAUAAAUUUCUAUAUAACAUGAUUUCAUUAAAAACAAUUUACACAUAUAAUCUUGAUAUUAGAAACAAAAAUAUUGUUUCUUCUAAAUUAUAAUUUAAACAAUACAAAAAAGUUCAAAUUAAUAAAAAUAUUUUUAUAUACCUAUAUAUUUCUUAGAUGAUUACACAAAAUAAUUAAGUAACAUAAACUAAUAUAUGUUUAAUUAUCUAAAAAUAUUUUAUAAUUAGUAUUAUUGAAAUUUUUUAUAUAUUUUUCAUAAAUUUAGUUCACUAUAAUAUCUUUCAACUACAGCAAAAAAAUAUCGAUAAAUUAUAUUUUACUUAUAUAAUAUUAUUUUAAAUACAAUCACAAUUUGUUUAAUGCUUAUUUUUAAGAGUUUCAUAAAUUUAGUUGACUAUAAUAUCUUUCAAUUACAGCAAAAAAUAUUGAUAAAUUAUAUUUUACUUAUAUAAUAUUAGUUUAAAUACAAUCACAAUUUUUUACUGCUUAUUUUAAAGAGAUAUUAAAAAAACUAAAAAGAAAAUUCUAAAAUAAACAUCGUUUGAUCAAAUAGUUACAAAAUAGUUUAAUGAGGUAUAUAUAUAUUAUAUUUUAUCAUUAUUAAAGUUAUUUUUUCUUAAUAUUAAAUAUGCUUUUAAAUUUUAUGUUUUUGUAUUUGUGGAACUUAAUAGAAUCAUAAUCAAAAUAUCAAAGCAAAUCUGAAUUCUCAUUUUUAAGAUUAUUCAAAUAAAUUUUAGUUUUCAUUCAAUAAAUCAAAAACAUAAAGUUAUUUAGAAUUUUUAAAAUUAUUUAAUUAUUGUAAAUAUUGAUAUGUGUACAUGAGCUUUCAAAAAUGUAUCAGCUACUUACGCAUGCAACUUCAUAUUGAUAAUCCUAUAUUUUUUAAUAUUUUUUAAAAAAAAUUUUUCAAAAUAUAUUGGUUUACCAAUUCAACAUAAUUUUAAUAUGUUUGCAAAAAAACAUAAUUUUAAUAUGUAAUUCAUUAAUUAUUUCUAUUUUAAUAUAAUGUAGAAUAUACUUAUAAAAUUUAUAAAAUUAGUGAAAAAUUUCAUUAUUUUAUUUAUAAUAAAAUUUUAAUUAAAAUUAAUUUAUAAUAAUAUUAUACUACUAAUUGUGAAAUUAAUCAGUGUAUUAAUUAAAAGAAUAUUUAAAUUUUUUAAAAAAAUUUGUUUGUCUUUUUCUCAACAUAUUUUUUUAUUCCUAUAACUAAAAUUUAAAUUUAUAGUUAAAAUGGAUUUGUUAUUAAUAUCCUUAUUAUUAUUUAGAAAUGUUAUACAUUAAAUAAACUAAUGUAAACAAUAAAAAAAUUAUUUGAAUAUAUGAACCUAGACUUCUAGUAUGACUAUUUUGUAAUAGAUAAAAAUGAUAUUUUUAUUUUAAUAGAAAAGAUAACUCAUUUAAUUAAAUCUAAACUAAAUAUAAAGUAUAUUACCGAUCCUAAAGUAAGAAUUUUGAUGACCGAUUCUAAAGUGGGUUUUGGAAACAGGUGUCAGCCAAGCAUGGAUUCUAUUUUUCUUUUCUUUUCUCUUUUCUUUCUUUUCUUCUCAGUCUUGUAUUCUCAGUCUCGUGUUCAAUCGAAACACACCAAGAACAAUUGAAACCCGUAGUCGGGUUCCCCAUCAUCAUCACUUCUCCGUCUCGUCUUCUCUGUCUCGUCUUCUCCGUCUCAUCCUUCUGCUUUCUGUAAGUGUGUAUUUUUGUCGAUGAGGGUUUUGAUUGAUCUAGUGUUUAAAGCUCAAUCCCUUUUUUUUUUUAAUUUUGCUAUCAGGAGAUCGAAGAGAGGAAGAUGAAGAUAAUGACCUGGCCUUAGGCAACGAGUUUACUAUUGGAUAUACUUGACUUACAAGAUAACUACAAAUCUAGAUUAUCUUAGCUGUACAUAUUCUUAGAAUAUGUUGAGUAUAUUACUUUGUCAUGUACUUAUAAAUAUUGUACGUUGAUCAUUCAAUAAAGUAUCAUUCUCUCAUAAGUCUUAUAUGGUAUCAGAGCUCUGAUCUCUCAAAACCUUUCUUUUUCUUUUCAAAAAUGUCGUCUGAAUCCAGCGCCGCCACUGCUGAACGCACCGCGGUUUACAACUCAAGUGAUCCUAACAACUCACUUCUCUCGGUGAACAUGGGCAACAUCACCAAACUCACCAACACAAACUAUCUCAUGUGGAGCAAGAAGAUCCAUGCUUUACUCGAAGGUCAUGAACUUCACACCUUUCUCGUUGCACAUGACUCCAUCCCUACGCCAACUAUUGAAACAGAUGGUGCAACAGAACCAAACCCUGCAUAUAUCACAUGGAGGAGACAGGAUCGCUUACUCUACAGUGCGGUCCUAGGUGCGCUCUCCCUCCCAAUCCAACCUCUUGUUGCCAGUGCCACUACCACACAUGAGGUAUGGAGCACGCUUGCUAGUGCGUUUGGUACUCCAACCAGGGGUCACAUACGACAGCUGAAGUUCCAGAUCAAAAGCUGCACUAAGGGUUCCACAACCAUCAGUGAAUAUCUACGCACUAUGAAAACAAAAGCUGAUGAACUCGCGCUACUAGGCAAGCCAAUGGAUCCUGAGGAUCUCAUUGAACAAGUCCUUGCUGGACUUCCGGAGGAGUACAAACCUGAAGUAGAUGCUACCAAUGGUCGUGACAAUCUCAUCUCCUUUACGGAGCUUCACGAGAAACUGGUAAAUCGGGAAGCGAUGAUACUCUGUGCUCAACCAUCAUCUCCAGCCUUCCCAAUCACGGCAAAUCAAGCAUCUCGGUCCAAAAGCAACAACAACAACUGGCGCAAUCAAACUCCUCAACAUCAUCAGCAACAGCAACAAUCUCAGGGUCAACAACAACAACAAAACCGCAACUACACAAGGCAGUCUCGUCCUUAUCUUGGAAAGUGUCAAGCAUGUGGCGUUCAGGGUCACAGUGCUCAACGCUGUCCCAUGUUCCGUGUUAUACCAACUCAGAAUGCACCCUCCUCAGGACAGCAAUGGCGUCCCAGUGCCCAUCAAGCAGGUCUCAACACGAUGAACCCUGAAGGCUGGCUCAUGGACAGUGGAGCAACAAACCACGUGACAUCAGACUUCCACAACCUGUCACUUCACAACCCAUACACGGGAAGUGAUUCCAUUGUCAUUGGCAACGGCUCUGCACUUCCAAUAACACAUACUGGUUCUUUUCGCUCUCACACUCCUACUCGAGACUAUACAUUUAACAAUGUCCUUUGUGUGCCGUCUAUUCAUAAGAACUUGAUCUCAGUACAUCAGUUCUGCAAUGAUAAUCAAACCUCUGUGGAAUUUUUCCCUUCUAUGUUUCAGGUGAAGGCACUGGACACGGGAGCAACCCUGCUGAAGGGACUGGCUAAGGAUGGUAGCUACGAGUGGCCUUAUUCAACUCUAGGAGCUUUUUCUGUUUCAAAAUCAUCUUUGUCUCAUUGGCAUUAUCGCCUUGGACACCCUGCUUUUCCAAUUCUUAAAACAAUAACAUCUUCGUUUUUACCUUUGGUUUUAUGUAAUGCCUUGGAGUCUACUCCUUGCAAUUCGUGUUUAUUGAAUAAGAGCCACAAACUUCCUUUCUCUACUACUACAAUCUCUUCUACUCAUCCUUUACAUGUCUUGUUCUCAGACGUAUGGACCUCACCAGUCCUAAGUGUCGAUGGCUAUAAAUACUACUUGCUUAUUGUUGACCAUUUUACUCGUUACAUGUGGUUUUUCCCUCUUAAACUGAAGUCACAGGUAGCAGCAACCUUCACUCGGUUUAAAACUCUGGUGGAAAAUCAAUUCAACCAACGUCCGUACUCUAUACACUGACAACGGGGGAGAAUACAUUGCUCUUGCCUCCUUCCUGUCAACACAUGGUAUCUCACACCUUACAACUCCACCACACACGCCAGAACACAAUGGCAUGUCUGAACGACGUCAUCGUCACAUAGUGGAGACUGGACUAGCACUCCUCACACACGCCAAAAUGCCUCCUACAUACUGGACAUAUGCAUUUGCCACAGCAACUUACCUCAUCAAUCGCAUGCCAACAAAAACACUCGCUAUGAAGUCCCCAUACUCUCAGCUUUUUUCAGAGGAACCGCAUUAUGCAAAACUCCGAGUGUUUGGUUGCUUAUGCUACCCGUGGCUUCGUCCAUACACAUCUCACAAACUCGACCCCCGCUCCCUUCCAUGUGUCUUUCUUGGGUAUUCUCUAACUCAAUCUGCUUAUUUAUGUCUUCACUUACCAACUUCACGGCUUUAUGUCUCAAGACAUUUCGAGUUUUGUGAAAAUAACUUUCCUUUUCCGAGUUCAACCUCAUCUUCUGCUCACCAGGACGAGUCUGAACCCUCUUGGGUUCCGACAGUGACUCCACUAGUCAAUGAUUUCAGGUCACUCACGGCUCCUCCAGCACCAGCUAUGCUCACGUGUGCAGAUCCUUUGCCGAUGAACACGACAUCAGCAGCACCGGCUCACGGUGUGGCAACAACAUCAACAACACCUCCUGAUCAAAUCAUGACGACAAAAACGACUCAACCUGAGCCUCCUACUUCAUCGCUGGAACAAGUACCAACGAACAAUCAUCAAAUGGUCACUCGAGCAAAGAACAAAAUCGUCAAACAGAAUCCAAAGUACUCAUAUUCGGCUCAUCUAGUACUUGCUAGUCUUGACCCUCACACGGUGACUCAAGCACUAAAGGACCCUCUAUGGCGAGACUCUGUCAGCGCAGAAUUCAACAACUUCAUACGCACUGACACGUUUGAACUAGUUCCACCCUCGUCGGAACAGAACGUUGUUGGCUGCAGGUGGCUGUUUCGAACCAAGUUCCUCCCUGAUGGCACCAUUGACAAACGAAAAUCUCGCCUCGUCGCUAAAGGCUACACUCAACGUCCAGGCAUUGACUUUCAUGAAACCUUUAGUCCGGUUGUGAAAGCUCCAACAAUUCGAAUCAUCAUCAGUGUUGCAACUACGGGGGAUUGGCCGCUGCGACAACUUGACAUCAACAAUGCAUUUCUCCAGGGAACUCUCGAUGAAGAUGUUUAUAUGCAACAACCUCCAGGCUUUGUUGACAAGGAUCGUCCCGAGUAUGUGUGCAAACUCAAGAAACCAAUAUAUGGCCUCAAGCAAGCCCCGCGUUCGUGGUACAAUGAGCUCAAACGGUUCCUCCUGCAAGCUGGAUUUCGCAACUCACUUGCUGAUGCCUCUUUAUUCUUCUUUAAGGAUAAAUCUGUGACCAUGUAUCUUCUUGUGUACGUUGAUGACAUAAUCAUCACAGGAAGCUCUCCAACUGCAGUCCGGUCAUUCAUUGAUCUCCUCUCCAAUCGCUUUGCCCUAAAGGACCUUGGAGAUCUCUCCUACUUCCUUGGCAUUGAAGUCACCCGCUCCAGUUCUGGUGUUGUUCUCUCUCAGCGAAAGUACAUCUCUGAUCUUCUUCAUCGAACUCUUAUGACAUCUGCAAAGCCCACUGCUACUCCUAUGUGUUCUUCAUCGUCACUGACUCUCACAGAUGGAACACAGCUGUCUGAUGGAACUGAGUAUCGUACAGUGGUUGGUGGUCUGCAAUAUCUCUCUCUCACUCGACCGGACAUCUCAUUUGCGGUCAGCAAGCUCUCGCAGUUCAUGCACAAACCCACAACGACGCAUUGGGAAGCAGCAAAACGUGUUCUUCGGUAUCUUGCUGGCACUAUAACAACUGGUCUCGUCUUCAAGCGUCCCAACUCACUGUCUCUCCAUGCCUUCUCCGAUGCUGAUUGGGCUGGCAAUCGAGAUGACUAUACCUCCACUGGAGCUUACAUUGUAUUCCUUGGACAGCACCCCAUUUCGUGGUCAGCUAAGAAACAGACGAGUGUCUCCAGAUCAUCUACUGAAGCUGAAUACCGGUCUGUUGCUAACACCUCUGCUGAAGUUUGCUGGGUCACCUCACUUCUUAACGAAAUAGGUGUUCCUAUACCUGCUACUCCCACUGUAUAUUGUGACAACAUUGGCGCUACUUAUCUUGCAGCAAACCCUGUCUUUCACACCAGGAUGAAGCACCUUGCACUUGACUAUCACUUUGUUCGCAAUCAAGUUCAGGCCAAAACACUGCACGUCACACAUGUCUGCUCCGCUGAUCAGUUAGCAGAUGCCUUGACCAAACCCCUGCCUCGUCGUCGGUUUGAGUCUCUGUUUAUCAAGAUCGGACUUGUAAAUCGCCGUCCGUCUUGAGGGAGCAUAUUGGAUAUACUUGACUUACAAGAUAACUACAAAUCUAGAUUAUCUUAGCUGUACAUAUUCUUAGAAUAUGUUGAGUAUAUUCCUUUGUCAUGUACUUAUAAAUAUUGUACGUUGAUCAUUCAAUAAAGUAUCAUUCUCUCAUAAGUCUUAUAUUUACAACGUCAAUGGCCUUAGGCAAUGAGUUUCCCAGUUCGACUAAUGAGAAAGGUCGUACUGGUUACUCCGGUACGCAUCAAUCAGACAAUCACUCUGUCUUUAAUUUUUUUUUAAAAAAUUGGAUUUUUAUAAUGUUUGUUGAGUGAAAAAUUUGUAGGUGUAGCAACGUUCUGCAGGGUGAAGUCACUAUCUUAAUUAGAUGAAGCAAUGUUGCCUAAGGCCGUUGACGUUGUAAGUCACUAUCUUAAUUAGGAUAAUACGAUGGAUGCUUGUGUUGAAUGCUUCUGAUGAAUGGUUGUGAUGUUUUAGUGUUACAUUAAGAUGAAGACUUUGAACCCUAUUACUAUUGAGAUGUGGUUAAGUUAGGACAAACUCUUUGUUUUCUACAGAGAGCUAUGGCACGCUUGUGCUGUUCCUCUCGUGACAGUCCCUUGUUUGUUGCUGGUCUCUUCCUUUUGCUCUGUUCUUGAGUUUUAAUCUUUAUCAUAUAUCAUCAGAAACUGCUACUAGUUUCUCUGUCAUUAGUAUAUGUUUCUCUCUUUUGCUCUUGCAGCGUUCUUAAUUUCUUAUUCAAUGCUCCAUGAAACAAGAUGGUCACUUGUAGGUUGGUUAAUCUCGCCUUGUCAAGCCGGAAGAAGAGAGAGCGGUGACAAGGUGAAGCCGGAAGUGGAGACAACGGUGAAGCUACGGCUGAGGCGGUGAAGCCGAGGAGUACAGACGGAAGUUGGGCUAGUAUCAUUUUCUGGUUUUGAUUGUUUGGUCUCUGAAGUUAUAUCAUUCAUAAGAGUGAUUAGGAAGUGUUUUUGGAUUAUGAAAAGACCAAUUUUUUUAAGAAUCUUUGAUUAAGAAACUUUCAUUGGAGGACAAAAUCUAAUAGUUUUUUAACUAGAGUUUUUAAGUACAAAUAAUUACUUGACAGUUAUUUUUGGAUUCACCCCCUAAGAUGAACCUAUAGGUUCACCAACCAAUAAGAUUUAGUUAUUUUAAAUCUGAUAUCUUUUAAAAAAGAAAACAAAAUAUUGUCAAAUUAUAUUACGUUUUUAAAAUUAAAAAAAUUAUAAAUAAAUAAAAAUAAUAGUAGUUACAAAAAAAAAUUAAUACCAUAAACAAAACACUAAACUCUAAAUCUAAAUCCUAAACCCUUUGGUAAACCCUAAACCUUUUGAUAAAUUUUAAAUUCUUGAAUUUAAAAAAAAAUAUUUUUAACACAAUCAACAAAACACUAAACCCUAAAUCCUAAUCCUAAACCCUAAACCCUUGGGUAAACCCUAAACCCUUGGAUAAAUCCGAAACUCUUGGAUCAAAUCUUAAACUUUAAGAUUUAUGAUUUAUUCAAGAGUUUAGGGUUUACCUAAAGGUUUAGGGUUUAGGGUUUAAUAUUUGUUGGCAGCGUUAAAAAUACUUUUGAAAAACAAAUUCUUUUUUUUUAGAUUAAAAAAUCUUCUUUUUGUGAUUAAUACAAUUUUUAUUUUAAAAAUAUAAUAUAAUUCAAUAAUAUUUUGUUUCCUUUUUUAAAAGAUACUGAAUCUAAAAUGACACAAUCCUAUUGGUUGGUGAACCUGUAGGUUCACCUAGGGAGUGAACCCAAGAAUAAGUCAUUACUUAAAUAAUCACUAAGAAACUCAAUUGGGAUUAUAGGGUUAAUCAUGCUCUAAGAUAUAUGAUAUUUACGUCAACAUUUAGCAGUUAAUGCCACAUAACCUUCAAGGGGUAAGAGGUUACUUGUGGACGUACACCGACAGAGAUAACUGUUCAAUCUAUUUUCAAUACUGUACAAUGUAUAGUGUUUUCUGUGGUCAGUUGGCUAACAAUUAGAACUAUACAGCAAAGAAAUGGUUUGUAGAAACUCGACGACUCUUAUUGAGCCAUCGUUUAUUAAGUUACUAGGUUAAGACAUGUGUCUUGCGCGAAAUGAAUGUUAUAUAUAUAAAUUAUUUUAUAUAAUUUAAUAGCUUAAGUAAUUUAUAAUAUUUUUAAAAAAUUAAGUUGUCAAUAUUUCGACGAUUCGACAACCGACAAUACUACCUGCCUAAUGAAGACCUACACCUAACUGCGCAUCACCUGAGCCGUCCUAUGAAGAUUCACGUCUGGCCAGAUUUACUUGCACCAUGUUGAAAAUCCCUUGCAAGCCUUUUCCUCUGUAGUCUGCAUAAUUGUUUAAUAAACUGCUCUCUCCGGGACGUGAAACCUGGAUUUCUUGUAAUCUGCAAUAAAUUGUAUAGUCUGGGAUUCGAACCCCAGACCUGGAUGUAGAAGCCUUUAAACCUUAACCAAUAGGCUACGGUGCUUCUACUAAAGCACAUUAAUAAUGUAAUUAUGGUUAGUUUAAAAAUUAAACAAAUAUAAUAUAAGACACUUAUUUUUAUCAAAUCUUUAUUUUUUAAAAUCAUUAAUUGUCAUAUAUAUUUUAGUCAUAUUAGGAAAUUUCAUAAUUUUAUUUAUGGAAAUAAUAAAGCACAUUAAUAAUGUAUUUAUGGUUAAUUUAAUAAAAAGUUUAUUAUAUAUUUAAAUAGACCAACCUAUUUCUCUAAGGAUUCUAAAAAUCAUUCUAAUGAUGACAUGUGGCUACAAAAAAAUGUUGUAAUAUUUCUCGAAUAAUAUAUAAAGGAUUUGGCAUCUUAUGUAUUGAUAGUAUACCCUUACAAAAUUUAGCUAUGGCAAAUGGGUUAAGUGGAAAAAAUUUAACCUUUAAGGUUAAACAAUAAUAUAUAUUGUGUAGUUAAAAACUUCUGUGACAAAAAAAAAGUUUAGUCAUGGAAGCCUUAGGCGAACAAAAGUAAAAAGAUCCCUCUUGUUACUUUACCCAUAAACAACAUCGGUGAAUUCUUUACUGCUCUAUGAAUCAUGCAGUCACAUUGUUGGAGUCACCCGCUUCGAAUCCAUGCCGUUGAACUGAUGGGUUGUGUAGUUCCUUAAGCACUCCUGUCAAAACAUAAAAUAAUUUAUAAAAAGUUUCAUUCUUUUAUUCCACUCUUUGAAAAUGCAAUGUUUUGCAUGAUUUGAGUUUUGCAUUUCAGAUUAUCGUUUCGUUGGCAUCAGUGUGAUCACUCUGCAACAAAGCACCAAGAAUCCUUCCCUUUGCUUCACCAAUAUCUUCCUUAGGCAACCUAAAUAUCAUCAUUCUUUGUUGUUUUCUCUCACAUCUCUUCAAAUGCUGUGAUUUUGUGUGAUCUAGGUUAAAUUUAAACUGUGUGAUGUUUUUGUCUGCUUAUGGUUACAAUCACUUACUUCAUUGGCUUAUUACUUUGUCUUGGAUUGGGAUAUACUUACGCGUCUUCAUGAGAAAACAUUGGUUAUGGCCAUCAUUUCUUUGUGCUUGACCCUAGACUGUGUCUUCGUGGAUUUUGUGUUUGGUAUUAUUCAAAGGCCCACUUAAUGCUUUUUUUUGGCUGAAUCAUCUCCCAUGUUCUGUUACUUGUGUUUGUCUACCAUUUUGCACUAAGAUGUUCGCCUCUGUACGCUCACAUGUUUAUUAUUAGGUUAUUGUUGGUUCAGUUUGUCUUCUAACAAACCGAGAUGAAUUUAUUGGUUGACUGAAGCUCACAUUGUUCUUCUAAUUUCUUUUGUUUAGACUAAUAUUCUUUUCGUUUAAUUUUCUGAAGAUAAGUAUACAACUAUGUUUGACCACCAAAUAUAUACCAUUUUGAUCUUGUACGAUGUACCAUUUCAUUGACUCCAGCAGUGCUUAGCUUGAUAUUUCCAGUAAACAAAACAUAAUUCCAAAACAAACACUAGUUCCAAACUGUAGAUUUCUUUUUCGCUUGAAGAGUUAAAUGAAGAAAAGAAAAAGAAGUACAUACGUUAAGCAUAUAUAUGAUGGGACUCAUUACUCCGCACUGAACUCAAUUUGAUCGUUUAGCACCAAUUUUGUUUUUUUUUUUUUUGCAAUGGUAGACCACUCAGACUCUUCAAAUAUUUAUGUAAAAGUGAUCUGAUCUUCAAACUAUCAAAAUAAAGAUGUGAUCUUUGAUAACUUAGGGGUAACAUCUUUGCCACAUAACUAGAUUGAAAUCCGCGCGGAUGCGCGGAUAUAUUUACAAUUUUAUUAUAAAAUUUGGAUUAAUAAUUUAAUAGUAAUGUAACUAAUUUUAUCAUUGAAAUUUUAAUAUUUUAAAAGAUAUUUUUUAUCGACAGGUUUUUGGAUUGUUCAAAAAGUUAUAAUGUUCCAACUAAAAUUGACUUCAUUAAUAUAUAAGUUCAAAAAUAUAAGAAUAAUAACCAAUCAAUUUGUUUAAGUUUUUAAUAAUAUUCGAUUAUAUAUAUUUUUAUUAAAUCAUUCUAGAUUUUCUCAGUUCAAAUAAGAUAUUAAUAUCUAUAUAUCAAAAACAAACAGAUUUUUAAAAUAUAAAUUUUUAAAUUCGAAUAUCUAUUUACAUAAAUAUAUUAUAUUAAACUAUUACUUUUUUGUUACAGUACUUUUAAGCCUUCAUCAUUAUAUAACAAGAUAUGAGCCCAUUGCGUUACAACGGGUUUUGUUUGAUAUUUUAAUUUAAUAAAAAUUAUAAAAUAUUAAAUCAUUUUAUUAUAGAUUUAUGAUUGUUUUUUGCAUUUGUUGUUUGAAAUUAUUUUAUAACUAAAACUCGUUUUCACAUAUAAGUUCAAGUUAAUAUUUGUAUUUUAUAAUCAUGGUGUAUAAAUGAAUUGUUAUAAACUUUGUACAUAUGAUUAGAGUAAAUAUUAUACCUAAACGUUUAAACUGAAUACAACCUGAAAUAAGAAAUUGAAUGAAAAGUAAAAAGAAAUGAAAGUCAAAUACACCAAUCAAGUGAAUGACAACAUUAUACAUGUUUUAUAUACUAAUUUAAUGUUUUAUUAAAUAAGUCUUUAAAGUUUUAUUUUGCUAGGAUUUUUUAAAAAGGAAAACAUUCUAUUUUAUAAAUCUCUUUUGUAUUUACAAUAAAAAAUAAAAAAUAAUAUUAAAUACUUCUUUACAAUUUUGUUUAAGAUUAUAGAAAAGGAAAAUUACUAUCAUAUAACCAAUUACGACUAUCUUCUCUUUAAAAUUUCAAAAAAAAAAUUGCUAUCAAAUAAUUAUUUUUAGUUAUCAAUAUAUAAUUUUAAAAAUUACUGUUUUUACAAUUUGUAUUAAUACCAAUUUUAUAUUUUUUUUGUUAAUUAAAUAAUUUUUAGUAUCAUGUUCGUCAUUAAAUACUCUCUUAAAAAUAUUAUCAAAUAAAAUUUUACAAUUCUCUUUUGGUUAAAACUUAAAAAUAUGAUAAAAAUUUCUUUUGGUUAGGAUUUUCUUAUAAAAAAACAAAAACAACUAUCAAAUACUUUUUUACAGUUUUUUUUAGGAUGUUAGAAAAGGAAAUUAAUAUUAUAUAAACUUUUAUGAUUAUAUUUUGUCUAGGAUUUAGAAAAAUAAAAUUUCUAUCAAAUAAUUAUUUCUAUUUAAUAUUUUUUUUUUAAGUUCCCAGUUUUGAAAUUCGUUUUUUCAAUAUCAUUAAUAUUUUUACUAUUUUUCUUGUUAAUUAAAUAAUUGUUACUAUUAUGUUUAUUAUUAGUUUUUUAAGGAAAAAUUAUUAUUAAAUAAAAUUUUACAAUUCUCUCUCGUCAAGAUGUAAAAACAAUUUCAAAUAAUUGUUACUAUCAUGGUUAAGAUUAGUUUUUUUUUGUUUUUUUAGAAAUCUCUUUUAUUUAUGAUUUUAGGAAAAGAUGAAGUUAUUUCACAUAAUUACAGUUUUUAUUGACACAUUCACAAUCUAAUUUGUUUUAGUUGACACAUGUCACAAUCAUAUCAUGUGAAUAUUUGAAGUUAAUUUUGUUUUAUAUUUUUUUAACACAAAACUAUUAAAAAGUAAAGUUAGUUAAUUAUAAGAAAAAUAAGAUUACUUUUACAUUUUUGUUUUAUUUAGACUUUUAAAAGGGAAACUAAUUAUUUGAUAAUUUGUUUUUUUAAUAUUUUUAUACAACUAUUUUAUUUUAAUGGAAAAAAUUCUGUUAAAUUAUUUAUAUAUUUUGUCUUAUACAUACAAACACAUGUCACAAUAUUAUCAAAUUAUAUUUUGCAAUUACAUUUUUAUUAGGAUUUAAAAAAAAGGAAAGUUACUAUUAAAUAAUAUUUAUCAUUACUUUUUAAUAAAAUUUGUUUUUUUUAAUAUCUUAGUAUAUAUAUUUUUAAUUAUGAGAUAGAUUAACACAUGUCACAAUCUUAAAUUUUUUAAAAAUCUUAUUUGGUGAAGAUUAAAAAAGGAAAAAUUAUUUUACAAAUCUAUUUUAUUUAGAAAUAAAUAUUACUUUUUUAUAGUAAGUUUUACUUAAUGAUUUUUGUUAUAUAAUUUCUUGUACUUGUAGGAUUUUCUAAUUCGUUUUUUAUAGAUUUGUUUUAAUUAAUAUUUUUCUUUUACAAUUUUCUUUCUUUAUUAUCUUUAAGAACGAAAUUUAAAAAGGAAAUUUUGUUAUUUAUAGUAAAAUAAUAGUAAUACUUUUAAAAUUUUCUUUUGUUUAGGCUUUUAAAAGAUAAACUAGACUUUGAUCCGCGCACCCGUGCGGAUGUUAUUCAUUUGCAAUGUCAAUUUUGUGUUAGCAAUUUUCUUGAUAUAGUUGUAUAUAUGUAACCAUGUUAAUUAGGGAUGGGUUUUUCGGUUUAAUUCUGAAUUCGGCUUGGUUUAUUUUGGUCUAGGAAAACUUUAUACAAAGUCAAUCCAAAUUAGUUUAGUUUGGUUUGUGCUUGUUUAGUUCAUUUGUGUUGAUUUUUUAGUUUUUUUCUAGUCCAAUUACAAAAAUAUAAACAAAUCAUCAUUUGACACGAAAUCAUUAUUUUUUUUUUCAUUUUUAAACAUAAAGCCAAACAUUACAAUAAGCAUGUAGAAAAUGUAAUCUAAUAGUUUGAUGCUGUUAUCAUUAAACCUAAGAUCAAUAUCAUAGGUAAUUUUUCAAUUGUGAUAUUAAUGUAAGAGAUUCAUAUUCUUUUAUUUUAUUUUUAGUUGCGUUUUUCUGUUAAUUUUGAAGUAAAAUAUAAAUUUAUUUAAUUUUUUAGGUUAAAUGAUUAAAUAUAUAAAAUCUUAAUAUUAUUAGUAUAUUUAAUUAAUCUAAUUUAAAAAUACUUCAGUUUUUUGGUUCAAUUUAAAACCAAACCAUUUGGAUUGAUAAAAUCUUCAACGAAAUGAUUUAGAUAUAUACUUUAUAAGUUUGGUUUGGAUCGAUUUGGGUUCGGAUGGGUCGGUUUGGUUUGGUUCGGUUCGGAUCGGAUUUUUUGCCCAUCCUAUUGUUAAUUAAUACUUAGUAGUGUAAUUUUUCAUCACUUAAUAAUGUAUUCUAUGGUGAUAAAAAAAACAAAGUUAUAGAUUAACAUAAGUUAUUCUUGUUAGAUAUAUAUCUUGUGUUGACAAAAAAAUAUAUCUUGCAAAUGGAUAAUAUACAUUAUAGGAAUAUAAUAAAAAAUUACAACGGCAAAUAUCUUUAUUAUUGUUAUUAAUAUCAUAGCUUAAAUUUAUGGGUUAGUUAUGUUAAGUUAGUAAGAUGUUCAAUAAUUUUAGGAAUAUUUACUUGAUUUCUUAUGUACUAUAUCGAUAGAAAAAAUUUAAUUUUUGAGUUAAUGUUAUGUCUAACUAAAUUAUGAUUUGCUUGUUAGUGGGGGUAAGAAGUUAAUGGGAUUUUUCUUGCUUAGUGUAAUAUGCCGUGGAGUACUAUGAAUAAUUAGUAAAGUUUUAGAGUUACUACCAGUGGCAUUACAUUGUAAUUAUUUAGGAAAAAUAAGGGUCAAACCUUAUUUGUACUCUUGUUUUAAUAGUUUAGAUAUUACUUAUUUUAUAGUUAGUUUUACUUAAUGAUUUUUAUUAAAUAAUUUCUUGUACUUGUAGGAAUUUCUAAUUCGUUUUUUUCUAGAUUUGUUUUAGUUUAUAUUUUUCUUUUACAAUUUUCUUUCUUUAUUAUCUUUAAAAACGAAAUUUGUAUUUUUGAAAACAAAAAAAAUUACUUUCAAAUAGAUUUUUACAAUUAUUUACUUGUUUAGGAUUUAAAAAUAUAAAAAUUACUAUCCAAUAAUUUUAACAAUAUGUAAUUGUAAAAGACUAUGUAAUAGCAAUAUAAUCUUUUACAAUUUUCUUUUGUUUAGGUUUAAAAAAAAAAUAUCACUUAUUUUAUAUUUAGUUUUACUUUUUGAUUUUUAUUAAAUAAUAUCUUGUACUUGUAGGAUUUUAUAAUUCGUUUUUUUAGAUUUUGUUUUAGUUAAUAUUUAUCUUUUACAAUUUUAUUUCUUUUUUAUCUUUAAAAACGAAAAUUAUAUUUUUUUAAACCAAAAAUUACUUUCAACUAACUUUUUACAGUUAUUUACUUGUUUAGGAUUAAAAAAGUAAAAAUUAAUAUCCAAUGAUUUAACAAUAUAUAAUUGUAAAAGACUAUGUAAUAGUAAUUGUUCUUUUCCAAAAUUUUUAAAAAAUCGUGAAAAGAUAUAUUUAAAAUGAUAACUUUUAUUUUCUAAAUCUCUUUUAAAUCUUAAGAAAAAAAAUCAUAUUUUUGACACAUGUCGCAAUCUUAAAAAAAUUAUUGACAUAUGUCGCGAUCAUGUUAAUUAGCAACUUUGAAGAACCAAGCUUUAUAUAAUAGGAUUUACAUUAUGUUUUUCAAGAUUUCAUAUAUUUUACUAUUCUUAUAGCAAUAUUUACUAUUUUAAACAACAUAUGAAACCCCAAAAUAUUAUAUUAUACUUAGGUGCAAAAACUUAUAUAUAUAUUUGUAAAAUAAAUAAAGAACAUAUAUACCUAUGAUUAUGUAAAUCUAAUAUAUACUUUUAAAAUAAAUAUAUUUACUAUUUAAAUAUAUCUUAUUUUUGAAAUUGUGGUUAAGAUCGGUUACAAAAAUCUACUUGCAAAUAUGUAGGGGAAUAAAAUUCUUUUUAAUUUUCUUUAAAUAUUAUACUUUUAGUUGAUUAUGUUAAAUAAUAAAUAAGAUAUAUUAAAUGUCUAGUGAAUUGGUCUAACAACAUUCGUAAAUAAAAAAUAAGACUCUAAAUUAAUAGAAUAGAUAUAACUAUAAGUGUUUGAAGCCUUGCUUGCAGACACAAAAACGGGACCGUUAGGCAAACCCUACAACCUUACAUAAAACUCUUCCACGAAACGUCUUCUUCGGCGGGGCUGCUAACAGAAAAGAAAAAUCAACAUCCUCUCAAUGAAUGUCUCGGGUAAGUCGAAUCACGUCUUGUUUUGUCUUUGAAGUUUCUGUUAUGUUAUCAAUAUUAUCCUGUUGAAUCAUGUGCUGUACGUUUUAGCCUUAUUUUUGAUUCGAUUUAAUUAUCCCGUUGAAUCAUCCGAUUGGUUGAUUCGAUUCUUAGAUCUCUUGUCCUGUCUUUGAAGUUUCUUGUUAUGUUAUCAACAUUAUCUUGUCCUAUUUUCCAUUCGAUUUGAUUCUGAUUUAGCCCUAUUGUUGGUUAUACAGCUGAUGAACGAGAGGACUCGAUGUCUAUUGCAAAACCAGUAACUCCUACUCUGAAGACAAAUCUGAAGAAGCAGACGAAUAAGAAUAAGAAGACAUGUAAAAAAUAAGAAGAUAAACUAUUUUUUUUAGAUUGAAUGCUUUGUGUUGAUUAUGAGCUUUUUUUUUCUUUUUCAGUCUCUCUCUUAAGUAGGACCGUGCUGCACCUGUGUUCCAGUAGCAAAACAAAUCUGAAGAGGCAGAAGAUACUUAAGGAGAGUAAAGCAAAUUUGAAGAAGCAGAAGAAAACUGAGGUUAUAUUCUGUGAAACUCUUGCAUAGUUACAUUGAUUGUUAGAAAAGGAAAACUGCAAAGGUUAGAUUUUUAUUUGUCCUUGUUGUUUUUGUCUAUCAAGAGAGAGAGAAAAAAGAAGGAAGAUUCUUGCUGUUUUGGAUGUGAAGAAGCCUACGAAAAUAAUGAUGAAACCAUUUUCGUUAAGGGAUUUCAACAUUUGCGUCCUAGGGAUGAAAUCAAGAAUGAAUUGAGCAACAUUUUUGGUUCUUGUGGAAAGAUAAUAAGCGUUUUUGUUCCCAUGCACUGUGGUACCUGUGUUCCCUUGGGGUUUGUCACUUGUUCCCUUUUUUUGAAUUAUUUUUGUUUCGUUUUAUCUUAUUCUUAUCAUAUAAACUAAAGAUUGUGUCGUUUCUUGAUAACAGAUUUGCUUUCAUUAAUCUCUUAAAUGGCAAAGAGAAGGCGUUGAAACUAAAUGGAAGUUACAUGGGAGGAAGAAAGCUUAAGGUGAUGAUUGCUACUGAUAGUGAUGAAUACUUCGGGUUUGAUGACUUUGAUGGGUGUGACCUUUGUGGAGGGCCAGGCAAGGUCAGAUCUCGCAGGUAAACCCCCCCUCUCUCCGAUCCAUGAAUUUGCUCUUGUUAUUGAUUCUUUUUUUUUCUUGAUAACAAAGUAACUUUUUCUAUUGAUUUUGCAGGCCGAUUGACAUUGAUAAGGUUUCUUUCGAAUUGUACCACUGAACCCGAGCUUAUUUUUAUUAUCUAAUUAUUUUGUCUUAUAUGAUUUUGACUCUGCUAUGCGUAAAUCAAAUUAUGUAAGAAACUCUUUAGUAUGGAGACGGUGGUUUUCUGAAAUUUUUGUUGAAAAAUGAUUUGGUUAAAAAUUAUGUAAGAAACUCGUGGAUCUUAGUUUUCCACAACCUCUCAGCCGAAGUUAAUUCUGUGUGGGUAAAUUCUCUUUUGCAAAUCUUAGUUUUACGAAAGUGAAUCGAACGCUUGCCUCUUGUUUUCACAUCACUAUAAUUUAAAUUUUCUUGUAGUUAUGCAAUAUGAACAUAUCUUUGCUUUCUAAAAUAGUAAACCAUAAAUUUUGCUUUCUAAAAUAGUAAACCAUAAACUUUACUAUAACAGCUACUCUGAGUAAACUCAGAUGUUGAUCAUUACAUCUCAAUAUUGUUGUUUACUACAACUAUAGACAAGCUUGCUAGAAUCAGCAAGACUAAUUUCAGAAAAUGCCAUCAAGCGUAUCUUGUAUUUCAUGGACUCCCACUCUUCUCAACAUCUGUUCCAUGUACCUACAAUUCAGUUCAUUCAAAAGAUUGGUAUUUGGCAAAUGUGUAUAUGUAAUAAAAAUGGAUUAGCUAAUAAUUUAUCUUCUUAACAAACCAUAUAUGCUAGUGUGUCAUUUAACUAUUAAACUAGAGUUUAUCGCGCACACCGUGCGGAUAUAUUUUCAUUUUAUAAAUAUUUAAUUUUGAUAUUAUUAUAUAAAUUUAAAUAUACAAUUUAUAUAUUAGUGCUAUGUAUUUUAUAACUCUUUAAUUUUAUUGUUUAGGUUUCUUAUUACUUUAUUAAUAUAGGGGUUUGUUUUAUACAUUUUACCUUUUUUAUUACGUUUUCGAGUUUUCAUAAUUUGAAAUAAUCAAAUAAAAAAUAUUCUUUAACAUAUGAUUUUUGAAAAUAUAUAGCUGUAGAAAUAAAUUUUUAACAUAUGUUAAUAACUUCAUUUGUAUAAAAAAAUCUGACAUGAUUAACAAAUUUGAACCCGUUUUAGUGGUAGAUGAUAAUUUAUUUAAAUGAAAGCAUUAUAUUACUUAAUUACGAAAUUAAUUAAUGUAAUAUUUAAUAAAAAUUAUUUAAAAAUUUAGUAGGAUUUUGUUAGAUUUUUCUCAACAAAUUUUGUUAUAACUGAAGAUAAAAUUCAAAUCUAUAGUUAAAAUUAAUUUAUUAUUAAUAUUCUUAUUAAUUAUUAUGUCAUAUUAUAUGAUUAAUGAAAUGAUCCUAGUAGAUUUUUAAAUAGUAGAUAAAAAUGGUAGUUCUCUUUUAAUAGAGAAGAUGUUACCAAGAAUUUCAGAAAUUUUACUAUAAACACAUUGUUAUUUUUAUAUCACUUAUAGUAUUUUUGUACAUAUUUCUCUUUACAUUGGUUUCUCUAUCAGAUUAACUUUAACAAACUCAUAGGCAACUUAAAAUAAAGCUUCAAGCUAAGAAUUAUUUCGUAUAAUUGUAUAUAUGUUUAAAGUAAGUUUGAGAUAAAAAAAACACACAUCCACUAAUACUACGCAACAAGGCGUGUUAGGCUUUGGUCAUGGCCAUGUCCAUGGUAACAAAAAAGCAAACCAAAAAUGACAUCAUCUUGUCAGUGAUAUCGUUUCUUUAAGAAAUGUAAUCUAAUAAAGCUUUCUAGUGAGUGACAAAACUAUUUGGCACUGGUUAGUAGAUAUGAUGUUCAUUUUAUUUGUAAAGAACUCUUCUUCGUCAUUAUCCAAAGUCUCCUCCUGCUUUUAUAUAAUUUAUAUUUAGAUUUUAUAUAAUUUUGUUGUGAACUAUUAGCUUAGAUGUAUAUCUUUAUAUAUAUAUAUAUGUAUUUAUGUAUUGUUAUUAUAGGUUUUAUAUUUUGUAUUUUGGAGAAAAUGAAACAACGAGAGAGGGUGAGAGCUAGAAGAUGAUCUGAUUCUUAUUCAGCUUUUUCAUCUUUCACCUACAUCACUACAAGAAAUAGGGGGUUUGAUAGCAGUCAAGGAUAGUGGGUUUGCCUUUCUACUGUGGUUGAUAUACCUUUUAAUUUUAAAUAAUGUUUGUAUAUUUAGAAACAUUAUAAUAGAAUGGUAGAUAGUGUCGACACCAGAAAAAUUGUCAGUUUUUGCAAGUUAUUUAGAAGAUAUCAAAUACCUGGAAGAAAGCUUUACGAACUCGAAAAUCAUUCAUGUACCAAGAAUGCAAAACACAAAGGCGGAUACCUUAGCACGCAGUGUGAGACAACAGCCAUCUUUCGUCGUUCAUAUGAAUGAAGAGCAUCCGGUUUAAUAUUCAGAGUCUAUAUGAAUAUGUUGAUGUUGAUGACAAAAAAAAAUGGAUAAAUCCAAACUUAUAGUUUUUCAAUGGAAUAUUCUUCAUUUUAUCUUUCUAUUUAGUAAUAUUUAACUCAUGAAUUUCUAUGUGUUUUAGGUUGUUUCCGUUAAGAGUUUUUAAAAUCUAUAUACAACCAUGAACUCAACGUGCAGAUGAACCACAAACGAUUUUUUAUAUUUAUCUAUUUCUUUUUAACUAAACCAUUUCUCUGUCCAAUCAUCCUUUGAUGAGCUCUGUGUUUUCUCUGAUAUCACUGGAUAUGCUUACGGCAAACUUAAAUGCCGAAAUAAGCUGUACAAUGAAGAAAACCUGAACUUCUUGUUCUAUAAGUUUAACACAAAAGCAGAACUAAUUUCAGAAUAAAGCAACAAGCAUAGUUAGAUACAGUAAAUCUAUGUUGUUAUUUUCCAACCCCCUUUCCGUGCUCGAUGACAUUUACCUGAUCAACAAACACGCAGAUGUCUUCACAUAUACCACUUUAGUUGAUGCACUGGGAAAGAAAGGUAGAAUAGAAGAAGCAACGAAACUUACGAACAAGAUGCUUCAUAAGGGCAUAGAUCCCACCCCUGUCACAUACAGGACUGUCAUCCAUCGAUACUGCCAAAUGGGAAAGGUUGAUGAUCUCGUACUGGAGAAGAUGCUACUGCGGCAGAAAUGCAGGACAGUUAAUCAAGUCAUUGAGAAGCUUUGUGGUUUGGGAAAGCUUGAGGAGGCAGACAAAAUUUUGGGUAAAGUUCUGAGGACAGCUUCGACAUCUGAUGCUAAGACAUGCUAUGUACUUAUGGAAGGGUAUCUUAAGAAAGGUGCACCUCUAUCAGCGUAUAAAGUGGCUUGUCGGACGUUUAACCGGGAUCUGAUACCUGAUGUUAAGAUGUGUGAGAAGCUUAGCAAGAGACUGGUUCGGGUAGGAAAAGUUGAGGAGGCAGAUCAGCUAAUGCUACGUUUGGUUGAGCGUGGUCGUAUUUUACCCCUGCCCUCAAAACAGUCUGUGGUCUUAUAAAUAUCUGUUUGGAUUUACCUUCAUUAUUGUAACCAGAAACUUCUUGGUAGAGUGUUUGAGGUAUCAAGCGAAGAUGGAUGGAUGGAAUAGUAAUUCGAACACUAAUAGCAAGACUAGAGGGUUGUUGACACUUCACAGCUCAUACAAUGCAAAAUAUACAUUUCUAAUUAUUGAUCGCUUUGAUAAUUCUGAGUAGUAAACACAUUACAGACAAUGAUGUUUGCUGGUUGCUGCUUCAUAUUUAGAUUAUGUUAAAAGGUGUAACUGAGAAAGCGUGACUGUAACACCGAAGGUUUCUGUACAUUUAGGAUGCUCACUUUCUCUGAAGGUUAUAACAUCAAUUAUGAGAAUAAAAAGUAAAAUCUUUUGCAAAAGACAGGAUUCAAUGGUUAAAAAUAUAAUAGAUAAAAAGUUGAGGCAUAUUCUUGAUGGGGGUAUAUCUUUUACACAUGGCUAUAUCAUUCAAGAUAUGGCAUUAUUUUCUGUAUUUGGAUAUAGUGAAGUUUUUUGGUUGAUUGUUGCAUUAGAGCUCUGUUAUUAUAUAUUUUGUAUUUUUUCGUUUAUUUUUCUUUGGUGUGAACUUGGCGAUGAUGAAGGUACUUAUCAGACAUCAUUUUCGUGAUAAUGCUUGCCUCUUGGCUGAUUCUGAUAGUAAGCCAAAGGUAGAAACUGUUGCUGGGAAAGGGAAGGUAAAGAGAGGGCACCUUUUCGAAUGACUGCUUUUGUUGUAGCUAAUUAUACUGCAAAUAAAAGAUCAUGUCUUCUCUGCUUGUCCUAACGGUUUAUAUAUACUGUUACCUUUUUUUUUUGGAACUUACUAAGCUAUUCCUAUUUUGGCGUGUUGCUGUUUGUUUUUUCCAUGUGAAGGGAGAGAGAGAACGUAACCCUUAUGUAAAACUCGUUUUUACCCUGCUUUCUGUGUUACCACAUCCUUCCAAACACACACAUGAUCGAAAGAAAGUUUUUACUUGCAAGAAUUUAUUGUGAAAAAAUGCGUUUGGAAUAAAAUAUUGCUUUGGUGAUGUGUAGGAAAAGUUGAGGAGGCAGAUCAGCUAAUGCUACGUUUGGUUGAGCGUGGUCGUAUUUUACCCCUGCCCUCAAAACAGUCGAUUAAAUGGUAUGAUCCGGUUUAUGACACGAUUAUAACUGUUGUUGUCUAUACGUGGAAGACUUGUCUAGUGGAUUCUACCUUGGAUUUAUGAUACUAGACUUGGUCGUAAACAAUAUUUGUGCUUCAGGUGGCAGCCGACAAAGUAAGAAUAAAUCUCUUUGAUUAUUGUUACAGUGUACAGUCUUCUAUGGUCAGUUGGCUUACAAUUACAGGUACUAAAAGUUUUCAAACUUUUUUAGAAAAGAUAGUUUCAAGAAGCUAGUCAACGGCUCUAAUUAAAACAUCAUUUAGUAAGUUCAAUGGCAUUACCAGAAUAUGCAGUAAAACACCAAAAAUAUUUCGUUUUGCUUCAUAUGUACAACUCAUGGAUAUGUUAAAUAUCUUGUUUUUUCCCCACCCAUGCAAAUACUGUGUUUUUGUGUGAUCAGGGUUAAAUUUAACUGUGCAUUGUUUUUGACUGGCUAUGGUUACAAUCGCGUACCUCGUCGGAGUUGGGACGUAUAUUAUUCCGCGUCUUCAUAGGAAAGUACAUUGGUUAUAGACAUCCAUUCUUUGUGAUAGACCUAGAAUUUUUUUUUUGAAGAUUUUGUGUUUGGUAUAUAGCAUUUACAUUUUUGUAACCACAAACUUCUUGUGGUACACUGUUUGAGGCUUCAAGCAAAGAUAUUUUGAUUGAAUAUAAUUGUGUCCAGCUGCAUUGUAAGUCCAUGAUGUUGGAACAACUUCCAGAUCCCAUGCAAAGCGACAAGGGUCUCACCCCAUUGGGGUGUGAUGGGUUUUGUUGUUUGAUACUUCUGGCGUGUGUAAACCGGUUUGACCAUGUUGCUCUCUGGUUUGUAUUUGAACGUGAAGCAACAAGAUCAGAGGUUUUUUGGUUGUUUUGUUGGUUGCUGAAUUGAUGCUUCAUAAUUAGAUUACGGUAAAAGAUGGCAAGUAGAUAUGAGUUGUUUUUAUUAACACUGGUCAAAUCGUCAAUUAUCUCAUUAUAAUCUCUAGCUAUGAUGAUCAAUUUCACGGACAAUGUAGAGAAUGGAUAAGUCCGGUUCGGUUCGGUUUCAGAGGAUGCUGAUGGAGUUGAGGCAGAACAAGGCGGUGUUUAUGUUUAUCGGGAUGUGACAGUGGCGCGAGGUCUCAGAGUCAAGGCUGCAGAAGACAAGACUUUGUGGCAUCGCAGAUUGGGACAUCCUUCCUUUGGUGUUUUAGGAUUUUUACCAUUUGUUUCUGGUGUUCAAAACAACUCUGACAAGUUUGGAGGUUGUGAAAUUUGUUUCAAAUCAAAACAAACUCGCGGGGUGUUUGCCGAGAGUUAUAAUAAAGCAUCUGUUCCUUUUGAAUUGAUACAUGUUGAUUUGUGGGGUCCGUAUCGGGAGAAAUCGUCAUGUGGUGCUGCGUAUUUCCUUACAAUCGUAGACGACUUCUCGAGAGCUGUCUGGAUUCAUCUCCUGCUCGAAAAGUCUGAAGUAAAGAAAGUGUUACCGAACUUCUGUCAACUUGUUCACCGACAGUUCGAUAGACAUGUCAAAACCGUACGAAGUGAUAAUGGCACGGAGUUCAUGUGCCUUACCAAGUAUUUUGCGCAGAGUGGAAUCGUUCACCAGACUUCAUGUGUAGCAACGCCACAACAAAAUGGACGAGUAGAGAGGAAGCACCGCCACAUUCUCAACGUCUCCAGAUCUCUUAUGUUUCAAUCAGACCUUCCUAUCAAGUUUUGGGGGGAAAGUGUUCUGGCUGCGGCGCAUGUUAUUAAUAGAACGCCGUCGAGCCUUCUGCAUGGGAAGACUCCUUAUGAAUGUAUGUAUGGUAAGGCCCCAUCGUAUGCUGAUCUGAAGACGUUUGGUUGUCUCGGCUUUGCACACAACCUGCAGAGACACAAAGACAAGUUCGGAGCGCGAGGCAGGAAGUGCGUGUUUGUAGGGUACCCGUUUGGAAAGAGAGGUUGGAGACUGUACGACUUGGAGAACGAGGAGUUCUUUACGUCACGUGAUGUUGUUUUCGACGAGUCAGUGUUCCCGUAUCAGACUGAUACAAGUGGCGCGAACACAGCAGUCCCACAAACUGUGCAACCUGCACAUGAAACUGAAGAAAUAGAACCACUGAUCGCUUCGAGGGGGAGCGACAUUGCUGAGUUGCCAAUGACUAUGACCCCUACGGAAUCCGUGGAGUCUGCACCGCACCUGUCGAAGAGCCACCAGCUUCAGAAACAAGGACAGCAGACACGAUUGAAUUGGAGAAUGAGUUGGUGGAGGCCACAGGGACAGAGGCAACUGCGCAUGUUGAAGAAGCCGCAGUGACCACAGAAGCGGUGGAGGAACUUGGAAGAGGUCACAGAGUUCCAAAGCCAUCGGUCAGGUUGCGAGACUACGUCACGUACAACGCGCAAUGUCACCCUGUAUAAAUAUCUGUUUGGAUUUACCUUCAUUAUUGUAACCAGAAACUUCUUGGUAGAGUGUUUGAGGUAUCGCCUCAACUCCAUCAGCAUCCUCUGAAACGUGUCCAGGUAACACCUCAUCAUAUCCCAUCUCUGCAUACGUGACUGACGCCAUCUUCUCGGAAAAGCAUCGUGCGUUUCUUGCAGCUAUCAGUGCAGAUGUUGUGCCACGCAACUUCAAGGAGGCAAUCCUUGAUCCUGUGUUUAAGGAAGCGAUGGGAACGGAGGUUGCAGCGCUGGAAGAGCAGAGAACGUGGGAUGUAACCGACCUGCCUAAAGGGAAGAAAGCGCUGGGAUGCACUUGGCUUUACAAGUAUAAGUACAAUGCCGAUGGCACAAAGGAGCGACCCAAAGCAAGGUUGGUAGUGCAAGGAAACAGACAAGUGGAAGGGGUGGAUUAUGAAGAAACGUUCGCACCAGUAGCGAAACUCACGACGGUGAGAACGCUGUUGGAAGUGGCGGUUGCAAUGUGCUGGGAAGUUCAUCAGAUGGAUGUGCAGAACGCUUUCUUCCAUGGAGAUCUACAUGAGGAAGUGUACAUGAAGAUGCCCCCUGGCUUCAGUUCGAGUGAUCCUAAGAAGGUGUGUAAACUGAGGAAGUCCCUGUACGGUUUGAAACAAGCUCCGAGAUGUUGGUUUGCAAAGCUGACAAGUGCGCUGAAGGAGGCUGGUUUCAAGCAGUCGUACUCAGACUAUUCGCUCUUCACCUACAUCAAGAACGGUAAGAGUUUGAGAGUGCUCAUCUAUGUGGACGAUUUAGUGAUCACGGGAAGCGACUUGGAUAUGGUGACGAAGUUCAAAACGCAUCUGAGCAAGUGCUUUAAGAUGAAGGAUCUUGGUAGAAUCAAAUACUUCUUGGGCAUAAAAAUCGCAAGAGGUGCUGAGGGUAUGUUUCUAUCUCAACGGAAGUAUGUUCUUGAUAUAAUAAAUGAAGCUGGUCUUCUUGGUUGUAAGCCGGUCUCGACCCCGAUGGAACAGAAUCAUCGGUUACUCUCUGCUGAUGGACCAUUCUACACGGAUCCGGUUCGGUUUAGACGAUACGUGGGUCGGUUGGUGUAUCUCACAAUCACCAGACCUGAGCUCAGCUAUGCGGUUCAUGUGUUGUCUCAGGUAAUGCACAAACCAAGAUCGGUGCAUUGGGAUGCAAUUGUGCGAGUGUUGCGCUACCUCAAGGGUAGCCCGGGUCAGGGGAUCAUGCUGAAGUCUACAAGUGAUCUUUGUGUUCGAGGUUUCUGUGACGCCGACUGGGCAUCAUGUCCAAAGACGCGACGAUCACUGUCAUCUUAUAUUGUUCUGUUGGGAAGUUCCCCUGUCUCGUGGAAGACUAAAAAACAAGAUACUGUGUCGCACUCAUCAGCUGAGGCUGAAUAUAGAUCGAUGGCUGCGGCACUGCGAGAGUUGAUAUGGCUAAAGAGGCUUCUUGGAGACUUGGGAGUUGCACAUAAAAAGCCUAUGGAGUUGUUCUGUGACAGCAAGUCGGCGCUAUACAUUGCUCAGAACCCGGUGUUUCACGAAAGAACUAAACACAUAGAGGCAGACUGUCAUAGUGUAAGGGACGCAGUGCAGGAUCGUCUCAUAGUCACGAGGCACGUUCGAACUACUGAGCAGCUGGCUGAUAUAAUGACCAAGGCAUUGGGGAGUUCGCAGUUUCAUUAUCUUCUCAACAAGUUGGGUGUUCGAAACUUACACGCUCCAACUUGAGGGGGAGUGUAGAGAAUGGAUAAGUCCGGUUCGGUUUGGUAGACGUAGAAGUGUUGAGGUGAUAAGGAUCGAGAUGGUUGGAGAUAUGCAUUAGAAGAUUGUGAUAAGGAUUGUAGAAGAUAUUGUGCUUGAGUAUAUUCUUGUAACAAGCACGUAUAUAUAUGUGUAACAUAAGACGUGAAUAAACAACAAGUUCAUACAAAUCAAUCUCUCUUAGUUUACAGACAAUGAUUACAAGACGUAGUUCUCCGUGUAACACUAAAAUUAACAGACAGUUUACAUAUACGAUAUUUUCGAUGGACAAUCUCUCUUCAUAGCACAAGUCCACAACAAAGGGUUCUACCUACAACACUAUAGAAUUUCCGAUAAGCUUUGAAUCCGUAUAAUCUAUAAAAGUUGCUUCAUCUAAGAAUCAAAUCCCUAACUUUGUGUAGAAGCAUUUAAACCCUUGAUUACUAGACCUAUGGAUUCCACAAAUAAGAGUUGUUUAUGCAUCUGAGAAGGCGUGACUGUAACAUCAAAAGUUUCUCUUUACAUUUAGGAAACUGACUUUCUGAAGGCAUAUGCCAAUCAUAAUAACAAUCACGAAAUAAAUAAAUAAAGAAGUCUUUUGGAACAGCCGAACAGGUAGGAUUUUAAUGGCUAGAGCCUAUAAAUAGAUAUAUGAAAGCUUUUAAAAGUUGCGUUCCCACAAAUAAAAAAGAAGAGAAACAUUGAUGCUUAUCGUUCACGGGUAUAUCUUACACACCGCUAUAUCAUUAAAUGUAUCCUAUUAUUCUCUGUCAUUUGGAUAUAGUUGUGAAGUUGAUACCUUGCUUCUUUGCAUUAGCUCUCCGCUAUUGUAUUUUUGUUGAUUUUGGGUUGGUGUAGGUACUGACGCGUAAGUACUUGUAGAAUUUAAUCGUAUAACCAUACAUUUCUGUGGCGAAAACUACAUAUUGCGUGGCUAUAUGAUGAUAUAUCCACUAAAUUUUGGCUAUAAAAUCGUGAACAAAAAAAUUUCGUGCGAACCUGAUGAUGUUGAAUGUAGUUAUCUCGCGAUAGUGCCUACGUGGCUGCAUCUUUGGCUGAUUUUCAUAGCAAGCCAAAUAUGGAAACUGUAGCUGAGAGAGUAAAAGUAAAGUGGACACCUUCCUCAACUACUGCUUUUGUCGUAAGUGUUUUAUUAUUCUGCAAACAAAAGAUCCUGUCCAAGUAACGGUUUUCAACUGGUGACUUCUAUUGGAACUUAGUAACGUACUGAGCGUGUUCUGUGUAUUAUUCCACGUAGAUGCUAAGAGAAUACUUGUGAAGCUCACCUUCUUACGUUGCAUUCUCUGUUACCAUGCAUAUAUAUAGUCCCAUACACCAUCAUACCAAAAAUGUGUUACUUUUCAAGAAUCUUUUUUGGAAAAACAUGGUGGUGAUGUUAAGUGUUGUUUUGUUUGUAAUACUUAAAUGGUAUCUACCCGGUUUAUAUAUGAAAGCGAUUGUAUUUGUUUAUUUGUCUUUUAGUAGAACUUGUCUAAAUGAUUCUAAUUUCUAAGCUUCAUGGGAUUAAGGCAUCAUAUAGCUGAAAGACUCCUCCAAUCUCUUAAAAAUAUAAAAAAUGAUAUUUACUAUAUAAUUUUAUUUAUAAUAAAAUGAACCAUCUUUUCUUUUCUCAUUUUUUAUUGCUAGAAACUCUUUUAGAAAAUUUUCUACAAACCCUCUGGCUAAACAUUGUACAGGUUAGUUGUGGAUGCACAUUGUUCAGUGGUUAGUUCGUUUACGGUUACAACUUUACAGCAAAAUAAUUAAUAGUUAUGUAGAAACUCGACGACUUUGAUUGAACCAUCAUCCAGUAAGUUCUUUCUCAUUUUAUUGAUUGAGAACCCUCAAAGAGUUAAGCUUUGGCAAAUGGGUUAAGUUGAAAGGACUAACCUUUAUGGCUUAACAAUAGGAAGUUAAAAUCUUUAGCCCUGCGAUCAGGGACGGUUCUGAAUGAGAUAGCGGGACUUCUCCAUGAAAUUAGUCACCUCAUUUCUCUCUUCUCAACCAUAUCUUUUGUUGUAAUUUCUCGGUCUGUAAACUCUGUGGCUGAUGGUCUUGCUAAGUGUGCUCUUGUAGGCCUUAGCAUGCAAAACGUUGUAUGAUCUCUUUAAGUUAAUCAGGAAGAAAACCGUUGACCAAAAAAAAAAAACCUUUUGUUUAGUUUAUUCAUAAACAACCUUGUUGAAUCUUUCUUUACUUCCCUGUGAAUCACGCAUCCACAUUAUUGGAGUCACUUGCUGAUAAUCCAUGCCAUAAUUAGACUUGAUGGAUUAUAUAUGUUAAUAUAUAGCAUCACUAAGUUUAAAUCAACUCUAUUAUAGAGUUACUCUAUUUUGAAAAAAAAAAGAAAAUAGAGUAAGUACUGUAUUUAUAGAGUAAACAUAUUUUUUACUAUAUUAUAAAGUGAAAAGCAGAGUUGGUUUGGACCUAAUUUACUCUAAACUAUAUGCUCUUAGUACUUUUCUGUAAAAACAUAAAGAUCUAUACAAUAUUUCAUACUUUUCUUUCACUCUUUUCAAAAGCUAUGUUUUGCAUUUCAUCUUAUGGAUUAUUUAUUGGCAUCACUGAAGUCACUCGCAACAAAACACCAAAAAUCGUUUAGGUGUAUCCUUUAGCAACCAAAAUAUCUUCCUUAUUUUUCCUCUCACCAAUCUCAGUAAUUACUGCAUGUGUAUUGUGUGUGAUUUAGGUUAAGUUUAAAAUGUACACUAUUUUUGUCGACUUAUGGUUACAAUCACUUACCUGUUGGCUUAUUACCUUGUCAUGGGAUGUACUACGCGUCUUCAAGAGAAAACACUUUGGUUAUGGACCUUAUGGCCAUACAUUCUUUGUGCUUGACCUAGAAUGUGUCUCUGAGGAUUUUGUGUUUGGUAUUUAUUCAAAGGCACUUAAUGCUUUUUUUGCUGAUUUUUUCUAAUAUUUAUAUUUAUACAAUCUCUUAUCUCAAGGCUUAUUAUUUUGAUGUCGAACAUCUCCAAAAAAAACUGUAUAACUUCAAAUAUAAAGUUUUUUGCUCUCCAAAAAUGAACUUAAAAAUUUCAAAUUUAGAAUUUUGAGAAGUGAAACAUCAUUUUUGAAGUUUCACUACUCAAAAAUUUAAAUUUAAAGUUUCAUCUUUUUAUUUACAUUUUGAUCUUUAUAAUUAAUUACACAUCACAUUUAUGAUUUUUCAGUAUUUUCUCAUUUACCGUUUUAAUCCUUAAAUUUUUAUAUAUCAUAAAUAUUUCAAAUUUUACACUUAAAUUUAAAUAAAUAUCUGAAAUAACAUUUAUAAUAUUUUAAAACAAGAAUUAGAAAAACUAAUAUUACAAAAAAAACUUAAUAAAAAACUUUUUAAAAAGGAUACAUGAAGACAUAAUUAUUACACAAAUUUAAAUAUGAUAACAACACUAAUAGUCUAGUAAAUUUGCUCCGGAACCUCCAAAAUCUCUAAAAUAUUGUCCAAAAUAUUUUGUGUAAUCGAAAAUAGAGUAUUACGAAAAUAAUUUUAUGGAAUGAUGUGAUAUUUUGCUUGUAGUUUAAUAUUUAAUUAUGUAUUUCUAUUUAUAAUUUAUAUAUUUAGUGUAGAUCUUAUUAAUUAAUAUUAUGGUAAUAUUUUUAUAUAUGUUUUAGUUAUUUAUAAAAUUUUUAUGAAUUUUUAUUAAUUAUUACAAAUAUAGAGACCAUAGUGUAAAAUAAAAAUAAUUUUGAAGUUGAGUUUAAAGUUUUGCUUUUGGAGAAGAACUCUUUGAAAUUUCAAAUUUAAAGUUUUACAAAUUCUAAAAUAGUCUUUUUGGAGAUGCUCUUAGUAGUUGGAAGUAUUACCUUUUUUCAAGGAAAAGCAUAGUAGUUAUGGCCUAGAUUUUUAAUUUGGGUACAUCUGAACCGAAUUCCAACUAAUCCCCAAAUUGAACAGUAGUGACGACUAGUCCUGUUCUGGAUUUUUAGAGAAGUAAGACAUGACUCCAUCUUCGUAUGGCCAAACAAAUGACAACUUAGUUUUUUUUUGCAACUCAUAAUCGGCAGAUUUACACCUUGCCUGAAAUUUUCUUUUUACCACUAGACUACCAUUGCUUGGUUUUGACCUAGAAACUUUUCUUUGAAGAUAUUGUGUUUGGUAUGAUCCAUUGGUAUAGCUUUUUGGUAGGCUUCAAGAAAAUAGAUUUUCAGUUUUUAACGAAUAUAAACUGUGUCCAUGUGCUGGAAAUGAUAACUACAUGGUGUUGUAUUUGUCGUUAAGUUAAUAACAAUUUCCAUAUCCAAGCGAAGCAACUAGGGUCUCACUCCAUUAGAGUGUUGGAUUUCUUCUUUGAUACUCCUGGCGUGGCGUGUGGAAACCGGAUUGAGCAGAACUAGUUAUUUUAGUGAACGACUCACUGUUUUGAAUAUAAGUGACACGUUACAAUAAAAUACUGAUCAUAAGUCUUAGUCCUCUGAGUUUUAAAGCCGAAGUUGUUCAUUGGGUUUGGGUUUCCUUGUUACAAUCAAUUAUUUAUUUUAUAUUAGGUUGCAAGCUAACUUAUGAUCUUUUUUUUUUGUGCACUGUUUUUUUUUUUUUUUUUUUUUUUUGUGCACUCAAGCUAACUUAUGAUCAAGAUGAACAUAUUGAAUAUCAUAUAAUAAAUGAACUGAACUAACUCAUAGAAAAGUAUGAGCUCAUCACAAAUAUUAGGUAAACUGAGUGAGCUGCCUUAUUUUGACACCCCUAUUCACAAUAAUUAAAGUGAUAAAAUUAGUGAUGUAUAAUGUGAUUAAUUAUAUGACUUAUGAAGUGUCUUUGUUUUCUUUUGGGCAGAAUACCGCUAGUCUGACUUAAAAAUACACAUCAGAUUUCAAAGCAAUUUUUUAAACAUAAUAUAAUUUCUAUUGUUUUUUCUGAAAUUUUAGAUAAUGUUUUAAAAAUUAACUAUAUGUUAUUAUAUUUAAUUUAUAAAAUUGAAACAUAAAACAAAAAGCUCAAUUUUUAAAGUUAUAUAUAUAUAUAUAUAUAUUAACUUGAAAUUUCGUUGUUUGGUUCCUCUUAAUGUAACACAACUAACAAACCUAUAAUGAUCCGAUGACAGUUGGAUUCUUUAAGAAAGGUUUAUCUUAAGCAACAAAACCUAACUCACAACGAAAGGCAAUCAAAGUGCAAAAGCUAUUAGGUACAUACGAGGUGAUCAAGCCAUACUGACUUGACGGAGUGAUGUGGCUUGACACCAAUUCGUACAAUCUUGGGUGCGUAUGUCUGGGCGUUUUCGUCACGCAGAUGCAUUUGCUGUAUACUGAAGUUGAUAGGUUGCUUGUUGCAUUAGCUCUCCGUUAUUGUAAUUUUGCUGAUUUUGGUUUGAUGUAUUGACGCAGAAUUAAGCCCGUCAUUUAUUUUUAUUUUUGUGUGAGAGCCAAAGUUGAAUGUACAUAUCUCGUGAUAAUGGCUUCAUCUUUGGCUGAUUCUCAUAGUAAGCCAAAGUUGGAAACUGUUGCUGAGAAAGUAAAAGUAUAGAGGACACCUUCCUCAACAACUAUUUUUGUCGCAAGUUUUUAUAUUCUUCAAACAAAAGAUCAUGUCCAAUUAAACGGUUUUCAGCUGUUGCCUUCUACUGGAACUUAGUAACUUACUGUUGCUAUUUGUUUUUCCAUGUAAAGGCUAAGAGAGCUCGUUUUUCUUACGUUGCAUACUCUGUUAGUUAUCAUAUAGUCCCAUAUCUUGUGAAAAUUUUUUUUUUGGAAAAAAUGUUGGUGAUGUGAUUUGUUGUUUUGUUUGUAAUGCUUAAAUGGUAUCUACCCGGUUUAUGAAAGCGAUUAGAUUUGUUCUUGUCUUUUAGUGGAGGAUCUAUCUACAGGGUUCUUCCUUGGAUAUAUGAUUUACGUCAACAUUUAGCAGUAAAUGCACAGAAUCUUCAAGGGGUAAGAGGUUACUUGUGGACGUACACCGACAGAGAGAGAACUGUUCAAUCUAUUUUCAAUACUGUAGAAUGUCCAGUGUACUCUGUGGUCAGUUGGCUAACAAUUAUAACUAUAAAGCAAAGAAAUGGUUUGUAGAAAUUCGACGACUCUGAUUGAACCAUCAUUUAUUAAGUUAUUUGGCAUCUUAUGUAUUGAUAGUAUACCGUUACAAAAUUUAGCUAUGGAAAAUGGGUUAAGUGGAGAAAAUUAACCUUUAUAGUUAAACAAUAAGAUAUAUCUUGUAGUUACAAAAAUUUAGCCUUGGAAGCCUUAGUAAAAAAAAAGUAAAAAUAUCCCUUUUGUUACUUUACCCAUAAACAACAUUGGUGAAUCCCCUUACUGCUCUAUGAAUCAUGCAGCCACAUUGUUGGAGUCACCCGCUUCGAAUUCAUGCCAUUGAACUGAUGGGUUGUGUCGUUCCUUAAGCACUCUUCUUUUAAAACAUAAAACAUUUUAUAAAAAAUUUCCUUCUUUUCUUCCACUCUUUGAAAAUGCUAUGUUUUGCAUGAUUUAGGUAUUGCAUUCCAGAUUAUUGUUUCAAUGGCAUAAGUGUGAUCACUCAUUCACUCUGCAACGAAACGCCAAAAAUCCUUCCCUUUGCUUCACAAAUAUCUUCCUUAGGCAACCUAAAUAUCUUUAUUCUUUGUUGUUUUCUCACACAUCUAGAAUGCUGUGUGUUUUGUGUGAUCUAGGUUAAAUUUAAACUGUGUGAUGUUUUUGUCUGCUUAUGGUUACAAUCACUUACUUCAUUGGCUUAUUACUUUGUCUUGGGGUAUACGUAUUACGCGUCUUCAUAAGAAAGCACAUUGGUUAUGGCCAUCCGUUCUUUGUGCUUGACCCUAGACUGUCUUCGGGGAUUUUGUGCUUGGUAUUAUUCAAAGACCCACUUAAUGCUUUUAUUUGAUGAAUCAUCUCCCAUGUUCUGUUACUUGUGUUUGUCUACCAUUUGGCACUAAGGUGUUUGCCUCUGUACGCUCACAUUUUUGUGUAAUAGUAAAUAAAAUAAACAUAUUAUUAUUACUGGUUCAAUUUGGUUUCUAACAAACCGAGAUGAAUUUAUCGGUUGACUGAAAGCUUACCUGAAUCGGUUAUGCAUGCAUAAACUCUGGCCUCGCUUUGGUUGUUCGGUUCAUAGAAAUUUAGAAUGCCCACUCCUAGUCAAUAGUCAAUACAUAGAUUCGUUAUACACGAACAGUGACUAAUCUCUUAGUAAUGACCGGCCUUCAAAUUUGCAGAAAUCUUGCAAUUAUUUUAUGUCGAAUUAGAAAUCUUGACUCUCGAGUUAUUAUUGUGGCUAAAGGAAAUUAUAAAUUUAUAAUCUACUUUUUGUUAGGGCUGAGCGGUUUAUUCAGCCAUUCUAGAAUAAAAAAUAGAGAAAACAUAUAUAUUCUUUUGUUAUACAAUAAUACAUUGUUCUUUUUUUUUAAACCAUUUUUAAUACAUUGUUCUUCUUUCGUUUAUUUAGACUAUAUUCUUUUCGUUUAAUUUUCUGAAGAUAAGUAUACAACUAUCUUUGACAACCACCAAAUGUAUACCAUUUUGAUCUUGUACGAUGUACCAUUUCAUUGAAUCCACCUGUGCUUAGCUUGAUAUAUUUCCAGUAAAAAACAUAAGUUUAAUUUCCUAAACAAACACUAGUUCUAAACUGUCUAAUGUAUAAGAAACCUACAAAAAUCGAAGAUAAGUUUUAUAGAUUUGUUUUUUGUUUGAAGAGUUAAAUGAAGAAAAGAAAAAGAAGUACAUACGUUAAGCAUACAUAUGAUGAGUCUCAUUACUACGUACUGAACUCAUUUUGAGCAUUUAUCACCAAUUUAUUUAUUUUGGCACUGGUAGACCACUCAUCAGAUUCUUCAAACCUUUAUAUAAAAGUGAUCUGAUCUUCAAACUUAUCAAAAUAAAGAUUUGAUUAUGAUAACUUAGAGGUAACAUCUUUGUCACAUAGCAUUACAGCUCUCACACACAUGCUUGGAACAGCUAAAAAUUAAUGAAUUUCCUUGAUUCUUUUUUAGAUCACUGAACAUUUCUUAGUUUAUAUAUUACAGUUCGUUUUUAAUUUUUAUAAAUGAUCUAACUCGAAUCAUAAGGGGAGCAAAUCUUAUAACAAUGGUUGUUUUUGUAUAUGAUUUUCUUGUAUUGUAUUGAAAUAUUGUUUAACUAAGAUAAAGCUGUCCCCUUUCAUGACCACCUGAUCUGCAUUUUACCUGUAAUGUUCCUAUACCAUGGUCUGAAUAUGAUGCAUGGUCUUUGUGUGUUCUCUACUUAGUUAUUAUUUUCAAAAACAAACAAUAUUCACCAAAUAAGUCCAACAUUUAAUAAUUUCUUGGUGAUUUAGGACUAUACACUUGAUGUGCAUACUUUUAUAUAUAAAUUCGUUGAUUUGAUCCCAAACAAAAUCAGCAACUCAACCAUACAUAGAUGGUCUAUUAGUAUGCGGACUUUGGGAGACUAAGCAACUCAUAUUCGAGUCAAUCUCACAACACUAAACAUGUAGGCCACAACGCCACAUAGAUAUGAGACCAUGUUUUGGAUCCUAUUUGAAUACUCGGAGAGAAUCAAUCCAUAAUCUACACCCUCCUUUAAAAGAUUAGUAUGAAUACUUCUAUAGACUCGGAAAUACACCAAGUUGAUCAAAAAGAAAAUCAGCAAGUAGCCGUCAGUAAUAUAAAACUAUAACAACAAUAAUAGGUUUCCACAAUAGUGCCCGUUUCAAGUGCUAGCCCCAAAAUAGAAUGUUUUCCUAGGACCUCAGCGACUAGUAUCUUUCCUACUUAUUAGUUAUUAAAAGUCAAUAAUAAUGUAGCAAUUAUUGUAUCCAUUGAAGUCUAUAGAUUGAACUUAAGCUAUGCUUAGUAAUUCAUCUUAGGCGAUGAUUGGCUAUUUGUAAUAAUUAUUAAUGGAUAACCUAAUGCCCAAUAUACCAAACCAAUUGCCUACAGAUGAAAUAAAAUAAAAACUGGACAUCACUUGUAUAGAACGAUAAUUUAAUGAUCUGUACGUUCGGGGACAUCGGUUAUAGAAAAAAAAAACUAACAUUAAUCGUUCUUAAUAAUUAAUUAGUAAUAAUGAUAAGCAUGUGUUGGAAAGUAAGAAGGAUAUGGUUUUUUGGUAGGGAAGAAAGUUCAUUGACAUCAAAUAAUAGCAUGCAUUGUCCCCUCCAAAGGGUAUUAUAUGUCAUUCCUGCACCCACUUCUCUUCAGUGGCAUAUUAAUAAUAGAUAUAAUUGUGUAAAUAAUCCUUUACCUAGCAUAUUAGGAGUAGGAAGUGAGUGUCAUCAGUUAGCCGGCUUACUAGCUACCUUCACUUGUCAAGAAUAAAAAUGAGAUUUAGUCAACAUACUUUAAGUUUCUAACAAUAUUUCCACUACACAAGAAUUAUAGACAAACCAUAUUGGUCACUAGACAUGUCACAUUGUCUAAGAUUAUUGUAUAAGAGCUGGAUUUUUUUUUGUCACUGUUGGUUUUUAAAUAUUUAUAAACAUAAUUAUAUUCUAAGUAAUAUAAUAAAUUUUAUUAUAAUAUAUAAAUCCAAGACGUAGAAUUACCUCCUCUUCCAGUUGUACAUCUGUAUGCAUAAUGUUCCAUUAUACAUAUAUAUAUAUUGGAACACAUACAUUAUACAUCUAUAUUAAUCUAUAAACAUUGAAUGUAAGUGAAUCAAGACUAUUUCAGUCUUUGUGAGUAGUUUGGCAAUACAACAAACGAACACAUGAUACUGGAUUUAUAAAUAUCAUAGUAAGAUAUUUUAUGAGGUAGGGUCCAAAUUAAUAUUUUAGAAUGUAAAAUAUUGAAAACACUUUAAGCUUAACAUAUGAGAUUUGUUUUUGGUUCUACACUCCACUAGGACUACUAUCACCCAAAAAUACUGACGAUCUAAAAUUAUGAUUUAAACAUUUUGAAGAGUCAAUCAAGAGAAAAUCAAUUAUACAGCUAACACAAAAGGGAAACAAUUAAAUCAUGUCUUCAAGAGUAGGGACUCCAAGUGGCAAUAGUGUAUGUUAACUGAUGACCAAAAAUCCAAAAACCAAAUCAUUUUAAAUUCAUGUUGAAAUGAUCAACAGAUGUUCUCCUACUUCUUUUUUUAUUAACGUGGAAUAUCAUGAGCAUAUAUAGAAAUGAAAGUGCAUCCCAUAGAUAUACCCUCUCUCCUGGUAUUCAUAUGGGGCAAAAACAAAUGUCCAAAUCCAUAUAAGAUGUAUGAAAUUUAAUUUCACAUAAUAAGUGAAUCGAACCUGAAGCGUUCUGGCAUACCAAAUCCUUCUCUUUAUCACUUGACCACAAAAUCCUGGACCUCCUAUUUAUAAUCUGUUAGUAACAUAUUACUUGUGCAAGCGAAAAAAGAAAACAACUUUUAACCAAAAAAAAAAAAAAUCUCAGUAAAACCUUCUUGAAAUAUGGCAAACUAAAGUUAAUUUUCCUUUUACCACCAGAUGCAGUAAUUAAACUACGGGUUUAAAACAUAAGUUGAUAAAAAAAAGUUGGUCUUCUAAUCUAUUCAAGUGCUAGCCCCAAAAUAGAAUGUUUUCCUAGGACCUCAGCGACUAGUAUCUUUCCUACUUAUUAGUUAUUAAAAGUCAAUAAUAAUGUAGCAAUUAUUGUAUCCAUUGAAGUCUAUAGAUUGAACUUAAGCUAUGCUUAGUAACUCAUCUUAGGCGAUGAUUGGCUAUUUGUAAUAAUUAUUAAUGGAUAACCUAAUGCCCAAUAUACCAAAACAAUUGCCUACAGAUGAAAUAAAAUAAAAACUGGACAUCACUUGUAUAGAACGAUAAUUUAAUGAUCUGUACGUUCGGGGACAUCAGUUGUAGAAAAAAAAAACUAACAUUAAUCGUUCUUAAUAAUUAAUUAGUAAUAAUGAUAAGCAUGUGUUGGAAAGUAAGAAGGAUAUGGUUUUUUGGUAGGGAAGAAAGUUCAUUGACAUCAAAUAAUAGCAUGCAUUGUCCCCUCCAAAGGGUAUUAUAUGUCAUUCCUGCACCCACUUCUCUUCAGUGGCAUAUUAAUAAUAGAUAUAAUUGUGUAAAUAAUCCUUUACCUAGCAUAUUAGGAGUAGGAAGUGAGUGUCAUCAGUUAGCCGGCUUACUAGCUACCUUCACUUGUCAAGAAUAAAAAUGAGAUUUAGUCAACAUACUUUAAGUUUCUAACAAUAUUUCCACUACACAAGAAUUAUAGACAAACCAUAUUGGUCACUAGACAUGUCACAUUGUCUAAGAUUAUUGUAUAAGAGCUGGAUUUUUUUUUGUCACUGUUGGUUUUUAAAUAUUUAUAAACAUAAUUAUAUUCUAAGUAAUAUAAUAAAUUUUAUUAUAAUAUAUAAAUCCAAGACGUAGAAUUACCUCCUCUUCCAGUUGUACAUCUGUAUGCAUAAUGUUCCAUUAUACAUAUAUAUAUAUUGGAACACAUACAUUAUACAUCUAUAUUAAUCUAUAAACAUUGAAUGUAAGUGAAUCAAGACUAUUUCAGUCUUUGUGAGUAGUUUGGCAAUACAACAAACGAACACAUGAUACUGGAUUUAUAAAUAUCAUAGUAAGAUAUUUUAUGAGGUAGGGUCCAAAUUAAUAUUUUAGAAUGUAAAAUAUUGAAAACACUUUAAGCUUAACAUAUGAGAUUUGUUUUUGGUUCUACACUCCACUAGGACUACUAUCACCCAAAAAUACUGACGAUCUAAAAUUAUGAUUUAAACAUUUUGAAGAGUCAAUCAAGAGAAAAUCAAUUAUACAGCUAACACAAAAGGGAAACAAUUAAAUCAUGUCUUCAAGAGUAGGGACUCCAAGUGGCAAUAGUGUAUGUUAACUGAUGACCAAAAAUCCAAAAACCAAAUCAUUUUAAAUUCAUGUUGAAAUGAUCAACAGAUGUUCUCCUACUUCUUUUUUUAUUAACGUGGAAUAUCAUGAGCAUAUAUAGAAAUGAAAGUGCAUCCCAUAGAUAUACCCUCUCUCCUGGUAUUCAUAUGGGGCAAAAACAAAUGUCCAAAUCCAUAUAAGAUGUAUGAAAUUUAAUUUCACAUAAUAAGUGAAUCGAACCUGAAGCGUUCUGGCAUACCAAAUCCUUCUCUUUAUCACUUGACCACAAAAUCCUGGACCUCCUAUUUAUAAUCUGUUAGUAACAUAUUACUUGUGCAAGCGAAAAAAGAAAACAACUUUUAACCAAAAAAAAAAAAAAUCUCAGUAAAACCUUCUUGAAAUAUGGCAAACUAAAGUUAAUUUUCCUUUUACCACCAGAUGCAGUAAUUAAACUACGGGUUUAAAACAUAAGUUGAUAAAAAAAAGUUGGUCUUCUAAUCUAUCUCAGUAUUAGUAAAGGUUGGUUCGGAUCAAUCAUGGGAUUAGGGUCCAUGUCCAAACCCAUCCUUGAAAAAACAAAAUCUGUAUCUAUAUACACUACAAGAAAACACAAGUUUUACGAGGGCAGUUUUCCUCGUGACUUCGUCGUAAAAGCAGUGUUACGAAGAAUUAGCGAGGAAACCCGUUUCGUCGUUAUACGUUUGUCGUAACGCAUAUAUCCUCGCUAAUUCGUGGUAACGUAGCGAGGAAAUAAUUUCGUCGUAAAAGCGAAGAAGAAUAUUUCGUCGUAAAGACCACGUAAAGCUUCCACGUAAGGACGUCGCUAAAUUUCCUCGUAAAUACCUCGAAAGCCAUUCCUCGUUAAAGCCACGUAAAUAACUCGAAUGUAAAUACUCGCAAAGUAAACGUAAAUACCUUGAUAGCUUUCCUCGUAAAGACCACGUGAAUUUUCCACGUCAUUUCUUUGUAAACAUUUCCUCGUAAAAACCUCGUUAAGCUUCCACGUAAAGAAGUCGCAAAAUAGCUACGAAUUUACUUCGUUUCGUUAUUUUACAGAAAUAAAAAAAUUUAUAAUUAAAAAAAUAAUUUAAAUUAUUUAAAUUAUUAAUAAAAUUAAAAUUCUAAAAAAAUCAAAACCAAAAUAUUUUAUAUAUAAAUAAGUUUUGAAUUCAUAAUACAAGAACCGAAAUUAAAAAGAACUAAGGGUCGUUAAUCGCCCGGUAGAAUUCAUCACUCCUCGACGUUACAUCCGCCUCGGCAUGUGAGUCGUCGGUUGGUGACUACCUGGCUCACCGAACAUCUCUCUGUAAUGGGCAGUAAGUCUACCUUUUCGAACCUGAGAAAAAAAUUUAAUUUUUUAAAUUUCCGUCAACAGUAUAUUUUCCAACAUUAUCCACCUAAUCAACACUAAAUAACAUAAGAUCCGUAAACUUAUCUAAAUUCCCUAUACUAACCACCUAAUCUACCUAAACUAACCAAAUUAGAGAGGAAUUAGAGAGGCUUACCAUUGCAACGAAACAGGGAGGAAGUGGAGAGGAAGUAGAGAGGAAAGAAAGAGUGAGCGCUCGGGGUGUAUAUAUAAGAUUACAUUCCGUCGCAAAUUCCUCGUAAUUUUACGACGAAUUACAGAGGCCCGUGUUUUUUUUUACGACGAAACAGCGAGAGAUUACAAAGGCCCGCGUUUUAUUAUACGAGGAAGUUACGAGGAAUUACAAAGGCCCGUGUUUUUUAGGUACGAGGACGUUACGACGAUUUUGCUUACGUGGAAUUACCGAGGAAAGCUUCCCUAUAAAUAUACCCGUAACUCUCCUUCUCAACCCACACCCAAACUCCCAAAUCACACCCUAUCUCACUUCAUACUCUCAAAUCCAAUCCUAUUCAAAUUAUAAAAAUUUGAGAGAAAAGGAAGUGAAGAAGAUAUUGGAAUUUAUGUUGGUGAGACUUAUGUAAUAUAAUUGCUGGAAGUCUUGUCACAUGUAAAUCCAGUAUAUUUCUUCUUUUUCUUUUUUUUUUCUAGUUUUUACGGUACGAGGUGUUUACGGUGAUUUUGGUUACGAGGUGUUUACGACGAUUUUGGUUACGAGGUGUUUACGACGAUUCCGUCCUACGUGGAAUUAAAGUGGGCCGCGUUCAUCAUUUACUUUACGUGGUAUUUACGACGAAUCUCUCCUACGUGGUAUUUACGACGAAUCUGUCCUACGUGGUAUUUACGAGGAAUCGUAGAGAGGAAAGAAAGAGUGAGCGCUCGGGGUGUAUAUAUAAGAUUACAUUCCGUCGCAAAUUCCUCGUAAUUUUACGACGAAUUAUAGAGGUCCGUGUUUUUUUUUACGAUGAAACAGCGAGAGAUUACAAAGGCCCGCGUUUUUUUAUACGAGGAAGUUACGAGGAAUUACAAAGGCCCGUGUUUUUUAGGUACGAGGACGUUACGACGAUUUUGCUUACGUGGAAUUACCGAGGAAAGCUUCCCUAUAAAUAUACCCGUAACUCUCCUUCUCAACCCACACCCAAACUCCCAAAUCACACCCUAUCUCACUUCAUACUCUCAAAUCCAAUCCUAUUCAAAUUAUAAAAAUUUGAAAAAAAAGGAAGAGAAGAAGAUAUUGGAAUUUAUGUUGGUGAGACUUAAGUAAUAUAAUUGCUGGAAGUCUUGCCACAUGUAAAUCCAGUAUAUUUCUUCUUCUUUUUUUUUUCUAGUUUUUACGGUACGAGGUGUUUACGACGAUUUUGGUUACGAGGUGUUUACGACGAUUCCGUCCUACGUGGAAUUAAAGUGGGCCGCGUUCAUCAUUUACUUUACGUGGUAUUUACGACGAAUCUCUCCUACGUGGUAUUUACGACGAAUUAACUUGGUCUGCUUGUGAAGCUAAGAUGAAAGGCUCGAAUUUGUUGUACCUUCGUCCACCGUUGACAUCAACUACACCGAAUUUGUUAGACCGAACACCUCUGUUGACGACGGAAUCGAACCAUUCACAUUUGAAGAGGACGCAUUUCAGCUUCAAUAUCCCUGGAAAUUCGACUUCAAUAAUCUCCGUCAAGAUCCCGUAGAAAUCUAUUUCCCCUUUCACACAUAUUCCAUAGUUACUGGUCGUCCGCUGUCUACCAUACUCAUAUGUGUGAAAAGUAUAGCCUCGUGUGAAAUUACGACGAAAAUUAAUUGGAUGGCCAAAAAAAACGUGAGCUACCUACCAAGUUGGUGGAUUCAAAAUUUCCUCGUUAAGUACACGUAAAGUAUUUCGUCGUAAAGAACUCGCGAAGUUUACGUGGUAUUUACGAGGAAAUAGUGUUUCCUCGUAAAAGCCACGUCAAUUUACAUCGUCUUUACGACGAAAUUGUUUUGUCGUUACCUUACGACGAAAUAACGAUGCUUCUCUUUUUCCACGUACUUUCCUUGCAAAAUCAACGUACUUUUACGAGGAUUAUUUUUCCUCGUUAAUUAUCCUCGUUAAACUUACGUUUUCUUGUAGUGCUAUUUGUACAUAUUAACCCUUUUUCCUUUGCUCAAAAUUCAUGCAGUGAUGUAAAAGUAAUUUUUGUUUUUUGUAUACUAAUUAAUUAGGCUAAAACCUAAAGUUUUCAAAUUAACGAGAGCAUCUCCAAAAUAAACUUUAUAACUUGAAAUAUAGAGCUUUUUACUCUCCAAAAAAGAAUUUUAAAACUUCAAAUUUAGAGUUUUAAGAAGUGAAACUUCAUAUUUGAAGUUUCACUACUCAAAACUCUAAAUUUGAAGUUUCAUCUUUUUAUUUGCAUUUUGAUCCUUAUAAUUAAUUAUAUCUCACAUUUAUGAUUCUUAAGUAUUUCUGAUUCAUAGUUUUAAUCUUUACAACUUUUGUAAACUUUAAAUAUUUCAAAAUUAUUUUUAUAGAUUUAAAUUUAACACAUAAUUUUUUUUUAAAAAAAAAUUAAUAAGAUUUAUAAUAUUUUUAAAGUAGAAUUAGACAACAAGAAUAUAACAAAAAAAAAUUAACAGAAAAAAUUUAAGAAGAUACAUGAAGACAUCAUUAUUACACAAAUUUAAAUAUUACAACAACAGUAAUAGUCUAGUAAAAUUUCUCUGGAACUUUUAAAAUAUUGUCCAAACAAAUUUCGUGUAACCGAAAAUGGAGCAUUAAGAAAAUAGUUUUAUGUAAUAAUAUGGUAUUUUGCUUGUAAUUUAAUAUUUAAUUAUGUAUUUCUAUUUAUAAUUUUAUAUUUUAGCAUAAGAUUUUAUUAAUUAAUAUUAUUAUACUAUUUUUAUAUAUGUGCUAGUUAUCUAUAAAAUAUUUAUGGAUUUAUAUUAAUUAUGACAAAUAUAAGAAGCAUAGUAUAAUUUACAAAUAAUUUUGAAGUUAAAUUUGAAGUUUUGAAGUUAAAUUUGAAAUUUUGCUUUUGGAGAAGAUUACCUUAAAACACAGCUGAAUGAGAACUCCGACACCUCUUGCAAGCUUGUCCGCCAUUAGAUUAGUUGCUUUUGGUAUAUGUCGAAUCUUGAAAAUAGGAAAGAAAAUCUUACUGUGUCGAAACUCCUCCAAAUGUGUAGCAAAAGUUGGCCAUUUGUCAGGUUACCUGGUAUUUUAAAAAUUUCUCAUUUAAUGGAUACAGAAUUUCAAUUAAGGAAUACAAAAUUCGUAAUUUCAGAUGAUUCUGAUCCAUAGACCGAAGUUCUUAAAUGUUCCAUUUAAAGCUUCAAAUAAUAUCCGUUUGUUUUGCGUAGUACUGUAUUAUGUGCAUUAAAUUAUUCAUUUAUAUAUUUAUAAGCACCAUUUAAAUCAAAGUGAAAUUUCAGUUUUAUUAAAAGUUUGAUACAACUUUCGAAAUUUACUUUUAAAAGUAAAUACUUUUAUAAAUAUAUUAAAUUUGUGAUAAAAUUAAAUUAAUUAUUCUAAAUCAUUUAUAAAUAUUUAGAAUAAUUUAUAACAUUUAUGGAAGUUUACAAACCGAUACUAAAUAUUAAAUUCAAAUGUUAAACUAUUUUUUAUUAAUUGUAUUUUUGAAAAGUAAUAACUAACUUAAAGUGCUUUAAAUAAUUUCUCAAAUCAUAAUGUUGCAAUACUUAUGAUGUAUGAUUGAAAGCAGUGUUAUUGUUGAACAGAGAAAAAUAUAUUAAAUUAUUGAAUGAGAACGAAAAAACACAAUGAUAUCUACGAUACAUAUAUAAAAUAGAAUAAGACAUAUAAAUUACUUUCUUUGGAUCAACCAUAAAAUAUAGAAUAUUAUCCUCAUAUAUUCACGGGUUUUCCCAAAAAUAAUUAAAUUUAAUAAAACCUGCUUAAAAUACACUAAAUUGAAUAUAUAUUUUUUAAACGUACUCAAUAAAAAAUAUGAUAACACUUGAGUUUAGGGUUUAAUAAUUAUUGUUUAGUGUUUAUUAUUUAGAGGACGUAACUGGUUUAUAAAUUACUGUAAAUAAUUCUUAGACAUUUAAAAAUAAUUUAUGAGUGUAAAUUUUAUUUUCUCAUAAUAAAGUUAAAGUAUUUAUAAAAAGGGUAAUCAACUAAAAGUAAAUAUGAAAAAUGAUAGCAAAUUUGAUGUAAAGUUAAAAUUAUCUCAAAUUGAAGUUAGCUAGUAGUAUCAUAGUAAAUUAAUAACUACUAGAUUUUUCACAUGCACAUCUGUGCGGGUAGAUUUUCAUUUUAUAAAUAUAUAACAGAUACCAUCGCAAAAUUUUCAAAGAUAUAAUUUACAUUUUAAUGUUAUAUAUUGUGUAAAUCUAUAAUGUUAUUAGUUAUAUUUUUUAUUCGAUAUUAUUAAUGUAUAAUGAUUUGUUUUAUACAUUUUACUUUAUUAUUAAUUGUUAUUAUAUAUUAAUAUAUUUUCGAGUUUGGUAAACUAAAUUCAUAGUAUGAAAUAAACAAAUUGAAAAUCUUCUUCAUUUUUUUCUAAUUUUUACAGACUGAAUAAAACACAUUUUAAAAUUUUAUUUAGUUACUAUAGAACUGAUAUUUUCUUAGCAUAAUUUAUAUUUAUAUGUUAUUUAUUUUAGUAGAUUGUGGAAUUUUAUAAGUAAAUAGAAUAUAAUAAUACUAUAUUAUUAAUUAUGAAAUCAAUCGUUGCAUUAAUUUAAAAAUAUUUUAAAAUUUUAUUAAGAUUUUGUUAGAUUUUUUACAACAUAUUUUGUUAUAAAUAGAAAUAAAAUUUAAAUUUACAGUUAAAAUUUAUUUACUAAUAUCUAUAUAAUUUAUAAGAUUUUUUAGAAAUGUUAUAUAUAUUAAAUAUAUUAACUCAAAUAAUCAAAUAGAUGUAAUUGAUGAAAUUGAUGAAAUAGACCUAGUAUGAUUUUUUAUGGUAUUUUUUUUAAUAAAGAAGAUAUAGAAUAUAAUUAUAAAAUUUGAAAAAUAGCAUACACUUUUAUUUUAUUUUGUUUUAUAAUAAAGUCUUAUUUAAGUUAAUGUAUAAUAGUAUAUAUUAUUAAUUACGAAAUUAAUCAAUGGUAUUAAUUUAAAUAAAAUAUUUUAAAUUUUUAGAAAGAUUUUGUUAGAUUUUUUCUCAAUAUUUUGUUAUAACUAAAGAUAAAAUUUAAAUUUACAGUUAAAAUUGAUUUAUUAUUAAUAUCUUUAUAUAUUUAAUAGAUUAAUGUAAAUAAUUAAAUAAAUGAUACUUCUUUUUUAAUAGAGAAGAUUUUUUCCUUAGACAGUAGAAUAAGAGUUGAAAACGAAUAAAAUUCACACAUGAAUAAAUAGUUAAUAAAUAUUUUUGUUCGUUGAGUACUAUUUAUAUGUGUACGUAAGUGUACAUUCACAAACCACAACACAUCCCUCUACUUUUCUUUAACAAUUUCAAGUGACCGGAGAAAGCAAAAGAAGAUCUCAGCGGCGAAAUGGACGAGUCGUGGCGAAUGAAGUUGGGUUUGAACGUUGAUCCAUUCUUCUCCAUUGCUCGAAGAUCCAUGGACGUUCGAAUCGACGCCCAAGACUUCUCCGAUGUUUUCGGUGGACCGCCGCGUAGCGUCCUCACUAGGAAAUUCUCCGGCGACUUUUCCCGCUCCGACUGUUUCUACGACGAGAUUUUCCGACCACGUGGGAUGUUCUCCUGCGGCGCGCUUCCUUCUUCUAAAUCUCACGGAAGAAACUUACCGGCGUUUAGAAUUCCGUCCGGCGGAGAUGGAUUUUACGACGGCGUGUUCGGAGGUCGCAGUGGGACGGAGAAGGAGGGAACCAAGAAGCAGAGUCCGAUAACGAAAUCGAGGUCGAAUUCCUCGCCACCACCGGCGGGGACUUCAGAUGAUGACGCCGGAAUAUCUUCUUUUACUUCUACACUCAGGUGAGUGCGGAGUUACUAUUAUACCCUCAAUAUCCGUUAAUGCAGGAGUCAACUUUCGAGGUCAAUUCCGUAAUUUCGACAUGCUCUGUUUUUUUUUUUGUAGACCGUUAAACGUCCCGUCAAGAAGUCAUAAGCGGGAAUCGAAGAAACAGAGUUUCCCGGUGUUUCCGACAUCAUUGUCCGGCCAAGAUCUCACACCGGGAAAAUUCGAUUUUUGCUACAGAAAACCACACUUCGGCAGCUCUCGGAGAUCCUCGCCGGAGACCAUGACCUUGGAUCCACAAUCCUUCAGGAGAAUGGAUGAUUUCGGACCAAGCUCUCCAGCAUCUUCCCCUGUUUCUUCUUUCAUCCGCGAAGAUGAAUAUGAAACAGAGGCCAAGCAGAGAACCACCCAAGACUGUAAAGUAGAACAAGAAGACGAUGAGGAUGAGAUGAGCUCUUACGUAAUCGAAAUAAACUCAGACCGUUUUGAUCGCUACAGAGACGGAGGAAGCGGAGGAGGAAACUCUGAUUCGAAUGACAUGGAUGAAGCAAUAGCUUGGGCCAGAGAGAGAUCUCAACGUCCAGAAACAAAACAAGCACAAGAAGACUUAAUAGAUUCAAGAAGGAGCGAAGAAGAAGAAGAAGAAGCCAAAUCAGAAGAAGAGGUUAGUACUGUAAUUAAAAAAAAUCCCGGUAAAAGUCAUUUCAUAGUGAAAAAAGAAUCUGACGUGACGGUCAAAUGAAUUGCAGAUGGAGAUGGAGAUGAAAGAUGAAGAGAUAAGAAUCUGGUUAACCGGAAAAGAAACCAACAUUAGACUCCUCCUCUCAACUUUACAUCAUGUAAGAGUUUUUCAAAUUGGUUACUUUGUCUCAGACCAAGUAAACCGGAUACUGAUUCGGACCAAACCGUGAUUUUUGUUCAGGUUCUAUGGUCAAAUAGCAAUUGGCAGGCCAUACCUCUGGCAAAUCUACGAGAUGGAUCACAAGUGAAGAAAGCUUACCAAAAGGCUCGCCUUUGUUUACAUCCAGAUAAACUUCAACAGAGAGGAGGAACUUCACCGCUUCAGAAGUCUGUCGCCAGCAGAGUAUUCUCCAUUCUUCAGGUACUUAAACCGAGUUUGAUUCAACCUGUAAGCUUCGGUUCAUGUUCUGGUUAAUUACUAACUAUUAGCUGGCAUUUUGAAAAUUGUAGGAAGCAUGGGGUGUGUACUUAACAAAUGAAGGACUCUCAAGCUAAACCGGAAUUUGCAAAUCAUUUCCUGGUGUUUAGUAAACCGGAUAUGUUCAUAAUCAUUUAUAGUGUAAUGAAGAAUAAGAAAAAAGGAAAAGGAGGGUUUGUUUUCUGCAAUGAUUCUAAUAGUCAUAUGAACAUUCCCAUGUGGUGCAUUUGUGUCUACCAUUGUCAAUGCUCUUAUAUAUAACAAAAUGUUAGGAAACUAUAUUAAAGAACAAAUAAAUGCAUGAAAACGGAUGGAACAUGGCUAAGAAAAGGAAAAAAAAAACAAAUGAAGAUAUUUUUGUUUCUUGAUAGUAGAUACAGAGUAAGCAACACCUAUUAGAUUAAAACUAAAAACGCAUAAAUCAGGUAAACUACUCUUAUGUCGAAUAUAUCUAAAUUUUUUGUUACAGUAUCCACAAAAUUCCUCCUGUUUCUUGUUUGUUUGAUAUUGGAUAAGGGUGUAACGAUAGAAUUUACAGUAAUUUUGUACAAAAUCAUUAGUUAGGUUACCAUCUAAUCUUUGAUCGCUCUCCCAGCCUAUUGCCAGAUUUUCUAGUGUCUAGUGACUCCAGUAGAGAGCUUAUACUAUUACACAUUAACUAGGUUUUUGUUAUAACUCUUCCUCGCAAGUGUUUUGGUAUAGAUCACGUAAGUUCAAUAUGGUUAAUCUUGAAAUCUUUUUAUUGAACGUAUGAAUUGAUUCAAGUCAUGGGGAGGAAAUAAACUUCAAGUACAAACCAAGAACCUUAGAAAACUGUGGAUAAUAAAGAGAAAAACGACAACAUUCUAAAUAAGAAUCAAACAUCGUUUCUGGAUGUUUCUCUUUGAAUCCGAUCAUGUAACUAAGAAGGGCUUCCAAGUGACAAGUAGGAAUUGAAACGCCCAUCUCGCAACACACUUUUGGCAAUAUCUCUUGCAAUUGAGUUUCAGUGACGGAGGCAGCAUGCAGUUAGGUUGGUCAAAUGACCCAUAUGAAAAAAAAAUUUACUUGUAUUUUGCCUUCUAAAAUUUGAUGAAAUGUCAAAGAACUAACAUAUUGACCCUUAUAAAUUGUAGUUGUUAUCAAAUUGACCCUAGUAAAAAAAGUAUCCUGCAUCCGCUACUGUUGAGUUUGCUGUAAGUUUCUCCGCUUCAAAGGAUAUGCUUGUGAAGCUACCUUUAAGUGCAAAGAUUUGUUCCAACAAAGCUCUAUACCUUGGCCAUAGGUCUAGCUUCGCUAUAGCUUCUACUAUCUCAUGGCAGUCCGAAGCAAUUGUCACAUCUUGGACCCGUAGAUCUCCUAAACUCUACAACACCCAUAUACACCGCGAAGCUCUGCCACCAUUCCAUUGGGCGAUCGAGUAACAGCGUCUAUAGCAUGGUGAGUUAUUUUCCCGCAAUGAUCUCUCCUUAUCCAUGCUGCACCACUAUUCAAAUGUUGAUUCCUUCAGUUCACAUUCAUGUUGCAUUUUAUGACUCCAUGUUAUGGCGGAAACCACCUUUCAGGCCUACACAAACCAACAUUUGCGCCUGUAUUGAACUCCUCAUGACUGCAUAUUUCUAAGUAUGCAUGGAUUCAUUAGUUGGUGUUACUUAGUCAAUAAUCUAUUUAUCUAUACUACGAUUUAUUAAGCGAUUUUGCUUAUCUAUCAUGUUUACCAUUAUUUUAGACAUAAUCAUUAGUUUUAAUAAUAACUAGAGAUUGAUCCGCGCAUCCGCGUGGAUAUUGGUUCUUACAUUUUUAUAUAUCGAUAUUUUUAUUUUAUAAUUAGUGUUACAUAUUUUAGAUAUGUCAUAAUAUAACUAAUUGUAUUCAAAAGAUCUUGACUGAAUCGGUUAAUAUGAUUAUUUUUGGUACAAAUAUCCGAAUCCGUUUUAGAUACAUUUGUUAUUUAGAUAAUUUUAGGUUCAUAUACAUCAAAACCAAACUCAUCCAGACACAGAAGGACACAACUCAAAACCCACACAUAAAAUUAUAGUAUUCAAGCGGGAUCUAAUUAAAAAAAACGAUAUCCGAAAAAACAAUCCGUACAUAAAUGGAUAACCAAUUAUCAUGUCUAACUGAUUUUAUAAACUAAUAAAAAGAACUCUAUCUAUACGUUUUGCUAAAUAAAGUGAAAUAAAGAGAGCUUUUUUAUUUAGUAAAAUAAUUAUAUGGAGUAAAAAAUUAAUUGAUAAUAAAUGUAAUACAUUUAUAUUAUUUUGAUUUAAGUUAUUAUUUUAUUCAUAGAACAUGUCUUUGAAUUAUGUUUUUGACUAUGUAAUUUUCCACCGAUUGAAACUAAAAAAAAACAAAUUAUUAAAACAAACUAAACCAAACGUUUAAACCAUAUGCAAAAUCUAGUUAUUUACAUUUUUAAUUUUAUAAUUGACACAAAGUUAAUAUUGAUUAACAAAUAAAUUAAGAUUUUCACUAUUAUUACUAUAGUAAUAUAAUUAAUGAUGUGAUGUCUUGUUAAGGUAAAUAAUUAAUGAAAUUGUUAAAUUGACUAAAUAUGAAAAUACAAUUAAUGCAAUUAUAUUAAUAGAAUAACUAAAAAGAUAAUUUUUUUUUUAUAUUGGUAUCCAUGUUUUUAAACAAUUCUCAUUUAUAAUGUUAUCUAUGUUUCCAAACAAUACCAAAAAAUAAUUCUGUUUUAAUAAUAUAAAUUUUAGUGAAUAUAUAUAUAUAUAUAUACUAUCUACGAAUAAUAAAUACAUAAGUUCUAAAAAGAAAACAUUUCUUCCAGUAAUAUGUUUUUUGUUUUGUGUUUUAAACGUUACUGGUCAUGUUGUUAUGAAUGUUGGACUUCUAUACGUAGGAGAGCCGACAGCGUACAGAUAGUGGGCCAACAACAUGUGUCAAUCUACUUGUACAGUGAUUGGCUUGUAGGCAAUUUCAGACAAAAAGUAUUCGUUACCCAUCGAAACUCACUGGCAAGUAAAAAACUCGUAGAAAUGGCACAAAAACCGAUUCUUAAAACAUCCCCAAAUAUGUAGAAAGAGCUUUCGCUUUCAAGCUAGGAUACACGCAUAUGAUAUUCACAGCAUUCCAUGGAAUCAAACAAAGACAUAAUUUAAUCAAAAUCCUCCCCCCCCCCCCCCCCCACUUUUUCACACUUGCUUUAUAUAACUUCAAAACCACUCGCAAACCCCAAGUACCAUAGCCAUUUAUAACGAACAAAAUCUAUAUCAAAAACAAACGCAAACUGUUUCACAAUUGUCUGGUAUCAAGAAGCAGCCACUGCACCAUUAGUAUCACCUGAAACAAAAACAGGAUUUGUGAUGUUGUUUCAUCUACUUUCUUGGAUUCUUUAAUAGAUUAUGUCAAUGAAGAUGCUUGCUUACCUUCGGUUCCUUCCACUUUCUCUUCAUCGAUUGUCUUCCAAACAAUGUCCUUGAGACCCAUGGUCAGGUUCUUGUAAAACUAAAACAAGACGAAGAAAAGCAAAAGGCAUAAGAUUAUCAACUUCUUCAGAACCAAACCCACGACAUUAAGAUGCAACUCAAGCCUUGCAUAUGCAUACCUUGUGGAACUCCAAGGUGUCACCCCCUGAUUUUCGCAUUUCAACCAUAUAAAGCGAUGGAGCAACUUGAAAAACCUGAAUCAGCUUGAGAUUAGGGUCCAACACCGAGAUACAUCAUACAAAAGGGUGAUCUAGUAGAGGGUGAUCAAUCACUGGUCACUAAGAAAACUAACCUCAGUUGUGACUGCUAACUGGCCCUUGCGGCCUGAUUUCUCUCCUAGAAGCUUCAUCUGGAUGAGUCAAGAAAUGGUAUAAGAGUGUAAUCACAAGUACCUAAUGAAUAAAUACAAUUUUCACCAGCAUGUAGGUUAAUAUGUAAAAAGGAAUUACAAACCUUGUAGUUAUUUUUCUUGACAUCAAAGCCCAUAGGUGCUGCUGCUGCCUCAAUUUUGGUGACUAUGUCAUUAGCCGGACAUUUGGAAGUAAAUUGAGUUUUUCGUUUAACAAGCCCCUGAAUCCAAAUGAUAUGCUUUAUCACUAAACUAGGAAUGACAACCUCCACAAGAAAAACAAAAGGCUUUACUUAUUAGAAAUCUGUACCGUUUGCUUUUCGAAAAGCGAACCGAGAUUGAGACCCUGUGAUGUUGAGAUGAGCUCAAAAGCAUUCAUAGUUACUGGUGUUUUAGGUCCUUCUCCUCGCCUCUCCACAACAAGGUUCUUAGACUCCUAAUAUCCAACAAAAACAACAAGCUAAGCAAUCACCCAAAGUUCAUAAAAAUGUAGAUAACUCAGAUAAGCCUUACCCCUAGAUCAUCAAAAAUAGCAUCAACAUCAUCAAGGCUGACGUUUGCGUUUUCAAAUUUGGGUGCUUUGUACCCUUUUUUGAACCACUCAUUUUCAAUGACUUCGGCAAAUGUAAUCCUCUGUCCAAUAUACAGAUAAAAUCAGUGUAAAAACAUCAGAUAUACUCAAAACCAAUAGAAGCUUUUGCCUCCUCUGACGGCAUAGAACAAAUGAAACCUUCUCAACAACAAAAAGAGUAGGAAAAAUAUACCGUUGCUGGAUUGGGAUCCAGAAUCCUUUUGAUAAGCUUCUUAGCACUUGCAGAGAACCAGGGAGGGCAGGUAAAUUCGGCUUUGAAUAUCUGUAAUCAUAAAGACAUAAGACUCUUAUAGCUUUACUCUUACUUGAAAGUAAAGUAAAGCAAAGCAUAGCACCUUUUUAUAUAAAGACGUUAAGUUGGAAUCUUCAAAAGGCAAAUAGCCAGCCAUUAAGACAAAGAGAAUCACACCACAAGACCACAAAUCAGCCUUUGCUCCAUCGUAACCUUUGUUGUUGAUUACCUAUAGAGAGACAAAAAAAUAGAUGGCUACAGAGACCAGGAAAGAAUAAGACGUCAAGCUUCAAGACAGUUGAGAGUGUCAAUAGAUAUUUACCUCAGGAGCAACAUAAUUGGGUGUUCCACAUGUUGUGUGAAGUAAACCAUCCUCCUAAACAAGAAGAAGGGUCACAAAAAUCAGCUUUGAUAACUCAUGGACACCAUAGUAGCUGUAUUAUCACGUUCUGACAUUUAACAUCAAAAUAACAUGAUAGAAGCUCACCCGGACUUGCUGAGGUAGAGCACUCAAUCCAAAAUCAGACACUUUCAGAGUACCGUUUGCAUCCAAGAGCAAAUUCUCUGGCUGCAACCAGAAAAUCGCAACUUGGUUUUAACAAAGUGAAAGCAUAUAACUCUUGAUACAAAUCACAAGAGCACAAAAGGAUAAGAUUGGGUAACCUUAAGGUCUCUGUGAUAAACUCCUCUGCUAUGACAAUAGUCAACAGCAUUAAUAAGCUGCUGGAAGUACUUCCUGGCCUCAUCUUCCUUCAACCUCCCACUGCUUGACUAUUACACAUGACAAAUCAAGUCCUUAUACUUAUGAACUCAUUCAUAAAUAGCAUCCUCAAUGGAAAGAGAGAGAGAAAGCUUACAAUUUUAUCGAAAAGCUCUCCACCAGUAACGAAUUCCAAAACAAAGUAGAUCCUAGUUUUGCUAGCCAUCACCUGCAAUAAAAUAACACUAUUUAUUAUAGGGAGGGACCACUUAUUAUUAUGUUCCCUAACUUCAAACUACGCUUUUUCGAUUCAAAACAUGUAAGCAACCGAUUAAAAAGGAAGAAGAGAGUUAGAGACAAAAACCUCAUACAUACGGAUGACAUUAGGAUGCUUGAUGAGUUUCAUUGUCGAAAUCUCACGCUUGAUCUGAACAGAAACAGACAAAACCCCUCAAGUCAAAACAUGUUGGGUAAAAUCCUAAAAAGGAAGAGAGGAGAGGGAUUGGUCUAAAACCUGAGCGAUCAUUUUGGUUUUCAAGACUUUCUCUUUAUCGAUGACUUUAAUGGCGACACUCUCUCCGUUCUCAACGUUCCUCGCGAACUUGACCUUAGCGAAGGUUCCUUCACCCAGAGUCUUCCCAAGCUCGUACUUACCCACUCGCGUCCCUGAAGAAGAAGGAGUUGAUCGCGAAGGUGUUGCUCGAGAAGCCAUCAUCUCUCUCUUUCUAUCUUCUAGAUUCCUUCUUCUUCGAUGUUUAAAGAUCUUUUCAGGAUCGCUUCUUCUUGCAUGGCUGCCAUACCUGAGAUUUCGCAACGCUCAUCUUUGUAAGAACCCUAAGACCCCGUGAAUCCCCCUAAAACGGAUAUUCAACUCUCGUGGGGGCGGGCGGAGGAGAGAAUAUUCAAAUCGGACGACGACCCAUCAAAGACGACGAAGUUAUCGAAUUUGAAAAGUUUCGCAAAUUCUCGGCACCGAGAAAAGAAAAAAGAAUCGAAGCCGAUUUUGAUAUGAAAAAGCGCGAGAGGGAGGGAGAGAGAGAGAGAGAGAAAGGGGGAAGCUUUCUGAUUCGAUCGGAGGAGGAAGGGAAUUUAAAGUUAUAUUUAUAAGGAUUUAUAUUCUUUUUGAUUAAUUAACGUAGUAAUGUUUAUGUCAGAAUAAAUUGUUUAUUUUACUCUACACAAAAUAAUUGUCUAUUUAAUUCUUGCUGGUCUGCUUAGACCAUUUCUAAUGUGUAUUUUCUGUUUUUUUUUAAUAGAAUUUUUUGUUUAAUAUAUGUUUAUAAAGUAGAGAAAUGUUAUCUUCUUUUAAUAUAGAAAGGGUAUUAUUUUUUUACUUUUUAAUAUAAAGAAAAAUAUACCAAUAUCUAUUUAAUAAAAAAUAUAUGUUAAAUUGGAGGAUAAUAUCUUUUAUAAUAAUAUUUGUUGUCAAAUAUAGAAAUAAAUUGAAAAUGCUCCUUUUGCUACAUUUCAAAUAAAUAAUACUAGAUUUUGACCCGUGCAACCGCACGGGUGUUUGUUUUCACUUUUCUAUACAUAAAUCUACUCUAUUAAAAUAAAGUCCUAUUUGAAUUUUACCAUGACAUAGAUUUAAUUUGGACUUAUUAAACAUGUUGUGACUAAAUAUAAAAAUAAAUUAUGUAUACAAUUUUAUAUGGUAACUGGUAUAUUUAUAUUAAACCAAUUAUGGUUUGGGUUUAAUAUUUGAGUAACAAACCAUAUCUUUUAAUCUGAACCAAACAAAUAUGGUUUGCAAUUUCAUUAACUGGAGAGAAAUUAAUUGAACUUAUUAAACUCUCAUAUAGAUUGGUUAUUGUGUUGCUCUACGUUUUGAAACCAAUAGGUUAAGAGAUCAACAUGGUCAACUUCCAUGGAUUAAAUAUGAACUCAAAAAUCAAGAUCUAUAAGUUGUUUUGACCAAUUAUUGGAGUGUUUGACCGGUGGUUUAUUUUUUUUUAUGAACACCAUCUUAUAGGAAGUAGGUUUAGAUUAUAACAUAACAUCAACUUCUUCUUCUAAACCAUGUCAUAUAUAUAUAUUUUAUACCCAAAUCUCUAUUAUAUACUCAAACACAACAUCAUACUCUAUUAAAAUAAAGUCCUAUUUGAAUUUUACCAUGACAUAGAUUUAAUUUGGACUUAUUAAACAUGUUGUGACUAAAUAUAAAAAUAAAUUAUGUAUACAAUUUUAUAUGGUAACUGGUAUAUUUAUAUUAAACCAAUUAUGGUUUGGGUUUAAUAUUUGAGUAACAAACCAUAUCUUUUAAUCUGAACCAAACAAAUAUGGUUUGCAAUUUCAUUAACUGGAGAGAAAUUAAUUGAACUUAUUAAACUCUCAUAUAGAUUGGUUAUUGUGUUGCUCUACGUUUUGAAACCAAUAGGUUAAGAGAUCAACAUGGUCAACUUCCAUGGAUUAAAUAUGAACUCAAAAAUCAAGAUCUAUAAGUUGUUUUGACCAAUUAUUGGAGUGUUUGACCGGUGGUUUAUUUUUUUUUAUGAACACCAUCUUAUAGGAAGUAGGUUUAGAUUAUAACAUAACAUCAACUUCUUCUUCUAAACCAUGUCAUAUAUAUAUAUUUUAUACCCAAAUCUCUAUUAUAUACUCAAACACAACAUCAACGUGUAUUCACUGAUCGUAUAUUCCUAAGAAAAUAUAGCAUGCUAUAAAACAUAUUUCAACAAAAUCAUUAUAUAUAGUUUUAGAUAGAUUUUUAUGUAUUCAAAAUUUGAAAUCUAUUUUUAAAAUAUAGAAUAUGUCAUUGAAACAAAUAUAUCCCUAAAUCUAUGCAUUUUUAAAUCUUAAAUUACCAGCUUCCAUUGAUACCAAACAUUUGUAUUAGUAACAAUAUCAAAACAAUAUAUUACAAUGUUUUAAAUUUAUGCAAUAAUCCUGGGUUUGAAACUUUGAAUGAAUAUACAGUAAUUUUGAUAAUAGCUUAUAUUUUCGAAAUUUUGUGGUUCUGAACAGGAAACCAAAUUAAAACUACUAUUAUGUAAUACUACACAACAAACAUCAUAUAUAUAUUUAAUAUAAAUUCAUAACUAUAAAUAAAAAACAAUCCGUGCAAUCCCACAAACCACUAUAAAUAAAGUAUAAUUGCAAAAUUAGAUGAACCAAACCAAAUAACAAAAUAACAAAACUCAAAUUCAUAAAUAACCAAAUUAUUACUAUAUUUUUUGAACCGAAAAAUCAAAACCCAUAACUAAACCGGAACUAAACUGAAAACUAAAACAGUAAAAUUUAAUGUGGAUCAAAAUUUAUAAAAUAUCAUUAAAUUUUUAUAAGUUUUUAAUUUUAAAAUAUAAAUUAUAAAUACAAAUAUAGGCAAUCCCGCAUAACUGUGCGGGUCAUAAUCUAGUUAUUGUUUUAAAACAUAAGUGGUAUAUAUUUUUAAAGUUAAUCAUGUACUUAAAUAUUUAUAUAACUAUUUCAAAUACAAUAAUUUUAUAAUUUACAUGUUAUAAGUAAUUAAUUGUUUAAACCUUAUGUAUUUGCCGCUUCUUAUUAUAUAUUUAUCUUAUUGUAUUUGCAUUUAGUUAUUAAGCAAAUUAAUAUAUUCAUGAGAAAAUAUAUUUAAAAAAUAUUUUGUAUUUAAUUUAUGCUAAAUUCUGACCCGUAUUUUAAAACUGGAUUUCUUUUUACCAAUAUUUUUAUGCUUAUUCAUUUUAGGUAAUUUAUUAUUGUAUAUAUAAAAGUGUAAGAUAUGUUAAUUUUUAGAUAUGUAUUAUAUAGUUUGUUAAUUUUAAGUCGUUCUAUCAUCAUAUUAUAUUUUAAAUAAAUAGUUUUAUAUUUAUGAAAAUAAAAUUUAUAAAUUUAUCAAUUGAAUAUAAUUUUAUCAUAUUUAUUUUAGUAUAAUAAUUAUAUUUUAACAGGAUCAUGACUAUAAAAGUAGAUAAAAUAGGAUAUAAUUUAUUUAUUUUCAUUUCUAAACGAUAACUUAAAAUACAUUAAGUUAUUGUUUAAAUAUUACACAGAUUUAUUAGAAUUUUUAAAAUAUAAUAUAUACAUAUAUAUUAUAUUUAAAAUGAAAAUAUAUUAUGAUUAAAGUAGUUACAAAGAUUUUAUAUUAUUAACUUUAAAGAAAUACAUGUUAAUUUUUAUACAUGUAUUAUAUAGUUUGAUAAUGUUAACCCAUCUUACCAACAUAUUAGAUUUUAUUUUUGAACAUAAAUAUUUUAUAAUUACGAAAAUAAAAUAUAUAAAUAUAUAAAUUUAAUACAAUUUUAUUAUAUUUAGCUCAAUAUAAUAAUUUUAAUUUAAUAUGAUUGAUUAUGAUUAUAUAAUAACUAAAAUAUUAUAGAUUUUUUUAUUUUUCAUUUUAUAUAACUGAAUAUAUUAAUGUAUAAUAAUAUUUUAAACUAAUUUCGAAAUUAGUGAAAAUAUUUAAAUAUAAUUUCGAAAAUGAAGAUCUUGUAAAAAUCUUUUUAAACAGAUUUGUUAGAAUUUUAAAAUAAAUAUAUUUAUAUUUAAAAUGAAAAGAUAUCAAAAGAUACUAUAAUUAAAAUAUUUUUAAAAUUAUAUUUAUUAUUAGUCUGAAUUAAAAUAUAGUAUGAAUUUCUAUGAAUAUGUCCAUUAGGUCCAUUUCUAAAAAAAUCACACAUGAAUCAAGGUUGUGACUUCUGUUUUAAUAUAUAAGAUGUUCAAUAUUUUGUAUUUAGUGUAAUGAUAUUUCAGUUGACAAAAAAAAUAUAAAAUUAACGCGAGGUUCAUUGAUAUUUUAAAUUCAUAUGGUAGAUUAUCUAUUAAAUUAUUAUUUGUCGAAAGAAAAUUUAUUCAUAACUAAAUAUAUAAAUUUAUACGUUUUAUUUGAAGUCUUUAGAAAAAAUAUGGAAGACAUGUUAUUGUCUCACGGGGACCUACGAGGCUACUACCUGUUAUUAGGUUCAUUAAUCACGUAUUUAAACCUUAAUCUUUCGUCAUCAAUACUAUUAAAAGGGAAGGAGUCUAAAAAAAUCUACUUAUAAAAGUUGUUUGGAUCCUUUCAUUUAACUCAUUAUUUUUUGGUAUUACUUUAAAUUUAUAAUAACAAUAUGUUACCAUAUAUUUCUCUAACAAUAAUUUAGUCAAUUCUUUUAUUUAUUUAAAUCUCACUCUUAAAUCCUAAUCAUUACUAUUACUAUAUUUAUCAUUUUGAUUUUUAAUCGUAAAAGUAUUGAAACUAAUGUUUUAUAUAUCACUUUUAACAUAUAAUAUAUGAUUUAAAACAAGAUAAAUUACAAGACAUAUAUGUGUAUAUUCUAACUUCCUCUUUCGUUUAUAAUAAAGUAUAUUAUUUCUUAUGAUACCUUUACUCAGAAAAAUAUUUCAUCAACCAUGUUUUUGUACAAUAACAUUAAAAAUCUAUAUCAAAAGGUUGUUGGACCUGAUAUAGACGUAAUAGGUCCACAUCUGUUCGGGUAUUUAAGAUCCUAAAAGAAUUUGAAAUAUAUGAAAAAUCUGAAAAAAUAUCCAAAAAACGAAAAGUAUUUGAAACUCCAAACAAAUACCAAAAAAUUCUAAUACCUAAAAAUUUAAAAUUUUAUUCAAAAUCUGACACGAUGAACUGAAAAAUACCCAAAAUUUUAUCCAAAUACCCAAUUUUUUUUUUAAAAUUUGAAAAAUUUACCUGAAAUCAAAACUCUAAUCGUAAACCAAAAACUUAAAAACAAUAUCCAUAAUACCGGAAACAUAUUCGGAAUAUCCAAAUAUACCUAAUAAACACAUAUUUAUGAUCGGGUCUUUGUUGAUGACAAAAAAAAUAAAUAAAUGAUCGGGUCUAGGGUAGGACCCGGACUCAAACAAAGACCUGCAGGUCAAAAAAAACCCAAUAGGUUAUAUUCUCUGGACCUGAAUUAAACCUAUAAUUUUGGGUCGGUUCGGUUUGUUUUUUUGAUCCGGAUAUAAUUCUCAUGUCGAAAAGAAACUUACAUAAAAGUGUACAUAUAAAAUCUCAAAUAAACUAAUUUGUAGAUUAUAUAGCUGUUGAAAAUUAUGUUUUUCGAUAUAAUAAAACUUUGUAUUAUAAUAUAGUCCAACAAUUCCGCGCUUUCCAAGCGCGGGUCAAAAUCUAGUUUAUUAUUAUUUUCGAUUAUAGUAUUUGUUUGAUUCUCUCCGUUAUGAGUAUCAUAAUAUAUGAUUAACCGAUGAAUCCUUAAAGAUUAAGAUAUACUACAGCUUUAACUCCGAGAUUCCAAACAUAUAUAUAAAACUUAUAAAAAUUAAAAGAAUUUUAUUCCCUAUACUUAAUAUUAAGUGUGGGUUCGAGACGUGGUGACUGUUCUAGAAACCAGAUAAAUGAAUAGAAAAAAAUAUAAAAGAAUAAAAUAGCAAAAAUAAUUUUAUUUUUUUACAAAAAAAAAGAGUGAGAAAAAGAAUAUUUUUUGUGAAUGAUAAUUUUUUAAGUAGUGUUGGGAAUACAUUAUUCCUCGUUUUACCUCUUAAAUUUUAUUUUAUUAUAAACGAUGUUUUACGUUUUAAUGUACAAAUUUAAUAUAAAAAAUAACGUUUAUCCUUAUUUUAAUUAAUUAAUUAAUAAAACUAAAUAAAAAUUAUAUUAAAUAUGAAUAAAACAGAAAAUUUGACAAUUUUUUUAAUUCAUAUGAAAGAUCUUAAACGAUAUUUUUUUAUGAAACUGAGGGAAUAUAUUAAAUCUGGAAUAACUACUUUGAAAAUGUCCACUUGAGCUUUUGAUGUUGCGGAAAAGCCGUUAGAAGUAUCAAGGAGCCACGAGCCCUAAUUCAAGACUAUUAAUGAUUCGCAAAAGGGGCAAUUGUAUCAGAUCAGAAGUUCUUGAUUUUUUAACUGGAAAGAGAUAUUUUAUUAGAUUUAUUAAAUCUAGAAGAUAAACAUGAUAAUGUUAAUACAAAUCAUAGGUUGCAUGCAUCAUUUGUACAUGUUUAAAGUGCUUUGUCAAGAUUUUUAUAAUUCAAUAUGAAAUUGUGAGCAGAAAACUCGCAACUAAAUGUUGUCCAAUUUAGAUAGUACGACUGAGUUCAUUAUGUAUACUAUUAUGAUAAUAUAAUUUUAAUAUGAGCUAAAUAUAGACUGCAAAUUAAAAUUUUCAGUCGAAAAUGAGUAAUAAAGAUUACUUUUAAUCCACUCUAUAAAAUAUUACUGAGGACUGCACCCAUUGUAUAGUGAGAUUAGUCAAUUUAGAUGAUGCUAAAAGUAUAGAGUUGCCAUUUGCCAACAUACUCUAAAUUUUGUAUUCCUAGUUUAAUGUUUUUAAAAGAAUAAUUAUCUAAAUAUAUUCAUCAAACAACCUUUUAUUGUGAACCCAAAUCGAGUUAAGCGUGUUUUUAAGUUUAUAAUAUUCAUCAAGGAGACGAGGGACUGAGUUUUGUAUUCAUGAAGAAGGAAUCAUUUUAUUAUAAUAAGAUAAUAACAAAAUCAUUAGAGGAGACGUGAAUAAUUAAAUCUUCAGGAUUAAUUUGGGUGAUAAAAAGUCAUCGAGGAAAGAAAUGUAGAUCCAUGAACCUGCCACUUUUUCUCGGAAGGAAUUGACUUUUGACAUUUAUAACCCAUAAUGUUGCAUCAUACAUAGUUACAUACUUAAAGCUUUCUUUAUAUAUAUAUAUAUAUAUAUAUAAAAACUUUGCACAUUGUUAUGUUUUUUAAUUAAACCGACUAUUAGUGUAUUUGUUAGUACUAAUUAAUGUAGACCCGCACGGUGCAUAGGAUUAAGUACAUAACAAAACAGUAUAUAAUAUUAAUUUUAGAAAUAAAAUUUGCUUAGACUAGUUAUUAUUCUAAUACAUACAUAAGGUAGCAUAAUUUAAAGGGAAAUUGGGGUGUAUGGCAACGAAAAAAACUGUAAUUGACAGAGUAACUAUUUUACCUUAACGAACAUAUACACGGUGUCAUAUAUACAUAAUAAUACAGUAUUAUCCUUUUAAUUAACCAGCUGCACCUGCUACAAAAAUUAAUAAUAAAAAAAUUUAACUGCAUAAAGGUAAAUGUCUUCAUCCGAAUCACAUCUUCUUCUUCUAACUUUCUUCGGCAAUUUCUCGAAGUCGAAAGGCCUCUGAUCUGCUCCAACGCCUCGCCUCUGCAUGCAAUCCAAUUUUCAUCUCGGUCGUCCUCCCUUUUAAUCGUGUUCGCCGUUAGGGUUCGGCGGUUGGGUUUUGCGUUACGGUUUCGGCGGCGGGUAGUAACACAACCGACCUCUCCAACUUCACCAACUCGAUUCUUCUGAGAUCUUUGACAGCCUUGUAAGUUCUCAGUGUUUUUCCGUCGAUUCUGGUUACUAAAACUUCUUCUCUGCUUAUCUGAUUUUAUUUUGGGAUCCUCUCUGAUGUUCUACUUGAAUUGGGGGUUUCGUCUCUGCGGUGCAUAGUUCAUGGUGUAGAAAUAUCUAUUAUUUUGUGGAAUAGCAUCUGCAAUACAUAGAUGUUUCAUCAUAUUUCUGUAUCAGUAUAUCUCGUUGAUAUAUGUCAUGUCAAGUGGAAUAGUAUAAGGUUCACAUUAUUCCAUUUUACAUGGAAUCAUACUUUUACAUCAUAUACAUUUCCAUUCGUUAGUCAUUGUUAUUCGAUUUGACUCAUAAUUCAUUUCUAUAUUUAAUAUUACAGUGUGAACUGUCCUCACUCUUCGCCUCUCUUAUUUUUCAUUCUUCAGGUUUGGUAUGGAAAAAUUAGACCUUCCAAGUAGAUUGUUUGAGACAGGAUUUGAUGUCAAGUGGAUUUAGUUUCCUGAAGAUUUGGGUUGCCUAUUGUGGAUCUAUUCUAUUAAAAGGGAAUCAGUCUUGAAAAAUCUACUUACAAAAGGUUGUUGGACUUAUUUGUUUGAAAUUUAAUAUGUCUUCUUUUAUAUAGUAUCAAUAAUAUUAACAGAGAAUAAAACAUACAUUAAUAGCAGCAUAUUCUUUUAGUUUUUGGGAUUUAACUACAUUUAAGCUAACAAUAAAAUCGACCAAAUUAAUUAUACUUUACCUCACAAUAAUAGGUCAGUAUGGUAUUUUACUAAAUACAAAAGCGGUUAUUUAAUAUUUAUUCAUUUCGAAUUUUGAAUAAAAUCACAUAGAAUAAAUAUUUAUUCUAAACAUGGACUAAGUAAACAUACUAAAAAUGCACUAAGAUUUUUAUACUAAUUAACAACUUAUCUAUGUUUUUUUCUGUAAUUCAAAAUCAUUCAGAACUAAAAGAAAUAAAAGGGUAUAGAUUAACAAACAAAAUAACAUCUAAUUAUUUUAAAAAAACCUAUGUAUCAAUAUUCAAAAUAAAUCAUUCAAAUAUUAUGCAUAUAUUCAAUAUAACAAAAAAUUCUAAUAUAAACUAAAAUACUAUACUGUAAACCAUAUAUCAUAUACAUAUUAUAAUAUCAUUUAUUUUAAUUUUCAUCCAUCAUAAAAUUUUUUUUGAAUAUUCCGUAAAACCAAAUUAAAAUUUUACCUAAAAAUUAACAUAUUAAAUAAUUAAAGAAAAAAUAUUAUAAAAUUAACUUUUAAACCUAAAAAUGAAAACAUAAACAUAUACUAAGUUAUUUAUAACAAAAAUAAACUAAUACUGUUAUAUCAAUAAAUUUUUUUCUGUUAACAUUUUUUUGAAUGAUAUAAUAAAAUUUUAUUCAAUUUUAGUUUUCUAAACAUAUGAAAAAUUUAAUCAAAAAGUUUUAUCAUGUUUUUUUGAGUUUAUAUGAGAUCAAUCGGUAUUGUAUUACAGGUUAAUAGUAAAAUUUUGGAUUGUUAUUAGAUUUAUCAUAUUUUUUAUAAAUACGAACUGGAUUAUAUUCUGGGUCGUCGAGUUGUGACCAUGAGUCGGGAUUGGAUAUAAAAAUAGUGCUUCAAACUCAAACAUUAUGAUAAAACAACUUAAAAAUUAUUUAUUUAAUUAGAAUUAAAUUCAAGAAAAUUUUAUCAAAAGGAUCAACAAAAAAAUACCCGCGCUUCGAAAGCGCGGAUCAAAAUCUAGUUGGGGUUUAUAUUUUCCUAACUUGGGUUUAGUGUUUAAUGUCAAGUGUUUAAUUACCAGUCUCAUUAGCUUUGUAUUUCAUGUUGCUCAUGAGGAAUGUAAAUACAUGUCUCUAGUAUUAUGGCAGGUGGAUUUAAUUUCACAAAGAUUUGGGUUGCCUAUGUAUUAGGGUUUAUAUUUCUCUAACUUGGGUUUAGUGUUUACUAUCAAGUUUUCUAUUACCAUCCUCAUUAGCUUCGUAUUUCAUGUGGCUCAUGAGAAAUGUAAAUACAUAUCUCCAGUAUUAUGGCAUGUGGAUUUAAUUUUCUGAAGAUUUGGGUUGCCUAUGGAUUGAAUUUAUAUUUUCUUAACUUGGAUUUAGUGUUUACUGCUAAGUGUUCUAUUACCAUCCCUAUUAACUUUGUAUUUCAUGUUGCUCAAUUUUGGCUCUAGUAUGCACAUAGUAUCAUUUUAAAUAGUACAUUGUAUAUAGUCUAGAAGUGUUCUCGUAAUAGACGGUGCAAAUAUGUAUGUAACUCUAUAACACACAUUUAUAAUCAUUAACCUACAUCAUUAAAAUGUGUGUAUGGUUUACAAAUCAGAGGUUAGGGUUUAGUAUUUCCAGUUAGGGUUUAGUAUUCCCUAAACAAAUUUGUAAGAUGGAAUAGAAUAUGUCGGCUAUUCUGUAUAGAAUGGCUUUAUUCGUUUUUAUACUAUACAGAUGGAAUGGAAAAUACUGUUUUUUCAGUUUAGUUGAUGUUGGUUUCAGGUUCAGGUUGGGUAAGAAAUACACACUUCGAUAUCAUCAUAGUAGUUCAAAAAUAUUACCAUUAAAAUUAUUUACUAUCAAAAAUGUAAACUGUAAAAACAUUUCCCUUCCAUUCUUGUUAAUUUUUUUUUGUGUUUCAGUAUGUGGUUCUCAUCACAACACACAACGCAGAACGUUACGUACUAUCACUUAUAACUGGUUACCUGUUAAAGUAAAGGUCAAAACCGGAUAAUUUGUGUAUAAAAUGUCUGACACUAAAUAACGUCAAAAUCAAGGUUACUUAUUUAAUUUAGUCUUGAUUUAUGGCUAGUACGCAAAUUAGCCCUAAUUUAAAUCGCUGAUUACUUUUUGACUAAAAUUUUUAAAUCGCUGAUUUCAAGGAUCAAUAUUUCACUUACCAGACGCUUUCUCAGGAAAAAGAUCGUUGUACUUUAAAACCUAACAAAUAUAUUGUCUUGAUUUUUGACAAAGACAAGUUUUACUAUGUCUUGUGUAAGUAUCCAAAAGAUUUGGUCUUAGAUACCUCCAUUAAAAAAAACUUAAAGAAGAAGGUGCAUACCAUUUACAGUGAUCAAUAGAGUAUGAAUUCUUACAAAGCAGACAUCCAAAUCAACUGAACUGGAUUCAAUACAAAAUUACAAAUGACAAAUUCUAGUAAAGCCUUUUAGACAAAAGUACUGAUUACAUUAACCAACCAUAAAGACAACGUAUACCAAUUAUCAAUGGUCCUAUAUCAUAAAACAAAUUGAGAGAAAAAAUCCAAGAAACCAUAUGGGCAUAGUCACACAGUUGAGAGCAGACAAGUUUUCCCAUUUCAUAUGUUUGUUGCGUUAAUCUUCUGAUUAUAUUGUACAAUAUUACUUUGUUAUGCUAGAACACAAAACCAUUUUUACCAAAAAAAAACACAAAAUCAUUUUUACCAAAAAAACAAACACAAAAUCAUCGACGGGGUAGAUGUAAAUCCACGAACUUCGCCAUGUUUGGCUGAGAAUAUUUAGAAUUUACUAGAUAAAUUUGGAUAAAAUGAAUAAAUUAGUCAGGUGGAGCUUGCUACGAUUAACACUUUAACCUUUAUGAAAAAGUAUAGUUUUGUGUUAGGAAAGAAAAUGACUUUAUUAUUAAGAAACGUAGAUUCCCCGCCGGUAAUUGAUAAAUUUGACCGUGAAAACCAUAUUAUACCAGUUACAAAAAAAAAAACCAUAUUAUAUCGACCCACGAGUCCGUGUUUUUUUCCGUCAGAAUAACCACAAAAAGCAAACUAAAUUAACGGCGACUUAAAAGAAAUUUCUCUUGUUUAGGCUAAGUUUCUCUCUCGCAAAAAAUAUCGCCUGUUUUUGUGAGUGGAGCUUUGGUUGAUGUGCCGGUGACUCAUAACUCACCUCUUCAGUAAGAAAAUGUUUUUUCAGUUAAAUCUUCAGAGUUUUUAGGGUUUGUUCUUAUUAUCAGGCGGUGGUUCUCAUAAUCAUCUGAAAAAUACAUCAUGUCUUAGGAGAUGGAUAAAGCUAUGAUGGAACUGUCAUUGGAGGAAGAAGAUCAACCGUUUAAUAUGCCGAAUCUCCCACAGUUCAAAUCGAGUCAGAAGAAUUCCAGAAAUUUGAUUGGGAGGAUCCUGAAUCCGGAUUGCCAGAAGAUGUCUAAGCUCAUCCUCAGCAUGCCUCGCAAGUGGCACAAGGGUGGUAAAGUGAGAGGAGCGGCCUUGUCGAAGGAGAGAUCUUAAUUCAUCUUCGAUCAUGAACAUGACCUGGAAGAAAUACUAGAGAAAGGUGUACACACUUUCAGUGAUUGGACCUUGGCUAUUGAUAGGUGGGUGGAGAGACCACCUCCAGACUAUCUUCAAUUUAUUCCGAUCUGGAUCCAAAUCCGAAACCUUCCGGUAAAUUACUAUACUUCUGAAGCGAUUACAGAUUUGUUAGGAGAAGUCAAAGAGGUGGAUUUUGAUCCAGAAAAGUCGCAAAGUAGGGAGUAUGUAAGGGUGUUAAUCCGCUUCAAGGUAUCCAUGCCUCUUAGGAAGUCUAAGUUGCUGAAUCUUCCUGAAGGGGGCUCUGCCAUAGUCUACUUUAAUUAUGAGAGGAUUUAAAAAAACGUGCUAUGAGUGUCAGCGUCUAAACCACUCUAAUGAUGUGUGUCCUCUGUUGGUUAAAAAGAGAAAAGAAGAGGCUUUGGGUAGAAGACAAAGAGUUAUUCAGGAUAGAGGCGGUUUGGAGAAAUUUAUUGGAAAAGAUGAUCCCUUUUAUGGUGUUCUUUCUGAGGAUCAAGUUGGUAUCUGCAGAGAGACAGGAAGGAGGAAGGUUGCACCAGAAGUGCUAGAGGAGAUGAGAAGGUAUAUGAUGAUGGCCACUGAUGAUGACAAGCUUGUUCGAAUGGAUAGGGUCCGCUCUUCUAUGGCAGAAGCUGAGAAAGACCCAUUUACUCAGAAAUCAAUGUUAAGAUUGGAAUCUACUCCUCAAUUUACUAAGCAACUGGAUAAAGGAAAAGGGGUGGUCUAUGAUUUUCAUCUCAAUGUAACUGAGCAAACUCGGGAAGUAAGGGGAGAAGUGAAAGAAAAGCUCAUGGAUUAUGCGUUCAGAGCGGGGAGGUGUGGUGACGCAAUGGAACAGUUUGGAGACAUGAGUAUUCAAGUUGGGCGAAGCAAGAACAGUGUGGAGAGGAAGGCUUUGUCUUAUCCUCAGAUAACUAAGGCUAUGAAGAUCAAUUAGGCAAAUGUUGGUUUUUGUGCUUUGGUGGUAACUCUACGGAAUAUGGUUCUUCCUCUGGGAACAGACCAUCCAGGGUUCCACAAAAGAGUAAUAAUACCAGGAGAAGGCCUUAUAUAAGAAAGAGACAAGAACAGAGAAGUGGUACUUCAAGUGUUUUGCAACAACUAUACGGCUCUGAAGUGGAUAAGCAGAAAGUUGGUUCUAAAAGAAGGAUUGAGGGGGGGGGGGGGGAGAGGAGAAAGUCCGAGACCAGAGAGAACACGUGUGGAAAAGGUUAAGGAGGAUGAGAUCAUUCCAAUCCCAGAUGAGAUCAUUGCCAUUUUUUGGAAGAAGUUGAUAGAUUGACUUUAAGGUUGUAAACAAGAACUUGAUAGAUUGUAUAUUAUAGUUUGGAGAAGUUUCUUUUUUUUGGUCUUGUGUAUAUGGCCUGUCGGAUUGGAGCAGUAGGAUUGAGUUAUGGGAACGCUUGAGUAGGAUAGGUGUGAAUAGAAGGGAUAGUUGGUGUGUGUUUGGGGACUUUAAUGAUAUUUUACAUAAUGGAGAAAAGAUAGGUGGGGUGUGGAGGUCUGAUGAGUCUUUUGUUCCGUUUAACCAGAUGGUGGUGGCUGGUAAACUAGAAGAACUUCCCAGUCAUAGGAAUGGUUUUACCUGGGGAGGGAAGAGAUAUAACUAUUGGAUUCAGUCUAGGUUGGACAGGUGUUUUGGUAAUAAAGCCUGGUUUGAGCAGUUUCCUUGUUCCAAUCAAACUUUUUUGGAUAUAAGGGGUUCUAAUCACCAGCCUGUGUACAUCAAUCUCACGCCUGGAUAAAAGAAAACUGGUGCAAGAAAUAUUUUUAACGUACCUGAGAUGGGGUUUCCACUCAUUUUGUUUGAUAUUCGAUAGUUAAAUUAUAAACCAAAUAAUAUAAGCAGAAAAAAAGAGAUGGUGAGAGGAGAUGAAUAGAUAAAAAGAUUGGAGAAAUAGGACUAUUAAAUACUAAAAGCUAAAUAACGGCGCUAGGGUUUUGGCGACUCUAGGGUGAUUCUUAGAUCUGGCAAGCUCCUCCUCAUAGACGACGUUUUGAGGCUCUCCUUGCCAGGGAAGAAGGAGAAAGGAGGUUCUCGACGAUCCAUACAGAAGUUCUGAUUGUCUCUGCAGUGACUGCCUUUCGUUCAAACACUUUCAACCCUAGAUCUUUUGGCGUGAGGAACAAGACACAUCAAGAAAAGGAGUACGAAGGUUUUUUUUCCCCUGUGUAGGGUGUUGAACUGAAGUUUAUAAAGUGCCUUGUUUUGGUCUGGAUCUCACCGACGAACCAAGAUGCGCCGUUCGUAUGGGAACCGGGAGAGAGGAGAAAGUCCGAGACCAGAGAGAACACGUGUGGAAAAGGUUAAGGAGGAUGAGAUCAUUCCAAUCCCAGAAUUUGAUUUCUCGGAUCUCAUUGAGAAGUAUAAGCUGGCGCUGGUGGGAAGGAUGUUCCAUGUUGAUGGAAGGAGUGUUGAUGCUUUGAUUAAACAUAUGCCAAAGCGACAUAUCUGGGAUGUAGAAGGUAACGUCAGAGGAACCAACUUGGGGAACAAUAAGUUUCAGUUUGACUUUGACUCUGAACAAGACCUUCAAAAAGUCCUACAAAGGAGACCUUGUCAUUUUAACAAAUGGAGCUUUUCCUUGGAAAAAUGGAUACCAACGAUUCAAGAAGAUUUUUCAAAUUCUAUGCUGUUCUGGGUGGUUAUCUCUGGUGUCCCUAACCACUAUAAAAAAAGACGAAACGUUCCGUAAUAUUGGGAAGGCUCUAGGCCUAGUGGACACUGUGGAUGUGGACGGAGGACGUUUGGGAAGGCUCUAGGCCUAGUGGACACUGUGGAUGUGGACGGAGGACGUGUCAGAGUUUUUGUCAAUGCAGACGAACCCUUACAAUUUGAGCGUCGAGCGGGGUUUGCAAAUGGUGACGUUAUUAAAGUGACCCUUAAAUAUGAAGACCUUCACAUACACUGCUUCACCUGUAAACGCAUCUCGCACGAAGAAGGUACAUGCCCGGAGCUAACAGAGAUGCAGCAAGAGAAGAACAGAGUGGCAAGGAUUGAACAAAAAGAACUGGAGGAAAUAGCAACGAGAGAAGCCUUCUCUAUUCCGUCUAGAUACGAGACUAGUCGAGUACCUGAAUCUGAUCGAUACUCUUUAGAGGAUGGAAGAUAUGGAAGGGGGCAAAACAGAGACUUUAGGCGUCCUAUUAUGACCGGCACAGACAGGAUAAGCCAUGAUCUCAGAGAGAGAAUCACAGAGCAACGGGAGUCUCUCAGUAAGAAUGUAUGGAAAAGACUUGAGAAACCUGAUACGACACAUUAUCCCCGAGAUCGGGAGAGACAUCAUCCUUAUCAAAGACCAAAGAGUUAUGAUUCCAUGACCAGAGAUGGAGACAAAUCGAGAUAUGAAACUUACUCGAGGAAGUCAACUUGGUAUUCCAAUGACCAAAGGAAUCAGAACGGUCUUAACCACGACUUACAAAGUGUGAGCAGAUCAAGCCCUAAACGAAGAGCUUCCCCGGACUCCCAACGUACAAUCUCUGCAGCUUAUGUGACAAACCGGUCCGGAUAUGGAAGCCGUGGCCAGAGCCAUCGAUCACCUCAAAAGCCGGCUCAAGAAUGGAGACCGGUAAGACAGAGCAUAAAUGAAGGAAAAAAGAACGACGAGAACCAAACAGUGCUUGGUGAAACGGAAGAGGACAAGAGAAGAAGAUUAAAAGGGAAGAUGAUAGCUCAGGACCCUCCUGCCGCCCCACCAAGACCUAUCCCUGAUAGAGGAACGCUUACAAUUAGAGAACCAUCAUCUAACAUGCAGCAACAGAUGCAAGGAGGGUGUGAGAAGGAGAAGCAGGCGCCCACAAAAAAUCGUGAGGAGGAAAAUAAACAGAGCAGCGAGAGGUUGGGAAGUGCAAAUACCCCGACCAAUAUUGAGGGAGGUCUAGAUGAUCCUGACUCACUUGAUAACGUUCCAGAGGAUGAUGGAGUUCUAGAUGAUGAGGCUUUUGAAAAGAUGAUGGAACUGUAUACGGAGCCUGAGGCUUUCGCUGACGACGAAGAAAUGCAAAACGUUGAUGAAGUAGAUGACCUCAUGGAGGAGGAACAGGAGAUGGAGAGAGCACGAGUGGAAAAGGAGAAGAGGGCAGAGACGGAGAAGGAAAAAAGCAAGGGUCUCAUGGUUAAAAAGAUAAAAGAUUUUGGGAUGGCAGGUAAUAGUCAUCAAAAAAACGACCCAGCUGCGGUGAGAAAUAAGUUAAACGGAGAUGGGAAGAAGAUAGGCGCAGAGAUUGAUCAGAAUGACAAUGGGAAGAAGAAGAAGGUCCCUAGAAGCCCAGAAAUAAAAGGUACUGCAGCCUCAAAGAAGUAAAGCCACGAGACAGAGUCGACUUCAAGUCUCUCGAGUAUCGUCGAAAGUCCCUCGUACUGAGGUGUAUCCUUCUGCUUUAAAAGGCAGGAAUCCCAGUGUAUCCGGUUCGGUGGUGUCCCAGAAACCACCCAGUACUCGUAUAUGAAUGCAAUUGCAUGGAAUUGUCAAGGGGCCGGAGCCUACUUGACCAAGCAACACUUAAAAGAGUUGCUUCGCUGCUUCAAUCCUAGUUUUCUUUUUCUUUCAGAAACAAAAAAUAAUUUUUCUUUUAUGCAAGACUUUCAGUUUGGUAUUGAACAAGUGGCAGUGCAAUACUUUGGAAAUCUCUUUGAAACGUCGAGCCCUGUAGACAUUGAGGAAAGCAUCCGGUAUAUUACCGAGACAGUAACGGAGGAGAUGAAUGAGGCCCUAAUAGUGCCUGUGACUGAUACUGAAAUCAGAGAUGCCAUCUUUGCGAUCAACCCCGAUAAGGCCCAUGGACCGGACGGGAUGACAAGUCUGUUUUAUCAAAGGUUCUGGAGCGUAAUCGGUAAGGAUGUUAUCAGCAUGGUGCGUGAAUUUUUCGAAACCGGAGAGCUAGAUGAGAGAAUUAACCAGACGAACAUCUGUUUGAUCCCAAAAACUGCGAGACCGGUGUCUAUGACAGAGUUUCGUCCUAUUAGUCUGUGCAACGUUAGCUAUAAAAUUAUCUCAAAGGUUCUUUCCAACAGAUUAAAGAGGAUUUUGCCAAGCCUCAUCUCAGAGACACAAUCAGCCUUUGUGGCUCGACGUUUGAUUACCGAUAAUAUCCUUGUAGCUCAGGAAAUGUUUCAUGCUCUUAGAACUAACCAAAGCUGCCAAUCCAAGUACAUGGCCAUCAAGACAGACAUGAGCAAAGCAUAUGAUCGGCUGGAGUGGGGCUUCCUUGAAGCAUCGAUGGAAAAAAUGGGAUUCAAUCAGAAGUGGAUUCACUUGAUCAUGAGCUGUGUUUCCUCAGUCUCAUAUCGAGUUUUGAUUAAUGGAGAUGCAAAAGGUAGUAUCACUCCUUCCCGGGGACUCCGGCAGGGCGAUCCUCUAUCGCCAUUUUUAUUUAUACUCUGCACAGAAGUAUUAAUAUCUCAGAUUCAAGAAGCAGAACGCACGGAAAGGAUCACAGGUCUAAGGAUCGCUCGAGCAAGCCCGGCGGUCUCUCAUUUACUCUUCGCUGACGACAGCCUCUUCUUUUGUAAAGCAGAGGAAAGUCAGUGCCAAGAGCUAAUGAGAAUAAUUGACGUUUAUGGUUACGCCUCAGGACAACAACUGAAUAAACAAAAAUCUUCAGUUCUGUUCGGUUCUAAGGUCAUAACGUCCACGAAACAAAACCUGAAAGGGUUAACUGGUAUUAACAAAGAAGGAGGAAUGGGAAUGUAUCUAGGCCUGCCGGAGAACAUCGCCGCCCCACCAAGACCUAUCCCUGAUAGAGGAACGCUUACAAUUAGAGAACCAUCAUCUAACAUGCAGCAACAGAUGCAAGGAGGGUGUGAGAAGGAGAAGCAGGCGCCCACAAAAAAUCGUGAGGAGGAAAAUAAACAGAGCAGCGAGAGGUUGGGAAGUGCAAAUACCCCGACCAAUAUUGAGGGAGGUCUAGAUGAUCCUGACUCACUUGAUAACGUUCCAGAGGAUGAUGGAGUUCUAGAUGAUGAGGCUUUUGAAAAGAUGAUGGAACUGUAUACGGAGCCUGAGGCUUUUGCUGACGACGAAGAAAUGCAAAACGUUGAUGAAGUAGAUGACCUCAUGGAGGAGGAACAGGAGAUGGAGAGAGCACGAGUGGAAAAGGAGAAGAGGGCAGAGACGGAGAAGGAAAAAAGCAAGGGUCUCAUGGUUAAAAAGAUAAAAGAUUUUGGGAUGGCAGGUAUUAGUCAUCAAAAAAACGACCCAGCUGCGGUGAGAAACAAGUUAGACGGAGAAGGGAAGAAGAUAGGCAGGUUAAGGAGGAUGAGAUCAUUCCGAUCCCAGAAUUUGAUUUCUCGGAUCUCAUUGAGAAGUAUAAGCUGGCGCUGGUGGGAAGGAUGUUCCAUGUUGAUGGAAGGAGUGUUGAUGCUUUGAUUAAACAUAUGCCAAAGCGACAUAUCUGGGAUGUAGAAGGUAACGUCAGAGGAACCAACUUGGGGAACAAUAAGUUUCAGUUUGACUUUGACUCUGAACAAGACCUUCAAAAAGUCCUACAAAGGAGACCUUGUCAUUUUAACAAAUGGAGCUUUUCCUUGGAAAAAUGGAUACCAACGAUUCAAGAAGAUUUUCCAAAUUCUAUGCUGUUCUGGGUGGUUAUCUCUGGUGUUCCUAAUCACUAUAAAAAAGACGAAACGUUCCGUAAUAUUGGGAAGGCUCUAGGCCUAGUGGACACUGUGGAUGUGGACGGAGGACGUGUCAGAGUUUUUGUCAAUGCAGACGAACCUUUACAAUUUGAGCGUCGAGCGGGGUUUGCAAAUGGUGACGUUAUUGAAGUGACCCUUAAAUAUGAAGACCUUCACAGACACUGCUUCACCUGUAAGCGCAUCUCACACGAAGAAGGUACAUGCCCGGAGCUCACAGAGAUGAAGCGAGAGAAAAACAGAGUGGCAAGGAUUGAACAAAAAGAACUGGAGGAAAUAGCAACGAGAGAAGCCUUCUCUAUUCCGUCUAGAUACGAGACUAGUCGAUUCCAAAAAGAAAGUCUUUGCUUAUGUACAAGAUCGGCUAAACUCAAGAGUCAAUACAUGGGAAGCAAAGCACUUAUCUAAAGGUGGAAAGGAGGUUCAAAUAAAAUCUGUAGCACAAGCUGUGCCUACCUUUACGAUGUCAUGCUAUCUCCUACCGCAGGAGAUCCACAAAAAAUUGACGGGAGCUGUGUCUAGAUUCUGGUGGAGUGCCAAAGCUAAUAAUCGAGGAUUACAUUGGGUGGCAUGGGAUAAAAUCUGCGAGCCACAGGAGAAAGGUGGGCUGGGAUUUAGAGAUUCACAUGACUUUAAUCUGGCAUUGCUUGCCAAGCAGGUGUGGAGACUUCUGAUAUAUCCAGACUCGCUUCUAGCUCGAGUUCUGAAGGGUCGGUACUAUAGAAACUCAAACCCGCUACGGGUGGGAAAAGCGAACAACCCUUCCUACGGGUGGCGAAGCAUCUGGACAGCUCGAUCAGUCUUGAGUGAGAGCUUGCUUCGAUCUAUUGGAACAGGAGCUGAUACGAACGUGUGGGAAGACGGCUGGAUACCUGAUGGAGUAGCGAGACCAGCAUUGCCGAAGGGACCAGUGAUCGAUCAUGACCUAAGAGUCCACCAUUUGCUGGAUCAUGAGACUAAAGACUGGAAUGAACCCCUUAUUAGAGAACUGGUGGCGGAGGAAGACGUUAAUAAAAUCCUCUCUAUUAAACCAAGUCGUCUAGGAAGGAAAGAUGGAUAUAUUUGGAAACAUACGAAAUCAGGCUCGUAUACUGUUCGUACAGGGUAUGAAGUGAUCAAUGAAAAGAGGAAAGCAUCGCUAGAGCGGGAGGUAGCAGAACCAAGCGUAACAACGCUUAAGAAGGAGGUCUGGAUGUUAAAAACAUCACGUAAGAUUAAACACUUUCUAUGGCAAGCCAUCUCUGGAUUUGUCACGGCGGCAAGUCGUCUCUGUGAUCGACAUUGUGCGAAUGACAGGAGCUGUCUACGGUGUGGAGCUGCAGAGGAGACGAUUAAUCAUAUCCUCUUUGAAUGUCCUCCUGCAUUACAAUGCUGGGCUUUAUCUGAUAUUCCAACACAUCCGGGCUUAUUCCCGUGUAAUGCCCUGUUUACAAAAUUUGACCAUCUGCUGUGGAGAGCUGAGAAUCUAGGAGUCAGUAAGGAAACACUCAGCGUCUUUCCAUGGCUACUGUGGUACAUAUGGAAGGGAAGAAAUGAGAAACUCUUCAAUGGCGUUGAAAUUUCGCCCCUAGACACUCUUCAACUGGCACUAUCAGAGGCAAAAUCGUGACAAGUAGCUCAGAUUAUCCCCUCUGUAGAAGAAGAAGCCGUUCCAGAUGCACAAGAAAGUACAGGGAGUGCAGAACCACCGCAGAUACGAACUGGAAUCAGGUGUCAAGUCGAUGCGUCGUGGGUCCAUGAAGGUUCACGAUCGGGAGUGGGGUUUGCACUGUGGGAGGGAGUUAACCGAAAUCUUAUAGGCCUAAAAAACUGCAGGCAAAGCACUUCUCCCCUGCAUGCCGAGGCUGUGGGACCAAGGCUAUCGUGCAAUGCACUUUGAAACUGAUUGUGCUCAACUCUAAAGCUGAUACAAAACGUGGAGGAAUGGCCAUCAAUGGUACAUGAGAUGGAAGAUAUCAGAAUACAUUCUAGGAAGUUUGAUCAGUUUGCUAUCUCUUAUAUACCUCGUGGUAUGAACUCUCGUGCCGACUGUCUUGCAAAGGCAGCUCGUGCACGUUUAGAUUUCUUUGAAUUUGUUGGUGUUGAGACUCCUGUUUGGCUUGCUCAUGUAGCUAGCCUCUUGGAGUGAUUUUUAAUAAUAAAACUUUGUCGGCAAAAAAAAAAAAAAAUACUAAAAGCUAAAUAUACUCCUCAUCUGGCCUGUCUACGUAGGACUAUUAAUUCUAGCCAAUCAUAGAUCUUCAUCUCUCCACAUCACCCCAGUUUAAGUCAAGAAUGAAAAUUUCAGGCUUUUUGCGUGUGAGCUCAUUAGAUUUCAUUAAGGCCCAAGUUCAAACCCACUUCAGCAACACUAAUAUCCUAAUCGACUCUGCCUCAUCCGCUUCGUUCUCCGUUUUGGUUCAUGCAAUCUCUGUUACUGUACCUCCUCUCCUUUCCUACCUUCCACCUUUUCUACUCAUAUAUAAAUUGCUAAAUAGCUUCUUCAAAACACACUUCCAUACAAACCCGAACUAUUACGCCUCAGGACAACAACUGAAUAAAGGAAAAUCUUCAGUUAUGUUCGGUUCUAAGGUCAUAACGUCCACGAAACAAAACCUGAAAGGGUUAACUGGUAUUAACAAAGAAGGAGGAAUGGGAAUGUAUCUAGGCCAGCCGGAGAACAUCUGUGGUUCCAAAAAGAAAGUCUUUGCUUAUGUACAAGAUCGGCUAAACUCAAGAGUCAAUACAUGGGAAGCUAAGCACUUAUCUAAAGGUGGAAAGGAGGUUCAAAUAAAAUCUGUAGCACAAGCUGUGCCUACCUUUACGAUGUCAUGAUAUCUCCUACCGCAGGAGAUCCACAAAAAAUUGACGGGAGCUGUGUCUAGAUUUUGGUGGAGUGCCAAAGCUAAUAAUCGAGGAUUACAUUGGGUGGCAUGGGAUAAAAUCUGCGUGCCACAUGAGAAAGGUGGGCUGGGAUUUAGAGGUUCACAUGACUUUAAUCUGGCAUUGCUUGCCAAGCAGGUGUGGAGACUUCUGAUAUACCCAGACUCGCUUCUAGCUCGAGUUCUGAAGGGUCGGUACUAUAGAAACUCAAACCCGCUACGGGUGGGAAAAGCGAACAACCCUUCCUACGGGUGGCGAAGCAUCUGGACAGCUCGAUCAGUCUUGAGUGAGAGCUUGCUUCGAUCUAUUGGAACAGGAGCUGAUACGAACGUGUGGGAAGACGCCUGGAUACCUGAUGGAGUAGCGAGACCAGCAUUGCCGAAGGGACCAGUGUUCGAUCAUGACCUAAGAGUUCACCAUUUGCUGGAUCAUGAGACUAAAGACUGGAAUGAACCCCUUAUUAGAGAACUGGUGGCGGAGGAAGACGUUAAUAAAAUCCUCUCUAUUAAACCAAGUCGUCUAGGAAGGAAAGAUGGAUAUAUUUGGAAACAUACGAAAUCAGGCUCGUAUACUGUUCGUACAGGGUAUGAAGUGAUCAAUGAAAAGAGGAAAGCAUCGAUAGAGCGGGAGGUAGCAGAACCAAGCGUAACAACGCUUAAGAAGGAGGUCUGGAAGUUAAAAACAUCACGUAAGAUUAAACACUUUCUAUGGCAAGCUAUCUCGGGAUUUGUCAACGCGGCAAGUCGUCUCUGUGAUCGACAUUGUGCGAAUGACAGGAGCUGUCUACGGUGUGGAGAUGCAGAGGAGACGAUUAAUCAUAUCCUCUUUGAAUGUCCUCCUGCAUUACAAUGCUGGGCUUUAUCUGAUAUUCCAACACAUCCGGGCUUAUUCCCGUGUAAUGCCCUGUUUACAAACUUUGACCAUCUGCUGUGGAGGGCUGAGAAUCUAGGAGUCAGUAAGGAAACACUCAACGUCUUUCCAUGGCUACUGUGGUACAUAUGGAAGGGAAGAAAUGAGAAACUCUUCAAUGGCGUAGAAAUUUCGCCCCUAGACACUCUUCAACUGGCACUAUCAGAGGCAAAAUCUUGGCAAGUAGCUCAGAUUAUCCCCUCUGUAGAAGAAGAAGCCGUUCCAGAUGCACAAGAAAGUACAGGGAGUGCAGAACCACCGCAGAUACGAACUGGAAUCAGGUGUCAAGUCGAUGCGUCGUGGGUCCAUGAAGGUUCACGAUCGGGAGUGGGGUUUGCACUGUGGGAGGGAGUUAACCGAAAUCUUAUAGGCCUAAAAAACUGCAGGCAAAGCACUUCUCCCCUGCAUGCCGAGGCUGUGGGACCAAGGCUAUCGUGCAAUGCACUUUGAAACUGAUUGUGCUCAACUCUUAAAGCUGAUACAAAACGUGGAGGAAUGGCCAUCAAUGGUACAUGAGAUGGAAGAUAUCAGAAUACAUUCUAGGAAGUUUGAUCAGUUUACUAUCUCUUAUAUACCCCGUGGUAUGAACUCUCGUGCCGACUGUCUUGCAAAGGCAGCUCGUGUACGUUUAGAUUUCUUUGAAUUUGUUGGUGUUGAGACUCCUGUUUGGCUUGCUCAUGUAGCUAGCCUCUUGGAGUGAUUUUAAUAAUAAAACNNNNNNNNNNNNNNNNNNNNNNNNNNNNNNNNNNNNNNNNNNNNNNNNNNNNNNNNNNNNNNNNNNNNNNNNNNNNNNNNNNNNNNNNNNNNNNNNNNNNNNNNNNNNNNNNNNNNNNNNNNNNNNNNNNNNNNNNNNNNNNNNNNNNNNNNNNNNNNNNNNNNNNNNNNNNNNNNNNNNNNNNNNNNNNNNNNNNNNNNNNNNNNNNNNNNNNNNNNNNNNNNNNNNNNNNNNNNNNNNNNNNNNNNNNNNNNNNNNNNNNNNNNNNNNNNNNNNNNNNNNNNNNNNNNNNNNNNNNNNNNNNNNNNNNNNNNNNNNNNNNNNNNNNNNNNNNNNNNNNNNNNNNNNNNNNNNNNNNNNNNNNNNNNNNNNNNNNNNNNNNNNNNNNNNNNNNNNNNNAGCCGUUCCAGAGGCACAAGAAAGCACAGGGAGUGCAGAACCUUCGCAGAUACGAACUGGAAUCAGGUGUCAAGUCGAUGCGUCGUGGGUCCAUGAAGGUUCACGAUCGGGAGUGGGGUUUGCACUGUGGGAGGGAGCUAACCGAAACCUUAUAGGUCUAAAAAACUGCAGGCAAAGCGCUUCUCCCCUGCAUGCCGAGGCUGAUGGACUCAUCUGGGCAAUGAAGACGCUGUGGGACCAAGGCUACCGUGCAAUGCACUUUGAAACUGAUUGUGCUCAACUCUAAAGCUGAUACAAAACGUGGAGGAAUGGCCAUCAAUGGUACAUGAGAUGGAAGAUAUCAGAAUACAUUCUAGGAAGUUUGAUCAGUUUGCUAUCUCUUAUAUACCCCGUGGUAUGAACUCUCGUGCCGACUGUCUUGCAAAGGCAGCUCGUGCACGUUUAGAUUUCUUUGAAUUUGUUGGUGUUGAGACUCCUGUUUGGCUUGCUCAUGUAGCUAGCCUCUUGGAGUGAUUUUUAAUAAUAAAACUUUGUCGGCAAAAAAAAAAAAAAAAUACUAAAAGCUAAAUAUACUCCUCAUCUGGCCUGUCUACGUAGGACUAUUAAUUCUAGCCAAUCAUAGAUCUUCAUCUCUCCACAUCACCCCAGUUUAAGUCAAGAAUGAAAAUUUCAGGCUUUUUGCGUGUGAGCUCAUUAGAUUUCAUUAAGGCCCAAGUUCAAACCCACUUCAGCAACACUAAUAUCCUAAUCGACUCUGCCUCAUCCGCUUCGUUCUCCGUUUUGGUUCAUGCAAUCUCUGUUACUGUACCUCCUCUCCUUUCCUACCUUCCACCUUUUCUACUCAUAUAUAAAUUGCUAAAUAGCUUCUUCAAAACACACUUCCAUACAAACCCGAACUCUUAGCUUAAACGUCUUCUGACUUUUCAAUUUCUAAAAGAUCGAAAAACCUUGACCAGUAAAUAAAUCCUCACCUUUUGUUGAACGAAUCCAAUACCUAAAAGAUUAAAUAUAUAUGCUUUUGUUGACUCAAAUAUCUCGAGCUCUGUUUUGUUUUGUUUGAUUCUGAUAGUGAUUUUUCGUGUGCAGAAAAAUGUUUUCUCUGUGUCAUCAUAUACCAGAGUAUGAUAUCGGAGAAGAAGUAUCCUGAUCCAGUCCUCGAAGAGCCAAUCUUAGCGUUUGGUCCACUCUCAGCUGCUUUGCCGAUGAUCUAUUGCGGUGAAGACUCUUCACAAGGGCUUUCUGAACUUCAUGAUCUCAGUCUGGGGUUACUGCAAAGUGGUGAACAUCUUUUUUUUCUUUUUUUUUUGAAACUGAGUGGAACAUCUUGACAAUACUUUUUAAGAAUGUUAGCACGAUCUCAUGAUGAAAUCAAGUAUGGAGCGAUUUCUGCUGUUUUAGACAUCAAGAACAUCACUGCCGUGACAAUGGCAGCAAUAGAUGAGAGCCAGGAUAUGCAGAAGAGUGUAAGAUCGGCGUAGUUGAUCCCUUAUGAUUGGCCACAGGUGAGUUGUUGAGAUUCAGAAUUUCCCUUAUUUUGCUCAGUUGGAUUUUGGUUUUGAUUAUGGGAUGCCACGAGCCUUUUAAUGUUUCUGAAGUAAGUACAUUAUCUAUUAAGCUCUUACCAUCAAGGCUAUGUUGGAUAUUUAUGGGUUACAUUUCAUUCUAUUGGUUACAUGAUUAGGCGUCCAAGUUCCCCGAUGAGCAGUGGGAUCCCAUGUUUACAGUCAGCCUUGCUCAGAAAAACCACCAUCCGCAGCAGUUUCAGACCAAAGGCCCUGCUAAUGUUCCUCCAGGUAAAACAUUAGAAUCCUUUUUAUCCAUAACCUCCUGAUUGUUUUUUUUUGUUAUUGUUAAAAUGACCUGAAACGUCUUUGUUGUUUUAUUUGGUUAUCAAUUGUUUAUGGUCGUAUAACACAAAUGCAUAUUCUCUGAAUCAGCUUAGGAACAACAAAAACUUUCCCUUUUAAUUGAUAUGCCAGGUGAACUUUUGCAGAUGGAAUAAGAUUCCCGAAAAGUUGUGUCUUCAACACUCCUCUCUAUGAGCAAGUACGUAUUUUUGAAUCCUUCACAUGUUUGAUAUGCUUCUGUUUUGGAGUUAGCUUUAUAGUUCUUACUGAGCCAUUCAUACAUUAUGAUUGGGUUUCGUAUCUGAUUGGAUUUAGGGAAUUUGUUGUUUUGGUAUUGGUCUACCAGAAAUGAUGUGUUAUUGUCUGCGUUAUAUUUAUGUUCAUAUUUUGAACUGAAAUUGACAUUUGUGGGUGUAUGAUCUUGGCAGAGAAAUUGAGCAAAUUCAGAAAUAAGUUUGCAGAUUAUAGAUAUCAAUCUUUUGAUUAGAAAACUGUUCCAAUUUCAAAAAAACAAAAAUCUGAUUCAAACUGCUAGGUUUCUGAUUGAGUUUUGGUUCAUAGGUUGUUAAUGAAGCGCCAAAGUUAAGAUAUGAAUAGGGUAACCUAUUCGAUUGUGGAGGUAUACCUUAAUACCUUAUCUUUACAUUUCUUCUUGACUUGCCAUCCAGAUCUCCUUUGCUCAUUAGGGUUUAUAUAGAUCUUGAUAGGACUUACGAAAUACAAUCAGAGCACCUUAUGGGGCAGUUUGGCAUUGUGAUAUGUAGUGAGCAAGAGCUUGCUGAAUAUACCCAUUGUUUCAGGUUUUGAAGAAGAACUUGCUGAAUAAGUUUCUACCAUUAAUUUUGUUUAAAAAGCGUUCCUCGAAUCUCUGUCCUAUUAGUUUUAUAGAUUUGGAUCAACUUGUGCACCUAAUAAAUCACAUUUGUGAUGUAUGAAUUAUCAAUGGUUCUUUUGUGUUUUUUGGUAUGGAUUACUCAUUGUUUCAGGGUCAUAUUAGCUUUGAGUUGCCUCAUCUUUUUGUUUCGUUGGAAUUUAAAAUAUCUGUUUUGUUAUUUAUGAAAUAAGACUUAAGUGCUCUAUAUAAUAUAGUUUGUUUCCACCAUUCCUUUAUGUAUUGUUUUAGACGAAUAUUGUUAGAUGAGCCAGAAUGAUAUGUUUACAACAUGCAUUGUUUUAGAUAAUUAGUAAGUCCGAAAUAUACUCUCCAUUUAUUUAAUUGUGAAAUACUUAUUGAGAUAUUGUCAUCUAUCUUUGGCUCACAUUACAGCCAAAUCCAAAAUUGUUUAUAUAUGAGUCAAAAGAUUUAUAUCUCACUGAAGACUACAAUUAUAAAAGAAAGAGGAAUCGAUUGAAGACUAUGUAAUUAUUAGAGCAACUAGAGUCGUUUCCGGGCUACGCCCGGGUUAUUUUCUAUGAAAAUAUUAAAGUAGAAUAUCAUAUUAGAUUAAUAUAUUUUUGUUUAAAUUAUGUUUAAUGUAAAAUAGUGUUAGGAUUAAAAUAAUCACUGAAUGUUAAAAAAAAAGUAUUAUCAAUGGCUAUUGGUACUUACUGAUACAAUGAUUAUUUUAAUUGACGUAGGAAGCAGUAAUGUAAAUUUAAAAAUAGUUGACUGGUCUCGUUUGUUGUCUUGUAGUUUGAUCCCAUAUGGACUUAUGCUAUCAGGCUUAUGACAGCAAUUUAUUCCUCUUUUGGAAGCGUUGUAUGAUAUCAAUGUCGUUGUCAAAGUAAAAGCGCAAUCCUGAUGUGGUUGUGAGUGAUAGUUUCCCUGUAAAAGUGAAAUAUUUGUAAGCAUUUAGUUUGACAUAAACUUUAUGUUUAGUUGAUUACCUUCAUGUAACUGUGGAAUGAUACUUGUUAUGAUUACGAUUUGGUUUUUCGUGAUAGAUAUGCGAUUUAGCUCUCUGUAAUAGCCGCCUCGUUGUCCCAUAUAGUUAGACGUACCACUUUAGAUCUACAAAACAUUAUUGUAUUAUAUAUUUUUUGGUGAAAAAACAAAUCUUAUUUAAUAAAAUGUUUGUACCUGUCUAAAAGCAAUCCAAUGAUGAUCUUUGUAUCUGUGUUGUGGUUAUAUAUAUCACUUCCUUGGAUGAGGCAUAUUCGGCCAACAACAUCUGUGGGAAUAAUUUUUUUUAGUAACAAAAAUAGAGAAUUUAUUGGUAUAUGAGAUAGGUAAUGGUAUUUUUUUACCUGGGAGGAAGUUGGUUGCACUUGCUAAGCUGAUCAACCGGGUGUAGUGUUGGGGACGGAAUAUUUAUGAAGGAAUUGGUGGAAUGUUUUCUUGAAUUUGUGUAAUAAUUGAUGUCUCAUUGAUAUUGAUUAUGUAUGGAUGAACGGUAAGCUUGUACCGUUGGUUAUUGGGAAGAAGAUUAAAAUGUCUAAUUUGAUAAAUUUUCCCUUCCUCGAACCGUUGGUACAUUUUAUCAGACGUAGAAAUAGGCACCGUCCCUUCCAUUUGUUGUUCAUGUUUAGUGGUUAAAAGCAAUCAUUUUAAAUGUAGUUGGAAUAAAAAAAAACAUAGUAUUUUUUAGACAAACAUGGAUAUCAAGACACAUGAAAGUUGUUCCUAGUAAAGCAUUUUUGUUUUUGUGGUUUGUGAUGGGCCACAUUCUAAUGAUCCUAACGAUUAUUGGUUAUGGUCCGAGGUGGUCGCUUUGGUUGUUGUGAUCUUUGGCUGCAUGUCCUGCACACAUCAUAGGAAUGAGAUUUAUUUUGUAUUGCCCAUCUAUUAUAAUUUGUAUAUUUUUAUGUGUAGUUUGAGAUUUUUUACGCGCGGAAAGUGCUUUUAAACUUUUUUUUAGAUGAUAAUCUACGAUAAUUUGGAGUUAGCUUAUAUUAUUUUAAUCUCAAACGCAUAUGUGAUGAUGUUUUAGCUGUUAUUUGUUUGAUUUACCAAACUUUUUUGGUUGUCCAAAGUACAGUAGAUCAGUUUUAAAAUUUAAGUUUGUUUUAAAUCAUAUUUAGAAGCAGAGUAAAGUCAUUAUCAUUAUUAAGGGAAAAUGCUGAAGUCUUAAAACAGAGAAGCGGAAAUCAAAAAUAAGAUGGUGGACUUUUUGACGAAGAGGGUGGUAGAUGUGAUGGGAUUUUCUUGAGUUGGAGAACCUGAAAUUUAUUUUGAAAUAAAUCAGUGAACAUAACUUAGUAAUAGGAAACCAUUUACUUAAUUAAUAGAAUAGGGAGACGUACUUGGAAGUAGUAAGGUAUUCAUCAUCAGGGAAGGAGUUUUAACUCUGAUUCAUUUCUGUUCGCUUAGAUAGCAAGAUGGCUUUUCUCAUCCCUCGUCCAUUUUUCUGUCUCACUGGUUAAAUUGUAAGCAAUCCAUUUAAGAGAAUAUAAGCAUAAGACAUCGAGGAACAAUAAUGUUUUUAGGCUGAAAAGAAUCUUAUACCAUAAAGGUCACACUUAUCACAGCCACCUGUACGAUUAAAUUUGAUAACUAAAUUAGUUUAUGAAUAUAUACCGAUGAAGAGUAUAUUAUUAUAAUUUGUUUAAACUUACAAUCAUUAAACUUGGGUUUAAACGUUGGUGGAUCGCAUAUCUGGUGGACUACGAAAUACAUUCAUAAUUUAAAAUAUUAUGAUUUUGGAUAAGGUAAUACUAUAUUUUAAGAGUAAUGACACACCUUUUGGUUUGUUGCGUGAUCCGAGUAGACGUCCUCUUUUUCUUUUAUGUGUGAUCCCUGCAGAAGUUUCUAAAUGAAACAUUUGGGAAGGUGUUAGAUUCUUUUUUUUUCAAAAAUCUUGAAUUGAUUUUAUUUUUCGGAAACGGAGGGAGUAUAUAUUAUGGAACAUGUGGAACGUUUGUGUAUUUAUUUUCAAAUAAAUGUGAGAGUGUUUUCAUUUUUGUUAGUUAUAAAAUCAUAAGUUCCUGUACGAUUUCAGUCAUCCAUAUUUAUUUUCAAAAUUUUAAAACGGUAGAGGGUCCCAAAUGAGGCAAUAACAAAAAGAUACAAAGUUUUUCUUUACCAUUUGAUAAAGAUAAUGAUAUUUAAUUUAAGCCCUGGGCGCACACACUUACUUAUUGGCUGCAUGUUUCCUUUGUCUCUUACUUUAUAGAUAAGUUUCGUAUAAUUAAUAAAUGAUCAUCUUUUUAGGAAUGAUCAUGCGGCCAAAGAAGAAGAAACUGGACCAAAAGAGACUGAUAGAAAGAAAUAUCAGAAGAGAGUGAUAUAUAGGUUAAGCUCUGAGCCAUUCAAAAUUUUAAAAUGGUAGAGGGUCCCUAAUUAGUUUCCAAGUGAGAAAUCUAGAAUGUUCAAAACGCAAGUGAUGAUGUUGUGUUAACGUAUCAUGUGUUUCUUUGUAAACAUGUUUUAAUGGAUGGACUAAACAACACGAUGAAAUAUAUUAUAAUCUCUUCAUUAACGCUUCAAGACAAAAAAAAAUGAUAAAUAGUUGCAGAAAAUUCAAAACAAAAACAAAGAUUCAAGGUAGCGAAACAGAGGAGAGUCAUUUUAAAACAGCGGAAUGAAAGUGGGGUUGACAAGCUGAUUGAAUUAACACGGUCUUUUUACUCACGGUGGCGCUUGCGGGUUUUCUCCACUUCCUCAAUCCCUGGUGGGGUUGCUAUGUCACCACCCAUGCCUAGCUUGGCCGCAACAACAGCCUCGCUGGAUGAUGCUCUUAACAAUCCACCUUCCCCUUAACUGAGUGGAAGCAAUUUGUUGGUGGCCUUCUGCCAUAUAAUUAGUCAAUUACGUAGGUGUUAAAUAAAAUCAGGAAUAAGUGAAGCAGAUCAUCACUAAGAUAAACCCACCACAGCUUGAUUGUCAAUGAUGAGAUCUUCAGUGAUAGUUGAUCAUACAGUGAAGAUACGGUGAAAAAUGUGUGACACGAAUUUGAAAAAAAACUCCUUCCCAGCAAGCUCUCCAAGGCAGCUUGGUAGCUCCUCAUAUCCACCGUUUGGUAUCUGUAGUAGUUUAGUAUUUUCAAUGCGUCGAGAGUUUUCGAGAGUAAACGCAGACAUUUAAAAUAUAUUUUAAAUGUAUUCCUAUAGACAAACAAAAAAAAUACCUCCUCAAGCGUAAGGACAGCAGCUUCUUGCUUGGUCAGCUUGGUCAGCUUUGUCAUCUCCUUUCAAAGACUACAAACAUAGCGCUAUAUUUUCCAUCAUCCACAGCAAGUUCAGCCCGAAACCUUAAAAGAAAGUAUUCCAAGGGUUAUUCAGUAUUAAAAUGAUGGUUUGGUUUUUAGUAAAUUGUAUAGGAUAAACAACGCAAACCUGAUAACACCGGUGACAUGGAGAUUUACACAUUUGUUGCACCGGAGAGAAAUCCAGAUUUCUCUGACUUCCUGUUGCAUUAUGGAAUUCUGCAGUGAUGGACAAUAGUGAUUCGCAAGACCGGCAAGGAUGAAGCCUUGGAUCACAGAAUUCUGCAGAUUUAAACAGAUUUGAUAAUUAAACCAAGAGUUAUAUAAUCGAUCAACACAGUUCUAAUAUAUAAGUAGGGAUAAAUCGAUCAAGGAAGAGAGUGAUUAAAGAUGGGGAGAUGUAGAGGUUGAAGGAGAUAAACUGCAUAUCAGAAAUCUAAAAGGUCACUUUGAGAUUUGUUUGAAGCUGAGAAGAAAACCCUAAUUAUUCCUUUGAAGAUGGAUCGAUGUUUGAGCGUUUUAAGGUUUUGAUUUGUACACAGGAAAGAGAGCAGUAUAUAAAGGAGGAAAAGAGGGAGAUGAAACGAAACCAUAAAGAAGAAAUUGAUUGUGGAGUAUUGAUGGAUGGAUCAGAACUCACGGCAAGAAGACGAAGUGGUAGAGGAGAAGAGACUCGUGACUUCCUAGUCGUAGAUUGUUAGGUUUCUAGAUUUAGGCAAAUGAAAAAGAAAACCCAAAUGAAACCAAAUAAACCGACACACCUAAGCCCAGACGUACUGAGACCCAAAACAAAAAUAAAAUGUUCUGAUUGGUUGAAUAUUUUUGAUGACGUGGCAUGCCUAAAUUUUGAGGAAAUCUCUCUUUUAGUAUUGUGACUAGAUCCUUUCUCCGCGCUACGCGCGGAUAAUAUAUUUAAAUUUGUUAUAUUUAUCAUUUUUAUUUGUAUGAAAAUUUUUGUAUAUUAAAUUAUAUAUAAUUAGUUUUUAAAUUUUAUUUUUUUAUAUUUUUAGUUUAAAGUAAAUAUUUUUAUUAUAUGUAACACAAUUAACUAAUAAAAUAUGAAGAAUUAAGUCCGAGAUUUUAGAGUUAUGUAUUAAAAUUAUGUAUAGAACAUAAAUUAUCUUAGUUUAAAAGAUCGGAAUCUCAUCUCGAAUAAAUUCACGAAACGAAAAAAGUACUUCAAUCCUAUAAAACCCCCUUUUCAAGAAAAAAGCGUACUUAAUAAUAUUUAUUUUACGUGUAAUAGUUGAAAAAUGACAAUUGAAUAUCGAUCUAGAAUAUUAUUUUAAUAUAUCUAAUGGUAAAAUAUUAAUUGUAAUUAACAAAUUUUUGAAUUUUGUAAGAUUACAUGAAUUAGAAGUCUUUAAAAUCUAAAAUCUAUUUUAUUAACAUAAUAUAUUUCUUAUUCAUUUAUUAUUUUGACGUUACAAAAUAUUGCUUUAUUUUAAUUUGUAUAUUAACUUUUUAAUAAUUUACAAGUAAUUUUAAAAUUAUCAAGAAUAUAAUAUAUUUAAAAUUAUUUAUUUAUAUAUAUAUCCAAAUAUGAUGUCUCAUUUUUAUGUGUGUUUGCGUUGAGCAUAUUUAAUUUGUAGUUUGUAUAUUUAAUACCUUGUUGCGUGCCGUUCUAUGGUUUUAAUAAAUGUGUUGUCAUUUCAUUUUUUAUUACUACUAACAUGAUUUUUUAGUGAUCAGUGAUAAUGUAUUUUUAACGUUAUGUAUUUUUUUUAUCGUAUAUUUUCUAACUCUUCAUGCUGACACUUUUUUAGAAUCAUUUUAAUUAGAUAAUAUGUUUAAAGAUGUAAAUAAAAUUGUGUAUGUUGUAAAUCUAGACUUUUUAGUGUAACUGAGCACUUUCAGUUAUGAAAAUUAUAUUAUGAUUUUAUUUUACUAAAUCUUUCUUUCUGUGUAUAUUUUUUGUUUUAUUUUGUAUUUUUACAAUUUUAUUGCCUUAUUCUUUAAUUGCAGAGAAUUGCUAUUUUUAAUUUUUGUUUCAUAUACCUUAAAAGUCUUCGGUUGAUUUUUGUUUGUUUUCUUUCUCUAAUUACAAUGUACAGUUUGACUGUUUCUUUUUUUUUUGGAUCAAACUACUAAUAUCAUGAGAUAGAAAAGUUUAAACUCCAACAAUGGAGUGAAUAUUUGUGCUAGAGAAAACUGAUUUAGCCACUAAUAUAGUGAGAUAUUAUAAUAUUAGAAGGUAUGGAAACUCUUCUCUGUUGUCCUACGCUGGACAUAAUUAAGUUGUUAUCAAUUGAUUCUAUAUUUGUGAUAACUGGAAAUACAUCUUUAUGUCUUCCUUACAUUAUCCUUAAUUGGUUUAUGGUUCGACCAUUUCUAAUAUACUGAGAGUAACAUAAUAUUAGAUGUUGAUUAUCUUCUUCCAAUUAGGAAUGCACAGAAUGAGAGAAAUUCAAGGUGAUACCACUUUACAAUUUUGUCCUCAUAUCUAUAUAGAGUUAGUUUAUAGAUUACUCUAUAUGUUUCAAAAUGUAAUCAGUUUUAAUUAAAAUGUGUAAUAUUUAAAAGUUAUUACUUUAGAAAACUAUCAUUUAAUAUAUAAAUUUAAUCAAUUACACAGUAAUUUACAUAAUUUAAUUGGCCACACAAUAUCCAAUAAAUAUAAAGUUACAUUGAAAUAUAAAAACAAUUUAUUUAGUGAAACAAAAAAUACUUUUAAACCAUUAUAUUAUAAAACAAAGAAAAUAUUCAAAUCAUAUUGAAACAUUCAUAAGAAUCAGAAAAGCUGAAAUCUCAAUGUCGAUCAUUUACGUCGGCCAUGCUUUAGACCAUCUCCAAUGUAUUCCUCUAUUUUUUUCUCUAAAAUAGAGGAAUUUCAUAAUAGAGAUGGAUUGUCUCCGAUGCAUUUUCCUAUUUUCUCUCCUGAAAAAAAAUAUUCUUGAUAUAUUCUUUUUUAAGUUUACAAAUAAUAUUUUUUAUUUCUGAAAGUUGAAAACCAGCCCAAUUUAUUUUAGUAUUUUAUAAAAUUAUGAUAUUAUUUACACUAAAUAUUUCUUUACAAACUAUUAUGUAAAUAAAAAAAUAUAAUUAUAUUUAUAUAAAUAAUAUAUUUCACUAAAAAAAAAUUUUCGGUUAUAAUUGUUUAAGUAAAAAGUUAAAGGAUCAUUUUGUAAAAACAAAUAGAGUAGGUGACAUGGCAAAAAUAUAGUUUCUCAUUGGCCGAUUAUUUUCACCUACGUGGAGACUCUAUCUAAUAUAGCAUAGCUAAAAUACAUUUUAAAAUUUGCUUGAAUGUUCCAAAUAAUGAACUUAUUAAAAUAUCUACAUUAAUAAAAUAUUAAAUUGUAAUAAAUUAUGAGUUAUUCAAGUUCAUGAGUUCAAUGUCAAAUAUUAAACUUUAGAUUUUGUGUAAGUAGAGUGAACCAUUACCAUGGUAAAAUAACUGAAACUAAUUUUCAUAUGUAGCUAUACAUUUUAUCCAAAAAUAUAUAUGUAGUUUUGUACUUGCAAUAGUAGUCAGAAGAAACUUACAAAAACAGAAGUUGUUGUUGAGAGCUUAAGCAGAUUUCUAUAUUCUUUGAUUAUUGUGUUUUUAUCCUUGAUCCAACUCCCAAGUGAAUGUUACUGGUUAAAGUAAUUUCUGACAACUUAAACAUGUCAAGAAUCAUACACACUGGCCAUUUCUUAUAUUUGUUAUUGGGUAAUUUCAUGAGAAAAUGCCAAAAAGGUCAAUACGCCUAUUACAUUAACAUCAUAGUAUAUUUUCUUAUUCCGUUUUCUAACUACCUAGAAUUAAAAACUACUUUUUUUUGCUGAAUAGUAGCUAGAAAAACCUUAUAUAGGCUGAAUAAGCUGAAGGUUAUCUGCCAUGUACUUAUGCCAAGCUAUCAAGAAAAAUAUGUGAAACUUUGGUAGAUAAACCACAAACUAUCAAAAGAAGGUCGUAUAUAAUUCUGCAGAAUAUGUUUAUUUGCUAUGUUUAGAAGAGGGGGAAUCUUGUAUGUAAUUACUAUUACUGAAUUGUCAUUUCCUAAAGACAACCUUUGAAUACAUCCCAAAACUAUAAGACUGAUAAUUUCUUUGUUAGCCAAGUGAAACCCAUUCUAGUUGCAGAUUUCUAGCAUAAGAGAAAUUCAAGUACAUUUAUAAGAGGAAACACAUAAAAGAAGAAAUAAUAAUAAUUACAUGAAUGAUGAAUCCAGACAAACCAAACAACAGUACUUGUCGUUGAACAAACAUUAUUUUUCUUAUAAACUCCAAGUCUCCAACAAUUGCAUACAGAAAAAAAGUCAUGAGAAAAACGCUCUACAAAGUUUCAAAAUUUUCUGGUUGACUCUUUUCUUUCUGUAAACAUCAAAGAUGUCUCCACCUCGAGCUUGUACAACGUGUUUUUUGGUUGCUUGGAAGUAACAGCAAUCCUCUUCGUCCACCAGCUCAAAAUUCAGAUUAUACUUUGUCACUGAAUUUGUUGUUUUGAUUCUUAUGCGAUGGCAUCAGAUCAUAUGGUGCCUUUUAAAUAACCAAGAUGGUCACUAAACUGAGAAGUACCUUCUGAUUUUAGAGCAGAGGCUUCCCAGUUAACACACCGGGUAAACUGUAAAUCUCUGGGGAUUCAGGGUGACUUUCACCGCAAGAAACAAAGUCGUGAACUUCGUUUCCAUUGAACUGCACACUAUUUCCUUCUCCAUUUGCCUUUCCUUCAUCAAAACCCUCUGUCCAACCGCCUCUUCUAACAACCCAAAAGAAGAAUAAGUAUUAGACAUGAGCACAUAACCACAAGUGUCAUCUGGAUCCAGGUUCAUCAAACAUUUUACUGCUUGCUGAGCAACCUCAACUUUUCCUGCAAGCACAAAGAUAAGAACUCCAUAUAAUAGUGUCUUCUUACACCAUUAUGGUCAUUAUUACUCUCUUCUUGAAACUCUUUACUUUUUGGACCCCAACACAAUGGUUUUGUGAUUCCUGAGCUUAAUUCUUUAAAUUCUCAGCUUUGCUCUUUGCUUCUCCAAGCUUUGACUGCGUCUUAUAGGCUUGAUUACCAACUAAUGCUAGCUUAAUCAAAUCAAAUAUGGCCGUUAAAUACGCAACAAUAUCUAUUUUGUUGACUGUGACUAUGACUUGCUCCACACCAAAAGCUAUAAGAACCCGUGUAUGCUCCUUGUCUGCCCUUUCAAAUUAUCUAAGCCCGCUUCAAAAGCACCAAUAGUUGCAUCUAUGACCAGAAUCACAGCAAGUUCGGAACCAUGAGCUAGGUAUAAUACUGAACUCCUAAAAGUACACCACCACAGUUCUGUUGAAGGAGUGUGUUCAAUUUAUUUUUAAAAUUUGACCGAAUAAGUGAAAAUCAAAGCAACAAAAUGUUUGAUGAGGGCUUACGGGGAAAUGAGAAAAUGGACUACAACUCGAGUAGUUGCGGUGACGUUGUUGAGAGCCGAGCCUUGGACAGACUGUAUGUGGCCUACAACAUCUACAAAUAAAUAAACUGGUUUGAAAUGGUAACAACAACAACCAAAGCUCUCUGGUGCAAAAAAAAAAGCUUCUUCAUUCCCAAGAACCUAUGCAUCCACGCUAGCCUUAGAACCAGUUACAAUAUUCCACGGAUAAAACUACAAUUCAGACCCAAAAGAAACAAAGGAAGAAAAAAAUAGAUGAACUCCAAGCAUUUAGAUGGGACUUACUUCUCUCUCAGGCUUGGGAACACAACAUUUGACUAAGCAUCAUUUGUUUAUGGUCCUCAGCUUCCUUAUACAUAUGUUCCAGUCAGAGAAUAGAUUAGUUCCAAAAUGGGGAAUCAAAUCAAUUUCCUUCAACUAAUAGACACACACACUUUUUAGCAUCUUCUGGUUCUCUGUCUUGAUCUGGAUUCUACAUUGAUGAAUUCCAUGAAUCCCCCUUCUAAUUAGGUUAGUUCAAGAUGAGGCAAAAAUAUUUUAAAAUGAAAAAUUUCCCAAUUGAAAAAAUAAAACCGGCAUAAGUGAAGGUUACGAAAAAAUAUAGUACCAUGUCGAGCCAUGAGCUCUUGCUUUCUGCUAUGUCUAGUAGCUUCUGUUUAGGGAUCAGCCUACACAGAAGAAAUAUAAGAGACAUAUUAAUAAAACAUCAAAUUGCAAACAUCGUGUUUUCAAAUAAAACCCAGCUAUUGUUACCAUGUUUCCAUGUCAGGAUCUAUGCGGCAGAAGGAUCCACUGUUGAUUGCUUCGGUAGUCCAUGACGCUAGCGCUGAGGGGAUCUGGCCGAUAUUGACAGUAUAUACUUCUAGAUCUAGAAAAUGGAAAGGCUUGGUUCAGAUUUAGACUGAACUAUUGAUUUCAAAAUUCACUAUACCUUUGGCGGGUGGAUUUGUAGCCGGAGCUUUUACCAGAUCUUCACUACCUUUUGAAAAUGGCUUCCUAAGUUCACAUGAACUGGAAUGAAAAUCACCAGAACUCCACUUGUACGGCGUCGUAGUAGCUUAACUAAACAACCAACACAAACAUCCCUCUGUCUUUAAAAAGGACUCUUAGAAACUGGUACGUGAAAAUACAUCAAAAAUAUCUUCAAAUAUUAUGGAAACGACUAUACCAUUAUAAACAUACACAAAAGGAGCCAGAAUAGACUAAAGGCAAGGAAUCUGGAGCCGCUGUGAAAAGAAAUUGAAUUUGUCAGGAUAUAGAGAGAAAGCAGUUGAAACAAAAAGAUGAAACAGAUAAAUCCAAGGAAACAUACGAUGGGCUCUUCAUAUUCUUUUGAACUUAUGUAUUCGACAUGGCUGGCUGAGGACGUUUAAAUUCUCUUUCAAGCUUCGGUAAAGAAUAAAAACUCUAACAUGGUGUGAGAUUGUUGAAUUACAAUGCAAGAGGAGACUUGCCGGAGGAUUGAACUGAUUUCAUGGCCAUCGAUCCAAGUUGUUGAAUAUGAUUCCAUGAAAGCUUUGACGACGGGUUUAUAUAAGAGCAAGAGAGGAAGGUGGAAGGAGCAUAAAGGAAUAAUUAAGAGUGGGUUGCGAGUAAAACGGUCAGGAUUGGAGGAAUUUGGAACGAUGAAGACAUAUGAAUUCAUCGACUCAGCCUCGGCUGUUUUAGGGUUUCUUUCGAAUUGGGUUUAUGGGCCAACUACUUCAAUUUACGGAUCAAGCAAAAAGCAGCACAACACCAGUGUGACGUGGACAAAUAAACUCACCCUAUUGGCUAAUUUAAAAUGAGGACGUGGAUAGCUUCUCUACUCCUCAUAUAACCCUUUUAGUAUUAGUUAGAUAGUUUGCACUGUGGGAGGGAGCUAACCGAAACCUUAUAGGUCUAAAAAACUGCAGGCAAAGCGCUUCUCCCCUGCAUGCCGAGGCUGAUGGACUCAUCUGGGCAAUGAAGACGCUGUGGGACCAAGGCUACCGUGCAAUGCACUUUGAAACUGAUUGUGCUCAACUCUUAAAGCUGAUACAAAACGUGGAGGAAUGGCCAUCAAUGGUACAUGAGAUGGAAGAUAUCAGAAUACAUUCUAGGAAGUUUGAUCAGUUUACUAUCUCUUAUAUACCCCGUGGUAUGAACUCUCGUGCCGACUGUCUUGCAAAGGCAGCUCGUGCACGUUUAGAUUUCUUUGAAUUUGUUGGUGUUGAGACUCCUGUUUGGCUUGCUCAUGUAGCUAGCCUCUUGGAGUGAUUUUUAAUAAUAAAACUUUGUCGGCAAAAAAAAAAAAAAUACUAAAAGCUAAAUAUACUCCUCAUCUGGCCUGUCUACGUAGGACUAUUAAUUCUAGCCAAUCAUAGAUCUUCAUCUCUCCACAUCACCCCAGUUUAAGUCAAGAAUGAAAAUUUCAGGCUUUUUGCGUGUGAGCUCAUUAGAUUUCAUUAAGGCCCAAGUUCAAACCCACUUCAGCAACACUAAUAUCCUAAUCGACUCUGCCUCAUCCGCUUCGUUCUCCGUUUUGGUUCAUGCAAUCUCUGUUACUGUACCUCCUCUCCUUUCCUACCUUCCACCUUUUCUACUCAUAUAUAAAUUGCUAAAUAGCUUCUUCAAAACACACUUCCAUACAAACCCGAACUCUUAGCUUAAACGUCUUCUGACUUUUCAAUUUCUAAAAGAUCGAAAAACCUUGACCAGUAAAUAAAUCCUCACCUUUUGUUGAACGAAUCCAAUACCUAAAAGAUUAAAUAUAUAUGCUUUUGUUGACUCAAAUAUCUCGAGCUCUGUUUUGUUUUGUUUGAUUCUGAUAGUGAUUUUUCGUGUGCAGAAAAAUGUUUUCUCUGUGUCAUCAUAUACCAGAGUAUGAUAUCGGAGAAGAAGUAUCCUGAUCCAGUCCUCGAAGAGCCAAUCUUAGCGUUUGGUCCACUCUCAGCUGCUUUGCCGAUGAUCUAUUGCGGUGAAGACUCUUCACAAGGGCUUUCUGAACUUCAUGAUCUCAGUCUGGGGUUACUGCAAAGUGGUGAACAUCUUUUUUUUCUUUUUUUUUUGAAACUGAGUGGAACAUCUUGACAAUACUUUUUAAGAAUGUUAGCACGAUCUCAUGAUGAAAUCAAGUAUGGAGCGAUUUCUGCUGUUUUAGACAUCAAGAACAUCACUGCCGUGACAAUGGCAGCAAUAGAUGAGAGCCAGGAUAUGCAGAAGAGUGUAAGAUCGGCGUAGUUGAUCCCUUAUGAUUGGCCACAGGUGAGUUGUUGAGAUUCAGAAUUUCCCUUAUUUUGCUCAGUUGGAUUUUGGUUUUGAUUAUGGGAUGCCACGAGCCUUUUAAUGUUUCUGAAGUAAGUACAUUAUCUAUUAAGCUCUUACCAUCAAGGCUAUGUUGGAUAUUUAUGGGUUACAUUUCAUUCUAUUGGUUACAUGAUUAGGCGUCCAAGUUCCCCGAUGAGCAGUGGGAUCCCAUGUUUACAGUCAGCCUUGCUCAGAAAAACCACCAUCCGCAGCAGUUUCAGACCAAAGGCCCUGCUAAUGUUCCUCCAGGUAAAACAUUAGAAUCCUUUUUAUCCAUAACCUCCUGAUUGUUUUUUUUUGUUAUUGUUAAAAUGACCUGAAACGUCUUUGUUGUUUUAUUUGGUUAUCAAUUGUUUAUGGUCGUAUAACACAAAUGCAUAUUCUCUGAAUCAGCUUAGGAACAACAAAAACUUUCCCUUUUAAUUGAUAUGCCAGGUGAACUUUUGCAGAUGGAAUAAGAUUCCCGAAAAGUUGUGUCUUCAACACUCCUCUCUAUGAGCAAGUACGUAUUUUUGAAUCCUUCACAUGUUUGAUAUGCUUCUGUUUUGGAGUUAGCUUUAUAGUUCUUACUGAGCCAUUCAUACAUUAUGAUUGGGUUUCGUAUCUGAUUGGAUUUAGGGAAUUUGUUGUUUUGGUAUUGGUCUACCAGAAAUGAUGUGUUAUUGUCUGCGUUAUAUUUAUGUUCAUAUUUUGAACUGAAAUUGACAUUUGUGGGUGUAUGAUCUUGGCAGAGAAAUUGAGCAAAUUCAGAAAUAAGUUUGCAGAUUAUAGAUAUCAAUCUUUUGAUUAGAAAACUGUUCCAAUUUCAAAAAAACAAAAAUCUGAUUCAAACUGCUAGGUUUCUGAUUGAGUUUUGGUUCAUAGGUUGUUAAUGAAGCGCCAAAGUUAAGAUAUGAAUAGGGUAACCUAUUCGAUUGUGGAGGUAUACCUUAAUACCUUAUCUUUACAUUUCUUCUUGACUUGCCAUCCAGAUCUCCUUUGCUCAUUAGGGUUUAUAUAGAUCUUGAUAGGACUUACGAAAUACAAUCAGAGCACCUUAUGGGGCAGUUUGGCAUUGUGAUAUGUAGUGAGCAAGAGCUUGCUGAAUAUACCCAUUGUUUCAGGUUUUGAAGAAGAACUUGCUGAAUAAGUUUCUACCAUUAAUUUUGUUUAAAAAGCGUUCCUCGAAUCUCUGUCCUAUUAGUUUUAUAGAUUUGGAUCAACUUGUGCACCUAAUAAAUCACAUUUGUGAUGUAUGAAUUAUCAAUGGUUCUUUUGUGUUUUUUGGUAUGGAUUACUCAUUGUUUCAGGGUCAUAUUAGCUUUGAGUUGCCUCAUCUUUUUGUUUCGUUGGAAUUUAAAAUAUCUGUUUUGUUAUUUAUGAAAUAAGACUUAAGUGCUCUAUAUAAUAUAGUUUGUUUCCACCAUUCCUUUAUGUAUUGUUUUAGACGAAUAUUGUUAGAUGAGCCAGAAUGAUAUGUUUACAACAUGCAUUGUUUUAGAUAAUUAGUAAGUCCGAAAUAUACUCUCCAUUUAUUUAAUUGUGAAAUACUUAUUGAGAUAUUGUCAUCUAUCUUUGGCUCACAUUACAGCCAAAUCCAAAAUUGUUUAUAUAUGAGUCAAAAGAUUUAUAUCUCACUGAAGACUACAAUUAUAAAAGAAAGAGGAAUCGAUUGAAGACUAUGUAAUUAUUAGAGCAACUAGAGUCGUUUCCGGGCUACGCCCGGGUUAUUUUCUAUGAAAAUAUUAAAGUAGAAUAUCAUAUUAGAUUAAUAUAUUUUUGUUUAAAUUAUGUUUAAUGUAAAAUAGUGUUAGGAUUAAAAUAAUCACUGAAUGUUAAAAAAAAAGUAUUAUCAAUGGCUAUUGGUACUUACUGAUACAAUGAUUAUUUUAAUUGACGUAGGAAGCAGUAAUGUAAAUUUAAAAAUAGUUGACUGGUCUCGUUUGUUGUCUUGUAGUUUGAUCCCAUAUGGACUUAUGCUAUCAGGCUUAUGACAGCAAUUUAUUCCUCUUUUGGAAGCGUUGUAUGAUAUCAAUGUCGUUGUCAAAGUAAAAGCGCAAUCCUGAUGUGGUUGUGAGUGAUAGUUUCCCUGUAAAAGUGAAAUAUUUGUAAGCAUUUAGUUUGACAUAAACUUUAUGUUUAGUUGAUUACCUUCAUGUAACUGUGGAAUGAUACUUGUUAUGAUUACGAUUUGGUUUUUCGUGAUAGAUAUGCGAUUUAGCUCUCUGUAAUAGCCGCCUCGUUGUCCCAUAUAGUUAGACGUACCACUUUAGAUCUACAAAACAUUAUUGUAUUAUAUAUUUUUUGGUGAAAAAACAAAUCUUAUUUAAUAAAAUGUUUGUACCUGUCUAAAAGCAAUCCAAUGAUGAUCUUUGUAUCUGUGUUGUGGUUAUAUAUAUCACUUCCUUGGAUGAGGCAUAUUCGGCCAACAACAUCUGUGGGAAUAAUUUUUUUUAGUAACAAAAAUAGAGAAUUUAUUGGUAUAUGAGAUAGGUAAUGGUAUUUUUUUACCUGGGAGGAAGUUGGUUGCACUUGCUAAGCUGAUCAACCGGGUGUAGUGUUGGGGACGGAAUAUUUAUGAAGGAAUUGGUGGAAUGUUUUCUUGAAUUUGUGUAAUAAUUGAUGUCUCAUUGAUAUUGAUUAUGUAUGGAUGAACGGUAAGCUUGUACCGUUGGUUAUUGGGAAGAAGAUUAAAAUGUCUAAUUUGAUAAAUUUUCCCUUCCUCGAACCGUUGGUACAUUUUAUCAGACGUAGAAAUAGGCACCGUCCCUUCCAUUUGUUGUUCAUGUUUAGUGGUUAAAAGCAAUCAUUUUAAAUGUAGUUGGAAUAAAAAAAAACAUAGUAUUUUUUAGACAAACAUGGAUAUCAAGACACAUGAAAGUUGUUCCUAGUAAAGCAUUUUUGUUUUUGUGGUUUGUGAUGGGCCACAUUCUAAUGAUCCUAACGAUUAUUGGUUAUGGUCCGAGGUGGUCGCUUUGGUUGUUGUGAUCUUUGGCUGCAUGUCCUGCACACAUCAUAGGAAUGAGAUUUAUUUUGUAUUGCCCAUCUAUUAUAAUUUGUAUAUUUUUAUGUGUAGUUUGAGAUUUUUUACGCGCGGAAAGUGCUUUUAAACUUUUUUUUAGAUGAUAAUCUACGAUAAUUUGGAGUUAGCUUAUAUUAUUUUAAUCUCAAACGCAUAUGUGAUGAUGUUUUAGCUGUUAUUUGUUUGAUUUACCAAACUUUUUUGGUUGUCCAAAGUACAGUAGAUCAGUUUUAAAAUUUAAGUUUGUUUUAAAUCAUAUUUAGAAGCAGAGUAAAGUCAUUAUCAUUAUUAAGGGAAAAUGCUGAAGUCUUAAAACAGAGAAGCGGAAAUCAAAAAUAAGAUGGUGGACUUUUUGACGAAGAGGGUGGUAGAUGUGAUGGGAUUUUCUUGAGUUGGAGAACCUGAAAUUUAUUUUGAAAUAAAUCAGUGAACAUAACUUAGUAAUAGGAAACCAUUUACUUAAUUAAUAGAAUAGGGAGACGUACUUGGAAGUAGUAAGGUAUUCAUCAUCAGGGAAGGAGUUUUAACUCUGAUUCAUUUCUGUUCGCUUAGAUAGCAAGAUGGCUUUUCUCAUCCCUCGUCCAUUUUUCUGUCUCACUGGUUAAAUUGUAAGCAAUCCAUUUAAGAGAAUAUAAGCAUAAGACAUCGAGGAACAAUAAUGUUUUUAGGCUGAAAAGAAUCUUAUACCAUAAAGGUCACACUUAUCACAGCCACCUGUACGAUUAAAUUUGAUAACUAAAUUAGUUUAUGAAUAUAUACCGAUGAAGAGUAUAUUAUUAUAAUUUGUUUAAACUUACAAUCAUUAAACUUGGGUUUAAACGUUGGUGGAUCGCAUAUCUGGUGGACUACGAAAUACAUUCAUAAUUUAAAAUAUUAUGAUUUUGGAUAAGGUAAUACUAUAUUUUAAGAGUAAUGACACACCUUUUGGUUUGUUGCGUGAUCCGAGUAGACGUCCUCUUUUUCUUUUAUGUGUGAUCCCUGCAGAAGUUUCUAAAUGAAACAUUUGGGAAGGUGUUAGAUUCUUUUUUUUUCAAAAAUCUUGAAUUGAUUUUAUUUUUCGGAAACGGAGGGAGUAUAUAUUAUGGAACAUGUGGAACGUUUGUGUAUUUAUUUUCAAAUAAAUGUGAGAGUGUUUUCAUUUUUGUUAGUUAUAAAAUCAUAAGUUCCUGUACGAUUUCAGUCAUCCAUAUUUAUUUUCAAAAUUUUAAAACGGUAGAGGGUCCCAAAUGAGGCAAUAACAAAAAGAUACAAAGUUUUUCUUUACCAUUUGAUAAAGAUAAUGAUAUUUAAUUUAAGCCCUGGGCGCACACACUUACUUAUUGGCUGCAUGUUUCCUUUGUCUCUUACUUUAUAGAUAAGUUUCGUAUAAUUAAUAAAUGAUCAUCUUUUUAGGAAUGAUCAUGCGGCCAAAGAAGAAGAAACUGGACCAAAAGAGACUGAUAGAAAGAAAUAUCAGAAGAGAGUGAUAUAUAGGUUAAGCUCUGAGCCAUUCAAAAUUUUAAAAUGGUAGAGGGUCCCUAAUUAGUUUCCAAGUGAGAAAUCUAGAAUGUUCAAAACGCAAGUGAUGAUGUUGUGUUAACGUAUCAUGUGUUUCUUUGUAAACAUGUUUUAAUGGAUGGACUAAACAACACGAUGAAAUAUAUUAUAAUCUCUUCAUUAACGCUUCAAGACAAAAAAAAAUGAUAAAUAGUUGCAGAAAAUUCAAAACAAAAACAAAGAUUCAAGGUAGCGAAACAGAGGAGAGUCAUUUUAAAACAGCGGAAUGAAAGUGGGGUUGACAAGCUGAUUGAAUUAACACGGUCUUUUUACUCACGGUGGCGCUUGCGGGUUUUCUCCACUUCCUCAAUCCCUGGUGGGGUUGCUAUGUCACCACCCAUGCCUAGCUUGGCCGCAACAACAGCCUCGCUGGAUGAUGCUCUUAACAAUCCACCUUCCCCUUAACUGAGUGGAAGCAAUUUGUUGGUGGCCUUCUGCCAUAUAAUUAGUCAAUUACGUAGGUGUUAAAUAAAAUCAGGAAUAAGUGAAGCAGAUCAUCACUAAGAUAAACCCACCACAGCUUGAUUGUCAAUGAUGAGAUCUUCAGUGAUAGUUGAUCAUACAGUGAAGAUACGGUGAAAAAUGUGUGACACGAAUUUGAAAAAAAACUCCUUCCCAGCAAGCUCUCCAAGGCAGCUUGGUAGCUCCUCAUAUCCACCGUUUGGUAUCUGUAGUAGUUUAGUAUUUUCAAUGCGUCGAGAGUUUUCGAGAGUAAACGCAGACAUUUAAAAUAUAUUUUAAAUGUAUUCCUAUAGACAAACAAAAAAAAUACCUCCUCAAGCGUAAGGACAGCAGCUUCUUGCUUGGUCAGCUUGGUCAGCUUUGUCAUCUCCUUUCAAAGACUACAAACAUAGCGCUAUAUUUUCCAUCAUCCACAGCAAGUUCAGCCCGAAACCUUAAAAGAAAGUAUUCCAAGGGUUAUUCAGUAUUAAAAUGAUGGUUUGGUUUUUAGUAAAUUGUAUAGGAUAAACAACGCAAACCUGAUAACACCGGUGACAUGGAGAUUUACACAUUUGUUGCACCGGAGAGAAAUCCAGAUUUCUCUGACUUCCUGUUGCAUUAUGGAAUUCUGCAGUGAUGGACAAUAGUGAUUCGCAAGACCGGCAAGGAUGAAGCCUUGGAUCACAGAAUUCUGCAGAUUUAAACAGAUUUGAUAAUUAAACCAAGAGUUAUAUAAUCGAUCAACACAGUUCUAAUAUAUAAGUAGGGAUAAAUCGAUCAAGGAAGAGAGUGAUUAAAGAUGGGGAGAUGUAGAGGUUGAAGGAGAUAAACUGCAUAUCAGAAAUCUAAAAGGUCACUUUGAGAUUUGUUUGAAGCUGAGAAGAAAACCCUAAUUAUUCCUUUGAAGAUGGAUCGAUGUUUGAGCGUUUUAAGGUUUUGAUUUGUACACAGGAAAGAGAGCAGUAUAUAAAGGAGGAAAAGAGGGAGAUGAAACGAAACCAUAAAGAAGAAAUUGAUUGUGGAGUAUUGAUGGAUGGAUCAGAACUCACGGCAAGAAGACGAAGUGGUAGAGGAGAAGAGACUCGUGACUUCCUAGUCGUAGAUUGUUAGGUUUCUAGAUUUAGGCAAAUGAAAAAGAAAACCCAANNNNNNNNNNNNNNNNNNNNNNNNNNNNNNNNNNNNNNNNNNNNNNNNNNNNNNNNNNNNNNNNNNNNNNNNNNNNNNNNNNNNNNNNNNNNNNNNNNNNGGGUCGGACAGCGACAGCACGACAUAGCCGUCUCGGAGUCCGUCGACGCCGCGCAGCACGUGGGUAAUCCGGCGUUCGAUGCUGUGCCCGUACUCGGGCCGAUCCGUGCGCCAGAAGCGGAUUCGGUCGCCGGCCUGAUAGUCGCGGUCGUCGUAACGGACUUCGGCGAACUUCUCGGACUGCUGGAUCCGGUCGAACCAGCGCGGCUCGAUCUUCACGUCGUGAACGGUGGUCAUCGGUUGGUCCCCCAGACUUCGGCCCAGCGGCCGGCCAGCACGAGGUCGGCGACGUGCUGCCGGUGUUCCUCGUGCUCGGCGACCGCGGUCUUCUCGGCGUCGAGGCAGCGCUUGACGUCGGCGACGGUGUGACUGAACUUGUUCGCGCGGUGCCGGCCGCGGUGGAAUAGCGCGCGCAUCAGCCGAUGUGUCCGGGUUCGUCGGGCAGCACGGUUUCCGGUCGCACGGGAUAGACCUCGACGCCGGCCGACUUCCGCGGAACGAAACGCUCCGGGUAGUAGGUGCAGCUCGAAUAGCGGUAGCCACCAGAGCAGGACGAGCGCGCCGGCGCCGUGUAGGCCGGCGACCAGAACUCGCGGGCCCGCUGCCAGGAUCCGUCCGGCUGGAUCGGCCCGUCGCAGAUCGUGCGCGUAUUCGACUGGAACGGAAUCAACCAGAACUGCGUGAGGCAGUUCGACGAAUCCGCCUUGACCGGCGGCGCCAGCCAGAGCACGAACAUUGCGACCAGCACGGCGCCGGACGCCAUGGCGAGCAACGCGCGAAUCACAGUCCGGGCACUGGCGCCUCGACGAGGCUCGGUCGGCGGUGUCGCUGACCUGCUGUAAUGCGGAUCUUCGUUGAUCGCGCCGCGGUGUUCGGCGUGCUCGGCCGCUUCGCGAACGGCCUUCCAGUAAUCGUCGGGAGUCCAGAUCGGCCGUAGAUUGUCGUGUGACAUUCGAACUAUUCCUUCGGGUGUCAGGGCCGGCGUUCCGGUAUCAGCGGGGCGCCGGCCGUCCAUCACUCGCCGCGUUCGGGCGAGUUGUUCGGGGCGCCGUCAGCCGGCGGAACGUCGUCGAGCUCUACGACGGCGUAUUGGGUUGCGCGAUCGCGCAGAGCGUCGACCAGGACGUCGACGUCGGUCAGAUCGCCGGUGGUCUUGAGCAGAAUCGGUUUCCAGCCGGCGAUGAUGGUCGCGGCGAUGUUGAGCAGCUUCGAAUCGGACAGGUCGUCGAGCGCCGCGCGGACGUCGCCGAGCGGAAUCGACAGAUCGUCAGCCGGCGCCGGCGACUCGGCCGGCGUCAGGUAGUCGCCGGCCUCGUAGUCCGAGAACCCGCGGUCAUGCUCGCGGAGCGCGAACCCGACGGCAAUCAGAGCGUCGCCGGCCAGACCGCAGAGGGCGCCGAGGGUGCCCUUCAUUCGGAAUCGGAAUCGUUGUCGGAGCCGGUGCGGCCGGUGUACGCGUCGAGCGCUCGGCGUGCCUUGAACACUUCGCCGUAGAGACGCGCGGCUUCGGCGUCGACCAGGAACAACGGUCCGACGCGUCGCGCGGACCUGCAGGCAUGCAAGCUUGGCACUGGCCGUCGUUUUACAACGUCGUGACUGGGAAAACCCUGGCGUUACCCAACUUAAUCGCCUUGCAGCACAUCCCCCUUUCGCCAGCUGGCGUAAUAGCGAAGAGGCCCGCACCGAUCGCCCUUCCCAACAGUUGCGCAGCCUGAAUGGCGAAUGGCGCCUGAUGCGGUAUUUUCUCCUUACGCAUCUGUGCGGUAUUUCACACCGCAUACGUCAAAGCAACCAUAGUACGCGCCCUGUAGCGGCGCAUUAAGCGCGGCGGGUGUGGUGGUUACGCGCAGCGUGACCGCUACACUUGCCAGCGCCCUAGCGCCCGCUCCUUUCGCUUUCUUCCCUUCCUUUCUCGCCACGUUCGCCGGCUUUCCCCGUCAAGCUCUAAAUCGGGGGCUCCCUUUAGGGUUCCGAUUUAGUGCUUUACGGCACCUCGACCCCAAAAAACUUGAUUUGGGUGAUGGUUCACGUAGUGGGCCAUCGCCCUGAUAGACGGUUUUUCGCCCUUUGACGUUGGAGUCCACGUUCUUUAAUAGUGGACUCUUGUUCCAAACUGGAACAACACUCAACCCUAUCUCGGGCUAUUCUUUUGAUUUAUAAGGGAUUUUGCCGAUUUCGGCCUAUUGGUUAAAAAAUGAGCUGAUUUAACAAAAAUUUAACGCGAAUUUUAACAAAAUAUUAACGUUUACAAUUUUAUGGUGCACUCUCAGUACAAUCUGCUCUGAUGCCGCAUAGUUAAGCCAGCCCCGACACCCGCCAACACCCGCUGACGCGCCCUGACGGGCUUGUCUGCUCCCGGCAUCCGCUUACAGACAAGCUGUGACCGUCUCCGGGAGCUGCAUGUGUCAGAGGUUUUCACCGUCAUCACCGAAACGCGCGAGACGAAAGGGCCUCGUGAUACGCCUAUUUUUAUAGGUUAAUGUCAUGAUAAUAAUGGUUUCUUAGACGUCAGGUGGCACUUUUCGGGGAAAUGUGCGCGGAACCCCUAUUUGUUUAUUUUUCUAAAUACAUUCAAAUAUGUAUCCGCUCAUGAGACAAUAACCCUGAUAAAUGCUUCAAUAAUAUUGAAAAAGGAAGAGUAUGAGUAUUCAACAUUUCCGUGUCGCCCUUAUUCCCUUUUUUGCGGCAUUUUGCCUUCCUGUUUUUGCUCACCCAGAAACGCUGGUGAAAGUAAAAGAUGCUGAAGAUCAGUUGGGUGCACGAGUGGGUUACAUCGAACUGGAUCUCAACAGCGGUAAGAUCCUUGAGAGUUUUCGCCCCGAAGAACGUUUUCCAAUGAUGAGCACUUUUAAAGUUCUGCUAUGUGGCGCGGUAUUAUCCCGUAUUGACGCCGGGCAAGAGCAACUCGGUCGCCGCAUACACUAUUCUCAGAAUGACUUGGUUGAGUACUCACCAGUCACAGAAAAGCAUCUUACGGAUGGCAUGACAGUAAGAGAAUUAUGCAGUGCUGCCAUAACCAUGAGUGAUAACACUGCGGCCAACUUACUUCUGACAACGAUCGGAGGACCGAAGGAGCUAACCGCUUUUUUGCACAACAUGGGGGAUCAUGUAACUCGCCUUGAUCGUUGGGAACCGGAGCUGAAUGAAGCCAUACCAAACGACGAGCGUGACACCACGAUGCCUGUAGCAAUGGCAACAACGUUGCGCAAACUAUUAACUGGCGAACUACUUACUCUAGCUUCCCGGCAACAAUUAAUAGACUGGAUGGAGGCGGAUAAAGUUGCAGGACCACUUCUGCGCUCGGCCCUUCCGGCUGGCUGGUUUAUUGCUGAUAAAUCUGGAGCCGGUGAGCGUGGGUCUCGCGGUAUCAUUGCAGCACUGGGGCCAGAUGGUAAGCCCUCCCGUAUCGUAGAUAUAUACACGACGGGGAGUCAGGCAACUAUGGAUGAACGAAAUAGACAGAUCGCUGAGAUAGGUGCCUCACUGAUUAAGCAUUGGUAACUGUCAGACCAAGUUUACUCAUAUAUACUUUAGAUUGAUUUAAAACUUCAUUUUUAAUUUAAAAGGAUCUAGGUGAAGAUCCUUUUUGAUAAUCUCAUGACCAAAAUCCCUUAACGUGAGUUUUCGUUCCACUGAGCGUCAGACCCCGUAGAAAAGAUCAAAGGAUCUUCUUGAGAUCCUUUUUUUCUGCGCGUAAUCUGCUGCUUGCAAACAAAAAAACCACCGCUACCAGCGGUGGUUUGUUUGCCGGAUCAAGAGCUACCAACUCUUUUUCCGAAGGUAACUGGCUUCAGCAGAGCGCAGAUACCAAAUACUGUUCUUCUAGUGUAGCCGUAGUUAGGCCACCACUUCAAGAACUCUGUAGCACCGCCUACAUACCUCGCUCUGCUAAUCCUGUUACCAGUGGCUGCUGCCAGUGGCGAUAAGUCGUGUCUUACCGGGUUGGACUCAAGACGAUAGUUACCGGAUAAGGCGCAGCGGUCGGGCUGAACGGGGGGUUCGUGCACACAGCCCAGCUUGGAGCGAACGACCUACACCGAACUGAGAUACCUACAGCGUGAGCUAUGAGAAAGCGCCACGCUUCCCGAAGGGAGAAAGGCGGACAGGUAUCCGGUAAGCGGCAGGGUCGGAACAGGAGAGCGCACGAGGGAGCUUCCAGGGGGAAACGCCUGGUAUCUUUAUAGUCCUGUCGGGUUUCGCCACCUCUGACUUGAGCGUCGAUUUUUGUGAUGCUCGUCAGGGGGGCGGAGCCUAUGGAAAAACGCCAGCAACGCGGCCUUUUUACGGUUCCUGGCCUUUUGCUGGCCUUUUGCUCACAUGUUCUUUCCUGCGUUAUCCCCUGAUUCUGUGGAUAACCGUAUUACCGCCUUUGAGUGAGCUGAUACCUGGCAGGGCGGGGCGUAAUUUUUUUAAGGCAGUUAUUGGUGCCCUUAAACGCCUGGUUGCUACGCCUGAAUAAGUGAUAAUAAGCGGAUGAAUGGCAGAAAUUCGAUGAUAAGCUGUCAAACAUGAGAAUUGGUCGACGGCCCGGGCGGCCGCAAGGGGUUCGCGUUGGCCGAUUCAUUAAUGCAGCUGGCACGACAGGUUUCCCGACUGGAAAGCGGGCAGUGAGCGCAACGCAAUUAAUGUGAGUUAGCUCACUCAUUAGGCACCCCAGGCUUUACACUUUAUGCUUCCGGCUCGUAUGUUGUGUGGAAUUGUGAGCGGAUAACAAUUUCACACAGGAAACAGCUAUGACCAUGAUUACGCCAAGCUAUUUAGGUGAGACUAUAGAAUACUCAAGCUUGCAUGCCUGCAGGUCGACUCUAGAGGAUCCCCGGGUACCGAGCUCGAAUUCCUUUUGCCAAUGAAAAGAACAAGAGGAAACUCAAAUCCAUCAAAGAUAAAGCAAUAAUCUGCUUAUACCGUCAGUGUAGAAACUUCACUUCCAGAUGAGUUACAGGACUUGAGGCAUAUGCAAGUUAUCCUACCACAUGAACUACAUCUGCAGGAUGAAGUUGGGGUUGAACCUGCAUAAUAUGCAUAUACAGUUAUACAAUACGACUGUUGAGAACCCACUUAUUAAAAAAAGUAAAAUUUCCACACGUAAAUACCUUUGCUUGGGUUUUCCACAGUCGAACCAAGACCCUGCUCGAAUUUCUUAAUCCUCAACUGAAAAUAUCAAACAUAUGUCAAUCGUUUCAAUCCAAAAAAAUUACCCAUAAUCACAGUAACAAGUCUAUCAUUCUGAUCAUAUACCAUACCUUGGUUGCUAAAGUCGUCUGUGUGACAACAGGAGUAUCCUUUUUGCUCAGCUUUGUCACAGAUUUUAACAAAGGAGGAACCUUUUGAGACAUCUCUUUCGCCCGUUUUGGCAAUUCCGCAGAGAACCUCCCAGAGGAUGCUGACGUUUCAGGGCUGCUCUGUCUAACCCAACCCACUUCAACCGGCUGCCUUCUAGAACCUUCUGUAACUUUCUCCCCGUGUAAAUCCGAAACCUUUUUCUUCCUAAGCGAUUCCCAUCUCGCCUCAAAAAUCUCCAGAAGCUCCUUCGCCACAUCAUGAACAAAAUUCUCCGGAGGAUUAUACCUCAACGCAUUGUCAAAAGUCAACCUGACAUCGGCCGCAAACUCAUCCGCACUGCUGUAAACAUUCUUCAAAAGCUUGGAACUGAUAGUGCCAAGAUCCAUGGGCUUCGAUAUCACAGAGAAGUAAUCAGGAAUGUUGAGCUUAACAGGAUCCACAGGCUCGCCAAACAGCCACCCAAACUCGUGCCCUCUCAAAGAUUUCAAGAGGUUAAGACACUGACUAGACAAAACACGGUUCAGCUUCUGCUUCUUGUGAGCCUGAACCUCCUCUAGCUCCUCAGGUCCACGCUUCCUUGACUGAACAUCUUCUUCUUCUUUACCGAUGGGUUUAUUCUCAGUGCUCUUAGCGUUAGUGCAGUUGUUAAACGUUUGGAAAGCUUUGACGGAGCCUUCAGGGCCAAACUUUAUCCUCAGUUUGGUUAUUCCAACCAUUGCUUCUUGAUUCGAAUACACAUAAAAUCAAAACCAGUUUCAGAAUCGAUUCAAAUUCAAAUUCGAUUCAACGAUUAGAUACCCAAGCAAAGAACGAUUCUGAAAAGAGCGAUUAGGGUUUAUAAGUGCGGCUGCACAAAACUCGAAAAUUAGGGUUUUUACGUCAAGACGAUCAACUCGAUUCAACAAUUGGAUACACAAGCAAACUCCGACUAAUUAGGGUUUAUCGAAAUCGAUACGAUUGAGAUGAAAACAUUACGCUUCGAAACGAAAUUUAAUGACGAAUCCGAGAAGAGCAAUGAUUAGAGAGAGAGAGAGAGAGAGAGAGAGCUCUUACCUGGGGAAAGAAUUGAUCGAACGAAGGAAGGAGCGAUUAUGAGAGAGUGCAGUCGGCGUAAAGCAGAGUGAUGACGAACAUUAACCUUUUCUUUUCUUUCCAAGUGAGGCUUUUAUAGGGUGGAUUAAAUAAACGUGCAUUGUUAACCCUUUGUGCGAGCAAUGAUUUUACGCUUCGAAACGAAAUUUAAUGACGAAUCGAGAGAGAGAGAGAGAGAGAGAGAGAGAGAGAGAGAGAGAGAGCUCUUACCUGGGGAAAGAAUUGAUCGAACGAAGGAAGGAGCGAUUAUGAGAGAGUGCAGUCGGCGUAAAGCAGAGUGAUGACGAACAUUAACCUUUUCUUUUCUUUCCAAGUGAGGCUUUUAUAGGGUGGAUUAAAUAAACGUGCAUUGUUAACCCUUUGUGCGCAAAAGAAAAAGGUUAACCUUUAAUUAAUCGAUUAAACCACGUCAAAAUAACACAACACAACACAUUGAACACACCACAAAAUAAUUGUUAUUAUCUCGCAUUUAAAAAGUAACCUCCAGAGGAGAAAAUUUCCUUUUUGUAAUAAUUAAUAAAUGAUGUUCAGUCUACAUUAUGAAAAUAUUCUUUCCAGUUAUGUAUUUUUUAGAGGAAAAGACUAGGAUAGCACCAAACCAAGUUUUGUUCUCAAACUAGCAUUCAAGGUUUAAAGUCACAAAAAUAUGUUUCAUUAAAGAGAUAAAUAUACACUUAUACCCCUUGGGUUAAUUAAUUCAAACUUUAGGGUUUAGAGUUAAGAGGUGAGGUUUUGGAAUUAGGGUUUAAAAUUUUAUAAAAUAAAUAGUAAAAAAUUAAAAAUAAAAUUAUAAAAAACAGUUUCAAAAAGUAUUUUUGAAUUAUAAAAAGAAAAUUUGAAAAANNNNNNNNNNNNNNNNNNNNNNNNNNNNNNNNNNNNNNNNNNNNNNNNNNNNNNNNNNNNNNNNNNNNNNNNNNNNNNNNNNNNNNNNNNNNNNNNNNNNNNNNNNNNNNNNNNNNNNNNNNNNNNNNNNNNNNNNNNNNNNNNNNNNNNNNNNNNNNNNNNNNNNNNNNNNNNNNNNNNNNNNNNNNNNNNNNNNNNNNNNNNNNNNNNNNNNNNNNNNNNNNNNNNNNNNNNNNNNNNNNNNNNNNNNNNNNNNNNNNNNNNNNNNNNNNNNNNNNNNNNNNNNNNNNNNNNNNNNNNNNNNNNNNNNNNNNNNNNNNNNNNNNNNNNNNNNNNNNNNNNNNNNNNNNNNNNNNNNNNNNNNNNNNNNNNNNNNNNNNNNNNNNNNNNNNNNNNNNNNNNNNNNNNNNNNNNNNNNNNNNNNNNNNNNNNNNNNNNNNNNNNNNNNNNNNNNNNNNNNNNNNNNNNNNNNNNNNNNNNNNNNNNNNNNNNNNNNNNNNNNNNNNNNNNNNNNNNNNNNNNNNNNNNNNNNNNNNNNNNNNNNNNNNNNNNNNNNNNNNNNNNNNNNNNNNNNNNNNNNNNNNNNNNNNNNNNNNNNNNNNNNNNNNNNNNNNNNNNNNNNNNNNNNNNNNNNNNNNNNNNNNNNNNNNNNNNNNNNNNNNNNNNNNNNNNNNNNNNNNNNNNNNNNNNNNNNNNNNNNNNNNNNNNNNNNNNNNNNNNNNNNNNNNNNNNNNNNNNNNNNNNNNNNNNNNNNNNNNNNNNNNNNNNNNNNNNNNNNNNNNNNNNNNNNNNNNNNNNNNNNNNNNNNNNNNNNNNNNNNNNNNNNNNNNNNNNNNNNNNNNNNNNNNNNNNNNNNNNNNNNNNNNNNNNNNNNNNNNNNNNNNNNNNNNNNNNNNNNNNNNNNNNNNNNNNNNNNNNNNNNNNNNNNNNNNNNNNNNNNNNNNNNNNNNNNNNNNNNNNNNNNNNNNNNNNNNNNNNNNNNNNNNNNNNNNNNNNNNNNNNNNNNNNNNNNNNNNNNNNNNNNNNNNNNNNNNNNNNNNNNNNNNNNNNNNNNNNNNNNNNNNNNNNNNNNNNNNNNNNNNNNNNNNNNNNNNNNNNNNNNNNNNNNNNNNNNNNNNNNNNNNNNNNNNNNNNNNNNNNNNNNNNNNNNNNNNNNNNNNNNNNNNNNNNNNNNNNNNNNNNNNNNNNNNNNNNNNNNNNNNNNNNNNNNNNNNNNNNNNNNNNNNNNNNNNNNNNNNNNNNNNNNNNNNNNNNNNNNNNNNNNNNNNNNNNNNNNNNNNNNNNNNNNNNNNNNNNNNNNNNNNNNNNNNNNNNNNNNNNNNNNNNNNNNNNNNNNNNNNNNNNNNNNNNNNNNNNNNNNNNNNNNNNNNNNNNNNNNNNNNNNNNNNNNNNNNNNNNNNNNNNNNNNNNNNNNNNNNNNNNNNNNNNNNNNNNNNNNNNNNNNNNNNNNNNNNNNNNNNNNNNNNNNNNNNNNNNNNNNNNNNNNNNNNNNNNNNNNNNNNNNNNNNNNNNNNNNNNNNNNNNNNNNNNNNNNNNNNNNNNNNNNNNNNNNNNNNNNNNNNNNNNNNNNNNCUUAGGUCCCUUUGGGCCGUCUUUCGACUUGAAGCGUUUAUUACGUCUUCUUUCGAUAAAAACAAACUUUCCGCGGUUUUUAUCGUAAAGUUUUAUUGAUGACUUCGAAUGGCAGAAAACAUGAAAUGGGUUCGCUACGGUCUUCGGGAGACAGCAUCGAAGGGUAGACGAGAAUGCAUGGAUUUGUGUUGUAUCGUCGUUUUGGAAGAGCUUGGUCGCUACGUAGCGACCGAGCUCGGUUCGAGCUUGGUCGCUUCGCAUUGACCGGGCAGUUUGCAUGUGCGGUAGUUGCGUAGUGACUGAGCUUGGUUUGUCCGUGUUCCGAUCGUCAUAUUCGAACCUAUACGUGGCUGGUUUAGAUACGUUUCCGUUACCUUGGGACAGCUUGUGUUUGAUCCAAACGGGAUUUGAACAAGGUUUAAUCUCGAGAACAUAAGUCGCGACAUUCUUUUGACCAAGCACAAUUUGUCGCGGAAAGAUACUCAUACUUGUAAUUUGCAGAGAUUUGGAUGUUAACUUCGUCGUAACCAUUUUCGACCCCAACAUUAAUUAUUUUAAUCUGUUUUGUUAAGAAUUUUUACUAAACAUUUAGUAAUUCGUCUGACUAAUUGUGUGAUAUAUACUUCUUUGAUAAUUUUUAAAUAUGAAACUGAUUUGCUGUCAAUUUAUUAAGUCUAACAUUUUAUUUGUUUAAAACAUAUUUGAUAUCAACUUAAACCAAACAUAAUCUUGUGUAUAUAACUAUAAAUUAUAUACUUUUAAAAAUAAAAAUAAUAAAAUAAUAAGAAUCUAAUAUGAAAGGUUUACGAAAUUUAAAUCAAUGGAAUUUUGUUUAUGAAAAAUAUAUAAAAUAAUUCUUUAAAAACUAAUUUUAUACUAAACAAAUAAAAUGUUAGAGUUAAUAAAUUAAAAUCAAAGAAUUUUAUAAUAAUAUUUUUAUGAAAUAAGUAUAUAUCACAUAAUUAAUCAAAUGAAUUACAGAAAUUUUAUUAAAAAUUCAUACCAAAAGAGAUUAAAAGAAUUAAAAAAACUAAAUUAAAUAAUAUCUUAUAUAACUUUUAAAUUUAAUAAAAAUAGAAAGAAUAUAACUAUAAUAUUUUCAAAUACACUAAAAUAAAAAUGUUAAAACACUACUUAUCAAAAUUUACACUAGUUAUACCACCAAUGUUAAAAUUAACAAUUAAACAAACAAUAAUAUUCAAAACUAAACAUAUGUUAACAACAAAACAAACCACAAAACAAAUCAAAACACCAUUAAAGAUGAGAAGACACGAGAAAAAAGCAGAGAAAAGGCAUGUAUGUUGUUUAUCAUUAGAAACAUAUGAAAUCACAUAUUCGUAUACAUAAACCCAUAGAGAAAAAAAAUCUGAAAGUUGUAUAUGAAAUAUAAUUCAAACGUAAACAACUGAAAACAUAAAAAUCAGAAAGAGACAAGAAGAAAAAACAUGUGCAUGUGAGAUAUGGUUGAGAGUCAAAGAGAAAGACAUUAAGGUAGGAGAGGGGACAGGAGCGGGGACAUGAAACAUCAAACUUAAAAUUUGUAGAUACGGGUACGGCAUAGAAACAGCUAUAUAUAUAAUGUAAGAAUACAUAUAAAUCAAAAUAUUAGAAUCUCUCACAUAUGAUUCAAAAGUUUUAAAAACAGUUAGAAAGCAACAUGUUAAGCUAAAGAUCUACUGGUUAUACCACCAAUAUUAAAAUAAAUAGUUAAACAAACGAUAAUAUUCAAAACUAAACAUACAUUAACACCAAAGCAAACCACAAAGCAAAAAAAACAAAACAUCAUUAAAGAUGAGAAGACACAAGAAGAAAGCCGAGAAAAGGCAUAUAUGUUGUUUAUCAUCAUAAACACCUGAAAUCACAUAUUCGUAUACAGAAACACAUAAAAAAAUUGAAAGUUGUAUGAAAUUUAAUUCAAAUGUAAACAACUAAAAACAUAAAAAUCAGAAAGAGACAAAAAGAAGAAACAUGCGUAUGUGAGAUAUGGUUGAGAGUCAAAGAGAAAUACAUUAAGUUAGGAGUGGAAGAUACCAUUGAUAAUAAAAAAAAUUAUUUUCAGAAUUAUUAGAAUAAAAAAGUUUAAAAUCAAACGGAUACGUCUCCUUUGUCUUGAAACGUUUCCGAGACGUCUCCGGUCUCUGACCAAACCCCUCUCCGUUAAGUCAUGCCGUCACGGGUUCACCUUAUAAACUCAGACUUUUCGUUGAAACCAGUACUAUUGAGCUUCUGAGCAAAAGCCCUAAGAUCUAAGCUGCACCAAGAACAAGACGGGGACCAGAAAGUGGGACGGGAGCGGGGACAUGAAACGUCAAACUUAACAUUUGUAGAUACGGGUAUGACAUAGAAACGGCUAUAUAUAAAGUAAGAAUACAUAUAAAUCAAAAUAUUAGAAUCUCUCACAUAUGAUUCAAUAGUUUAAAAAACAAUUAGAAAUCAACAUGAUAAGCUAAACAUCUACUAGUUAUACCACCAAUACUAAAAUAAACAAUUAAAAAAACGAUAAUAUUUAAAACUAAACAUACGUUAACAACAAAACAAACCCCAAAAUAAAACAUCAUUAAAGAUGUGAAGACCAAUAAAAAAAGCAGAGAAAAUGUAUGUAUGUUGUUUAUCAUCAGAAAUACAUGAAAUCACAUAUUAGUAUACAAAAAUACAUAGAGAACGAAAAAAUCUGAAAGUUGUAUAUGAAAUAUAAUUCAAACGUAAACAACUGAAAACAUAAAAAUCAGAAAGAGACAAGAAGAAGAAACAUGCGUAUGUGAGAUAUGGUUGAGAGUCAAAGAGAAAGACAUUAAGGUAAGAGUGGAAGAUACUACUGAUAAAGAAAUUAUUUAUUUUCAGAAUUAUUAGAAUAAAAAAAAUUAAAAGCAAGCGGAUACGUCUCAUCUGUCUUGAAACGUUUCCGAGACAUCUUCGGUCUCUGACCAAACCCCUCUCCGUUAAGUCAUGCCGUCACGGGUUCACCUUACAAACUCAGACUUUUCGUUGAAACCAAUACUAUUGAACUUCUGAGCAAAAGCCCUAAGAUCUAAGCUGCACCAAGAACAGGACGGGGACCGGAAACUGGAACGGGAGCAGGGACAGGAGCGCGGACAUGAAACUUCGAACUUAAAAUUUGUAGAUACAUGUACAUCAUAGAAACGGCUAUAUAUAAUGUAAUAAUACAUAUAAAUCAAAACAUUAGAAUAUAUCACAUAUGAUUCAAUAGUUUUAAAAACAGUUAUAAAUCAACAUGAUAAGCUAAAAAUCUACUAUUUAUACCACCAAUAUUAAAAUAAACAAUUAAACAAAUGAUAAUAUUCAAAACUAAACAUACAUUAACAACAAAAUAAACCACAGAACAAAAUAUUAUUAAAGAUGAGAAGACACAAGAGGAAUGCAGAGAAAAAGCAUGUAUGUUGUUUAUCAUCAGAAACUCAUGAAAUCACAUAUUCGUAUACAGAAACACAUAGAGAAGAAAAAAAAUCUAAAAGUUGUAUAUGAAAUAUAAUUCAAACGUAAAAAAUUGAAAACAUAAAAAACAGAAAGAGACAAGAAGAAGAAACAUGCGUAUGUGAGAUAUUGGUGAAAAUCAAAGAGAAAGACACUAAGAUAGGAAUGGAAGAUAUUAUGAUAAACAAUUUUUUUCUUUUCAGAGUUAUUAGAAUAAAAAAAAAUUAAAUGCAAACGUAUACGUCUCCUUUGUCUUGAAACGUUUCCGAGACGUCGCCGGUCACCGACCAAACCCCUCUCCAUUAAGUCAUGCCGUCACGGAUUUAUCUUACAUUUGUUGGGGAUGUUUCCUAGGCGUACUCGUUCCCCCUCCCCGGCCGAACCCUGGCACUAUGCAAAAUUUUCUCUAUUUCCUGGUGUAGUUUACACGUUGUUAGAACUUGCCGAUUUGGACGUUUGAAAAAAAAAAAACAAAUUUUACAAUGCAAAUUAAAAUAAAUAAGAAAAUGAAUGUUUCCAAAGUUAGCCUUUGACCGAUCAACCUUCAAUUCUUGUUACUAACCGAAUCAAAGAUAUAUUAAAAAAAAACACAUCUUCAUAAAGUGAACUUUGUCGUCGUAUUCAUCUUCAACACGGUUUGCCUUGUUAUAUUCAUCUGCAUAUGCAAAUCAUUCUAGUAUAAUAGCAUAUACAUACUUUCUAAUACCACAUAUAUAUAUAUAAAGGGAUUAGAUUUGACUUUCACAUUCUCUUUUAUGAUCAAUACAUGUAUUUAACAGAACAUUUUGUACAAACUUGCAAUAAUAAAAUAUAAGUAGGAAGUGGAAUAAAUAAAUAUAUUGAUUUUAGUACAAUAUUCUCAAACAAAAAUGGCGUAGUUCAUAGUUUGGAGAAAACCUUUUAAUAAUUAAAUGGCCUAUUUAGCUUAAUAUACAAAUUGUAGGCGGUAAUUGCAGAAGUGUGCAUUUUUUAAAAAUAAUUGGCGAACCAUGUCAUUUAUGCGAUGAGUAGUCAAUUCUGUCCUCGAACUAAAACUUCUUCAUUACGUAAGUGUUACCUGCUAUCGGGGCUGAUGCCAAAAAAAUUAAGUUGUAUUGAUACUGUAUGGAAACGCAAACUACGUUUUGAAACCGGAUAGAUUGAUGGUAAUUGAUGAUAUAAGAGCUUGAAACCGGAUAUAGCUUUAAUAAUUGAAAAGAAAAAAAUUGUAAGAUAUUUUACUAAUUGUUUGUCCGAAAUGGGAUUCAAAGCAAGAUAUUUUAGAAAAUGUUGGUCGAUGUUCUGAACGUAAGGUGGGGAGUGCUCGAUGCCAUAGGACCAUGGUUUCCUGUUCAGCUGCGUCCGUACCCUGUCAAAUAACAAAACUUGGAUGUUAGAUUUACCAUAUUAACGAAGCCAAGAGGUAGAGGAAAGCAUAUAUUUGUGACUAUGUUGUAAUGAUUGUAGGAUUACAUUUUUUCUCCGGAUUUUAAUAUUAGUAACUGGAUAUUUGAAAGUAGUGUGCAUAUCUACAUUAUUGAAUCCUUACUUCAAUAUCUUCACUUGCUAGUGGAGUGAGUUGAUGGUUGUUUUCACCCAGCCGGCCACCCCUUGGUAGGGAAGAUUUUUCUUCGUGACAAAGGGCGUCCGAAACCUGAAAUUGCAUUAACGAGACAGAAUUAACCGGUUACAAAUAUAGGAUAUUGGAUUAGAUUACGAUUGUUAAAUAUAUUACGACGAUUCUUCGGGAGUUCACCGCAAGGAAGUCCAGUGAUGAUGGCGAACUAACGCAAAGAAAAACCUAAUAGGUUUUUCGGCGAACCGAAACCAAGCUUCAUGUUUUUUCCACCUAAAGUUGUUGCGAUAGUAGAUAUCUAGCAAAUCUACCAGAAAAACCAGGCUUCUCCGCUAUCUCUACGAGUAUACCGAAAGAUGACUCUCUGAGAUACCGGAUCUCAUCUUCGUUCAGAGCAUUAAGGAUGGUGUUGAUUGAUCGGGAAGACUGGUAAGUCAGAACCCUAACGCCCACUGGUUCCUCUCCAUCCGCUAACAUCAUCUGAGGUAAAUCGACUUAUGUUUCAUCUACUAUGUCUUCUGGAAAAUCGACUAAUCUUGAAGCGACCAUUACGGAUUGGUAAAAGAGAUUUUGAGAUAGAACUAAGAAAUGAGAUGUUGGUUCAAAACGAGACGAUAUAUUAGGGAACAAAUUUAUAUCAAACCUCUUUGGGCUUUUGCAGUCAAGAGAAAAAGUUUUUGAACAUUCCGAUUCUUUGCAUUAUUAUCACUCUCUCUCUCUGUGCAACCGUCUCUUCAGUUUCUUUAAUUUUCCAAUUGUAUUUCUUUUUUAUACGACCAAUGACACUUUCAGUAUUACUGAAAAUGCACAGUGCCUUAUCCACUUACCUAAUAUACUUCUAUAUUUUUGCUAUCUAUAAUUUUUCGGAAACGUUGGUUUUUUGGACAAAAAUUACGUUGUUUUUUUGUCAACAAAUUACUAUGUGACAUAUCAUGAGCCACAACUGGGCUAGCCGGCUAGCUUCUUUUAUAUUUUGCUUCUUAGAUCAUUGUAGUAUAGAAGUCAUUCUAAAGUAGUUUAGAUUUUAGCUUAGCUGAGCUCAUGUAUACAAAUGUAGUUCUGGCUUUAGCGUUGUGUCGCCUUUGCUAUGUUCAAAUUUAAUAAUUAUUAUUUUACCCAAAUUACCAUUUUAAACAGCUACAAAACAAAUCCUACCAAAGUGUAUAGUCAAAUAAAAGAGAACCGCACUGUUGGCAUAAAAUUCACUAAUUGAAUUUCACAUAAUAUGACUAUCUUUUCCAAAAAACUGUAACUACAUGAAACAACUAAUUUUCAGCUGAAUCUCAUGCUAAAACCACGAAUAAGUUACAUCCUCUCUGUCAUGUCCCCGAUCCUAGAUAGGAUCGGCCGGACGGGCCAUGGUGCGGGGAGACGCACCAGUCAGGUCAUUAGACCUUGAGACAAGCGUAUCAUGGCCCUGAAUGAAGGUUAAGGGCAUCAGUCAGCUGAGACUUAACCAGGAUACGAUGGAAAUAAGGGUAAAGGGGCUGGGUGAGUGUUUAGGCAGCUGGACGAGUGUUGGUUUGAGUUCAAUCAGCUCGGUUCAGCUGGUAAUCAGUUCACCAUGAUCUGUUCAGCUCACAGGAGCUGGUGGGCUAGCUCAAUCAGCUGGGAACAGAUGGGGGUCAGCUCAAUCCAGUGAACGGUGCGUUCUGGUUCGGAUCAGUGUGGGCGAGUCCGGGACGGUUACUGGGCGAGCCGAUGGUCCGGGUGCAGGACGGUUCGACCAAAUGGGUCUUAGGCUUGGGAUAGGGAGCGGGCAAGCUCCCAGAGUGUGAGCUGAGGCUCAGUGAUCGAUUUGCCAAAGGAAGAAAAGGGGAGAAACCGCCAAGGGCGGUUAUGGGACGGUUUUGGGAAGAAAGGAAGGGAUUUUGGUAACUGUUCGCCCAGGCGGUUGGGGACAGUUUAAAUCGUCUUCUCUCUCUCAUUUCUGAUCAUUCUGGUCGGUUUUUACUCAUUCCACACAGAGAGAAACACAGAGAAAAUUCAAGAGAGAAAGAGAGACAGAAACUUUGGAUCGGCCGAUUUGAUCCAAGAGAUUGUUCUUGAGUGUUCCUGGUGUGUUUGGGCGUGUGAUCAAGAGGAUGGAUUUGAGACAGAAAGACAAGGAGAAGGCAAAGGAGAAAGAGAAGGAAGUCGCCCCUGGAGACCGAACUCCUAAGGUGAGAGGUGUGGCCAAGAGUAACCGGACAAGGCCGCGGAUGAUGGCCGUGUGAGCCUGGCCGGUUUGGAUCGAUUGGCUACUCCUUACUCUGACUUCUUCUACUCUGUUUCUUCUUAUAUGUUGUGCUUUGGAAUGGUUUAUGUUGUUACAGGAAAGGAUUCAUUGAUCCUAAGGCCUUGGCCUGAUCCAAUUUCCAUGAAAGUCCCUUGUUCUUGUGUGGGCUGUUCAUGGCCGAGAUCACUAUGAUCUGAGCCGAUUCUUCUGAAUCUGUUUAUGGGAAUAUUUUUCUUCUGAAUUAUCAUGAAUUAUCAUGAAUUUUAUUUGGUAUUUGGAUCUCUUUUUAAAGGGGUCAGAUUUGACAUUUUUGAUGAUUGUUCUUGACUAGAUUGGAUCCGACCAUGCAAUGUGAUUUGAUUCUUGUUUUGUAAUCUAACCUUGUGAUUGUGUGGUUGUUUGUGUUGGAUCCAGGACCAGAAAUGGACCGUGGUAAGGGAAAAGCACCAUGAGGACCGCGGCCAUGGGAAGAUGUGUGGUGAUUGGGUUGAUUCUGAAAAUUGUGUGAUUAUUGUAGCCUAUUGUGCAACUUGUGAACUUAUGCGAUUCUAGUAUGUAUUCUAUUAUUUAGGAUGAUGAAUGAUGUAUGAACCUUGGUUAAUAUCUAUGAAGUAUCUAUUUUCAUUAGUUGAUGCUUGAUUGUUUAAGUGUGAAUGUUGGAACCUCAAAACUCUGAAAAAGACUUAGAAUUAUUUAACACUUGAACUUGAAUAUGAAAGAUGGAAUUGGUUGCAUUGUUUGGUGAGGCCGCGGUCUGGUUGGAUUGAGGAAUCCAGGAUCGGGUCUUACAAUUUGGUAUCAGAGCAUUCUUGAUUCUAGGAUUUGUUGGGUUAUUGGUUCACCACACACUUGGCCGUUUGGACUCAUGGUGAGAUAGUUGGGUUCUAAGUAAUCUUUUCUACUGAUUAACUUAGGAGUGAUUGAGGUUUGUGUGUUCAGUUGUGGACUAACCUUUUGUUUGUGUUUGUAACUCCUAAGGGAACAAGAAGGUAUAAAUCUCGGAAAGGAAAGGAGGCGACUGGGGCGUCUGGAGCAGUGGGGCAGGAUGGUGCUGAACAGACCGGAGUGUUACCAGCUGGAACCAUUCCAACCACAGUGCUACCGGCUCUGGUGGAGCAGGUGGAUAAUGCCACCGGACUCCCAGUGGGUCCAACUCUUCCUACUGAGGUUAAUGAAACUAAUGUGGACGAGCAACAAGAGCAAGUCCAUGGAGAAGAUACUGGGUCAUCCAACGUUGGUGCUGGGAGUGGCCAGAAUGUUGAUGCAAACAAUGUUCGGGUCACUGGUGCUGAGGAGGUCAUUGAGCCGACCAUAAGGGGCUUGGUGGAAGCUAUGCAGGUCAUGGGAGCUCAGAUAGCCUCCUUGACACAGGCGUUCACACCAUUGGUGAACUCGUCCGUAGGACAGGCUAAUCCCCCGGUUCGGGUUGCUGCUGGAGUGACCGAUGUUGGUGCUGGCCGUGUGGCCGAGGUGAUUGAGAUAGACCCACCGGUCAGGCCAGUGCAUGGUAUGGACUACCUGAAGGUGCUGGAGCAUAUCUCCAAGUUGGGAACCAAACACUUUGCUGGAAGUGUUGAUCCUAUGGAGGCGGACGAGUGGAGAACCCGGUUGGUUCGGAACUUCAAGUCCACGCGUUGUCCUGAGGACUACCAGAAGGACAUAGCAGUACACUUCCUGGAGGGAGAUGCACAUAACUGGUGGUUAGCUUUGGACAAGCGUACCAAUGGCACCAUUGAGCAUUUUGCUGACUUUGAGGUUGAGUUCAACCAUAAGUACUUUCCUGCUGAGGCGUGGGAUCGUUUGGAGUCCAAGUUCCUGGACUUGACUCAGGGACGGAGGACUGUUCGUGAGUAUGAAGAAGAGUUCAACCGACUCAGGAGGUAUGUGGGAAGAGAACUGGAGGAUGAGAAGGUUCAAGUCCGAAGGUUCAUCCGAGGCCUAAGGGUGGAACUUCGAACCUACUGUUCUGUUUGUAAGUUCCACACGGUUUCUGAGUUGGUUGAGAGGAUGGCCUUGCUGGAGACCAACCUCACCGAGGAGGGUAAGCAGAAGCUGAAGAGUGUGGUGGUAUCCUCGGGUCAGAGUGGUGACAAGAAGAGGAAGAGGGACUCGACCGAGGAGGGUAAAACCUCAAGUGGUAGGUCAGAGUGCCCUAAGUGUGGACGAUACCACGGUGGAGAGUGCUGGAAGGCCAUGGGUGCCUGCACUCGAUGUGGUAAGAUGGAUCACUCAGCCAAGGAUUGUCCAAGUCCGUUGGGUGAGUCCAGGACCUGUCACCACUGCGGCCAGAAGGGCCACUACCGCAGGGACUGCCCUAAGUUGCAAGGCAACCAAAGUAAGGGACGUGGGGAGGCUAGCAGGCCAGUUCAGGGACGAGGCCAGACCUCCACACCUCGUGUGUAUGAGCUAUCCAAGGAUGUGGAUGGGGCUCGGCCUUUCCAAGCGAUCAAUGGUAACACUCUAGACAACUACUUUUACAAUUCCAGUAGAAUUGCAUGGUAUGGAAUCUAGGAUGGAUAGAUAUACUUUGAUGGGUCUUGUGUAGGGACCUUAAGUAUUGGUGGUGUGGAAACACACACACUAUUUGAUACUGGAGCUACACAUAGUUUUGUGAGUCCAAGUAUGAUAGGAAAAGGUUUGUUCCAGUAUGGAACAUGGGAUGGUCCUGAACGAGUGAGUGCGGCCGGAGGGCAAGUUAUGAACUCACUCGGUCUGGUUAAGGACAUCCCUGUGGUGAUCUUGGAUAGGCCGAUGCCUAUAGAUCUGAUUGUUGUCCCCCUCAAGCAUCAUGAAGUGAUCUUGGGCAUGGACUGGUUGGGAAAGUAUCGGGCAACUCUAGAUUGUCACCGGGGAAGGGUGCAACUUGAGAAUGAGUUUGGACCCCCGAUCAAGUACCAAGGAAUCAAGCCAACCUCUUGUAGUUUGGUGGUUUCAGCAGUCCAAGUAGAACGGAUGCUUGGAAAUGGUUGUGAGGCCUUUUUGGCUACCAUUUACACUGAUGAGGUUGUAGGGGCCUGUGACCCAGAGGGUAUACCGUUGGUUCGAGAAUUUCAGGAUGUGUUUGGGGCACUACAGGGCAUUCCCCCUGAUAGGGCUGACCCAUUCAUCAUUGAAUUGGAACCUGGAACGGCCCCAUUAUCAAAAAGUCCAUAUAGAAUGGCACCAGCUGAGAUGGCAGAGCUGAAGAAGCAACUUGAGGAGUUGCUUGAGAAGGGGUUCAUACGCCCUAGUGUAUCACCUUGGGGAGCACCAGUCCUAUUUGUUAAGAAAAAGGAUGGUAGCUUUAGGUUGUGCAUUGAUUAUAGGGGUUUGAACAGGGUGACUGUGAAGAACAAGUACCCUUUACCCAGGAUUGAUGAGUUGUUGGAUCAACUCCGUGGAGCCAAGUGGUUCUCCAAGAUUGACCUGGCCUCUGGGUAUCAUCAGAUCCCCAUUGCACCAGAUGAUGUGAGGAAGACAGCGUUCCGAACUAGGUAUGGUCACUAUGAGUUUGUGGUCAUGCCGUUCGGACUGACCAAUGCACCUGCUGCAUUCAUGAAGAUGAUGAACGGCAUCUUCAGGGAAUACUUGGACGAGUUUGUGAUCAUCUUCAUUGAUGAUAUACUCGUGUAUUCCAAGACAAAGGAGGACCAUGAAAGACACCUUAGGGCGGUGUUGGGCCGCCUGAGAGAACAGAAGCUCUUUGCUAAGCUAAGCAAGUGUAGUUUCUGGCAGAAGAGCAUUGGGUUCCUUGGACAUGUGGUGUCUGAUAAAGGAGUCUCAGUGGAUCAAGAUAAGAUCAAAUGUAUCCAGGAAUGGCCACAGCCAAAGAAUGCUACGGAAGUGAGAAGCUUCUUAGGGUUGGCUGGUUAUUACCGGAAAUAUGUCAAGGGGUUCUCGAGCAUAGCUCAACCUAUGACUAAGCUGACAGGCAAGGACGUGAGGUUCACAUGGUCUGAGGAGUGUGCGAAAAGUUUUGCAGCACUCAAGAACAUGUUGACUAAUGCACCUGUCCUGGUGUUGCCUGAGGCUGAUCAGCCUUAUGUGGUGUAUACGGAUGCAUCCAUAACUGGUCUUGGUUGUGUUUUGACACAACAUGGGAAGGUGAUAGCCUAUGCUUCCCGGCAGUUAAGGAAGCAUGAGGGUAACUAUCCAACCCAUGAUUUGGAGAUGGCUGCAGUAGUAUUUGCAUUAAAGAUAUGGAGAUCAUAUCUUUAUGGUGCCAGGGUGCAAAUACUCACAGACCAUAAGAGCUUGAAGUACAUAUUCACUCAGCCUGAGUUAAACUUAAGGCAGAGGAGGUGGAUGGAGUUUGUUGCAGAUUAUGAUCUGGACAUAGCUUAUCAUCCUGGGAAAGCUAACCUAGUGGCUGAUGCUUUGAGCCGCAGAAGGGCUGAAGUGUCAUCUGAGAGGGAGGCGGAUGAACUGGAAGGGAUGAUCAGGUCCUUGAACCUCAACACCUUGGUUGGUUCAGAUGAGCCACUGGGGUUGGAGGCAGUGAACCAGGCCGAUCUCCUGACCAGGAUCAGGCAAGCACAGGGCCUGGAUGAAAAUCUAAAGAAGGUAGCCGCCAAUGACAAGACCGAGUACCAGACAACUGACAAUGGUACCAUCUUGGUCAAUGGGAGGGUCAGUGUUCCUAAUGAUAAGGAACUCAAAGAAGAGAUUAUGAGACAGGCUCAUAAGUCCAAGUUUUCAGUUCAUCCUGGACUGAACAAGAUGUAUAGGGAUCUGAAAAGGUACUACCAUUGGGUGAGGAUGAAAUCUGAUGUUGCAGAGUGGGUGGCUAAGUGUCCCACUUGUCAACUGGUGAAGGCAGAACAUCAGGUUCCCAGUGGUCUACUUCAGAACCUACCCAUACCAGAAUGGAAAUGGGAUCACAUCACAAUGGAUUUUGUGACUGGAUUUCCCACGACCAGGAAUAAGAAAGAUGCGGUAUGGGUUGUGGUUGAUCGGCUGACCAAGUCGGCUCAUUUCCUACCCAUCAAGAAAGGGGAUGGGGUCGACAGGAUAGUGCAAGUGUACCUAGACGAGAUAGUGAGGUUGCAUGGUGUUCCAGCAAGCAUUGUCUCGGACAGGGAUCCAAGAUUUACAUCUUAUUUCUGGCAGGCUUUCCAAAAGGCCUUGGGAACCAGAGUGAAUAUGAGCACAUCUUAUCAUCCUCAAACGGAUGGGCAGUCUGAAAGGACAAUCCAAACCUUGGAGGAUAUGCUAAGGGCAUGUGUGUUAGACUGGGGAGAGUCUUGGGAAAAACACUUACCCUUAGUGGAGUUUGCUUAUAAUAACAGCUUCCAUACAAGCAUUGGUAUGUCGCCAUAUGAGGCUUUGUAUGGUAGGCCGUGCAGGACACCCCUAUGCUGGACCCAAGUGGGGGAGCGUAGCAUGUUGGGACCUGAGAUUGUAGAACAGACCACUAAGAAGAUCAGGAUGGUCAAAGAGAAGAUGAAAGAGACGCAGGACCGCCAAAAGAGCUAUGCGGACAAGCGUAGGAAACAUCUUGAGUUUGAGGUCAAUGACCUGGUGUAUCUCAAGAUGAUUACCUUUAAGGGUAGGACCAGGAUUUCUGGACGAAAGAAACUGGACCCUAGGUACUUGGGUCCAUUCAGGAUCAUAGAGAGAGUGGGUGCAGUGGCAUACAAGUUGGACUUGCCAUCAGCAAUGGAUGCAUACCACAAUGUGUUCCAUGUAUCCCAACUCCGGAAAUGCUUGUCUGAACAAGACAUUGUCUUGCCCGAGAUUCCUACUGACCUUGGUAAGGACNNNNNNNNNNNNNNNNNNNNNNNNNNNNNNNNNNNNNNNNNNNNNNNNNNNNNNNNNNNNNNNNNNNNNNNNNNNNNNNNNNNNNNNNNNNNNNNNNNNNNNNNNNNNNNNNNNNNNNNNNNNNNNNNNNNNNNNNNNNNNNNNNNNNNNNNNNNNNNNNNNNNNNNNNNNNNNNNNNNNNNNNNNNNNNNNNNNNNNNNNNNNNNNNNNNNNNNNNNNNNNNNNNNNNNNNNNNNNNNNNNNNNNNNNNNNNNNNNNNNNNNNNNNNNNNNNNNNNNNNNNNNNNNNNNNNNNNNNNNNNNNNNNNNNNNNNNNNNNNNNNNNNNNNNNNNNNNNNNNNNNNNNNNNNNNNNNNNNNNNNNNNNNNNNNNNNNNNNNNNNNNNNNNNNNNNNNNNNNNNNNNNNNNNNNNNNNNNNNNNNNNNNNNNNNNNNNNNNNNNNNNNNNNNNNNNNNNNNNNNNNNNNNNNNNNNNNNNNNNNNNNNNNNNNNNNNNNNNNNNNNNNNNNNNNNNNNNNNNNNNNNNNNNNNNNNNNNNNNNNNNNNNNNNNNNNNNNNNNNNNNNNNNNNNNNNNNNNNNNNNNNNNNNNNNNNNNNNNNNNNNNNNNNNNNNNNNNNNNNNNNNNNNNNNNNNNNNNNNNNNNNNNNNNNNNNNNNNNNNNNNNNNNNNUUUGUUGCAGAUUAUGAUCUGGACAUAGCUUAUCAUCCUGGGAAAGCUAACCUAGUGGCUGAUGCUUUGAGCCGCAGAAGGGCUGAAGUGUCAUCUGAGAGGGAGGCGGAUGAACUGGAAGGGAUGAUCAGGUCCUUGAACCUCAAUACCUUGGUUGGUUCAGAUGAGCCACUGGGAUUGGAGGUGGUGAACCAGGCCGAUCUCCUGACCAGGAUCAGGCAAGCUCAGGGCCUGGAUGAAAAUCUAAAGAAGGUAGCCGCCAAUGACAAGACUGAGUACCAGACAACUGACAAUGGUACCAUCUUGGUCAAUGGUAGGGUCAGUGUUCCUAAUGAUAAGGAACUCAAAGAAGAGAUUAUGAGACAGGCUCAUAAGUCCAAGUUUUCAGUUCAUCCUGGACUGAACAAAAUGUAUAGGGAUCUGAAAAGGUACUACCAUUGGGUGAGGAUGAAAUCUGAUGUUGCAGAGUGGGUGGCUAAGUGUCCCACUUGUCAACUGGUGAAGGCAGAACAUCAGGUUCCCAGUGGUCUACUUCAGAACCUACCCAUACCAGAAUGGAAAUGGGAUCACAUCACAAUGGAUUUUGUGACUGGAUUUCCCACGACCAGGAAUAAGAAAGAUGCGGUAUGGGUUGUGGUUGAUCGGCUGACCAAGUCGGCUCAUUUCCUACCCAUCAAGAAAGGGGAUGGGAUCGACAGGAUAGUGCAAGUGUACCUAGACGAGAUAGUAAGGUUGCAUGGUGUUCCAGCAAGCAUUGUCUCGGACAGGGAUCCAAGAUUUACAUCUUAUUUCUGGCAGGCUUUCCAAAAGGCCUUGGGAACCAGAGUGAAUAUGAGCACAUCUUAUCAUCCUCAAACGGAUGGGCAGUCUGAAAGGACAAUCCAAACCUUAGAGGAUAUGCUAAGGGCAUGUGUGUUAGACUNNNNNNNNNNNNNNNNNNNNNNNNNNNNNNNNNNNNNNNNNNNNNNNNNNNNNNNNNNNNNNNNNNNNNNNNNNNNNNNNNNNNNNNNNNNNNNNNNNNNNNNNNNNNNNNNNNNNNNNNNNNNNNNNNNNNNNNNNNNNNNNNNNNNNNNNNNNNNNNNNNNNNNNNNNNNNNNNNNNNNNNNNNNNNNNNNNNNNNNNNNNNNNNNNNNNNNNNNNNNNNNNNNNNNNNNNNNNNNNNNNNNNNNNNNNNNNNNNNNNNNNNNNNNNNNNNNNNNNNNNNNNNNNNNNNNNNNNNNNNNNNNNNNNNNNNNNNNNNNNNNNNNNNNNNNNNNNNNNNNNNNNNNNNNNNNNNNNNNNNNNNNNNNNNNNNNNNNNNNNNNNNNNNNNNNNNNNNNNNNNNNNNNNNNNNNNNNNNNNNNNNNNNNNNNNNNNNNNNNNNNNNNNNNNNNNNNNNNNNNNNNNNNNNNNNNNNNNNNNNNNNNNNNNNNNNNNNNNNNNNNNNNNNNNNNNNNNNNNNNNNNNNNNNNNNNNNNNNNNNNNNNNNNNNNNNNNNNNNNNNNNNNNNNNNNUUGUUUGUGUUGGAUCCAGGACCAGAAAUGGACCGUGGUAAGGGAAAAGCACCAUGAGGACCGCGGCCAUGGGAAGAUGUGUGGUGAUUGGGUUGAUUCUGAAAAUUGUGUGAUUAUUGUAGCCUAUUGUGCAACUUGUGAACUUAUGCGAUUCUAGUAUGUAUUCUAUUAUUUAGGAUGAUGAAUGAUGUAUGAACCUUGGUUAAUAUCUAUGAAGUAUCUAUUUUCAUUAGUUGAUGCUUGAUUGUUUAAGUGUGAAUGUUGGAACCUCAAAACUCUGAAAAAGACUUAGAAUUAUUUAACACUUGAACUUGAAUAUGAAAGAUGGAAUUGGUUGCAUUGUUUGGUGAGGCCGCGGUCUGGUUGGAUUGAGGAAUCCAGGAUCGGGUCUUACACUCUCCACUAAUAUGGGAAAUCAAUUAUACCAUCUCUAUAUAAAAAUGUUGUAAACUUAUUACACUUUAUAGUUUUUGUGUCCUAUUUGAUACAUCUAAAUAAAUCUCCAUCACUUAAAACGUUUAUAGUUGGUUAAGAAACUUAAAGAGGCAAAAAAAAAAAAAAGUAGGAACAUAAAAAAAGGGUUUUUACCAAAAAAAAGAAAAGGCAUAAAAGAAGGGAGCCGAAAGCAAAAAGAAGAAGAGAAAAAGUGUGAUUGAAGUAUAAGAUGAUCUUUGUCACCAAUUUCACCCUCUCCUUCCUUAAUCCCAAAUUUAUAGGGCAACCCCAAUGAUGGAUUCUCAAAACACAUGUAUAUGUAAUAUAUAUAUAAAAAAUUCCAUUAAAUAGCUUUUUUAGUUUAUUUUUUACAAAAAUAAAUCUCAAAAAAGAAAAUGACCAAAAUAAAUUUUAUUAAAAGGUAAAUAUGUAUUUAUACCCAAGAGUUAACUAAUCUGACUUAGAGUAACAUUUUCGGUGGAAAAGGUUUUUGGGAUUCUUAAGUUUUUUUUUCUUUUCCUUUUUCUGAUUUUAAAAAAAAAAAAAAAAAAAAAAAAAGAUAAACCAGUUGCGGGCCGCCACGCUUCAGUGGAGCCCGCAAACAGUCUAACAAACGCAGUGCAAACGUAUGUUAAUUAAGGACAUUUUGGCACAGGCUUUGGGAAAAGAUGGUGGGGCUCACGCGUAAGAACUCUACCCCCAUCACCGAUAAUGUUGCCCUUAGAGUUUAGAGUUAAGGGGUGAAGUUUUGGAAUAGAGUUUCAAAUUUUAAAAAAUAAAAAAUUAAAAUUAAAAUUUUCAAAACAAAAAAGUACUAUUUUGGUCAUUUUAUUUUUUAAGUGCUAUUUUUGUGACAAAAAUUUAAAGAUCUAUUUGAGAAAAUUGACAUAUAUAUAUUAAUAUUUAAUUAUGAAUACCUCAAAAUUGAAAAAAAUAAAAGUAUUUAAUAAAAUUAACAAUAAUAAUAAAUUCAUGUCAAAUUUGAGAGAUUCUGCCUAUACCUUAAGACAAUUUCUUACGUUCAAGUUCAUAUAUUUCAUAAGCUAUGACACUAGAGGUCUAGGAAUAGCUACUUGUUGGAAUGGUGUCUUUGAUAAGACGCAUUUGAUGUUUCUUUUUCUACCAUCUUAAAGCAUUUUUUUUUGCAACUGAUUUUAUCAUAAAGCAUAUUAAAAUACCAAUUUGUCUGAAUUUGUUAACUGUCUCACUUUUUUUUUUUUGAACAAAUUGUUAAUUGUCUCACUAUGAUUAGCAACUUUCGGUAAUCUUUAAACCUAAACUAGAUAUCAUAUAUAAUAUAGUUGUUCAAAUGCAUUUCUACAAAAGAGAAAUAUAAUUAGUUAGAGAAAACGAACUUUUAACUUAUUUAUAAAAAGUCUCAAUGGUCUAGUGGUCAGUUUAUCAAUAUAGGUACCAGUGAGGCUGGGUUCGAAAUCCAUUUUUAACCUUUUUCAAAAAAAAAAACUUAUUUAUAUGUUUUUCCUUUUUUCAUCCUACGAACUGUCACGCACAUUAUUAGUUUAUAGUCUGAAUUACAUGUUUUGGUACUAGAAUAGACCAAUUAUACUACAAACUUUUAUCUAUUACAUUCGUUAAAAAGAAUGAUAAUCUUACCAGUGUUAAGUGAGUUCGUAUAUCGAUAAGCUAUAUUCACAUUAUACACUACGACAUACAAUUUAACAUAUAACAUGUUUCUACCUCCGGAAACCCUUAUCACUAAUCCAAAAUAAAACUCACAUAUUCUAGAGUUUAAGUUAAACUACAAAGCUAUGUAGUAACUUUUUUUUUUUUUUUUUUUUUUUUUUUAAAAAACUNNNNNNNNNNNNUGAUUUUUUUUUUUUUUUUUUUUUUUGAAACAACUAUGUAGUAACUUUUUAUUUUUUACUUUUUAGAUACAUUAUUUCAUUGCCUACACUAGACAGAUAUUGAACUCACGCGUAAAACUUUACUAUUAGUUACAAAUUAAUCUUGUUGAUUAGGUAUCCGUGAAGGCCUGAAGGGGUGGUCACUACCAGAUCAGUUCUUCGUAUCAACAAACCUUUUUGAUUAUUUUCUUACAACUUGACGCAUUAUUUGUCAUUUUUGGGUUUCUUUGUUGAUAUAUUUUUACUGUUUCGGUAGUGUUCCACUGUUCCCUUGAAACGUUACCAUGGGUUAAAGUAAACGUAUGUAAAUGAGGGGAUAUUCCCACUCUGUCAAAGUGAAAAGGUACAUUGUAUAGAAUACUAGUAGUAUUCCGGCGCUACGCGCCGGGUUCGUUUGUUUUAUUUUAAAUGAAUUUUCAAUUUAUUUUAUAGUCUUAGUAAAGAAAAUAUGUUCAAAAAUACGAACAUGAAAAUAUGUUGAAAGAGAAUGAUAUUCAUUUGAUAGUGGUUAGCGAUUGUAAUGUAUUACUUUGUUUUGAAGUUGAUUAGUCUAAAUUAGAAUAUCAUAAAUGGUUGUGACUAAUCAAUUUGAUAGUCAUAUCAUAGUUAAUUUAAUUAGAAUUUAAACAUAAAUUAAAGUUGAUGUUUUAUUUAUAAAAUAUACUUAUAUUUAAUGGUGAAUUUAAGUUUCUGAUUUUUUUGACUUCUCGCAAAAAAUAAAACUAAAAACAAAUCCGAAUCAGAUCAUAACAUAACAUAUCUUACGACAUGAGAAAACUGGAUGAAGGUAAAAGAUAGUGACUUACAUCACAAUUGUAGGAAGAAGUAACAAUAUUCUUAAGCUUGCGUUUUUCUAGUCUUAGAGUAUCUCCAACCUCACUCCAUAAUUUACUGCAAAAUGAAGUGAAAAAUAAAGUAAUGAAGAAACAAAAAGUGAUUACUCAAUUUAUGGAGUGAUAUUUUUUUUUGGUUCAUACUACAUUUAUUUUUGGAGUAAAUUAUAUAGUGGAGAUGGAGAAAUUUAUAGGAGAAAUUUUUGUAAUAAAUUUAUAGGAGAGAUUUUUUCAAUAAAAUUUAUUUGUUUUAACUUAAAUAUAUAUAUAUUAAUGGGAAACAAUAUCAGUAAGAUUUUAUUUGACAUGGCAGCAAAGAGUUUAAAAAAAAGUGUGCAACUUUUAGUAUGUAUAUUAAUAUUGUUCGUCUGAUGGUAGUUCAGUACGAACUGGAGGUGUGCAAGGAAUAAGCGGUGGACACAUAUUGAUUUUCUUAGUUAAAGCCCCUUGAUUUCCUUUAUAGAGAAGAAGCAUAAGUAACUAAAACAGAAAAAUGGAUUAGGAAAAUGCACCAGGAGGCAAUUCAAUGUCAUUUCCUUUAGUAUAAUAUUUAGGAUUAGAAUAUGUAACUUUUAAAUGAAAACAUGUAUAAAUGUAAUGGAUCUAAUUAAAAAAUAUUUUGUUAUGUAAAUGAAACCCAAAGUUUAGUAAGGCAUGGUUUAAUAAAUAGUUCAAAAUUGUUGCAUAAAUAGUUUUUGAUGAGUAGAUUUAACAUCUCAAAUAAAAUAUUUUUUACACAAUUUAACAUGCUGAGGACUUAGACUUAUUCAAUGCAUAUAUUGUGUUUAUUGAAAAACCACCCACCGCGUUGAGUUUAAUUAAAAAUUGAUAAAGUUCUAACUUAUAGUGCAUAAGCAAGCGAAAAGGACGACAUAAGAACAUAAGGAAAUGUAAUGGUGAUUUGUGUUUUCUAGGUGGAUCCAAUCCAACCGUGCCUUCUUCUUUCCAUUCUUUGGGUCAAAAAUCUGAUUGUUUGAUGCUGAACGCCCUCAUCUGGUACAACAGAUGAGGAAAUUUGAUGGUUGACAUUUGUAUUUUCACCAAGUGCUGCUGCCACACCAUCAGUCUGCUCCACAUGAGUAUUGACACCAACACCCUGCAAUCAAACACACAGUGUCAUAGAAAACUAAACAUAGAAAGCAAACACCAACAACCUGUUCGUUUGUAGUUGUAAUUUUUGAAGUUUUUAGAACUGGGUGUAUUUUGAAAGAAAAUGGAUCAGAAACCAGUGGUGUAAUGUUAAAAUAUUGUUUCACGGUGGAAGAGAUUAAAUAACCUGAAAUCAUUAGAGUAACAAACCAACGUUUUACAGAGGAAAUUGUCAAAAUCCUAAUCCAAGUAUGUACCUUGCUCUUGAGAGCAUUAGUUGCAGUGCCAUUAAAUUUUGAAUCCAUUGGGAACACACUGUUUAGAAGCAAAAUAAUAGAAUCUGGAACUCUUUGAAUGUCUCUGCUGGCAUGUCUAACAUUAGAAUAUAGAGAAAGAGCCCGAGAUUUUACUUUUCUAGUAAGAAAAAAUCAAUUGGAAUGUAACAGUCUAGGAAAAAUCGAUUGGAAUGUAACAGUUUACCUUGUUUAUACUGGUAAGUGCGUAUAUUGCACCAAUUAUGCUGCUGGUGCUCUCGAAGUCAAUCCCAACACUGUAAUGAGAAGCUCCAAAUAAGAGCUCAGGAGGUCGAUACCACAGAGUUACAACACGAGUAGUAAAAUGACGAUGUUAUGAGGAGUUUCUAAAAUUCGCAAUCUUGUCCGUUUAUGCGAAAAUUGUAGUUAUUUGUUUAAUAGACAUGACUUACAUGAUUAGCGGGACAAUGAUUGAGCCCUUUAAUAGCUGAGUAAUGUAGCAUUUAACCUGAAAGAGAAGAAGAGAGAUGUGAUUGAUGGUUACCAAGAUUCUUUAGAGUAGAAGCAAUAAAAACAAUACCUGAGGCUCUGAGAACUCAACACAAAGUAAUGAAGAGAGUCACAAGCAAUCAUGUAGAUGAUAGAGGAGUCGUGGCCUUUCGCAAACUACUUAUAUGACGGGAUUGUUAAAUAGCAGAAACGGCUGUAUUGCGGAUCUGUAAGUAUAGUGAUGCAGAACAUCAAUGAAAAUUAAAGACAAAUAUGACGAUUGAGUUAAAGACCAUAACAAAUCAUUGCAGACCAUAAUAAAUCAUUGCAGACCAUGAACAUUGUUUACUCACAUAUACUGAAAAAGGAGGGAGUGGGAGGGAAGGCCAUGUCCCUGGAACUCCAAGCUCAACAUUUCCUCUGGUUGGUAAUGUUACCUAUAUGUAGAGGCUCACCCUCUUGUUGCUUCCUGAAAACAAAUUAAUCAGGUAAGAAUAGCUUGGAGUUAAAUUAAAACAGAAUCAUAAUUACCAUGAGACCAGAGAAAAGAGAGAGAGAUGGAGCGAGUACAUGUGAAGUUUCAGUGCUCGAUGCUGAGUCAUCCAAAUGAUCUUUUGAUCUGCAGAAUGAACCUUUGAACCUACACAGUUUUUAAAAACCUGACGUGAGUGUCUCAUCACUCAAGGAAUCAGAAGCAAUUCCAUCAUAUCAACUCAAUAAAUCAAUGGCCACAGAAUCAGAAUACACGAAAGAGGUUCUUGUGAAUCAAAUUCUCUGCAUUUUCUCUUGAAGAUACAAACAAAGCAAUAUAGAUUAUUGUAGCUAGACAGAUCAAAGACUAUAUGGAAUCAACUUUGCGACCACUGUUCGUAAGAAAAUCUAGCAGCUGCAAAUACAACAUCGUAAAUGAUAAGAAAUUAUUACUUCAAAAUCAAAUUAGCGAAGAGAAAUUAAAAGGAAUCAUGUUACCUUGGAGUGUAGAAGCUUGCCAAGAUUCUUCGAUUUUGAUAAUUUUAGUAAAGAGGAGAAGCUAGGGAACAAAAGUUCGAAACUGAGGGAAUCCAAAAAGUUUCAAUGAAGUGGAAAUCAUAGGAUUGGUGGGUUUUCAGUGAUUGACAUAACGCCGGAACGUUACUUCCUCGAGAAGCGGAAGAGAAAUCAGCACAAAGAAGAAGGGGAUUCUUUGAUGGACCAAAAAAACGAAGCCCAAUAUAUUGAGGUCUCCAUAGUUUUAAUUAAUGCUCGUAAAAGAAACCCAUAAUGAAAUCGAAAACAUUUUUUUUAUCGCUGAAGAAAAGUGGACACCUGGCGCAAAAUGCCCCCUUCUCUUUGCUGACGUGGACGCAUGAGGAGAGAGGUAAGUCAACUUUAUUAUAUAAGAUAACAAAACUUCAGUUACCGUCAACUGAAGUCAUUCUUUUGUGUGUUUUUUUUUUGAAUGAAUGUUAAAUUUAUUAUUCAUCAAAAAAGCAUUUGUACAUGUGUGUCUUUGCUAGGAACAAUAGAUUCUACUCCUACUCCUUUAACAUUUCUAUAGCUUCAAACCUACAUAACCCCAUGAAGAAUAUUUACAAUCUAGUUCCGAACCAGUAUUACAAGAUAGUUUCUAACCCCUUUACCAAGGCCGGACCGGGUCUGAAUAGAAGCCCAUCAAGCUUGUGUUUGGGGCCCGACGAAAAUAUAGGCGUUUUAGGACCAAUUAUUUUUCAUAAAGAACAUGUAGCUCUAUUGGCUUGGGGCCUAACGAAAUUAUAGAUGGAUCCGUGUUCGAUUUUCCGCAACCGCAUCUUAUAAUAUUAUCACUACUUUUUAGAAACAAAGGGUCAAAAAUAUUUUUUUGCUUGUGGGCCAAUAUUUCUCAGACCCGGCCCUGCCCUUUACGCCUUUAGACUGCACUAAGCUGAGCUUGUUCCAGAUUACUUUGUCCGUGAGUUUGAUCAGGACUUGGUGUGGUAAACCCUGCUCACCAUGUCUACGUUUAUUGCGCUCUCUCCAGACCGCAUACAUGGUGGCUUGAAACGCAUAUCUCAGGCCUUGCCAUCGUGUCAUAUCAGAAAUCAGAACAACAACUGCAGCCCAAUCUGUGGUGUAUGAGCUUUGUAGAAUCCCUUUAGUAAGGUGAUGCCAGACUUGCAGCCCAAUCUGUGGUGUACGAGCUUUUGUGCUUUAUUUACACUAGGUUGCUCAAUUCAAAACUGAAUUCAACCAAAAAGGGCCAAAAUAGCGAUACAAAUCAAUUAAGUAUACAAUAUAUAUUUACAAUUUCGAAUAACUAGUAAAUAUAGCCAAAACAAACAAGGGCUUAUUUGCUGAAUAACCUAAAUCAUAAGUGAAAUAAAGUGCAUGCUUAUGAUUUUGACAUAAUUAAGUAAGUAACAAUUAUACCUCUUUUGAUCCGGUUAUAACCUUCUCUCGAACAAGUAGCAGGUGAAAGGAAGAAGGUAAUACCACAUCACUUAAAUUAAAUAUGGCUAAUAAUGAGGCCACAUCACACACAUACAAACCACAUAAGCCAAAUUAAAUAAGGUCACAUCAUACACAUACAAACCACAUAUGUUUUAUUGUUUCAGUAAAUAUAUAGAGGAUAAUAGAAAAACAAUAGUUUGAUAAAUAAUGUAGUCCAUUCAUUUGUGUAAAUAUAAUGAUGUUGUUCUCCAUUAAAGAAUAAAUGUUGACAAAUGUGUAGAUGAUGUAAUAUGGUAAAGUUACAAUAUAUUACGUACUAUUCCUUAAAAAAUUGAAUAUCUCUAACCUAAUCUGGAUAUGUCAACCUACAUUCAACAUAUAAACAGUUUCUCACGUUUUCAAAUAUCAAAUGUACCCAGGUUCAUACCACUAUACUAUAUAAUGGAUAUAGUAUAGUACGUUUACAGUGUACUGUGAAGUAAACUUUAGUAGUAAGGUUAUAUGGAUGUUUAAUUACCAUAUUAUUGGAUAGAAUAGACUGACACUACGACAUGGAUGAGUUCAUAUCACUAAUACAAGUAAAGGAGCAACGAGGGUGAGUUAUUGAAACCCCCACCCAGAUGAUAACACUAAACUCUAACCUGGAAAUGUCAACCCACAUCCGAGAUAUAAACAGUUUUCCCCGUUUUCAAAUAAUGACAUUAUCCAGGUUCAUAAUACUAUACUACACGGUGGAUAUAGUAUAGUACUUUUAGAGUAUACGAGGAACUAAACUUAGUUCUCGUUCAAUAAUUCAGAGGAGUUUAGUAGCAAGGUUAUAUGAAUGUUUUAUUAUUCAAUUAUUGAAUAGAAUAGACUGACACUACGACACUGACGGGUUCAUAUCACUAAAAUCUAAACUCUAAUUAGUAAACCCUAACUCAAAUAUAAAUCCUAAACCCAAAUAUAAACACAAAACCCAAAUAGAAUGGAACAAAAUAAAUAACAUGGUACAUAUAAGUGAAACUAUAAAAUAUCGAUGAUUGCAUGAAAGAAGUUAAUGAUCAUCCCAACCAUACCUCCUCACCUUCUAAAUACUAAACCCUAAAUUAUAGGCACUAAACCCUAAUCCAAAUAUAACCUAAACCCUAAACCUAAAUAAAUAGAUUAAGCUAAACCCUAAUCAAGGAAGUAUAAACCCAAAUAGAAUGUAUAUAAUAUGGUUUACUAUACCGAAACCUUUACUUAGUAAAUCUAAACCCUAGGCAGGAACCUAUAAACCCAAAUACAAUCUAUAAAUUAUUUUCCAAUAUUAAACACUUGAAAGCACAUUUACUUGAAAUAAAUAGAUUAAGCUAAACCCUAAUCAAGAAAAUAUAAACCCAAAUAGAAUAUAUAUAAUAUGGUUUACUAUACCCAAACAUUUACUUAGUAAAUCUAAACCCUAAACUCUAAUCACUAAACCCUAACUCAAAUAUAAACCCUAAACCCAAAUAUAAACACAAAACCCAAAUAGAAUGGAACAAAAUAAAUAACAUAGUACAUAUUGGUGAAACUAUAAAAUAUCUAUGAUUGCAUGAAAGAAGUUAAUGUUCAUCCCAACCAUACCCUCUCACCUUCUAAAUACUAAACCUUACAUUCUAAUCACUAAACCCUAAUCCAAAUAUACCCUAAACCUAAAUAAAUAGAUUAAGCUAAACCCUAAUCAAGGAAGUAUAAACCCAAAUAGAAUGUAUAUAAUAUGGUUUACUAUACCCAAACCUUUACUUAGUAAAUCUAAACCCUAGGCAGGAACCUAUAAACCCAAAUACAAUAUAUACAUUGUUUUCCAAUAUUUAACACUUGAAAUCACAUUUACUUGGUUAGCAUAUUGCAUAUCUUAUAUUCCAUAUAGUCUAAGUAGUAUACUUAACGAAUGUUCCAAAUAAUCAAAUUUGUCCAACACUCGAAAAAUGAAUUUCAUAUUACAAUCAAUCACACAAAUUGACAAAGAAGAGACCUAUCAAAUUUAAAAACAUGAUAUAUUAUUACAUUUUUAAGGAGUAGUAUAGAAAUAUGUCUCAAAUAGUAUGGUAACCGUACAUAAGUAGCUAUACUUAAAAAUAUAUACUAUACUAUUCAUUUCACGAAAUAUAGUAUAGACGGCGAAUUCAUCUUCUUCAAUUCUUCUUUUUUUAGACAGGCUGAUACACAUUCAUUUCGUUCACCACCAUAUAGAGAUCAUCUUCAUCUCCUCUCUUUUUCCCGACACGAUGAUGCUUUAACUGAUUCGCCGUCGUUGUUCUUCACCACUAGAUCUGUAAAACAAAAUCAGAAACAAAAACAGAGUAUGUAAACAAAAUCAAGAUUGUGAGAAUCAAUUAAUUUAAGAAAAAAAGGAGAAAAAAAGAAAAAGAUUUUGUGUGUGCUUACCGUCUACGCUUUCAUUGCAGUCUGUUCUUCACCACUGGAUCUUAAAAACAAAAACAGAAAAGAAAACAAAAAAACAGAGUAUGAAAAUAAAAGCAUGAUUGUGAGAAUCAAUUGAUUUUAAAAAAAGAAAAAAAAUGAAAGAGUUGUUGUGUGUGCUCACCGUCUUCCUUAGAACAAUUGAUUAUUCUUUUGGUGAAGUAUUGAAAGAGAAGAAUUAUGUGACAGAAGAAAAUGUAUGAUUGUUUUGAUAAUCUGAAGAAGAAAGAGAAACAGUGGAAUGAGAUGGUAGAGUACAGACAUGGAGGUGGUGGUGAUGGAUUAGAAGAUGUGGCUAAAAGUUUUUUAUAUAUUUUUUAAUUAUUUUUGUUAGUAGGUUUCACCGGUUGGUUGCAAGGGUAAUAUAGCAAUAAUCUAUAAUGUGUAUAGUGUAUAUUGAAAAAACAGGGUUUUUAGUUAGUGGAUGAAUUAUAAUUUGUUUGAUUGAUGUAGGAUGCAAUUCCCCAACAAACAACCCAUUGCGUCUUGGUCAGAACAUUGCCAUAAUUGACCAAUGAUAAUCGUAUCUAUCUAGGCAUCCAUUUUCCGAAUGCUAUGAUUUUAUAUAUUCAUACGUUUUCUAUAUUUCUGCUUAUUUAUGCCAAGAUUAUACCACACACAAACAUUUUGAAUACUUCUUUUUUUAACACAUUAGAAUACAUCUUCAACAUUAUAUAUAACUAUAAGCAAUUUUUACAUGUCUAACUUUACGGUUUUAUCGACCCUACGAUCAGUAAGCCAUAUGAACAUUUUACUUGUAUUUGUGAAAUUUAAUCCGAUAAAAUAAUAUAUAAAUAGCUUAUUUAUUCUGGAAAUAUAGUUUUUCUUAUAAAUUCACCUCAGUAAGAACCGAACCUAUACAUUAAUAGAAACUGAAAAUAUGUUUUUGGUCAGAUUAGAGCAGGCGGGGCUCCACUUGUUUGUUCCGACCCAAAUGUAGUUUUCAUUGUCACUUUCUUCUUCUUUUUAGUCGUAUGACGUAAAAGUGAUUAUUUACACUUUAAAAGUUGUUUUGUCCUACGCAUUGUGACGUGGAGCAGUAUUUUUAAAACUCAAUAUUAUUUAAAGAUAAAAGUUGGACACAUUAUAAAUAGAUAGCAUUGGCUGGUUUAAAAUGGAUAACAAAAUUAUUCAUUUUAAACAAAGAAAAACUAAUUUGACGACAAUUUUAAUCGUAUUGCUGAAGUUAUAGAGAUACGCCUAGAAGAAAAAAAACUUUGAUAUAUCAAGAAGAUAAUCAAAGUGAAAGACAUAUAAGCCAAUAUAAGUAUGAACAGAAAAACUGAAAAGCCAAUAUGAAUGAGUUGUUAGUUGCAUGUAUCUAUGUGUGAACAAGUUCAUAACCUUUCGAGUCUGUGUGGUUACAUUUACUUUGUGUUUUUUUUUCCUGUAGAACACUUCAGACAAGUUAUGUCUUAGUCACUUUAUCGGUCUUCGGUUUUGUAAAAAACAAAAGCCGAACUAUAGUAACUCAUUUAUGUGUUUCAAAAAAAAAGUAACUCAUUUAUAAUCCCAAUUAAAAAUUUAUUUAUUACAAGGAGAGUUUUUGCAACAGGUCUUAAUGAUUGUGGCCAGCUUGGUGUCUCAGACGUAAAUACUCAUGCUUUGGUAUGUUACAUAUGUCAAAAAGACUAUAGAGGAUGCAAGCUUUUGUUUUUUUUUCUUUGCUUCUUUGUUUUUUUACAUGUCUUCAUCUCAAAUAAAUUCAAUCGGAACUUGUUUCUUGUAUAUAAACGUUGUAGGAGCCGCUUGAAGUUUCUGGUAUUGAAAAUGAUAUACUGCACAUCUCAGCUGGUUAUAACCACUCUGCUGCUGUCACAGGUAAAUAUAAGCAUAGUGUUCUUCAUUACAUCGUCAUGGAACUGAUACAUGAUCUCCUACAUGCCAAACAUGAUCUUCUGGUGCAGUAUUGUAUGUUAUUUUUACUUAGUCACAUUUUUUUUUAAAAACCCUUAAAUAAGAGACUUGCAUUGGACCACACAAAUAUUUCCGUCUCUUGACUAAGUUUCUUAAACUCACUUUUCCAAUUAAAAAUUAUUAAAAAAAGAUAUAAAUGAAUAUUUGGGAUAAUGAUGCUCCAUGAGUUUAAAAAAAGAUUGAAAAAUUUUGUGAGAGAGAAGAAAAGAAAAAAGGUAGCAUUUUUAAUAAGUUUUUAAUAAAACUAAGUCCUUGUCCGCGCUACGCGCAGAUAGUAUUUUGAUUUUUUUUCUUCAUAUUUUUGUACUAUUAUGUCAAUUGUUUAGUUUUAUAAAAUGUUAUGUUUUAACUGUAAAUUUAGAAUUAAAAAUCUAAUUUUUCCUUACUGUUAAUUUUUUUAAAUCUUACCACAACACAUUAUACAUGAAGAAAAUAUAGUUGGCCUUUAUAUUUUUAUUUGGUGUAAUAUUGAAAAUUUUGAUGGUUUGUUUAAAUGGCUUUUUUAAAUUAUAUAUUUUAGGAUUGAUUUUCGUGACUAUAUUCUAUAAUUGUCUAAAAAAAUUGUUUGUCCCAUAUAGACAUCCACAUAAAUAUGGGCUUCUGAUAAAUUUGUUCAUUGGGAUAUUUAGUUUCACUUUCAACUUUAUUCCUUUUUUUGGCACCCUCAUGCUAGCUUGUGGGGCUAGCCAACUUGGUGCAAAAGGGUUUACAAAAGCUGAUCAAGAUGCGCGUGAUCGGACACCUUUUGCUAGGCUAUUCGUACGGAAUUUUAAAGAUCUAGGAAUAUAAGCAAUAGAAAGUUCAGAAAAUUCUUUGGAUACAGCCUGUAUUUCGUCGAGCUCCUUGUCCAACGCAGGCCAAUCUUCCUCCUUUUGAAUGAGUAUAACCAGUUGUUCACAGUCGAUUGAAAGACCAUCUCUCUGUGUCCAAACUUCAGUAUCACUUGCAUUGCCCAUAGCAAAUCUUCAGCUUCCGCUUGAAGUGGUGAUUUAGUGUGUGCAUAUCGGGCCUUGCUCCAAACAGGAUUGGAAAAUCACCAUCCAUUAACACAAAGCCAAGUCCAGAUAUGUCUCUUUCAUUUAUCCAGGAUGUCUAGCAGAAGCGUUUCUUUGCGGAGGAACAGUUGUGUCCGUUACCUCAACUCCCAUAUCAAUCUCCAUAAUCUCGUCGAUACAUUGAGCUAUCCUCCAACACUCUGCUUCAAUUUUAUUCGCUAAUAGGAAAGACAUAAUUCCUACGACACUAUUAAUGAUUGUUUUUUAUUGUAACACCGAUACGGCAAACUUAUGUUUUAUUUAACAAAACUCUUAUUUUAAUUUUGUAUUAAAAAAAUCAAUCAUAUUUUAUAUUAUCCAUAAUUUUAGUAAAUUUGCUUAUUUGUCAUGUUUUUAUUAGGUUUUAGCUAAAUCAUUGAUUUAUUAUUUAUUUUUAGCUAAGUUACUAAUUUAUUAAUUUAAAAAUACCCUUAAUUAAUAUUAUAUAUAUAUAUUAAAAAUGAAUUUUAUUUUAGUAAUAUUAAAUUUAUAUUUUAUAUUAAAAUUCAGUUAGUUUUUCUUAUUUGUCAUAUUUUAUUAGGUUUUAGACUUUUAGAUAGUUUAUUGAUUUAUUAUUAAUUUCUAACUGAUUCGCUAAUGUGUUAAUUAAAACAAUACCCAUAAUGAAUUUUAUAUAUAAUUAAAAACGAAUUUUAUUUUAAUCAUAUAAAAUUUAUAUGUUAUAUUAAUAUUAAAUAAUUGAUUCUAAAAUAAUAUAAUAAAAUUAUCAAAAAAUUUUAAAAUAAGAUAAUUAUUAUAAAAGUUAAAAAGAUACAAAAAAUUAUAAUUAAAUAUUAUUCAAGAAAAAACAUUUAUAUAAAGAUAUUUUCUAAAUAAUUUCUAACAUAUGAGUGUUUUAAAAAAUUUAACACUGGAUGUUUAGAACACGGGAUUAUGCUUAUGAGAGAGUGGUUCGGGAAUGGGCUUCGAGAUGGGUCGAAUGGGCUCUGAAAAUAGCUUUUUUUUUAACUCAAGCCCAGUCCGGAUGACAUGGCAUCUUGGUUGAUUCACAAUAUUUUGCCCAUGUGGCAGGGCUUAGAAAGGAGGGAUUUAGUCCCUUUUAUAUAGUAGGAUUCUUAUAUAUAUUUUGUUGCUAUCUGAAAAAAAUAUUUUUAUUGUAAAAGUUAAAAAGAUACAAAAAUUAUAAUUAAAUAUUAUUCAAGAAAAAAACAUUUAUAUAAAGAUAUUUUCUAAACAAUUUCUAACAUAUGAGUGUUUUAAAAAAUUUAACACUGGAUAUUUAGAACACGGGAUUAUGCUUAUGAGAGAGUGGUUCGGGAAUGAGCUUUGAGAUGGGUCGAAUGGGCUCUGAAAAUAGCUUUUUUUUUAACUCAAGCCCAGUCCGGAUGACAUGGCAUCUUGGUUGGUUCACAAUAUUUUGCCCAUGUGGCAGGGCUUAGAAAUGAGGGAUUUAGUCCCUUUUAUAUAGUAGGAUUCAGACUGCUACCAACUCUGUUCUAUAAAUAUUCAGCACUUCAUGACCAUUCAACACUCUACCAACCUUCUAAUAUCUCAAUCACUCUCUUAAUCAUUCACAAAUCACUUUUGAAGUUUUCACACCAUCAUUCAUUUCUUUCGAAAGUCGAAACUCCUAUCUUAAUUUGAAGUCUUUGGAGGAUUUUUGGUUAAUUGUUUCUGUCAUAAAAUAGUCUCUUCCCUUUUUUUGUUCAGACAAUGUUCUUGUCACACAUAGAAUGCAAUCGACUUGAUUUGCAAUUUUUUCUUAACAACAAAACGUGCGUCGAGAAAAGUUUUUAUUUCUGGAUUUUCCAAAUACCAACCGUUGUAACUUCGUUAUCGUGUCUUAAAACAUAAUCUGAAUUCUAAAUACUCUUCUUGUGGGUCAAGAUUUCGCAGUUUCUUGUGUAUCAAGUCACUUAAUGUCAGAGAUAUUGCAAAUGGGAAGUUCAUGUUUACCCCCAGGCUUCCGGUUUCAUCCUACAGAUGAAGAACUCAUCGACUAUUACCUAAAAAGAAAAGUCGAAGGUCUUGAGAUCGAGCUUGAAGUCAUUCCCGUUAUUGAUCUUUAUAAAUUUGAUCCUUGGGAGUUACCAGGUAUUAAUUGCCUUCAAUUCAACAUUAUUCUCAACCUUUUUAUUACUUUUCGAAUUUUUAAACAAAAAAAUGAUAGUAUUUUGUAACAUUUAGACAAGUCUUUUCUUCCGAAUCGGGACAUGGAAUGGUUCUUCUUCUGUUCAAGGGACAAAAAAUAUCCUAAUGGUUUUCGUACAAACCGAGGAACAAAGGCCGGUUAUUGGAAAGCAACCGGAAAAGACCGGAAAAUUACUAGUCGUUCAUCUUCUACAGUCGGCUAUAGAAAAACCCUAGUUUUCUACAAAGGUCGUGCCCUGUUAGGCGAUAGAACCACUUGGCUCAUGCAUGAAUAUCGACUAUGCGAUGAUGAGAGUUCAUCACAAGGUUCACAAACUUACAAGGUAAGAACUUUACAUAUUCAUCACAUUCUAUAAUGCUUUAUUUGUUUCUAAGUGUGAUAAAUUACAGGGAGCUUAUGUGUUAUGCCGUGUGUCUAAGAAGAAUGAGAUCAAGACUAAUUCGAAAAUCCGAAGAAACCUAAGUGAACAAACACUUGGAUCAGGAGAAAGUUCUGGAUAUUCUAGUCGAGUGACUUCACCUAGUCGGGAUGGAACGAUGCCGUUUCACUCAUUUGUCAAUCCGGUUUCUACUGAAAUAGACUCUUCCAACAUUUGGAUUUCACCUGAUUUCAUUCUUGAUUCUUCAAAAGUAUGUAUUAUACAAUUCUAGUUUGACCAAUAACUAAACCGGAACAAGGUAUUGUUUAUCUAAUACUUGUUUGAUUAUGUUCUUGUAGGACUAUCCUCAAAUUCAAAAUUUUGCAUCUGAGUACUUUCAAGACUUUGAUUUUCCGGUUAUCGGUCAAGAAGUAAAUUUUCCAGCGAGUAUAUUGCAUACCGAUGUAGAUCAGAACAUGGAUGAAUCUAUGCAAACCGGUUAUUGGACAAAUUGUGGAUACGAUCAAACCGGUUUAUUCGGUUACUCAGAGCUCUCCUAAUCGGAGUCUCGUUUGAAGUCUCUUCUAAGACUAAACGGCUUUUAUGGUUCGAGUCAUCCCACUUGUAGCAUUGGUCUAUAGGAUUUGUUUUAUUAAUGUAUCCGGCGCUACUAGUGGUAUAACUGAUAGUUGCACCAAAAUAAAUAUAGUUCAACUCAAAACAUAAAUAAGGUUGAUGAUCCAAAAGAUAUAAAUUUAAAUGCAUGUGUUUGUUUUGUGAUUUUCUUGUUCGAAGGAAGAUAGUAAAUCCGUUCAUCCUCUUAAAAUAGCAACAACCCUCGCAUGCUUUGAAUGUCGAUGUGGCAAUUUGUUAGGAGCUUCGUUGUAGACGUAUUGGUUACAUACGCUGUCUUCAAAAUGAUUCUAAUCCAGUAAUUGAAUUAUUAAUCAUGGUCCAACAUUGAUUGGACCGGAAUUGACUAUUUUUUCAGGAUAAGUUAUCCAACUAUUAUUUUCCCUCUAAAUUGCUUAUGCACAAUAUUAAAAUACCAUAAGAAAUAUGUGUUGUUGUCAUAGUUUUCAUCUGUAGAUUGGCGAAGAUGGUUGAGUUCUUUGCGGUGGUUGAGUAUAAUUUAAAAUAUUAAUUUUUGAAUUAAAUUAAUUUUUAUUUAUACAUAUUUAAAAGAUAAAAUUAAAAACUAAAUUUUAUGAUAACUUAAAAGAAGAACGAAUUGAAAUAAUGAUAAUGUUUUUUUUGCUUUACUCGAUAAAUAUAUAUACACAUUUUUAUAUUAUAUCUUAUAAGUUUUAAUCUUUUUUGAAAGAAAUAUAGUGAUGAUAAUUUUGUUACUAUAAUACAUUUGUAGUUACUAUACUGAUAAACUUAAUCACUAUUAAGAGUAAUAAUAAUUUUAACCAGUUUAACUUUUAAUGUGAGAUCCAUGAGAAGAAAAAAAUUUCAUAAAUAUAUUUUUGUAAUAACUAAAAAAAACAUUAAAAGAUAAAAUUUAGAUAAUGAUAAUAUUUACUACGUAUAUUCGAUAAAUAUAUACACAUAUUUAUCUUAUUAUUUAACAAAUGUUACUUCAUUUAUUAGAUAAAUAUAUACACAGACUUAUUUUAUCAUUUAAUAUUUUUUAACCUUGUAGGAAAGAAAAUAAGUAAAAAUAAUUUUAUCAGUAUAAUAUAAUUGUGGUUAAUUUUAUUAUGUUAAACCUAAUUAUUAUAAUAGAUUUAUGUAUAUAUAUUAUAAUCAUAAGAAUAUAAUUCAUGAUCAAAACCCAAAAUUUGUUGGUUUUUUAACAUCCAAAUAUAUAGAUGGAAUGUGAGGCAAAGGGAAGAUGAAUACAUACUUAAAUAAAUUGUGACUAUAAUCUAAAUGGUCUUCUAUCUUUCAUAUUUGGUUUCGUGUAAAACUAAUUUGUUUAUCACAAUUGAUUCAAACGUUGUGUUCGCCUUCAAAAUCACUGAUUUGCCAUUUUUAACUGACAAUGGAUUUCUUAUUUACGGUUUUAAAGAAUCUAAAGAGGGUCUUAAAAUAUAUAUGAGUUCAUGUUGCUUAGUUUGAUGACCGAUGCCCUUUUUAGACCAACCCUUAGCAUCAACAGUAUUUUUGGCAGCUUGAUGUUAGGAGUUUUCAAGGCUCCUAAGACAAAUGUUGUAGUAUAAAAGAUUGUCGAACCAGUUCUGAGGGAUAUCAAAGCACUGAGAAUGCAAGUACUCACUUAAUCUAAGUGCAACCAAUGAUUUAGAUGGGUUUUAAACUACUACUAAACUAGAAUGCAAUAACAGAAUGAUACUUUCUUAACUAAGGGAAAAGAGAACUCAUGGGCAUAGGGAUUAGACCUUGGGUGAUCAAGUAUCGAAUUAAGGAUGGCAAAUGAUCAAUCAAACUAUCAACCUUAAGCCUAGACACAAUUCUAAGCAAGCUCUAUGUCUAGAUGAAUGCUCAUUUGCUAACAUAUCUCAAACAUCAAAUGUCUUUGGUUGAAUAAUAUGAAAGCAAUCAUUAAUAACAAGUCUAUUAGCUAUNNNNNNNNNNNNNNNNNNNNNNNNNNNNNNNNNNNNNNNNNNNNNNNNNNNNNNNNNNNNNNNNNNNNNNNNNNNNNNNNNNNNNNNNNNNNNNNNNNNNNNNNNNNNNNNNNNNNNNNNNNNNNNNNNNNNNNNNNNNNNNNNNNNNNNNNNNNNNNNNNNNNNNNNNNNNNNNNNNNNNNNNNNNNNNNNNNNNNNNNNNNNNNNNNNNNNNNNNNNNNNNNNNNNNNNNNNNNNNNNNNNNNNNNNNNNNNNNNNNNNNNNNNNNNNNNNNNNNNNNNNNNNNNNNNNNNNNNNNNNNNNNNNNNNNNNNNNNNNNNNNNNNNNNNNNNNNNNNNNNNNNNNNNNNNNNNNNNNNNNNNNNNNNNNNNNNNNNNNNNNNNNNNNNNNNNNNNNNNNNNNNNNNNNNNNNNNNNNNNNNNNNNNNNNNNNNNNNNNNNNNNNNNNNNNNNNNNNNNNNNNNNNNNNNNNNNNNNNNNNNNNNNNNNNNNNNNNNNNNNNNNNNNNNNNNNNNNNNNNNNNNNNNNNNNNNNNNNNNNNNNNNNNNNNNNNNNNNNNNNNNNNNNNNNNNNNNNNNNNNNNNNNNNNNNNNNNNNNNNNNNNNNNNNNNNNNNNNNNNNNNNNNNNNNNNNNNNNNNNNNNNNNNNNNNNNNNNNNNNNNNNNNNNNNNNNNNNNNNNNNNNNNNNNNNNNNNNNNNNNNNNNNNNNNNNNNNNNNNNNNNNNNNNNNNNNNNNNNNNNNNNNNNNNNNNNNNNNNNNNNGUAAAUAUGCAAGAUAUCAACUCCCCCAAACUUGUUCUUUUACUUGUCCACAAGUGAACUUUCUAGAACUCAUAGGGAGAGAGGUUGAAGGUGGGAGCACAUAGCCAAAAGAAACACAACUAGCACACUCUCUUAUUACACUCUAGCUUCUCUAGGCCUAUCUUAACUCUUUUUGUUCUUACACUCAUCAUCAAGCAUCCACACAUUCAAAUCAACCAACUCUCACAUUCAUUAAGCACAAAACAUCAGGUGAAUUCUUGCAAAUGGUCAGUUGGUCCAAGUCAUUUGGUUGGGUAAGGGAAGGCUUUUAUUCAAGUGAUUCAAGAGAUUCAAAACAUAUGAUCUUUAAGGUGGUUUACUCUCGAAACAAGUAGCCUUGACAUUGCACAUAAUAUAUCUAAGAAAGGGAUCAACUCAUGCAUACAAUGCUCAAUCUCCAUUGUUCUACCCUUUUCCCAAACAUACAAUUACACAAUCAUUCCCAAAUGUCAAACCCAACUCACAUCUCUCACCAAAAGAUCCUAAGAACAUCAACUCUUUCUCUUUGAAAUCUACAAGGGAUUUUUCACAACCUCAAAACAUUUCUUAGCUCUUAACAACUUUGCUAGCCCCCUUUUUCUUUUUUUUUUUUUUUUUUNNNNNNNNNNNNNNNNNNNNNNNNNNNNNNNNNNNNNUUUUUUUUUUUUUUUUUUUUUUCGUUUUUUCUUUUUCCUUUAUUUUUUUUUUUUUUUUUUUUAUUUUUUUUUUUUUUUAGGCUGGGGGCCAAGACUUUUCAAAACUUGAGCUAGAGGCUUCUCUACUUAUCCCAAUAAAACAAUUCACUUAAGCACAAAGAGUCUAUUCUUUUCCUUUUCAUUCCUCCCAAAUCAUAAUCACAACACUCACCCCCCACCUAUAGCUAGACAAUAGAGUGCCCAAUCUAGCAAGAAUGAAGAUCAAGCAUUGUCGUUCCCGAUACUCUCAACAUUAUGCACAUGUAAGACUUUCCGAAAAAGGCCUCACUCAUCAAACAAUGAAAGCUUAAAAGGAGGGAAGGGUUUUGGGAGUGGUCUACCACUAGAGUUUGUCAAAAUAAGAUUGGCAUAAAGGAUGUGACAACUCAAGUGUGUAUAGCCAUGACUCAGUACACAAGGGACCAUGAGCAAGAGGCAUUAAGUUCGUUCAGUUCAAAUAAGGUUGUAGUUGGCUUCAAAGACUGAGUUUCAGCAAUCAACAAGUUUCAGGAAGAGUUUUCAAGGCUCGAAACAUACAAGUCUUUUUGAGAGGUGCAAAAGCUACUCAGGUGCAACGUAGUGUUCUUUACAAGGCAUUUAAAAUCAUUGCUCCCAAUGCAUGUGAAUGCAACCUAUAUGCUCUAGACUCUCCUAGAAAUGCAAAUGAUGCAAACUAAAUGAUUGAUUUUUUUUUUUUUUAUAUGCAAAUAGGUAUGCAAUGCAUGACUCAAUGAAACAACAUCAAAGCAAACAUGAUCAAAUACUUGGUACCUCCCCCAAACUUGAGUUACACAGCCUCUGUGUUGUCAAGUAGAGAGAGAGAUACCGAAAAGAAGACUAAUAUGCAAAAAUAAAAUGGUAUAUACAGGGGAGUGUGAUGGGUUACCUUCUAUGGGGAAUGAGUAGAGGGAGAUGAUCCCUCCUCGUCGUCCUCAGGUGGUAACUCUUCAAGGUGCUCAUCAGCAGGAGUGUCCAUCUCUUCAAUGUAGAAGGCUUGCCCGAACACAGUUGGUUUCCUCAUUUUCCUCUUGAUGUCAAAGUGGAGGAUGUUCUCUUUACCCAAAUGGAGAUCAAUCGUGCCUUCCUUCACAUUAACAAUAGCUCCUGCUGUAGCUAAGAAUGGUCUUCCACAAAAAUAUUAUAUGUUUGAAAUAAGUAUAAAAUGAUUUCUCUAUAUGGAGAAUAGAUGAUGAUAGGGUUGAAUCCUUAUGUGUUAUAUAGGGUUGAAUCCCUAAAUAAACCCUAAAAUCUAAAUUUGUUUCAUCUAAAUUGUAUAAAUUUGUUACAAUAGGGUUGAAUCCCUAAAUUUGAAUCCCUAUAUGAUGAUAGGGUAUAAAUUUGUUACAAUAGGGUUGAAUCCCUAAAUAAACCCUAAAAUCUAAAUUGUAUAAAUUUUUAUGAACAAUUUAUUUGUAAAAAUUUUAAUGGAACACUUAAAUUGUAUAAAUUAUUUUGAAACACUUAUUUUUUAAAAAUUUUAAAGGACCACUUAUUUUUAUAAUUUAUAUAUAUGCCAAGCCUACAUAAUCUUAUUAGAAAUAUGUCUUAACAACCAAACAAAAUAUGUCUUACAACCAAACAAGCAAAAUAUGUCUUAAAACAAAACAAGCAUACUCCGAUCCAUAAAUAUGUCUUUGAGAAUACUCGAUCGAGUACAUUUAAACAUACAGAAUCUUAUCAUUUGGCCAAGCCACUGUGCUGCCCACAGCAUCUGAUAUGUCUUCCAGAAAAGAGUUUGGUCUCCAUAGAGAUGCAUCUUCAAUCAAGGCCACUUCAACCCAGACCCGACUUGCAUUGGGACCUAACGGGACGUGAUGGACUAAACACAAUGGAUCAGUACUACUUACUCUGCCUUCUGCGACUUUCCGUCCUGAGUUGUUGUGGUCCAACAAGAUGCACUUCUUUUUACCACCUGAACGGGUGGAACUAGUGCUGCCACUUGGACUCUACAAGCACAACAAAUACAUCACACCAACUACAUCUAAAUAAGUUUGUAAAAGAGAGAAGUUUGUAAAUUUACCAAUGAAGGCCUUCUGACACUAGCUUCCCCUUCAUCUUCAGGAACUUUAAUUACUGAUACAUUAUGGAGCGGCCAUGCGAUCUUUUCAUUAACAGCAUCACUCAUUGUUGUCAUGUCACUUGUUGGCCUCCAUAGAAAAGCUUUCCCAUUAAUCACCUUAGCAACUCUCAUAACUACAGCAUUCGGACCCAAAGGAACAUUGUUCACCAUCUCAUAUGGGUCAGUCGAACCCAUAAAACCUUCAGCGAUUACCUCGACGCCCUUAACCCAAUCGUAGAUCUUGCACCUUUCAAGAUCAUCUACGGUAGUAUUCUAUAUUGACAAUGCAUAUGGUUAGUAUCAUGUUGAAUUUUAUAAUACAAACGUAAGUAUACGUGCUAAUGGAAUGACCUUUGAUCUUAACACAUCCGAGGAAACUGGAUGGUUGUUCGAUGCACUAUCUAGUAUCAGUUUAUCAAUUGGCCAUGGAAUUUUGCAUCCCGCUGCUUCCUGAAGAUUACGCACAUCCGUAGUUGGCCUCCAAACAGAUGCCUUCGGGUUUGAUACCGACUUUACAACAACCGCCGCGGCGUUAGGACCAAUCGGAAUACGACCAAUCUUGUAUGUACCUUCAGCAGAGCAGAAUUCUCCUUCAGCGACAACAACAUCUUUUGACUCACACCAAUCAAGUAGUUGAACUCUAGUUCCUUCUUUGUAUACAUAACUAGCCUCAGAUGGAGAAACACAAUCAUCAUUGUUUUUCUGUAAAAACAUAAAAUGAAUCAUUGAUUUUAUAUCAAUCAAGGAAAUUCUACAUUAUAUAACCAGUUAAAACUAAAGAAAAUUCACCUUAUUUCCAGCUAAGUCACGGACCAGAAUCUUCAAGUCUUUAAUCUCGCUUUCCAAGUCGGCAAGUUUGGAGUCUCUAGCUGACAAGAAUGCUAGUUUCGUAGCAGUAAUCCCUCUUCCCAACCCUCUGACUCGUCCAGGUUUGUCUACUCCCAACACUUGACUAACAGCAUCUUCUUUUAUAUUAACACUGGAUGUGGAGUCCAUUUGACUAUCAAGUGAAAUUAUUUUUUCCUGAGACAAACACAAUAUAAGUUAUGGUCCUUUUCAAUACCAAAAAGAGUAACUUAAUUAAUCAGACAAUGAAACCUUACAAUGGUUUCAGCAAACUCAGGUCUAACAGGUCUACCAUCAGAGUGAGUGUGUCCUGCUAUCCAGACCUUGCUCCGGCUAAUCUUCUUAGGGUCUUCACUCUUUUUUUUCUACAAGAGUGAUAUAUUGUUUUACUUAUCAGUUUGUUCUAUCUUCAGAUAUAAUAUAAUUACAUACUGUUACUUACCAUUUCACAAGCUAGACGAUUCAUUCCUCUACGACUAGUGGUGUGAGGAAUCUGAGCUCUCCUUAGUGCUCUGUACUUUUCACUCUUUGCCUACAAUAUUAUUAAAUCAAAUUUGAUCAAUCAAAUCUCCGAAGUAAACACUUAAAAACCAAAUGCUCUGUAUAUUUCACCUUGAACACAGACGAAGUCCUACUCUUAACCCAAGCGCUCCAAACCUGAACAGAUCGAAUGUUGCUUGGUUUCAGUGCUGCUCUCUCUGUGGAGCUUUUUGCAUUUCGCAGUUGUGAUACAAGCCUUGACUUUCCAGAUCUCCACAAACAGCCCAUCUGUUUGAAGACUGAAUCUUUUUGCCACUCUUCUUUCAAAUCAAACCUCGCCUGCAGUAAUGUAUGCAAAUGCCACACAUUAUAAUCCUUACAAAGACAUUAUACAAUAGACUUAAGGGCAUAUAUAUACCUGAAUUUCCUCCCAUAAUGUGUCCUUUGUCUGCUUAUCAAGAUUCCUCCAAUCAUCAAGAAGUACAGUCACAUGUUCGCGUACAAGGGGUCCAAGGAACGAUGAAAGUGUCACUGAUCCAGGACCUACAUGUUCGCCAAGCUCAGUGAAUGACACAGAAACCUUCUCUUGAUGAUCCUUGGCCACUUUACGCAUCUUUGUGGGUCCUCUUUUCUUCUUUUGUUUUCCAUCAGAUGGCGAUGCUUCUGCUCCUGAAAUGCCAUUCUCAGUUUCAAUGUCAGCUUCUCUCGGCUGAGAAGGUUCUUGAGUAACUCCAUUCUCAGGUUCCAUGUCAGCUUCUCUCGACUGAGAAGGUUCUUGAGUAAAUCCAUUCUCAGGUUCCAUGUCAGCUUCUCUCGGCUGAGAAGGUUCUUGAGUAACUCCAUUUUCAGCUUCCAUGUCAGCUUCUCUCGGCUGAGAAGGUUCUUCAGUAACUCCAUUCUCAGACUGAGACUGUUCUUCAGCAAUGACAUUCUCAACUUCAAUUUCCACAUGUGGAUCAUCACCAUCACCAUCACCAUCCGCCUCAUUAACAUCUUCAGAAACCUUUGUCGGGACUUCGUCAGCACUUUCUUGCCUUAUCUCAAUGUUUUCUUCUUCAAUAGCAACUUCUUUUCCCUUAUUUAACUUACGCAUUUUCGUACUCUUUCUGGUUAUCUCAAUGAACUCUGUUUCUGCUUCCAGACCUUGGGAACGUCUGCUUCUUCUAACCAUUCCUCCUCGUGUCUUCGGCCCCAUGUUAAUUUGUUCCUAAAAAAAUCAUUUUUGAGAUCUAUUGAGAUAAUAAGCAAUCGAUUAAUUUUCAUGAUUGUAGAUUGUAAAAAUGGAAGACGAUCGAUACAUAUCUAUUGAGAUAAUAAGCAAUCGAUUAUUAUCAUGAUGCAUGCAAGUUAAAGAAGACAGAGAUCAAAGAAGACAAACCUGAGAUCGAAGAAGACAAAGAAGACAGAGAUCGAUGAAGACAAAGAAGACAGAGAUCGAUGAUUCCGAAGGGGUCUCACGAAGAACACUUUGGGAGAGAAAAUGCAGAGACGAUAUUCUUUUGUUUUAAUGAAAAAGUACUAAAUAUUCUUUGCUUUGGUCAAAGAUAUAUUUCCCACAAAAUUUAUCAUUCGCGGGUUUUAAUAAAAAAAUAAGCGGUCGAGGAUACCAUAACGAUUAUUCUUUCUCAGUGCUAUAAUCUAAAGAUCAAAAUCCCAAAAACAUGCGCGCUUGCAAAUUUCAUUUUGCCGCUCCAGAUAUAAUAGCUUUUUACUUAAAGAAACGCUAUUAUAUUUCUAGCCACAAACAUACAAUAGCACAAACUUCUUUUCCGCUAUAUUACAUUGCUAUUAAAACCCUUAUUUCCUGUAGUGCAAGCACCACAAAAUCUGUAGGUAUCUCAUACCUUCCAAUCUUCACAGGGAGGUCCUCUAAGAUGCCCACAGGAUACUUCACUGAACGAUCAGCUAACACCAGAGAGAGUCUACACUUCUUGAACUGGGUGAAUCCAAGCUUCUUUGCAACAGACAAUGGCAUCAAGCUGACACUAGCUCCCAAAUCGCAGAGACUUUUCUCAAAUACCAUAGGUCCAAGAGCACAAGGUAGUGUGAAGCUUCCUGGAUCCUCUAAUUUCUCUGAAGCAUCAAGCCUCUGGAUGAUGGCAUUGCACUCAUGGGUAAGAAUCAUCAUGCCUUCCAUCUCCUUCUUCUUUGCAGCUACAGCAUCUUUCAAGAACUUGCUGUAUUGAGGAAUCAACAUAAAAGCAUCGAUGAUGGGCAUUGCAACCUGAGCUUCACUCAUUUGCUUCUCAAACAGAGCCUUGUAUUUCUCUAGCAGCUGCCUCUUGAAUCUACCAGGGAAUGGUAGUUUGGGUUCAUAGGGAGGAGGAACAAAAGAACUUUCACUUGCUGGAGUAACAACUUCACCAUCUUUUACUGUCUUCUUCUCUUCCCCAACCUUUCCUUUACCUUUGGCUUCUACUAUCUUUUCCAAGAUCUCGUCAUUGAUCUUCUCAUCAACAAUCACCACUUCAUCAUCUAUGUUGAUGGCAACCCCCUCACCUAGUUUCUCAGCAUCCUUGGUGAGGGUUUUAGGAGGUAACUGUUUACCACUCCUAAGGGUGAUAGCUUUGGCCUCCUUGGGGUUUUGGUCAGACUUUCCAGGUAGAGAUCCUUGCUGGCGAUUCUGGUGAGUGUUCAUGGAAGCAAACUGAUUCUCUAAAUUCCUGACUGUAGAAGCAAGGUGAGAGAAUUUGUUGUUGAGCUCAUUGUAGCUCCCAUCAAUCUUGGUAUGAAGGUUCUUCAACUCAUAACCAACAUGCUUCUCACUUCUAGUCUGAGACUCCAAGAUUUGUUUCAGUAAGGUAUCAGUGCUGCUCUCUUGAGGAGCAGAGGAGCCAGACGAGGGGUUUUGCUGAGGCUGAUAGCUGCCUUGCUGGUUGUUUCUAGGCGGAUAACCACUCUGUUGGUUGUUGGGAUAGGAUUUCUGUUGGUAGUUGUUGUACUGAAAGUUGGGCUCCUUUUUGUACCAGCUACCAUUGUUGUUGAUGAAGCACAACUCUUCCUGACCUUCCAAACCCUCAACCUCAUUGACAGCAAGUGGAUCUUCCUGCCUGGAGUUACCAACAAACUUCAGCUGCUCUUGGGUGGCUUUUUCAGCAAUGAGAAGGUCGAUCUUGUCUUCCAAAGCUUUGAUCUCUUUCCUCGUCUGCUUAUCAUCUGUUCUACUGCCUCUGUCGUGGUCUCCACUGUAGACUGCAUCACUCUUUACCAUGUUGUCAACCAGCUCUUCUGCAUCCUCCUCAGUUCUCCCCAAGAAAAACCCAUUGCUAGCUGUAUCCAGUCUAGCUCUGUACUUAGGAAGAGCACCACGGUAGAAUGUGCUCAGCAAGCUCUCCUUAGAAAAGCCAUGGUGUGGGCAUUGAGCUUGGUAGCCCUUGAAUCUCUCCCAGGCUUCACUGAAGCCUUCCAAGUUCUUCUGUUGAAAGCUGGAAAUCUCGUUUCUCAGCUUAGCAGUUCUUGAAGUAGAGAAGAACUUCUCCAAGAAUGCUUUCUUGCAGUCAUCCCAAGUGGUGAUGGAGUCGCUGGGUAGAGACUUCUCCCACUGACGUGCUUUAUCCCCCAAAGAGAAAGGGAAUAGCUUGAGCUUUAAGGCAUCUUCGGACACACCAUUGGUUUUUGACAACCCACAGUAGCUGUCGAACCUGUCCAAGUGAUCAAAUGGAUCCUCUAGAGCCAAGCCAUGAUACUUGUUGUUCUCGAUCACAUUGAGGAGUCCUGAUUUGAUCUCAAAGUUGUUGGCUGCUACAGCUGGUGCUCGGAUUCCCAAUCUAUGACCAUGAAUGUUGGGGCUUUUUAACAUCCAAAUAUAUAGAUGGAAUGUGAGGCAAAGGGAAGAUGAAUACAUACUUAAAUAAAUUGUGACUAUAAUCUAAAUGGUCUUCUAUCUUUCAUAUUUGGUUUCGUGUAAAACUAAUUUGUUUAUCACAAUUGAUUCAAACGUUGUGUUCGCCUUCAAAAUCACUGAUUUGCCAUUUUUAACUGACAAUGGAUUUCUUAUUUACGGUUUUAAAGAAUCUAAAGAGGGUCUUAAAAUAUAUAUGAGUUCAUGUUGCUUAGUUUGAUGACCGAUGCCCUUUUUAGACCAACCCUUAGCAUCAACAGUAUUUUUGGCAGCUUGAUGUUAGGAGUUUUCAAGGCUCCUAAGACAAAUGUUGUAGUAUAAAAGAUUGUCGGCGGUCAUAAGUGCCAAUAGGUCGCGCUGCUCGCUGUUGGUUUUGAGGUAUGUCUCCCAUAUCAGUAUCCAAUCUCUGCAAGUGAGCCUGUUGCUCUUCUUCUCUUCUCUUUCUAGCACACUCUCUCUCUAAAGCUCUGAUAUCUGCAGCUCUUGGAACUAGGUUUGAUGGACCCCUGCUCCUCAAGUGCAUACACCUGUAGAUUAAAGGGAGGUGAAGAAGAAUCAGUAACAAAAGAAAAUAAAAAUGACUUAGUCUCAAGCAAGUGACUAAAUCUCAAUGUUUAAAUCUACUCAGAAUUUGGCAACGGCGCCAAUUUGAUGUUAGGAGUUUUCAAGGCUCCUAAGACAAAUGUUGUAGUAUAAAAGAUUGUCGAACCAGUUCUGAGGGAUAUCAAAGCACUGAGAAUGCAAGUACUCACUUAAUCUAAGUGCAACCAAUGAUUUAGAUGGGUUUUAAACUACUACUAAACUAGAAUGCAAUAACAGAAUGAUACUUUCUUAACUAAGGGAAAAGAGAACUCAUGGGCAUAGGGAUUAGACCUUGGGUGAUCAAGUAUCGAAUUAAGGAUGGCAAAUGAUCAAUCAAACUAUCAACCUUAAGCCUAGACACAAUUCUAAGCAAGCUCUAUGUCUAGAUGAAUGCUCAUUUGCUAACAUAUCUCAAACAUCAAAUGUCUUUGGUUGAAUAAUAUGAAAGCAAUCAUUAAUAACAAGUCUAUUAGCUAUCUUAGCAUCUUUAACAACAAAUGUCUUUGGCAAAGUAUACUAAAAGCCUAGGAGAGUUGUCUCGGGCAUUUCAUCGAACACCUUUCGGGUGAGAAAUGCCUAAGGAUCAACUUUUGAGUGGCCAACUCAGAAGAUGCAUUAUGAUUACUCUACUAGCAAGGAAAUAUGAAUGAUCUACACUAAAACAUCCUAGCUCUAACCUAAUCACCCUUAAUCUCCCUAACCCAUGAAUUCAAAAGAUGAUUACUCACUAAUCUCCAUGAUUCCUCUUAAACCCAUAUUGGAUUUUAGAUUAACCAUGUAGAGAAAUAGAUAAGAAAUCAACAAGAACACAAGAUGAAAGCAAUGAAAUCUGAAUCAAAAGAGGUUUUUUACUAGUUCUUCCCUAGAAAAGAGAUUAUUCUUGCCUCCCUUCGCUUACAAAGUACUUAACUUAGGUUUAGAAAGUGUAAAACAUCAAAACAAAUGACCAAAAGGUCCCUGAAAAAUCAUAAGUUUCGUCCAAGCAAAACACGCGGAGGGACUUCGUGGUGUAGCUCCGAGACGUAGCUCUGGGUUGGGAGCUACCUUAUGGUGUCGCUCUGGAAGGUCCCUCCAGGCCUAUGUUUUGGCCUCCAAAGUGAUGAAAAGGCGAGUGACGUAGGGGUGUAGCUCUGGAAGGUCGCUCUGGGUUGGGAGCUACCUUAUGGUGUCGCUCUGGAAGGUCCCUCCGCGAUGCUCGACCAGGAUGGAUAUGCCUCUAGUAAAUUGAUCAUAACUCCUUCAUUACAUCUCCAAAUGACUUGAAACCACUUCCAUUAGAAAGCUAACUCGAUUUUCUGUGUCUCCACAAAAUCUUAGCAACAGAAGAUUUCUCUAAGGCCUCCAUCCAUGCUCAUCUUUCACCCCAUUUUGGAUCAUAAUGCUCCCAAACAUCUCAAAUCACUCCAUGGCACACUCCAGCACCUAAUAAGGACAAUGAAUGCAAAAUGCAACCUAGACAUGGCUAAAUCCUAAUCUAUAUGAUGAAAAUGCUCAUGGAUGAAUGGAUAAAACAAUGUAAAUAUGCAAGAUAUCAACUCCCCCAAACUUGUUCUUUUACUUGUCCACAAGUGAACUUUCUAGAACUCAUAGGGAGAGAGGUUGAAGGUGGG